ACAUGAUUAGAAUUGCCUCCUAAACCCAAACAAAAGGAUUACAUAUACUAGAAUUCAGAAGUCUCAGUAGUAUAUAUGGUUAGCGGUGCAUGCUCUCUCAUGCAAUAUAUAUAAACUUAAUUAGCUUGCUGCUGCAGGUCCAUAGCCCACCGCGCCGGAUGAAUCGAAGGGAAUUCAAAGUCUAGUAGAAUUGGACGUUGGAAGUGUAGACGGCAUCGGGUCUCCAGUUCGGCGGGAUGACGUCUUUGGCGAUGACCUUCUUGCCGGACUCGCUGGUGAGGCGGAUGGAGAAGGGGCCCUUGAGCGCCUUGGCAGUGUCCAUCCUCCAGAUGGCGCCCCAAGAGAGCUUCAUGGGCUUCCACUCAGCCGACAACUUGUCCUGGAUUUCCAUCAGCACGAUGUCGCCGUCGUCCGCCACAUACUUCACCAGCACGGCCAGGUAGUUGGGGUUGCAGCCCUUCUCGAUGUGGAACACGAUCUUCUGCCCGGCGGGGUACUUGCAUCGCACCCUGCAGGAGAGGAGGUUCAUUCAACAUGCAUUAUCUUCUGUCCUGUCCACCAAGAUAUACGAUGCAUGAAUUACUAUGUACCUUCUGAACUCGACGUCCAUGAUGCCGCAGUGGCGAAUCUUGUCGUUGAGCCCGGGCUUUGCCAGGGAGCCGAAGGCCUUGCCGCUCAAGUCGAAGUGGUAGGGAGCGAUAGGCUCGUAGUUCAUGUCAGUGAUGUACACCGUGACUGGAUUGCCCGAGCACUCAGGUUUUUCCUUGCAUCUCACCUGAAGAGUAAAUUAAUUAAGCAGUUAGCUAGAUAUGUCCAUGCAUGCAAACUAAUUAAUGCAUGCUUAUAUAUGCACCUCGUAGCAUGAGCCGCAGCCCUUGCCGUCCUUGAAGAUGGGGACGUUGCCGCACGCCGUCAUGCCGCUGUAGGGUGGCAGGUUCACGUUCUUGAUCCCGCACGCACCGCCUGCGCACCGUUUUAAUCGCAUCACAUUACAUGAAGGAGCGACCUACAGGAGGAGUAUAAACAUGUAUCCCGCUCGUACCGUUGUCAGGAGCGCCGGCACCGUUGGGCUGACCGUACCAGGUGGCCCUGGCGGUGAGCCACUUGCCGUUGUAGUUGGUGGUGAUGUUGGGACCGGGCGGCACCUUCGGGGGCCCGCAUGACCCGCCGGCGACGAGCGCUGCAAGGACGACACCCACGACCAUGAUGUUAUUAGCGAGGGAUCCCAUCGUCGCGCUCAACUGUGUUAUUCGAAAUGUCGCUCUGUGUGUUGUUGAUAGACGACAGUGAUGGGAUGUCUACUUAUAUGGAUGACGAGUGGCUCAGGAGAGAGUUCGCCGGCAACGCAUGCAGCGGCCUGCCGUUAGCGUCUGACGGACGACGAUGCGACACGCGGGCUUCACGUAGGCCGCUGCAUGCUCUAGGGCUGCCCGGGCUUACCGGUGGUUAGUUUAUUUCACCAUGAUCGGGCCUAAUCGAUCCGCACAAGACCACUGUGACGAUCGAACAUAAUAUUUGUCAGAACAUCAAUACAACUCCUUAGCUAGACUGCGAGUCCCCUAAUAAAGCCUAAAAUCAAAACUCAGGCUCAACACACACUAUAGAAGAAGAACAUGCAUGCCUUUUGAUCUGUCCUUUAAUAAUUUUAGUUCUAAUUUCCUGAUUGUUGACGCUUUUUUGGACCAAACACUAUCUAACCUUAAAGCAUGCGUGCAUCGUGGAAGAUCUUAAAGACUUCUCUGUGGGCUUGGCAAACCGUCCAUUUUAGAUCACCAGAUUGGACCAUCUGUGAUGUCCCACAGAUCGAGCUCCGGGAAAAAACAUAAAUCCUGCGUCCUAGGAGACAGUACUGGAGAUGACUUCUUUGUCAAGUCCAAAAGGCAGCAAAGAGCCCUCAGUGAACCAAACGUCGGCAACGGUCUCUUUGCCGAGUACUUUCUAUCGGGCACUCAGUAAAGUCUUAACCGAGUGCCAACUGGUACACGACAAAGAAAAGACAUCGUGACGAUGACAGAGCUGUUGCUGAGUGUCCGAGUUCCUCGCUUAGUGGCACUCGGCAAAGAAAGCUUCCGUGAGGCCUAGUCGUAGUUCCAAUGUCGAGUGCUUGAGAUGGCACUCAACAAAGGAGCCUAGUUUGCCGAGUGUCUUGGCCAUAGCGUGCGGUAAAGCAAGUUUCCCGAUGUUUAUGUAUGUCUUUUCUACCGAGUUCUAUGACCAUUGCACUCAACAAAGGCACCCUUUGCUGAAUGCAAUGCUCGUCAAAGUGAUCAGGGACCCCUUUUAUUUGUUUUUAAUAUUUUGUCCAAACAAACAUAAGAUAUUAUCAUAAACAUCGAUGCCUAGGUGUCCUUCACAUGAAAUCAUAGAACUUCAAUGUAGACGGGCUAAGUUUCUACACAUAGUGUGUGACAACUUUCAUGAAACAAUCUCAACUUUUUAUUAGAGUCUCUACAUAUGAUAUCAUGACAUGUCGACAAGUUUCAUGAUUUUCUGACUUUGUUUUUGUUUUAUAUAAUUUUAAAACAACUGGAUCGCAAGUUCAAGGUCAUGUUUUGUGAGAAUGGUGUUCGAAAAUUCCGGCAUGUUCCUGAAAUAGAUCGUAACUUGUGCUAAAUAACACGAAUGUCAUUUUUGUAUUCACUGUUUUCCAUUUUUCGAGUAACUUGUAGUUUAAAUCUAAAUUAUCCGAAGAAAUUCAAUUAAGCGAACUAAAUCUGAUAGUUAUAGCAAACACUUUUAUAAUUAUGCCAAAAUUGAACAAAUAGGUCCAUAUAUUGUAGAAACACACCACAAAAAGUUUGGGGAAAAAAGAAAAAAAUAAAUAUACUUUGUCGAGUGUCAAGGAAAGACACUCGCAAAACAUAGGUUUGCCAAGUGUUUGCCCGGUGACACUCGGCAAAAAAGAUAUUUUGUCGUGUGUCAACGCCUGACACUCGCGAAGUUAACAGCCAUCAACUAUAGACGGCUGCUGACGGUCCUUUGCCGAGGGUCGCAUUUCGUUGAGGGUUUGACACUCAGCAAAGCCAUCUUUGCUGAGUGUCUUUUUACGUCGAGUGUUUCGCCCUCGGUAAACAAGGUCUUUGUCAAGAGUCUUAUUUCGCCAAGACUAGCACUCGAUAAAGAAUGCUUUGUCGAGUGCCUGAUAAAGUGCACACGACAAAGAGCUAGAUUUCGGUAGUGCUAGUAGCUAGAUUUCACCAUGAUGAUUGCGAAGUGAGAAACAAAAUGCAUAAUACUUAGUCCAUGAUUCAUUCAUGUGAUACUACAUCAAACAUUUGCUUGUCAUAGAUUAAUUAGAAUAAUUUAUAUCAUUUUUAGUCUUCACUUGUAUAAUUAGUUUUGUAGUUAUACUAUAUUUGAUACUCAUAAUUGAUAAUCCAACGUACACAUGCACUAAACUUUAGUAAAAAAACCCAAACACCCCAUUAGUCAAUGAGCGCAACUCGAAGAAUUUAGGCUACGGUUAGCUGAUUGCGCAUCAACGAAUAUGGUCGUGCAAAACACAGUUUUGCAUUGUAGACGAUAUUGUAUGUCGAGAGGAAAUUAAAAUGAGAAAUGUAGAUGAUUAAGAUGCUGGAGAUAGUCUAAGGAGUCAUUUGGUACUUUUGCUUUCGGGAGAGUCUCCAUUUGUUCUAUGCUUAUGGAUGGAGAUACUUACAUGAUAGGUCAAAAGAGAUAGCAACUUAAUUUUUGGGAUGGAAAGAGAUCAUAGUAUAAAGUGGUGCGUUGCAUGCUUUAAUAAAUUAAUUUUAAAUAUGUCACUCAAUUUUUAUAAAAUUAGAUAGCUAAUUUAUGUAGAUGUAACCAUAUAACAUCUAAAUAAAAUUAGCUAUAUAAUUGUGCAAAAAGUUGAAUGAUAUAUUUCUAGUUGACCCUUUUGUUGUUAGUAUGAUUGUUAUGUCAAGAGAUGAGCAAACAGGAAGACCAACCAAUUUGCUUGUCCACCAAAAGCCCGUGGAGAAAAUUUCCAGGCAGUUCGGCCCAAGAAACAUACAAUACACAUACACUUUUAUCUAAGAGGACUAAACUCUAAUCUAGCAAGUUGUUAAAUAUAUAUUAGGAAAAAAAAUAACUUUAGUCUACAACAGUUUUCAAUUUUUAGGUUAUUAAUUAUUGUGAUUUGUGGGUCAAUAUUCGUGUGUCCCACUUCUAGCAUACACAUACACUUUUAUAUAUGCUAUAUGAACAAAGGACCCUUUACAAAUGUUCUAACUCCAACAACACUCCCCUCAAGAUGGGUAAAAGAUAUCAACCAUGCCCAUCUUGUUACAUAUUGACUCGUUCUCACUUGGGCCUAAACCUUUUGUGAGGCAAUCAACUAAUUGGUUACAAGAAUUGAUGUGCUCUAAUCUUAAUACCCCACUAUAUAUCUUCUCCUUGAUAAAGAACUUGUCAAUCUCCACAUGCUUAGUGCGCUCAAACUGAACUGUAUUGUUUGCAAUAUUUAUUGCAGCAACAUUACCACAGUGGAGUCUCAUAGUUCCAUUCCUCAAAACUUUCAACUCCCCUAAUAAACGCUUUAGCCACAUCAUUUCACAUAUUCUUAAUGCCAUUUCCCUAUAUUCAGCUUCUGAAGUUGACCUAGCCACAACUGCUUGCUUCUUGCUUCGCCAUGAGACAAGGUUACCUCCAACAAACACACAAUAUCCAGAUGUAGAUCUUCGGUCAUUUCUACUACUUGCCCAAUCGGUAUCACAAUACCCUUCCAAGUUCAUGUGCUUGUUCCUUUUAAACCACAAUCCUCUCCCAGGAAUUCCCUUCAAGUAUCUCAAGAUGCGAUAAACAACAUCCAUAUGUCCUGUCCUAGGAUCAUGCAUAUACCUGCUGACCACACUUACAACAUAGCAUAUAUCAGGUCUUGUGUGGCACAAGUAGAUCAAUCACCCAACCAAUCUUUGAUAUGCCUCUCUAUCGACAGGAUCUCCUAAAUAAGCAUGGAUCUGGUGAUUUUUAUCAACUCAAGAACAACAUGGACGACACCCUAGCAUUCCAGUUUCUAUCAACAAGUCAAGGACAUACUUCCUUUGGGAAAGAACAAUUCCCUUCGAUGACCGAGCAAUUUCAAUCCCAAGGAAAUAUCGAAGGUGUCCCAGAUCUUUUAUCUCAAAUGCUUUCCCUAGCUUUUCCUUCAACCACUUGAUCUCUUCCACAUCAACUCUAGUGAUCACAAUAUCAUCAACAUCAAUAACCAAUAUAGUGAUAGAUGAACCCUUGUUCUUGAAGAAGACUGUAUGUUCAACAUUACAUUGAGAAUACCCCAUACCACAAACAGCACGUCUAAACCUGUCGAACCAUGCACGUGGUGACUGCUUCAGGCCAUAGAGUGACUUCUUAAGUUUGCACACUUUCCCAACAGUCUGUUCAUUUUCAAACCCAGGUGGAAUUUCCAUAUAGACCUCUUCCUGUAAGUCACCAUGAAGAAAUGCAUUUUUCACAUCUAGUUGGUGAAUGGGCCAUCCAAAAUUAACUGCACAUGAGAUCAAAGUUCUAACAGUGUCCAUCUUUGCCACAGGUGCAAAAGUCUCAUCAUAGUCAAUCCCAUAUGUUUGACUGUAUCCAUUUGCAACCAGUCUUGCUUUGUAUCUGUCUAUCUUUCCCUCAAGGGUCUGUUUUACAGUGAAAAUUCACUUACAGCCCACAGCCUUCUUCCCUUCUGGGAGCAGAGCAAGUUCCCAUGUUUUGUUCCUCAUGAGAUCAUGUAAUUCUUCUUUCAUAGCCUCCUUCCACCUUGGAUUCUGUUUUGCACAUCUCCAGUCUUUCGGAACACACAGUCUGUAGGGAUGCGAUGAAGGUUCUAUAUGCAGACGACACAUGACAGUAUGACAUGUGGUUAGCUAUAUUGUACUCAAAGCCAAAGCGAGAUGGAGGUUUGCCAGCAUUGAUUCUAUGAUCCCUACGUUGUGCAAGGGGUAAAUCAACAUGUUCAAGAGAAGGUGCAAUAUUACCCAUUUUAGGUAGAGGCGAGGAGCUUGAUGGAGAGAGACUUGAGGAGAGAUCUAGGAGUGGAGAUGCAGGUGAUUGAGGCUCUGGCUGCAUGCUUUUUCCCCCCUAAUUUUUAUACCGCCUUCUUUGAUACACUAUUACUCAUUUCUCAUUAGUCUUCAUAUGACCUAUCCUUACUUCUUUAUCAUGAUUCCCUCCUGUGUAGUCUCUUGGACAUGGGAUUGUCCCAACGACUACCACUUCAUUGUCAUCAUGAACAUCAUUCCUUUCCUCGGAACCAUUAGUCUCUGAAAUAGUCUCAUCCACAAGAGAUGGGAUUCUUCCAACAAUUGUCUCUUCUUGUGUACUAUUCUCUCCUUCUUUAGAAUCACUUCCACCCUCUCUACAAUCACUUUCAUUGACUGAAGAGAACUCAUCAAAGAAGUGAUCAAGAUCACACUUGUUUGAGUAGUAUGGUUCAAACUCACAGAAAGUCACAUCCAUACUUACAAAUAACCUUCUUCUAAUAGGGUCCCAACAUUUGUACCCCUUUUGUGUAGAUGCAUAACCAACAAGUACACACUCAACGGCUUGCGGAUCCAAUUUACCCACUGAAGGUCGAUGGUCGUGCACAAAGCAAACACAACCAAAAACUCUAGGUGGGACUUUAAACUCUCGUUGUUCCAAUAGGAGUUCAGCAGGUGAUCUCAUACCCAGUACCCUAGAAGGCAUGCAAUUGAUCAGAUAUGCAGUUGUCAUCACUACCUCACUCCAGAGAUACUUAGGCACAUUCAUUUGAAACAUCGGGGACCUUACCACUUCUAAUAGGUGUUGAUUCUUUCUCUCGGCCACACCAUUCUAAGAAGGUGUACCAGGACAUGUGGUUUGGUGAAUAAUCCCUUGAUCUGAAAUGAAUGAGAUAAACUCAUUGUUCACAUACUCAGUUCCAUUAUUAGUGCGAAUGAUUUGAACCUUGGCAUUAAAUUGAUUAGUGACCAAUUUGUAAAAAUCCUUGAAACAUCGAAGAACCUCAUUCUUGUGCUUCAGCAUAUAUAUCCAUGUCAUGAGAGAAUAACAAUCAAUAAAUGUGGCAAACCAUUUAAAACCACUCACAGAUGUAAUUGAGCAAGGACCCCAAACAUCAGAAUGUAUUAACAUAAAUGGAUCACAGCUACGAAGUCCAAUACUAGGAUAAGUAGAUCUGGUAUGCUUGGCUAGCUCACAUGCAUCACACACAAGAGUUCCUUUCUCCAUUCCCUUAUAGGAUUUAGGGUACAAUUUACUCAAGCUCUCAAAAGGUACAUGUCCUAAUCGACUAUGUAGCAGCAUGAUUUCCCUUUUAUUUCCUUCUGUUGUUGCUGACAAAGCUUGCUAAAAGGGAAAUCGGGUUAACCUCUUCCUACAAUUAAUUUUGGUGGUUGAAUGCCCAACGCAAAUGUUUGGACUAACUAGUUUGCUCUAGAAUACAUGUUCUACAGGUGCAUAAGGUUCAACAAAGACCAAGAAAAUAUACAAGUUAGGGACCCAAUUCAAAAGGAGCAAAAAGGACUUGAGUGUGCUAUGGACUGGCGCACCAGACUGUCCGGUGUGCCACCGGACAGUGUCCGGUGCACCAGGCCCGUACAGGGUUGAACCAGCCACUCUCGGGAAAACGCAGGCGCGCUCCGCUAUAAUUCACCGGACUGUCUUGUGUGCUACCAGACUGUUUGGUGUACCAGCGAGCAACGGCUAUCCAGCGCGCAAUGGUCGACUCUGACAGGAGCUACAGUGAGCAACAAUGCCACGCAGAAGUCAGAGCAGCGAGUCAGAGGGGCACCGGACUAUUCGGUGUCACAAGAGGACAAAGCUCCAACGGUCGCCCGAGCUCCGAACCCUAACGAUUGGGUGACGUGGCGGCGCACCGGACAGUGCACAGUACCUGUCCGGUGGCGCACUGAACUAUCCGGUGCGCCCAUUGCCAGCAGCCUCCCCAACGGCUACUUUGGCGGUUGAGGGUUAUAAAUACCCCCCAACCACCACAACUCCAAGCAUCCAAUAUUUCUGAACAUCACAUUCAAUACAAGAGCUCUAGCAUUCACUCCUAGACACAAUUCAAAAGAUCAAAGCCUCUCCAAGUCCCAAAUUCACCUCAAAUACUUAGUGACUUGUGAGAGAGUGAUUUUGUGUUCUUUUGAGCUCUUGCCUCUUGGAUUGCCUUUCCUCUUUCUCAUUCAAGUGACUUGUAAUCAAAGCAAGAGACACCUAAGAGUGUGGUGGUCCUUGCGAGGUCUUAGUGACCCGAUUGAUUAAGGGAAAGGUUCACUCGGUCUAAGUGACUGUUUGAGAGAGGGAACGGGUUGGAAUAGACCCAGUCUUUGUGACCUCCUCAACGGGGACUAGGUUCUUAGGAACCGAACCUCGGUAAAACAAAUCACCGUGUUCAUUCGCUUGAUUUCCAUUUGAUUUGUUUUCCCCUCUCUCCUGGACUUGCUUUUAGUUCUAACGCUAACCCCGGCUUAUAGUGUGUGUUUAAAGUUGUAAAUUUCAGAUUACAGCUAUUCACCCCCCUCUAGGCAACUUUCAAUUGGUGUCAGAGCCGGUGCUUCAUUGGAGUCUAACAACUCGAAGUGAUGUCGGGAGAACAUGCCAAGAGGGAGAUCGUGACCGGCGACAAGCCCGCAAGCUCGGGGAGAACCCUUUCAAGGGAGUCCGACAACAAGCAUAAGGAGGAAUCCUAUUCCUCCACCAAGUCGCAUCGGAGAGGUUACAAGAAGAAGAAGAUGAAGAAGGUGGUCUACUACGAGACUGACUCUUCGUCACCCUCCACAUCAUCAAGCUCCGACUCGUCCGUCCCUUCUGAAAGUCUCCUAGAGGGGGGUGAAUAGGGCGAAUCUGAAUUUUAUAAACUUAAGCACAACUACAAGCCGGGUUAGCGUUAGAAAUAUGAACGAGUCCGAGAGAGAGGGUGAAAAACAAAUCGCGGGCAAAUAAAGAGUGAGACACGAUGAUUUGUUUUACCGAGGUUCGGUUCUUGCAAACCUACUCCCCGUUGAGGUGGUCACAAAGACCGGGUCUCUUUCAACCCUUUCCCUCUCUCAAACGGUCACCUAGACCGAGUGAGCUUCUCUUCUCAAUCAAAUGGGACACAAAGUCCACGCAAGGACCACCACACAAUUGGUGUCUCUUGCCUCGGUUACAAUUGAGUAUGUCACAAGAAUAGUGAGAAAGAAAAGAAGCAAUCCAAGCACAAGAGCUCAAAUGAACAUAACAAAUCUCUCUCUCUAAUCACUAAAGCUUUGUGUGGAGUUGGGAGAGGAUUUGAUCUCUUUGGUGUGUCUUGUAUUGAAUGCUAUAGCUCUUGUAAGGUGUAGAAGUGUAGAAACUUGGAUGCCAUUGAAUGUGGAGUGGUUGGGGUAUUUAUAGCCCCAACCACCAAAAAUGGCCGUUGGAAGACUGCUGUUGCAUGGCGCACCGGACAGUGCGCCACCGGACACUGUCCGGUGCGCCAUCCACGUCAGCCAGCCGUUGGGGUUCAACCGUUGGAGCUCUGACUUGUGGGGCCUCUGGGCUGUCCGGUGGUGCACCGGACAGGUCCUGUAGAUUGGCAGGUGCGCCAACUGCGCGUGCUCUGACUCUGGCACGCACUAUAGCGCAUUGAAUGCGGUUGCAGUCGACCGUUGCGCGUGAAGUAGUCGUUGCUCCGCUGGCACACCGGACAGUCCGGUGGCUCACCGGACAGUCCGGUGAAUUAUAGCGGAGCGCCCUCUGAAUUUUCCCGAAGGUGGCAAGUUCAGCUUCGAGUUCCCUGGUGCACCGGACACUGUCCGGUGCGCACACCGGACAGUCCGGUGCGCCAGACCAGGGUGCCUUUUGGGUUGUCCUUUGCUCUCUUUGUUUGAACCCUUUCUUGGUCUUUUUAUUGGCUUAUUGUGAACCUUUGGCGCCUGUAGAACUUAUAGACUAGAGCAAACUAGUUAUUCCAAUUAUUUGUGUUGGGCAAUUCAACCACCAAAAUCAAUUAGGAAAAAGGUGUAAGCCUAAUUCCCUUUCAAUCUCCCCCUUCUUGGUGAUUGAUGCCAACACAAACCAAAGCAAGUAUAGAAGUGCAUAAUUGAACUGGUUUCCAUCAUGUAAGUGCAAAGGUUGCUUAGAAUUGAGCCAAUAAAUAUUUUCAUAGAAUAUGCAUGGAUUGUUUCUUUAUAUUUAACAUUUUGGACCACGCUUGCACCACAUGUUUUGUUUUUGCAAAUUCUUUUGUAAAUUCUUUUCAAAGUCUUUUUGCAAAUAGUCAAAGGUAAAUGAAUAAGAUUUUGAGAAGCAUUUUCAAGAUUUGAAAUUGUCCCCCUGUUUCAAAUGCUUUUCCUUUGACUAAACAAAACUCCCCCUUAAUAAAAUUCUCCUCUUAGUGUUCAAGAGGGUUUUAAGAUGCCAAUUUUGAAAAUACUACUUUCUCCCCCUUUUUGAACAUAAUAAGGUACCAAUUUGAAAACAUCAAUUUUUAAAAUUAGGUGGUGGUGCGGUCCUUUUGCUUUGGGCUAAUACUUUCUCCCCCUUUGGCAUGAAUCGCCAAAAACGGAUACUUGAGUGAAAUAUAAGCCCUUUCAAACUACUUUCUCCCCCUUUGGUAAAUAACAUAUGAGUGAAGAUUAUACCAAAGACGAAGAGUUGCUCGGAGCGACGGCGAAGGAUGAGUGAUUCAAUGGAGUGGAGUGGAAGCCUUUGUCUUCGCUGAAGACUUCAUUUCCCUUUCAAUCUAUGACUUGGUUUGAAAUACACAUGAAAACACAUUAGUCAUAGCAUAUAAAAGAGAUAUGAUCAAAGGUAUAUGAAUGAGCUAUGUGUGCAAAACAUCAAAAGAAGUUCCGAGAAUCAAGAAUAUUUAGCUCAUGCCUAAGUUUGCUAAAAGUUUGUUCAUCAAGUGGCUUGGUAAAGAUAUCGGCUAAUUGUUCCUUAGUGUUAAUGUAUGCAAUCUCGAUAUCUCCCUUUUGUUGGUGAUCCCUAAGAAAAUGAUACCGAAUGGCUAUGUGUUUAGUGCGGCUAUGCUCAACGGGAUUAUCCACCAUGCGGAUUGCACUCUCAUUAUCACAUAGAAGAGGAACUUUGGUUAAUUUAUAACCAUAGUCCCUAAGGGUUUGCCUCAUCCAAAGCAAUUGCGCGCAACAAUGUCCUGCGACAAUAUACUCGGCUUCGGCGGUAGAAAGAGCUACGGAAUUUUGCUUCUUUGAAGCCCAAGACACGAGAGACCUUCCCAGGAACUGGCAAGUCCCCGAUGUGCUCUUUCUAUUAAUUUUACACCCCGCCCAAUCGGCAUCCGAAUAACCAAUUAAAUCAAAUGUGGAUCCCCAAGGGUACCAAAGCCCAAACUUAGGAGUAUAAACUAAAUAUCUCAAGAUUCGUUUUACGGCCGUAAGGUGAGCUUCCUUAGGGUCGGCUUGGAAUCUUGCACACAUGCAUACGGAAAGAAUUAUGUCCGGUCGAGAUGCACAUAAAUAGAGUAAAGAGCCUAUCAUCAACCGGUAUACCUUUUGAUCUACGGAUUUACCUCCCGUGUCGAGGUCAAGAUGCCCAUUGGUUCCCAUGGGUGUCUUGAUGGGCUUGGCAUCCUUCAUCCCAAACUUAUUUAGAAUGUCUUGAAUAUACUUCGUUUGGCUAAUGAAGGUGCCCUCUUGGAGUUGUUUUACUUGAAAUCCUAAGAAAUACUUCAACUCCCCCAUCAUCGACAUCUUGAAUUUUUGUGUCAUGAUCCUACUAAAUUCCUCACAUGUUGAUUCGUUAGUAGACCCAAAUAUAAUAUCAUCAACAUAAAUUUGGCAUACAAACAAAUCAUUGUCAAGAGUUUUAGUAAAUAAAGUAGGAUCAGCUUUUCCGACUUUGAAGCCAUUAGUGAUAAGAAAAUCUCUUAGGCAUUCAUACCAUGCUCUUGGGGCUUGCUUGAGCCCAUAAAGUGCUUUAGAGAGUUUAUAAACAUGGUUAGGAUACUCACUAUCUUCGAAGCCGGGAGGUUGCUCAACAUAGACCUCUUCCUUGAUUGGUCCAUUGAGGAAGGCACUUUUCACGUCCAUUUGAUAAAGCUUGAAGCCAUGGCAAGUAGCAUAGGCAAGUAAAAUGCGAAUUGAUUCUAGCCUAGCUACGGGUGCAUAGGUUUCACCGAAAUCCAAACCUUCGACUUGUGAAUAUCCUUUGGCCACAAGUCGGGCUUUGUUCCUUGUCACCACACCAUGCUCAUCUUGCUUGUUGCGGAAGACCCACUUGGUCCCUACAACAUUUUGGUUAGGACGUGGAACUAAAUGUCAUACCUCGUUCCUAGUGAAGUUGUUGAGCUCCUCUUGCAUCGCCACCACCCAAUCCGAAUCUUGAAGUGCUUCCUCUAUCCUGUGUGGCUCAAUAGAGGAAACAAAAGAGUAAUGUUCACAAAAAUGAGCAACACGAGAUCGAGUAGUUACCCCCUUUUGAAUAUCGCCGAGGAUGGUGUUCACGGGGUGAUCUCGUUGGAUUGCUUGGUGGACUCUUGGGUGUGGCGGCCUUGGAACUUGUUCAUCUUCCUCAUCUUGAUCAUGGCCAUCUCCCCCUUGAUCAUUGCUCUCCUCUUGAGGAGGCUCAACUUCUUCAUCUUCUCCUUUAUCAUUUUGAGCCUUAUUCUCAUCUUGAGUUGGUGGAGAUGCUUGUGUGGAGGAAGACGGUUGAUCUUGUGCAUGUGGUGGCUCUUCGGAUUCCUUAGGACACACAUCCCCAAUGGACAUGUUCCUUAGUGCGACGCACGGAGCCUCUUCAUCACCUAUCUCAUCAAGAUCAACUUGCUCUACUUGAGAGCCGUUAGUCUCAUCAAACACAAUGUCACAAGAAACUUCAACUAGUCCAAAGGACUUGUUAAAGACUCUAUAUGCCCUUGUGUUUGAAUCAUACCCUAGUAAAAAACCUUCUACUGCCUUAGGAGCAAAUUUAGAUUUUCUACCUCUUUUAACAAGAAUAAAGCAUUUGCUACCAAAGACUCUAAAAUAUGAAACAUUGGGCUUUUUACCAGUUAGGAGUUUGUUGGGGCGAAGGCAAAGACGCCACCCUUCGCUCGAAGCCUCCGCUGCGGUCGCUGGUCUGACAAAGACAAAGCGGGCAGGGACACCUUUCGCUUCAUUCAGCACCAGACGAAGGCCUGCGGUGACGUCUCCCCACAGCGCGGCCUCGUCCUGCUCUAAGGCCCACGCGUGAUCUGGCCCAUUGUAACGGGCCCCGCGUGGCCGCCUUUGUGUUACGGGCCCAGCUUGUAAAGGCAUUCUUGUAAUUACAGCUUGUAACCCUGCUUUAUGGGAAUAUUCUGGGGAUAAACUAGGUGUCUGAGGGCACAUGCGUCCUUAACACAAGGCGCUGGGCACUCAGAUACCUAUAAAUACCCCCGCACAGUGCCCGUGAGAGGCUAGAUCAACAGAGCUAUUGCCCCCGUGCACGUAACCCUGUUGUCACCACCGCUCACCCUUGUUGGCCUCCUUGCUGCUGAGAGCAAGUUCCAACAUUUGGCGCCCACCGUUCGUGCUACGACCAAACCACCCGCGAUGGCACCCAAGAGAGCUAACCCGAAGGCUGACGAGGCUGCGAAGGCAGCACUGCUCGCCGCAAGGAAGGGCAAGGCCCUCGCCCUCACCCAAUCCACCCACCAAGAGCCCACCGGCGACAAUAUUCCCCGCAUCAGCGAAGACGACACCUUCCGCACCUGCGGGCCCGAAGGACAAUCGCAGCCGCCCCCAGGCUUCGCCCCGCUGGAGGGCGCGGAUCUCACCGAGGACGGUGAGGUCCUCAGCGUCUCAACAGAAGAACAGCUACAGCUACGCGCCCUGCGCCUCAAGAACCGCAACCUCCAAAGGCAGAAAGAGAUACUGGAGGCCAAGCGCCAGCGUGUGUCCGCACUAGCCAAGGUGCGGCAAAUGAUACGCGAUGAGGAGCAGAAGGCCCAAGACCUCGAGCGCGAGAUCACGCUGAUGCAGCGCGAAGGCCACCUCGGUCUACAGCAAGAGCCACCCCUCCAACAGCGCGUGCAACCGGAAGACACGCGCGAAGGCCACCUCGGCCUGCAACAUGGCCCACCCCUGCAGCACCGGGCGCAGCCGGAGAACCCGCGUUUCCCCCACCAUGACUACGCCUUCCAACACGGCGCGCCAUUCCAAGGGGUCAACUACCUCGACGAGCGAAGUCCCCUGGCGCCACACCUGCAAGUGACGCCUUGGCCAGCCAACUUUCGAGCAGGGGCGUAUCCCAAGUACAACGGCAGCACCGACCCGGCGCAAUACAUAAUGAGUUAUCAGGUCGCCGUCGCAUCCGCCGGAGGGGACGACGCCACAAUGGCGAAGUCUUUCAUCAUCGCCCUAGAGGGCCCAGCACUCACCUGGUUCACCAGAUUGCCUCCGCUGUCCAUUGAUUCGUGGAGAAGUCUCAGGGACAAAUUCCUGCUCAACUUCCAAGGGUACCGCCCAGACACCGACGCCUUGGCCGAGCUCUCGCUUUGCAAACAGCUGGAAAAGGAGACUCUGAGGGAGUACUACCGCAAAUUCUUAACACUCAAGUCACAGCUGCCCUCUGUCGAUGAUCAGAUCGCUAUCCACUACGCCAUCAACGGCCUUCGGGCCGGCGUCCUCUACAGCCACUGUAUCAGAGAUCCACCCAAGAGCUUGCAGGAGCUAUAUCAGCUCUUCGAAAAAUAUGCCAAAUCCGAAGAGCUCCACCAGCGCAAGGUUGAGUCACAGCGGAAACCCAAAGAUGCCCCGCAGUCCAGCCGCACGUGGACGAGGACUCCGCAGCCAGACUCCGGUCGAGACGGCCGCAGUCAGCAGCAAGUGCACAACAUCGCCAACCAGCAGCCUGCUGCGGACCCCCCCCCCCCCGUCGCCAGGAAUAUCCCCCCCAGGGCCGUGGAAAUGGAACUCGUGGCAGGGGCCGAGGGCUCGCGCAGCCACCGCGCCGGUUCUACUGCCUUUUCCACGGCGAAGACUGCGCCCACCAAACCAAAGACUGCCCCGAGACGAAGGCAACCAGAGACAGAAUGGCGUGGGCGCAGCCAGCCGACAAUCCCAGAAUUGUCGCGCAUAAUUACCAGCCACCCCCUCCACCAUAUAUCCACGCUCCCGCCCCGCAUCCACCGCACCACGCUUACCAACACCAUCAGGAAGUACAAAUCGUACCUCCUCCACCCCCACCGCCACACCAGCAACAUCAAAACAUCCCCCAUGCCCCAAAGCAGGAAGACUUCGCCGAUCAACCAUAUCGCGGAGUCAUUCACAUGAUAACAGGGGGCUCCAGCACCGACUUCGACACCAAGCGGCAGAAGCGGGACCACUACCGCAGCAUCAACCACGUCGCCGUCACUGGCCCAGUCGUGCAGACGAAGUGGUCCCACAUACCGCUAACCUUCGACGCGCGAGACGUCGACCUGCGCAGCGCCCCCCACAUCGACGCUAUGGUCAUCAAUUGCAGCGUGGCAGGCUGGGACUUACACAAAGUCCUAGUCGACAACGGCAAUCAGGCGGACAUCAUCUUCCUCCAUGCCUUCGACCGCAUGGGUAUAAGCCACAGCUUGCUGAAGCCUUCGGACAACCCCUUGUAUGGUUUCGGCGGCAAGGGCACCUUUCCAGUUGGCAAGAUAGAGUUGCCCCUCUCCUUCGGUGUAGCACCCAAUGCCCGAAGUGAGCAAGUAACCUUCGACAUUGUCGACAUGGUAUAUCCAUACAACGCCAUCAUGGGCCGGGGCUCCAUCAAUAAGUUCGAAGCUGCCAUCCACGGGCUGUACCUAUGUAUGAAGAUACCAGGUCCGCUAGGCGCCAUUACAAUCUACGGCAACCAGCAGACGGCGCGCAACAUAGAGCGGGACUUCGUGCCUGGCCAGAGGAACGUACACUGUCUCACGACCCAGCGCGAGGUCCCCGCGCCCGCCAGCCCAACCGAUAAGCAGCACGACAAGGCACAGUUGCAGAGCCAGGACGGGACCAAGACUGUCCCCCUCGAUCAGGCCACGCCCAAGCAGACAGUCACUAUCAGCGAAGACCUCACCUCACUUGAAGAAGAGAGACUUCUCCGCUGCCUGGCCAAGAAUAAAGAUGUCUUCGCCUGGUCCGCCCUCGAUCUGGUCGGAGUCAGCCGAUCCAUAAUCGAGCACAGCUUGGGAAUUGACCCUUCGGUGCGACCCAAAAAGCAGAGGCUUCGCAAAAUGUCAGACGAAAAGACAGAGGCCGCCAAGGCGGAGGUGCACCACCUCCUGGAGGCUAAAUUCAUCGAGCCAGUGGCUUACCCCACGUGGCUCUCCAAUGUUGUAAUGGUGCAGAAAAAAGCGGGAAAUGGCGAAUGUGCAUAGACUUCACCAGUCUCAAUAAGGCCUGCCCAAAGGACAAUUUCCUGUUGCCACGGAUCGACAAAAUAGUCGAUAGCGCGGCCGGAUGCGAGGUCAUGUCUCUCCUCGACUGCUUCUCCGGCUAUCACCAGAUAUACAUGAAGGAGGAAGACAAGGCUAGCACCAGCUUUAUAACACCCUUCGGCACUUAUUGCUUCGUCAGAAUGCCGGAGGGUCUCAAGAAUGCCGGGUCCACCUUCUCCAGACUCACCAAAACAGUACUCGACGGGCAGGUCGGCAGAAAUAUAUUUACAUAUGUGGACGACAUCGUCGUCGCCAGCAAGAAUAAGGAGGACCAUCUCGCCGACCUGGCCGAGACAUUCGCGAACAUGCGAGAUGCACGACUCCGCCUAAACCCGGAAAAAUGCGUCUUCGGUGUUCGUCAGGGCAAGAUAUUGGGCUACCUGGUGUCGCACCGCGGCAUCGAGGCCAACCCAACCAAGAUCCAGGCCAUCGUCGGCAUGUCGCCCCCACAGUCCGCCAGGGACGUCCAGCGUCUGACAGGCAGACUGGCCGCUCUCAACAGAUUCAUCUCCAGGUCCGCUGAGCGAAGUCUCCCCUUCCUCAAAACACUCCGCGGAGCGAAAGACUUCGCCUGGGGACCGGAGCAAGCAGCGGCCUUCGCCUCACUAAAACAGUACCUGUCGGAGCUGGCCAUCCUCACAAGCCCCGACUCCUCGCUCCCCCUAUUGCUCUAUGUCGCGGCUUCGCCGCACACGGUCAGCGCGGCACUAGUGCAGGAGCAGACAGUCGAGGGCGCAGUCAGACAGUGCCCUGUUUACUAUGUCUCCGAAGUCCUGACACCGUCCAAAUGCAACAUGACAGAGCUGGAGAAGAUCGCCUACGCAGUUGUUAUGUCCUCGCGCAAACUGCGCCAUUACUUUGAAGCAUUCAAGGUCCGAGUCACCUCAGACAGGGGGCUCGGCGAACUAUUCAGAAACCCGGAGGCAUCAGUGAGGAUUGCCAAGUGGGCAGCCGAACUCUCCGGCUACCACAUCAGCUUCGAGCCCAGGACAGCCAUCAAGUCGCAAGUCCUGGCAGACUUCGUCGUCGACUGGACUGGGCCAGUAACACAGCCGGACCCGUCCACAGAGAAGAUCUGGACCAUCCAUUGCGACGGCGCAUGGUGCCAUGCGGGGGCAGGCGUCGCUGCAGUCGUCACCUCACCAGCCGGAGUCAAACACAGAUAUGCAGCACGCCUCAACUUCGCUCUGGAAUCCGACAAGUGUACAAACAAUAUAGCAGAGUAUGAAGCGGUUAUCCUCGGCCUCCGCAAGCUAAGGGCCCUCGGAGUCACCACAUGUAUCAUCAAGACAGACUCCAAGAUAGUUGCCGGCCAGGUCGAGAAAGACUAUGCAGCAAAAGACCCCGCGCUCAUGCAAUACCUCGCGGCUAUCCGAAGUCUCGAGAGACAAUUCAAGGGAUUCACCCUGCAGCAUGUGGAUAGGGCCAAGAACGAGGAGGCCGAUGCAUUAGCCAAGGCCGCCGCCAGGGGCGAGCCCCUGCCCUCCGACGUGUUUUUUCACACCAUCGGCACGCCAGCCGUCCGGAGCCCCGAAGGGCUCCAGAUAACUAAUGAUAGCGAGGGCCACCGUAUAGUCAACCUAAUCAUGACCGAAGACUGGAGGGCACCAAUAACCCUGUUCCUACAGGGGUACUAUCAUCCAACCGACGUCAGUGAGGCAAAGCGCCUCAGACAUCGAAGCUGGGACUUCGCACUAAUCGAGGGCCAACUAUACAAGAAAGGGGUCAGUCAGCCAAUGCUCAAAUGCGUCACCGAAACCGAAGGCAUGCAGAUCCUACGCGAAGUCCACAGUGGCACGUGCGGCUCGCACGCAGGGCCAAGGGCCCUGGCAGCCAAGGUGAUCCGACAAGGGUUUUACUGGCCUGCAAUGAUCUACGCCGCAAAUCGAGUCACAAGGUCCUGCGAAGCCUGCCAGAAGUUCUCUCCUCGGUCAGGCAACCCCUCGCAAUACACAAAGCUGAUCGCCCAUACAUGGCCUCUCCAGCGCUGGGGCCUGGACAUUGUCGGGCCCCUGCCCACCGCUCAGGGGAACCUUAAGUUCGCCUUCGUAGCCGUCGAAUACUUCACCAAAUGGAUUGAAGCGAGGGCUGUUUCCACAAUCACAUCAAAGACUGCCCAAAAAUUCUUUUGGCAGAACAUUGUUUGCCGCUUCGGAGUACCGUCCGAGCUAACAGUUGACAACGGCAAGCAGUUUGACAGCCAAGAUUUCAAGGAUUUUUGUUUCUCCAUCGGCACCAAGCUUGCCUUCGCUUCAGUCUAUCAUCCGCAGUCCAACGGGGUCGUGGAGCGUGCCAAUGGGAAAAUCUUCACAACUGUCAAGAAGAUGCUCCUCGAUGAAAAAAAAGGCAGAUGGACCGAUUUGUUACCGGAGGCAGUCUGGGCGCUAAACACAACUGAGUGCAGGGCAACCGGGUUCACUCCUUUCCGCCUUCUAUACGGAUCGGAGGCAAUGACCCCGCAAGAAAUAAAGCAUGGGUCCCCGCGUACAGUUCCGUCAGUCGUCCCUGACGUGGACGAGCCAACCUAAAAAAAUCUCAUUGACGGAGACCGGUUCUUCGCCCUACAGGCCCUAAACAAAUACCAAGCCCAGACCAAAGCAUGGCGCGACCACGCAGUCAUCCCGAGGGAGUUCAGCGCGGGGGACCUCGUACUCAUCCGAACAGCUCGGACGGAGUCCAAGGGCAAGCUGGAGCCCAAGUGGGAGGGCCCCUUCAUAGUCAAGUCAAAAGCUUCCCCCAGCGCUUACAGGCUCACAACGCCAAAUGGCGAGGACCUGGAGCACUCCUGGAACAUCGACAACCUUCGCAAAUUUUUUGUUUGACCCAUUUAGGGCUGAUUUCGCCCUUGUAAUUCGCUGCAACCAAUCAUGUACCGGCCCGCACUCUUUUCCUCCCGGGGGUGAGGUUUUUAACGAGGCGGAGCCAUGUAAUAUAUGUGAGAAAAAUCCCCCGCAAAAACACGUGUCGAAAAAAGACCGCGACAACGGUCUUCGGCAUUCGACCAAUUCGAAGUCACCGCGAGGCUAAGCGCUAGCCACCCUCGCGUGCGACAAAUCCGCGCAGAAGUCGCCUAAGGGUGCAGCCGGACCAAGCACAACAAGCGCGAAAAAAUCCGAUGUCUAUCGCGAAGACUAUCCGCGCAGAAGUCGCCUAAGGGUGCAGCCGGACUAAGCACAACAAGUGCGAGAAAAUCCGAUGUCUAUCGCGAAGACUAUCCGCGCAGAAGUCGCCUAAGGGUGCAGCCGGACUAAGCACAACAAGUGCGAGAAAAUCCGAUGUCUAUCGCGAAGACUAUUCGCGCAGAAGUCGCCUAAGGGUGCAGCCGGACUAAGCACAACAAGUGCGAGAAAAUCCAAUGUCUAUCGCGAAGACUAUCCGCGCAGAAGUCGCCUAAGGGUGCAGCCGGACUAAGCACAACAAGUGCGAGAAAAUCCGAUGUCUAUCGCGAAGACUAUCCGCGCAGAAGUCGCCUAAGGGUGCAGCCGGACUAAGCACAACAAGUGCGAGAAAAUCCGAUGUCUAUCGCAAAGACUCCGCGCAGAAGCCGCCUAAGGGCGCAGCCGAACUAGCACAACAACAGCAGAAACGAUAGCAUCAAACCAUCCGUGCUAAGAACGACUAUAAUCACAACAGCACAGCAUAACCAACCAUACCAGACAAAGGCACACAACGUCCUCGCAGGCACAGGCACGCGAGGGCACACAACUUCAUCGUACAAACCCCCACACAUAUACAAGCGAGGGCACCACACUCUACAUCGGCUCAACCUUAGGAAUAAGUCCCAUCUCUCUAUAAUUAAAUAACAUCAUCCUAAGCUCCUCACCCGCAAAAAGACUUCGCAGUUCCCUUUCCCCUGUACUCGCAGCGGCCGGCAAAGACAACAGUUCCUGACGACCAGCCCUACUCACACGAAGCCGAGCCCCCUCCUCCGCGCUAACCCUACGUUUUGCAACCGCCCUUCGUCGUCGGCGCCCGGUGCUAGGACCUGGCACGUCUAGCGCGUCCGCGGCGUGUAGCGAAGCCUCCGCCGCAGCCACGUCCAAGGCCGCAAAAUAAUCCAAGUCCUCCGACGACUCCUCAGUCCACUCAACCGAGCUCCCAGAGUCAGUAAAAUCAGAAAACUCAGAUACCGACCCACCAUAUUCAUUCCCACCUUCCGCGGUCGAAGCCGCCAAAAACUCAGUAGUAGCGGUUGCGUACGCAGGCCCAAAAUCUUGAACCUGCGCAGCAACCAAAGUUCAGCACAGCAUCCAAAAAUUCCCCAACCCUAAACACCUACUACGCCACCUGCGAAGACCCUGACGCUGCGGGAGCCUCCGCCGUUGGCUCCGCCGUUGGCUCCGCCGCCACCGCCGCGGGAUCUUCAGCACUCGGCACUGCAGCUGCGGGGGCAUCAGGGGCGCCUUCGGCCACCUUCGGGGGCAGGUCUUCGCCGGCCACAGCGGAUGUGGGGGCAGCCGUCGCGAUCGCUGCGGUCUCCGGGGUUGGCUCCAGGGCGACCCCAGUCACAGCCUCCGCGGGGGUCGACUCCGGGUCUGGCAGCGCACUGUUCAGAGCCCCGAAGUCGUCCACCCGCUCGCCGCGCUCCGCCUAGGACAAGACACACAGAUUCAGCAAACACACGCACAGCCUGCAUACAGCAAACGCCAAACAAACAAACAACGUUACCUGAGCCCUCGCAGUCUCGGCCCGCUCCCUGACCACCUCACGACCGUACAGACCCCACAUCCGGUCAUAAAGGGCCCCGGCGGAUUCCUUCACAACGGGGUCUUCGACCUUAUAGAUAUCUCGCUCAAAUUCUUCAUCCACCUGGUCGAAGGCCUCGAAGUGUCGGCACCCUUCGCGGGAGAGAGCGUUCAUCGCCCCCUCGCAGGUGACCAAGGAGGCGUACGACAUUAACCCCCCCGCAACAGCUGGAAGUUCCAGCAGCUCCUCCUGCACCCACUGCAGACAGCGAAGCCCGGGCUCUCGGUCCGGCACCUCGAAGUCACCGGUCCGCGCACCCAGCUCACGAUAUGUAUCCAUGAGCUGCGUGCGCGUCCGUUCGGCCUCCGCAUGCAUCGCGGCCUCGGCCUCCUUCGCGCGGCUCUCCAGGGCGGUGAGCCGCUCUUGCAGAUGUUCGGCGAGCUCCUUGGCAAGAUUGCCCUCCGCCCGCGCCAGCUUGGCCUCCGCCUGCGCAGCCUGCCCCUUGGCGACGGCCUCGUUGGCUUCCCUCCUCUCCGCCGCCAGCUGGCGCCGGAGGUCGGCCUUCUCCCUCUCCAGGGCGGCCACCCUGUCCGCCAGCUUACGGCACUUGCUGUCGGAGGCCGACUUCUCACGGACAGCGUUAGCAUGUUGUGUCCGAAGUCUCUCGACUUCGGCAGACACAGCUGCCGUGAGGGCCCCCGAUGCAGUACGGCUGGCGAAGUCAGCCACCUGCAGAACAUACGCAAGGCCAUUGACGUAAAAAAAAAGAGAGAGAAAAGGGGGGGGAGAGACUAUAGCUCAGCGGACCUGACUCAGCGCCUCCGUCGCCUGACUCAGCGCCUCUGUCACUCCCUUCAGCCGGCGGGUCGCCACGCCCGCCUCGUCCCUGACCAACGCGAGGGCCGACACCUCGCCUUCGGCGCCAAGCGCCUCGCCCCUCGCCUUCGGCACCAUGACGGCCGUCGCGAUCGCCGCGCCAGGCGCAGCUAUAGCAAGCUGGCCCUCGCCCGGCCCUGCAACGCGUCAACAAAUUAAAAUAUAUAUAUAUAUAAUAACAAUAAUAGGCCAGCGACUUACCACCAAGAUAGUCGUCCACAGUAAUAUCGGUGCCGAAGUCGGCAACACGUUUGCCCGACAACGGCAACGCUUGGGCCGCCUUCGAAGCCUCCGCCACUCCGCUGGCCGGCGGCACCGCCUUCGUUGACUUGGAGCCUCCGGCGCCUGCCGUCGCCUCCGGCGCCUUGCUAGGAGCAGCGGCGCCCGCCUUCGCCGCCAGCGGCGGCUUACCUCCACCGGAGGCUACAGCCUUCGCAGUUCCCCGCUGCCUUUUCGGCCGAGCUUCGUGAAUCCUGACAGUCGCCUGGCGUUUUUGCGCCGCCCCUUGGCGAUCCUUGUCCAUCACUGUCCACACAACAGCACCGAUAUUUCGCCCGUAAGGAAAAACUCUCCACUGAUGAACCAUACGAGAUGUAAAACAGUCCUCCUCAGCCGCGCAGGGGAUAGGAACAUUUUUCGGCCAGCAACCCCCGGUAACCCUCAGCAUCCGAGCCGAAGACUCCUGGAGCUCGGGCGAAGACAUCCUUUCCCCCGGGGCCGCACACGUCCUCAUUAACUCUCUAGCAAAACUAUCAGACACCCCAAGUCCUCCCAUCGCAGUACCUAAUUUUCUCUUUUUUGAGGAGGGGGCGGCCGCCAGCGCAGGGUCGCCUCCAGUCUCCACCGCCGGCUUCUUCCCACGGCGGUCCGCUUCGUCUUGACCAGGAUAGCCGUCGUACGGCAAUUGAUUUAAUUCGAAGACCCUGUUCAAGCGCUCAUUUGACCCGCGGAUAUCAAAGCUGCGCUGGCCUUCAGUCCUCGGCACGUAACGUCCCACGAGCCGCACCGCCAAGUCCUCCGCAUCAUGCACAAAGGCGGCCGGGUCACGAUUUCGCAAAUUCAGUGCGAAGGCAGGACUUCGCACCACCCUUCCUCCGUGAAAAGGCAUCUGGCGAGGGCACACUUCGCCCAGCGCCCAGCCGUGCGCCAAGGGCCAGACCCCGUACGCCACGAACUCUUCAACUAAAUCACGCCCACUGCUCUGACCGGCGGCGCAUCGGAGGGCCCCUUCGUCUGCAUCCUCUUCUGCCACUUCAAAAGGCGGAUACGCAGAAUAAUAAUGAGAGCACAUCUCAGACACGGGGAGUCCCUCAUGGCCUUCGACAGUACCCUCAGCAACGUAAAACCAAAAUUCAUUCCAACUGCCCCACUUGUUGCGGGCGCACGGAACCAACUCCACUACUGGCAUUGUGGUCUUGCCGGUCUUCGGCGUGAAUGUGCAUGACCCAAACUGGGCAACUCCGUCCCCAACCAUCCUCUUCUGCCAAUGCAAACAAUAAUUCUUCGCAAAAACUUCAACAGACGGCUGCCCGCCGUACGAAGUCGUCGCCCAGACAUACUUCGCCAGCGCCACCAUGGCAUUCGGUGUCAGCUGAUGUAUUUGAACAUUGAAUCUACGCAGGACUUCGCCAACAAACCGGUGGGCAGGCAAGCGGAGACCGGCGGCGAAGAACGCCUCGAAAACGACCAACUCACCCUCCGGCUCGGGGACUUCCUCCGUCCCUGGAGCACGAGCAACUCCGCCGCCAAAGUAGCCCAACCGCUGCAUAUCUUCAACGCGGGCUGACAUCAUCCGUGACACACCAAAAUCAACAGAGUCGCCGGCGCGCAACUCCUCCACCAUCACGCUACUCAAUGUCUCCUCAGACGAGGCGGCGGCCGGCGGCGUGGUGUCGGAGGAAGAAGAAGAGGACGGCAUUGCUACGUACCGUCGGCGGCGGCGGGCGGUUUGCUUCACUCGAGCCAGAACUCCGGCGAGCAAAAGGAGCAGCGGAAGAAGAAGAGCAGCAAGACGGCGGGAGGCUAGGGUUUUUACGGAGCGCGGAAGGCAAAGUUCAAACAGCGCCGACCCUCGCCCCCUUUUAUAGGCAGAGCGCGGCUCUUCGGGAAACCCGCAAUCCGAAAGGGCGCGGCGCUUCGGGAAACCCGCAAUCCAACAGUACGCCGUCCAUCAACGGUCACAUCAAAAACCCCUGCGGAACCACUUCGAGCGAGGGCAGCGUCUCCGCCAUCUAGCGACAUCUUCGGCACCAGGUGACUCUGUCGAACUGGUCCCUCGGAGGGCAAAUGUUGGGGCGAAGGCAAAGACGCAACCCUUCGCUCGAAGCCUCCGCCGCGGUCGCUGGUCUGACAAAGACAAAGCGGGCAGGGACACCCUUCGCUUCAUUCAGCACCAGACGAAGGCCUGCGGUGACGUCUCCCCGCAGCGCGGCCUCGUCCUGCUCUAAGGCCCACGCGUGAUCUGGCCCAUUGUAACGGGCCCCGCGUGGCCGCCUUUGUGUUACGGGCCCAGCUUGUAAAGGCAUUCUUGUAAUUACAGCUUGUAACCCUGCUUUAUGGGAAUAUUCUGGGGAUAAACUAGGUGUCUGAGGGCACAUGCGUCCUUAACACAAGGUGCUGGGCACUCAGAUACCUAUAAAUACCCCCGCAUAGUGCCCGUGAGAGGCUAGAUCAACAGAGCUAUUGCCCCCGUGCACGUAACCCUGUUGUCACCACCGCUCACCCUUGUUGGCCUCCUUGCUGCUGAGAGCAAGUUCCAACAGAGUUCAUAUGAUGUCUUCUUGAGGAUUCGGUGUAGAUACAAUCGGUUGAUGGCGUAGCAAGCGGUGUUGACCGCCUCGGCCCAAAACCAAUCCGAAGUCUUGUACUCAUCAAGCAUGGUUCUUGCCAUGUCCAAUAGAAUUCGAUUCUUCCUCUCCACUACACCAUUUUGUUGUGGGGUGUAGGGAGAAGAGAACUCAUGCUUGAUGCCCUCCUCCUCAAGGAAGCCUUCAAUUUGAGAGUUCUUGAACUCCAUCCCAUUGUCGCUUCUAAUCUUUUUGAUCCUUAAGCCGAACUCAUUUUGAGCCCGUCUCAAGAAUCCCUUUAAGGUCUCUUGGGUAUGAGAUUUUUCCUGUACAAAGAACACCCAACUGAAGCGAGAAAAGUCAUCCACAAUAACUAGACAGUACUUACUCCCGUCGAUGCUUAUGUAAGCAAUCGGGCCGAAUAGGUCCAUGUGUAGGAGCUCGAGUGGCCUGUUGGUCGUCAUGAUGUUCUUAUGUGGAUGAUGAACACCGACUUGCUUUCCUGCCUGACAUGCGCUACAAAUCCUGUCUUUCUCAAAAUGAACAUCUGUUAGUCCCAAAAUGUGUUCUCCCUUUAGAAGCUUGUGAAGAUUCUUCAUUCCAACAUGUGCUAGUCGGCGAUGCCAGAGCCAGCCCAUGUUAGUCUUUGCAAUUAAGCAUGUGUCGAGUUCAGCUCUAUCAAAAUCUACUAAGUAUAGCUGACCCUCUAACACUCCCUUAAAUGCUAUUGAAUCAUCACUUCUUCUAAAGACAGUGACACCUACAUCCGUAAAAAGACAGUUGUAACCCAUUUUACAUAAUUGCGAAACUAAAAGCAAGUUGUAAUCUAAAGAGUCUACAAGAAAAACAUUGGAAAUGGAAUGGUCAGGUGAUAUAGCAAUUUUACCCAAUCCUUUGACCAAACCUUGAUUUCCAUCCCCGAAUGUGAUAGCUCGUUGGGGAUCUUGGUUUUUCUCAUAGGAGGAGAACAUCUUCUUCUCCCCGGUCAUGUGGUUUGUGCACCCGCUAUCAAUGAUCCAACUUGAGCCCCCGGAUGCAUAAACCUACAAAAUAAGUUUAGUUCUUGAUUUUAGGUACCCAAAUGGUUUUGGGUCCUUUGACAUUAGAUACAAGAACUUUGGGUACCCAAACACAAGUCUUUGACCCCUUGUGUUUGCCCCCAACAUAUUUGGCAACUACCUUGCCAGAUUUGUUAGUUAAAACAUAGGAUGCAUCAAAAGUUUUAAAUGAAAUUUUAGAAUCAUUUGAUGCAAUUGGAGUUUUCUUCUUAGGCAAUUUAGCACGGGUUGAUUGCCUAGAACUAGAUGUCUCACCCUUAUACAUAAAAGCAUGAUUAGGGCCAGAGUGAGACUUCCUAGAAGGAAUUCUCCUAAUUUUGCUCUCAGGAUAACCGGCAGGGUACAAAAUGUAACCCUCGUUAUCCUGAGGCAUGGGAGCCUUGCCCUUAACAAAGUUUGACAAUCUUUUAGGAGGGGCAUUAAGUUUGACAUUGUUUCCCUUUUGGAAGCCAAUGCCAUCCUUGAUGCCAGGGCGUCUCCCAUUAUAGAGCAUGCUUCUAGCAAAUUUAAAAUUUUCAUUUUCUAAGUCAUGCUCGGCAAUUUUAGCAUCUAAUUUUGCUAUAUGAUCAUUUUGUUGUUUAAUUAAAGCCAUAUGAUCAUGAAUAGCAUCAAUGUUAAUAUCUCUACAUCUAGUGCAAAUAGUGACAUGUUCAAUGGUAGAUGUAGAGGGUUUGCAAGAAUUAAGUUCAACAAUCUUAGCACGUAAAAUAUCAUUGUUAUCUCAAAGAUUGGAAAUGGAAGCAUUGCAAACAUCUAUUUCUUUAGCCUUAGCAAUUAAUUUUUCAUUUUCAAUCUUAAGGCUAGCAAGAGAGACAUUCAAUUCUUCAAUCUUAGCAAGCAAGUUAACAUUAUCAUCUCUAAGAUUGGGAAUUGAAACUUCACAAACAUUUGAAUCAACCUUAGCAAUUAAAUUAGCAUUCUCAUUUCUAAGGUUGGUAAUAACAUCAUGGCAAGUGCUUAGCUCACUAGAUAGUUUUUCACAUUUUUCUACUUCUAGAGCGUAAGCAUUUUUAACCUUUACGUGCUUCUUAUUUUCCUUAAUUAGGAAGUCCUCUUGGUUGUCCAAGAGUUCAUCCUUCUCAUGGAUAGCACUAAUUAAUUCAUUCAAUUUUUCUUUUUGUUGCAUGUUAAGGUUGGCAAACAAGAUGCGCAAAUUAUCCUCCUCAUCACUAGCAUUAUCCUCAUCACUAGAGGUUUCAUAUUUAGUGGAGGAUUUUGAUUUUACCUUCUUCCUUUUGCCGUCUUUUGCCAUGAGGCCCUUGGUGACGGCGAUGUUGGCGGCGUCCUCGUCGGAGGAGGAGUCGGAGUAGCUCUCCUCGGAGUCCCACUCGCGGCACACAUGGGCAUCGCCGCCCCUCUUCUUGUGGUACCUCUUCUUUUCUCUCCUCUUGCCCUUCUUGUCGUUAUCCCUGUCACUGUCACUAGAUAGCGGACAUUUAGCAAUGAAAUGACUGGGCUUACCACAUUUGUAGCACACCUUCUUGGAACGGGGCUUGUAAUCUUUCCCCUUCCUUUGUUUGAGGAUCUGGCGGAAGCUCUUGAUGAUGAGUGUCAUUUCCUCAUUGUCGAGUUUAGAGGCGUCGAUGGGUUGUCUACUUGAUGUAGACUCCUCCUUCUUCUCCUCCGUCGCCUUGAAUGCGACCGGUUGUGCUUCGGACGUGGAGGGGCCAUCUAGCUCGAUAAUUUUCUUUGAGCCUUUUAUCAUUAACUCAAAGCUCACAAAAUUACCUAUUACUUCCUCGGGAGAAAUUAGUGUAUAUCUAGGAUUACCUCGAAUUAAUUGAACUUGCGUAGGAUUAAGAAAAACGAGGGAUCUUAGAAUAACCUUAACCAUCUCAUGGUCAUCCCAUUUGGUGCUCCCGAGGUUGCGCACUUGGUUCACCAAGGUUUUCAAGCGGUUGUACAUGGCUUGAGGGUCCUCGCCUUGGUUGAGUCGGAACCGACCGAGCUCCCCCUCGAUUGUCUCCCGCUUGGUGAUUUUGGUCACCUCAUCUCCUUCGUGCGCGGUCUUGAGUACGUCCCAAAUCUCCUUGGCGCUUUUUAACCCUUGCACCUUGUUAUACUCCUCCCGACUAAGAGAGGUGAGGAGUAUAGUGGUGGCUUGAGAGUUGAAGUGUCGGAUUUGGGCGACCUCGUCCGAAUCAUAGUCUUCAUCCCCCGGUGAUGGUACCUGUACUCCAAUCUCAACAACAUCCCAAAUGCUAGUGUGGAGUGAGGUUAGAUGAUGCCUCAUUUUAUCACUCCACAUAUUAUAAUCUUCACCAUCAAACAUGGGUGGUUUGCCUAAUGGGACGGAAAGUAAUGGAGUACGUUUGGAAAUGCGAGGAUAACGUAGGGGAAUCUUACUAAACUUCUUGCGCUCAUGGCGCUUAGAAGUUACGGAAGGUGUGUUAGAGCCGAAGGUGGAUGGCGACGAAGAGUCAGUCUCAUAGUAGACCACCUUCCUCAUCUUCUUCUUGUCACCGCUCUGACCCGACUUGUUGUGUGAAGGGGAUCCCUUUACCUUGUUGGCGGACUCCCCGGAUGGAGCCUUCCCAUGGCUUGUAGCGGGCUUCUCGCCGGUCAUCAUCUCCUUCUUGGCGUGAUCUCCCGACAUCACUUCGAGCGGUUAAUCUCUAAUGAAGCACCAGGCUCUAAUACCAAUUGAAAGUUGCCUAGAGGGGGGUGAAUAGGGCGAAUCUGAAUUUUAUAAACUUAAGCACAACUACAAGCCGGGUUAGCGUUAGAAAUAUGAACGAGUCCGAGAGAGAGGGUGAAAAACAAAUCGUGGGCAAAUAAAGAGUGAGACACGAUGAUUUGUUUUUCCGAGGCUCGGUUCUUGCAAACCUACUCCCCGUUGAGGUGGUCACAAAGACCGGGUCUCUUUCAACCCUUUCCCUCUCUCAAAUGGUCACCUAGACCGAGUGAGCUUCUCUUCUCAAUCAAACGGGACACAAAGUCCACGCAAGGACCACCACACAAUUGGUGUCUCUUGCCUCGGUUACAAUUGAGUAUGUCACAAGAAGAGUGAGAAAGAAAAAGAAGCAAUCCAAGCGCAAGAGCUCAAAUGAACACAACAAAUCUCUCUCUCUAAUCACUAAAGCUUUGUGUGGAGUUGGGAGAGGAUUUGAUCUCUUUGGUGUGUCUUGUAUUGAAUGCUAUAGCUCUUGUAAGGUGUAGAAGUGUAGAAACUUGGAUGCCAUUGAAUGUGGGGUGGUUGGGGUAUUUAUAGCCCCAACCACCAAAAAUGGACGUUGGAAGACUGCUGUCGCAUGGCGCACCGGACAGUCCGGUGCGCCAGCCACGUCAGCCAGCCGUUGGGGUUUAACCGUUGGAGCUCUGACUUGUGGGGCCUCUGGGCUGUCCAGUGGUGCACCGGACAGGUCCUGUAGACUGUCCAGUGCGCCAACUGCGUGUGCUCUAACUCUGGCGCGCACUAUAGCGCAUUGAAUGCGGUUGCAGUCGACCGUUGCUCGUGAAGUAGCCGUUGCUUCGCUGGCACACCGGACAGUCCGGUGAAUUAUAGCGGAGCGCCCUCUGAAUUUUCCCGAAGGUGGCAAGUUCAGCUUCGAGUUCCCUGGUGCACCGGACACUGUCCGGUGGCACACCGGACAGUCCGGUGCGCCAGACUAGGGUGCCUUUUGGGUUGUCCUUUGCUCUCUUUGUUUGAACCCUUUCUUGGUCUUUUCAUUGGCUUAUUGUGAACCUUUGGCACCUGUAGAACUUAUAGACUAGAGCAAACUAGUUAGUCCAAUUAUUUGUGUUGGUCAAUUCAACCACCAAAAUCAAUUAGGAAAAAGGUGUAAGCCUAAUUCCCUUUCACCUUCUAAGUGCCAUGAGCGCAAGAAGUAUAGUAAGAUGCCCCUACGCUAUCCUCGUAUUUCAAAGCGCGCUCCAUUACUUUCCGUUCUGUGACGGAACCUCCCAAGUAAUUAGGCCCACCUACAGUUGUCCUUGUCCAACGGACCUCAGACAACACUGUAGGUGCCCCUGAACUACUUGACAAGUUCGGUAUCUUCUUUCUUACCUUUCCAGGAACGUUUCACCCGUCUUGUAGACAUUACAGCACAUCGGAGAUAUAGAAAUGCGGAAGCGAUUACAUAAACUUACAUUUAUUUAGAAAGUAAGAUCAAGUUACUUAUUACAGACCAGAGUUAUCCUAGGAGUGCAGAGUAAUAUUAUUACACAUACCAAGGGAGACAGAAAACUCCUCCCGAUAAGUUCUUAAACAAAAGUCCUAAUGGAGGAUCCUUUCCUCUCGCAGCUUCACUCUUGUUUUUCUUCCUUGGGAACCACCUUGGUACAGAAGCAACAGAAAUCUGCUACUUCUUCACCUAAAAACAACGAAGGGAUAAACCCUGAGUAUGGAAUUACUCAGCAAGUCUUACCCGACUAAGGAAAACACUCUCAAGGGUAUGCUGGAUAAAUAGGAAUCAAGGAGAGGCUUUAGCAAGAAUCAACUUAGAUACUUUUGCAGAAAUAGCUUAUUAAAGUGAGUCCUUACUUUCAAUAUUUUAACGCCAGAUUGAAUAUUAAUAGACACUGUUUGCAUCUAGUCUAAUUUCAUCAUCUUAUCAAUACAACAUCCUUUUUAUUCAUAAUGUUCACAUCUUGACUUAGGUUGUAGGGAAGUGACCAAGUCUUCAUAACCGCGAAGGUACGGCAAUCCGAAUCGAUUACACUCAGCUGAGGAUCUCCAAUCACAGGACAUAUGUAGCACUUAACCCUUGCAUAUGUCAACCCGCCACCGGGGUUCUUAAGACCAGAUCAGGUUCACGCAAACCGAGAGCACAGAUACACCACCGUCCAGCCUCUUGCCACGGAGGGUACACGCUACUCUCGCCACCGCUCCACGCCCAUUUCGUGUUAUCUUAUUCUGGCCUUAGUCUACCCGAGGCAAGGCUUACCCAUGAUGUAACACUCCGGGUUCCACAAACACCCCGGAAUGCUACUAAACAACACUUCUGACAUCUAUAUAUAAAAUUUCGGCAGCAUCCCCUUUGCAAAAUUGCAUAAAUGAGGGGGGGCAACAAUGUAUAAACAUAUAUCAUGACAAAAACAUACUAAGUAUUAUUAAUCGGCUAGCAAAGAGAAGUUAAACAUACGACUUGAACUGAAUUAACUAGUGCGCCUGGGCAGCGUUAUUGUGAGAGUGAAAGUGGACGUGCUGCUACUCCCCUCAUUCCCAACAUGUAUCAAGUACCUGCAUUGAGUAAUGCAAGAGUGAGAUGACACAUCUCAUCAAGUAAUAAUAUCAAACUGUUUAACCACAUAAGAACAUUGUUUUACCACCACUUGAUUCCACAACUUUCUUAUUACGAAGGUGCAGCACAUAUACAACGUACAACACACCUAGUCACCACACCUCACGGGUAGAAACCACAAUAGUAACAUAGUAAUGUCACACUUCAUAUAUACCUCAUGAGUGCAAAUGUCUGCAAAUGCAAGGAUGACUUCUGCCUUCAUACCUCUAAGGAUAUGAAGCCGCAUCGUACCCCUCCUCGGGCAACGUACGAUGCUAAAAAUGUACCGGUACGGUAGGACCAUAAGAUCACGACAUAACUUCAAAAUGCAAGAUGGAUGAUGCGAUGUGCAUGUCAUACCUACAACACUUCAUAUAACAUGAUUCUAAAAGAUACUUCAACUUCAUCCAAGAUGGGAAUCAACCACAUAUAUCAUUACCAAAUUAUGAUCAUCCACAAUAUUAGACAAUUGAGAAUUAAUACUUCCAAACAAAUAAACUUCAUCAUAGAAUCCAAUGAUUAACAUAAUUGAAACUUUUGCAUACUCAAUGACAGGGAAUAGGAUGCAAACCAAACGGUAGCAACCACCACUGUAUUUACUUGCCUUUACCGGAAGUUCGGGCAAAUCCCUAAGUACGAUCCGGAAGUCCACCACCUGUUUUUUACACCCAACUUAGUGCACCAAUUUCACAUAAUCAGACUCAUAAGCGACGCCGCAACUACGCACAAACUCAAACCCCGCCGCGGGUUACAUCUCUCCCUACACCCACCAAACUGCAGCGGCGCUGCUUAAUAAUUUCAUAACUUUAAAAUUAUGACAGCAGUGGAAACAAACAAAAACUCCAGAGGCAUCUACAUAAAAUUCCCCAUAAGUUUUGUAUACAAUUUAUAGUUAAAUUCCAAUAUCUAAUUAGCCCAAAACAGUCCACAAGAUGAACCCUGUAAUCUGUUUUUCUUUGUCUUUUGGACAGCGACAUACCCGGAUUCAAACAGCGAUAUCUUUUAAAAUAUAAUUCCAAAUCAAGCGCAUAAGUACUCAUUGGAAAGAUAAGACAAAUCCCUACAUGAUUAUCAUACUGGUUAACACUAAUUACCCACGAAAAAUUCCCAGAAACUGCUAAUACCACUGCUGUUCACCCACCUGAAAAAUCUGUUUUUUUUUACAGCAACAUAACCGGAUUCAAACAACGAUAUCUCCUAAAAUAUAACUCCGAAUCGAGCGUAUAAGUACUUGUUGGAAAGAUAACAUAAAGCCCUACAUGAUUCUCAUACUGAUUAACACUAAUUACUCCCGAAAAAUCCCCAGAAACUGCUAAUACUGCUGCUGUUCAUCCCCCUGAAAAUCUGUUUUUUUGGACAGCCACCUACCCGGUUUCAAACGGUGAUAACUUUUAAUUUAUAACUCCAAAUUGAGCGCAUAAAUACUCGUUGGAAAGUUAUGCCAAAGUUCUACAUGAUUCCCAAACUGAUUCCCCUUAAUUCUCCACGAAAAAUGCCCAGAAAUCACUAAUUCUGCUGCUGUUCGUCCACCCCCUUAAAAUUCUGGACAGCCCUUCUACCAAAUCGCACACGCAACAUCUAAACAAUUGGAUUGCCGCAUAAAAUGAACAAGAGAUAAACACAAAAAUCACCUUGGGUUCUCCCCCUUUUCUUCCUCCCUUCCUCCCUUCACCGAAAACCGUUGAAGAUUUGCACCACGCGACGGAGAUCCGAGCGGCAACGAAUGGCACCAUGGGAGGAGGGGAUGGGGGGCGGCUAGGGUUUGAUGUGUGGCUGCAAGUGCUUGAGAAAGGAGGAGAUGGGAGGGGGGGCGGCCAAGAGGGUAGGGGAAUGGGGGGGGGCGGCUGCACAAAGAAUGGGGGGGUUAGGGGGAGGGUGGCUAGGGUUAUGGGGGUUAGUGGGCCGAAACAAGAUUUGCGGCCCAACACGACCACGCGACGGCUCCCGACCCCGAUGCAAGCGCCUAACCAAAGAAAUUCUACUGCCCUACUGGUGAAUGUUUUUCCUCAAAUUCCAAAUUCCCAAAACGCAACCACCGAAAGAGAGAAAAAAAAACAAAAAGAAUACCCUCCAACUUCUCUUCUUCGCAAACCGGGUGUCACACUCUACCCCCCUUAAAAAGAAUUCGACCUCGAAUUCCGACGCUUCUAUCGGAACAACAAAAGAAAGAUUAAUGAAUCAACAAAACUCACACAUAAAGAAAAGUUCGAGUACUUCUGCUGCAUCAGCUCCUCAAGCUCCUAGGAUUCUAAGAUACGCAGCAGACGACACUCUAGAGUCUGCUCUUGCUACACAGGAAUCGGCUCUAGCUCGAUUUGAUGGUCUGGAUUCCGCAAAUACUUCCUCAACAUAAAGACAUGGAAUACUUGGUGUACUCUGAUCAUAGAUUCCGACAAUUACAUGUGCUAAGCCCAGCUACCAACUCGGCCAAGAUAGUAGACGGUCCUAUAUACCUCGGACCAAACUUUCCUGACACCAAAUCAAUCAUUGACAUAUGCAAGUACUUCAAGGAAUGUAUAUAUGAAUGCAAGGCAUAUAAUGUUCCUAUAGCCUAAACCAAACUUAGCCAAACAAGAGCAACUUCAAGAGAGCAACUUAAUGCUUGCAUAUUUCUAGAUAGCAGCACAGCGAUUAAUUGUUUUGCUCCUAACUCACAAAAUAUGCAUCGAAAAUUUAGUAAACUAGGACUUUAUGGAAAGCUUAUAAAGUCCCCUAUACCCUUGGUAUUAACAUCACAACAAGAUUUGACACUUAGAAAGGUCAAACAAUGCUAAACGUAAAUUCUGUCCAGACUUGGACAUAAUUCAACUACUCAAUUCAAAAAUCCAUAAUUGGAGUCUCAAUCAUCCAAUUCAGGUGCUCCCAGACUUUUUAGAAAGCUAGUAGAAUUGUCUAUAAUUCAUUUAUAAACAUAUCAAGUUAAUUCAAUGCAUAUUAAGGUCAAAAGACACGAGAAAGGCUCUGCUGUCCAAAUUUGGACAGAUUCAGAGAUCACACUUAAAACAGCUGUAACUUAACUUAUAGAUCUCCAAAAAAAUUCUUAACUUAUAGAUCUCCAAAAAAAUUAAUCCAAAAUUUGUUGAAACUAUUAAGAAAAGUACUACAACUUCUUUAUAAUUUAUAAUAAGUUAUUCGAAGUUUAAAUUGGGCAAACAAGGUCAGCUUCGAAAUCUGUACAGAAUCUGCACAGAUUUUAAGACUGGACUUGAUAAAAUCAUAACUCCCAAACUACUAGACCUAUGGUCAUGAAAUUUUUACACAAAUAAGAUAAAGAAGUUGGCUACAACUUUUAUAUAUAACAUCUCUAUAGAAAAGAUGGUUUACUUCAUUGUACUAGCUGCAUAACUAAAACUGGUCAUGCAGUCCCAAUAGCAAGCAAUAGAUUUUAUCAGGUUCAUUACUCUUCUAAGAUUAAGCGUUCAUUGAAAGAUUAAUAACUUUAGGUUCUUCAUUACGAGACACCUAUAACAAAUAUAAGUAUAGAAGCAAUAUGAUAACUUUUUAAAUCAUUUAAGCCUAAUCUCACAUCAUGCAAACAAGAAUCAAUUUAAGCAUGUUAUGUCUGCCCACAUAUUCAUCCAAGCACAUUCUAUACAUGAUAUCAUAACUCCCUGCAGCUAACAAAAUUUUGCAAAUAUAAACUCAUUGAAAAGAUUAUAACAUUCUCUAGAACUUUUAUUAUAAUGAGUGUCUCGGAAUUGGUUUCCAAACUGAUAAAACAAUGCAACUCUUUUGUUGCAAAACUGAUAGGAUUGAAACAAUGGACAACUAAAAUUCAAAAACCUAUAACUCCUGCUAUACUCAACUUAAACUACAACGAACACGCGUUGGAAAAGUUUUGAAAAUUGUCCACGACUUUUGCAAUAAAGUUGCACCCAAAUUAAUUCUUAUAGCCCUCAACUCUGCAUGACCUACAGCUAAACUCAGCCUGAGAUACUACACAUUAGAGAUUCGACUUAUAUCCAGGCAACCACCUCUCCAAAUCUAUUUAACAGACAGUUACAAGUAAAUACCCAUUAAAAAGGUACUGAAAAGACCUACAAGUUUUGCUUAAAGAGAAUUCGCAAAUUUGUGCUCUGCAACUAUCGAAACGCGGUCGAUUUAUUGGUGAUUAUAACGACGCCUAAAGUUCAGACACAACAGUGCAACAACUUCAGAGCAACCUAACUCCAAUUAUAUGCAAUGAGAAUUAGAAACCCAUACUCUUUGAAAAGAUCAUGAAAUUACUAAAACUUUCAUAAUCCACAAAGACCAAAUUAUACCGUCUUCAAGGUCUACUCUUCCGUACAAAAUUAAAGACUCACUCUGCUAGAGACACCAACAAAGAUGUUUUAAGAAACCCAUAUCUCUUAAAUGUUUAGACCAAACAUGGUGAUUAAGCAUCCUAUGGAAAGAUGAAGAAACAUACUACAAAACAUUCUAGAUAAGUGAAGCCUGAUUCAGCCUCCAACUAAUUUAAAAUGCCUCCCGAAACCAAACAACACAUUAUCAACAAUAAAAAAACAAUAUAAAAUGAAACCCAAGUCAUAGGCAGGUGCAAUCAACACUAGGAUUUUUGAGAGCACCUAGAGGGGGGGGGUGAAUAGGUGAUCCUGUAAAACUUAAGCUUAUAGCCACAAAAACUUGUUAAGUGUUAGCACAAUAAAUGCCAAGUGGCUAGAAAGGAGUCUCAACAAAACACAAUACCACAAGAGAUCAAUCACAGAGAUGACACAGUGGUUUAUCCCGUGGUUCGGCCAAGACCAACGCUUGCCUACUCCACGUUGUGGCGUCCCAACGGACGAGGGUUGCACUCAACCCCUCUCAAGUGGUCCAAAGACCCACUUGAAUACCACGGUGUUUUGCUUGCUUUUUCUCAAUCCCGUUUGCGAGGAAUCUCCACAACUUGGAGCCUCUCGCCCUUACAAUUGAAGUUCACAAAGAACACAGAGCAAAGGGGGAAUGAGCAAUGCACACAAGACUUCAAAAGAUCAGAGCAACAACACGCACACAAGUCGCAACAAGAGCUCGCAACACAACUCAAAGAGUUCGCAACUCAACAAGAGCUCUAGAUGCUAUCACAAAUGAAACGAAUGCGUGAGAUCGAUGUCUUGGUGCUUAGGAAUGUUGUAGGAAUGCUUGGUGUCCUCCUCCAUGCGCCUAGGGGUCCCUUUUAUAGCCCCAAGGCAGCUAGGAGCCGUUGAGAGCAAUUCUGGAAGGCUGAUCUUGCCUUCUGUCGUCGGGUGCACCAGACAGUCCGGUGCACACCGGACAUUGUCCGGUGCCCGAUCUCCUUCCUAAAAUGGCACAGCCGACCGUUGCAGAUCUGGGAGCCGUUGGCGCACCGGACAUGUCCGGUGCACACCGGACAGUCCGGUGCCCCCUUCCGACCGUUGGCUCGGCCACGUGUCGCGCGCGGAUUCCGCGGCCGACCGUUGGCCCGGCCGACCGUUGGCUCACCGGACAGUCCGGUGCACACCGGACAGUCCGGUGAAUUUUAGCCGUACGCCAUGAGCAAAUUCCUGAGAGCGGCCUCUUCGGCCGAGGCAGCCUGGCGCACCGGACACUGUCCGGUGCACCACCGGACAGUCCGGUGCUCCAGACCGAAGCAGCCUUCUGGCUGUACACAGCCAAUUUUUUCUUUUCUAUUUCCAAUACUUAGACAAGUAUAUUAGUACACAAAACCAAUGUACUAAGACUUAGAAACAUACCUUUGCUCUUGAUUUGCACUUUAUUCAUCCAUGGCAUAAAUUCACAUUUAAGCACUCGAGUUGGCACUCAAUCAUCAAAAUACUUAGAAAUGGCCCAAGGGCACAUUUCCCUUUCAAUCUCCCCCUUUUUGGUGAUUUAUGCCAACACAACAUAAAGCAACUAGAACAAGUGCAAAAUCACUUCAAAUAAAACUCAAAUUGUUUUGAUUCAAUUUUGACAUAUAUGGAUCACUCUAUGCCACCACUUGGUUUGUUUUUGCAAAUCCAACUCAAAUUUCUAUCUCUAAGUCACAGAGAGGUUUUCCAAAGAAAAUUGAUUCAAGAUUCCAAAAACUCCCCCUUUUUCCCAUAAUCAACACUUCUCCCCACAAGAGGCCAACUUUUGACAAAAGAGACAAUGCAAGAGUUUUGACAAACCAAAAGCUCUAUCCUACUGUUUUCAAAGUUUCUCAAGUGGUAGCUGAUCCAUUUAUUGCUUUGGCCUUUAUUUUCUCCCCCUUUGGCAUCAAGCACCAAAACGGGAUCAAUCUUGGCCCUUUAACCCCAUUUCCUCACCAAAAUCUUCAAUUAAGAGCAAAUAGGCAAUAAGAGUUUAAAGAUGAACUUGGAAAAGUUACUCUUUUCAUCGGAGUGCAGUGGAAGUCUUGCAUGGUCCAAGUCCACCUUUUCCCUUUCAAUCCUUCUUUGAGACUAAAGCAUCAAACUCAAGCACAGGGUUAGUCUCAAAGGGUCAAGUUGUAGCACAGCUCCCCCUAAAUAUGUGCUUCACUUGCAAACAGGACUUGCGAGGUCCAAGGAGUGUUUGUACAACUUGAGCACCACAAUAAGCAACAAAAUGCAGAAUGAACAUGAUCAAAGGCAUAAACACAUGUAUGCUACAAUUCAAUCCAAGUUCCGCGAAUCUAAGACAUUAAGCUCACUACGCAACCUACAAAAGGUCUUCUCAUCUAGAGGCUUGGUAAAGAUAUCGGCUAGCUGGUUAUCGGUGCUGACAUGAAACACUUCGAUAUCUCCCUUUUGCUGGUGGUCUCCCAAAAAGUGAUGCCGGAUGUCUAUGUGCUUUGUGCGGCUGUGUUCAACAGGAUUUUCCGCCAUGCGGAUAGCACUCUCAUUAUCACAUAGGAGUGGGACUUUGCUCAGAUUGUAGCCAAAGUCCCGGAGGGUUUGCCUCAUCCAAAGUAGUUGCGCGCAACACUGUCCUGCGGCAACAUACUCGGCCUCAGCGGUGGAUAGGGCAACGGAGGUUUGUUUCUUAGAGUUCCACGACACCAGGGACCUUCCUAAGAAUUGGCACGUCCCUGAUGUACUCUUCCUAUCGACCUUACAUCCAGCAUAGUCGGAAUCUGAGUAUCCAACCAAGUCAAAGGUAGACCCUUUUGGAUACCAGAGCCCGAAGCAAGGCGUAGCAACCAAAUAUCUUAGAAUUCGCUUCACCGCCACUAAGUGACACUCCUUAGGAUCGGAUUGAAAUCUAGCACACAUGCAUACGCUAAGCAUAAUAUCCGGUCUACUAGCACAUAAAUAAAGUAAAGACCCUAUCAUUGACCGGUAUGCUUUUUGAUCAACGGACUUACCUCCUUUGUUGAGGUCGGUGUGUCCGUCGGUUCCCAUCGGAGUCUUUGCGGGCUUGGCGUCCUUCAUCCCAAACCGCUUUAGCAGAUCUUGCGUGUACUUCGUUUGGGAGAUAAAGGUGCUGUCCUUGAGUUGCUUCACUUGGAACCCAAGGAAGUAGUUCAACUCGCCCAUCAUCGACAUCUCGAAUUUCUGCGUCAUCACCCUGUUAAACUCUUCACAAGACUUUUGGUUAGUAGAACCAAAUAUUAUGUCAUCGCAUAAAUUUGGCACACAAACAAAUCACCAUCACAUGUCUUUGUGAAAAGAGUUGGAUCGGCUUUCCCAACCUUGAAAGCAUUAACAAUUAGAAAGUCUCUAAGACAUUCAUACCAUGCUCUUGGGGCUUGCUUAAGUCCAUAGAGCGCCUUAGAGAGCUUACACACGUGGUCGGGGUACCGUUCAUCCUUGAAGCCAGGGGGUUGCUCCACGUACACCUCCUCCUUAAUCGGCCCAUUGAGGAAAGCGCUCUUCACGUCCAUUUGGUACAACCUGAAAGAAUGGUGAGCGGCAUAUGCUAGCAAGAUACGAAUUGAUUCUAGCCUAGCCACAGGAGCAAACGUCUCCUCAAAGUCCAAACCUGCGACUUGGGCAUAACCUUUUGCCACAAGUCGAGCCUUGUUCCUCGUCACCACCCCGUGCUCGUCCUGUUUGUUGCGGAACACCCACUUGGUUCCCACAACAUUUUGCUUGAGACGAGGUACCAGUGUCCAAACUUCAUUGCGCUUGAAGUUGUUGAGUUCCUCCUGCAUGGCCAAUACCCAAUCCGGAUCUAGCAAGGCCUCCUCUACCCUGAAAGGCUCAAUAGAAGAGACAAAGGAGUAAUGCUCACAAAAAUUAACUAAUCGAGAUCGAGUUGUUACUCCCUUGCUAAUAUCACCCAGAAUUUGGUCGACGGGAUGAUCCCUUUGAAUCACCGCUCGAACUUGGGUUGGAGGUGCCGGUUGCGCUUCUUCCUCCAUCACGUGAUCAUCUUGUGCUCCCCCUUGAUCACACGCCUCCUGUUGAUGAACCUGUUCAUCGUCUUGAGUUGGGGGAUGCACCGUUGUUGAGGAAGAAGGUUGAUCUCGUUCAUCAUGUUCCUGUGGCCGCACUUCUCCAAUCGCCAUGGUUCGUAUAGCGGCCGUCGGAACAUCUUCUUCAUCUACAUCAUCACAAUCAACAAUUUGCUCUCUUGGAGAGCCAUUAGUCUCAUCAAAUACAACGUCGCUAGAGACUUCAACCAAACCCGAUGAUUUGUUGAAGACUCUAUACGUCUUUGUAUUUGAGUCAUAACCUAACAAAAACCCUUCUACAGCUUUGGGAGCAAACUUAGAAUUUCUACCCUUCUUCACUAGAAUGUAGCAUUUGCUCCCAAAUACACGAAAGUAAGAUACAUUGGGUUUGUUACCGAUUAGAAGCUCAUAGGACGUCUUCUUGAGGAGGCGGUGAAGGUAGACCCUGUUGAUGGCGUGACAAGCCGUGUUCACGGCUUCCGACCAAAAGCACUCGGGGGGUCUUGAACUCUCCAAGCAUUGUCCUCGCCAUAUCAAUGAGUGUCCUGUUUUUCCUCUCUACCACCCCAUUUUGCUGUGGUGUGUAGGGAGCGGAGAACUCGUGCUUGAUCCCCUCCUCCUCAAGAAACUCCUCUACUUGAAGGUUCUUGAACUCGGACCCGUUGUCGCUCCUUAUCUUCUUCACCUUGAGCUCAAACUCAUUUUGAGCUCUCCUGAGGAAGCGCUUGAGGGUCCCUUGGGUUUCAGACUUAUCCUGCAAAAAGAAUACCCAAGUGAAGCGGGAAAAAUCAUCAACAAUAACUAAACCAUACUUACUUCCUCCUAUGCUUAGAUAGGCGACGGGUCCGAAGAGGUCCAUAUGCAGCAGCUCCAGUGGUCUUGACGUGGUCAUCACAUUCUUGCUGUGGUGUGUUCCUCCCACUUGUUUACCUGCUUGACAAGCUGCACAAGGUCUAUCUUUUUCGAAAUGAACAUUGGUUAGCCCUAUCACGUGUUCUCCCUUUAGAAGCUUGUGGAGGUUCUUCAUCCCCACAUGUGCUAAGCGGCGAUGCCACAACCAGCCCAUGCAAGUCUUAGCCAUUAAGCAUGCAUCUAGACCGGCCUCUUCUUUUGCAAAAUCAACUAAAUAAAGUUUGCCGUCUAAUACACCCUUAAAAGCUAGUGAACCAUCACUUCUUCUAAAGACAGACACAUCUACAUUUGUAAAUAGACAGUUAUAUCCCAUAUUGCAUAAUUGACUAACUGAUAGCAAAUUAUAUCCAAGAGACUCUACUAAAAACACAUUAGAGAUAGAGUGCUCAUUAGAAAUUGCAAUUUUACCUAACCCUUUUACCUUGCCUUGAUUCCCAUCACCGAAUAUAAUUGAAUCUUGGGAAUCUUUAUUCUUGACGUAGGAGGUGAACAUCUUCUUCUCCCCCGUCAUAUGGUUUGUGCAUCCGCUAUCAAUAAUCCAGCUUGAACCCCCGGAUGCAUAAACCUGCAAGGCAAAUUUAGGCUUGGGACUUAGGUACCCAACUCUUGUUGGGUCCUACAAGGUUAGUGCAAAUAUCCUUAGGGACCCAAAUGCAAGUUUUGUCUCCCUUGCAUUUUGCCCCUAACUUCCUAGCAACUAUCUUCCUAUCCUUUCUACAAAUAGCAAAGGAAGCAUUUAGGGCAUGAUAAAUUGUAGAAGGUCCAUGAACUUUCUUAUGAGCAUUAACAACAUUUCUCCUAGGCAUAUUGUGAAUAACAGCCUUUCUAUCAUGCACAACAUGAGAACUAGAAGCAGUCAUAGCAUAAGAAUCAUAAGCAUGUGAAUCAAAAGCAUCAUAACUUCUAAAAGCAUUUCUAGAAUUUUUCCUAUCAUGAUACAAAAAGGCAUGGUUCUUUUUAGCACUAGUAGCCAUAGGGGCCUUCCCUUUCUCCUUAGCGGGAAUGGGAGCCUUAUGGCUUGUUAAGUUCUUGUCUUCCCUUUUGAAGCCAAGUCCAUCCUUAAUUGAGGGGUGUCUACCAAUCGUGUAGGCAUCCCUUGCAAAUUUUAGCUUAUCAAAUUCGCUUUUGCUAGCCUUAAGUUGAGCAUUAAGACUAGCCACUUCAUCAUUCAAUUUAGAAAUUGAAACUAGAUGUUUACUAUAAGCAUCAACAUUAAGAUCUUUACACCUAGUGCACGUUUCAACAAUUUCUACACAAGAUGUUGAUUUACUAGCUACUUCUAGUUUAGCAUUUAAGUCAUCAUUAACACUCUUUAAAGUAGCAAUGUUUUCAUGACAAGAAGAUAAUUCACUAGAAAGCACUUCAUUUCUUUUAACUUCUAAAGCAUAGGAUUUUUGUGCCUCUACAAACUUAUCAUGUUCAUCAUACAACAAAUCCUCUUGCUUUUCUAAAAGCCUAUCCUUUUCAUUCAAGGCAUCAAUCAAUUCAUUGAUUUUAUCAAUUUUAUUUCUAUCCAAUCCUUUGAACAAACUAGAGUAAUCUAUUUCAUCAUCACUAGACUCAUCGUCACUAGAAGAAUCAUAAGUGACAUCAUUACGAGUGAUUACCUUCUUCUCUCUUGCCAUGAGGCAAGUGUGACGCUCGUUGGGGAAGAGGGAUGACUUGUUGAAUGCAGUGGCGGCGAGUCCCUCAUUGUCGGAGUCAGACGAGGAGCAGUCCGAAUCCCACUCCUUGCCAAGAUGAGCCUCGCCCUUUGCCUUCUUAUAAUUCUUCUUCUUCUCCCUCUUGUUCCCUUGGUCCUGAUCACUAUCAUUGUCGGGACAGUUAGCAAUAAAAUGACCAAGCUUACCGCAUUUGAAGCACGAACGCUUCCCCUUGGCUUUGGUCUUGCUUGGCUGUCCCUUGCGACCUUUAAGCGCCGUCUUGAAUCUUUUGAUGAUGAGGGCCAUCUCUUCAUCAUUAAGUCCGGCCGCCUCAAUUUGUGCCACCUUGCUAGGUAGCGCCUCCUUGCUUCUUGUUGCCUUGAGAGCAAGGGGUUGAGGCUCGUUGAUCGGUCCAUUCAAGGCGUCGUCCACGUAUCUUGCCUCCUUGAUCAUCAUCCGCCCGCUUACGAAUUUUCCGAGUACCUCCUCGGGCGUCAUCUUCGUGUACCUGGGAUUCUCACGAAUAUUGUUCACGAGAUGAGGAUCAAGAACGGUAAAUGACCUUAGCAUUAGGCGGACGACGUCGUGAUCCGUCCAUCGCGUGCUUCCGUAGCUCCUUAUUUUGUUGAUAAGGAUCUUGAGCCGGUUGUAUGUUUGCGUCGGCUCCUCGCCCCUUAUCAUCGAGAAUCGUCCGAGCUCGCCCUCCACCAACUCCAUCUUGGUGAGUAAGGUGACAUCAUUCCCCUCAUGAGAGAUCUUGAGGGUGUCCCAAAUCUGCUUGGCAUUGUCCAAACCGCUCACCUUGUGAUACUCGUCCCUGCACAAAGAGGCUAGCAACACAGUAGUAGCUUGUGCAUUUUUAUGGAUCUGUUCAUUAAUAAACGAAGGACUAUCCGAGCUAUCAAAUUUCAUUCCACUUUCCACAAUCUCCCAAAUUCUUGGAUGGAGAGAAAAUAGGUGUGUACGCAUUUUGUGACUCCAAAAUCCGUAGUCCUCUCCAUCAAAGUGAGGAGGCUUGCCAAGUGGAAUGGGGAGCAAAUGAGCAUUUGAGCUGUGCGGAAUGCGCGAAUAAUCAAAAGAAAAGUUUGAGUUAACCGUCUUUUGUUUGUCGUAGUCGUCGUCCUUGUGGGAAGAAGUAGACUCGUCGCUGUCGUAGUAGACGAUCUCCUUGAUACGUCUUGUCUUCUUCUUCUUCCCAUCUUUACGUCUGUGGCCCGAGCCAGAGUCGUUGGAUUUGUCAUCUUUUGGCUCGUUGACGAAGGACUCCUUUUCCUUGUCGUUGAUCACGAUUCCCUUCCCCUUAGGAUCCAUCUCUUCGGGCGGUUAGUCCCUUUCUUGAAGAGAACGGCUCCGAUACCAAUUGAGAGCACCUAGAGGGGGGGGUGAAUAGGUGAUCCUGUAAAACUUAAGCUUAUAGCCACAAAAACUUGUUAAGUGUUAGCACAAUAAAUGCCAAGUGGCUAGAAAGGAGUCUCAACAAAACACAAUACCACAAGAGAUCAAUCACAGAGAUGACACAGUGGUUUAUCCCGUGGUUCGGCCAAGACCAACGCUUGCCUACUCCACGUUGUGGCGUCCCAACGGACGAGGGUUGCACUCAACCCCUCUCAAGUGGUCCAAAGACCCACUUGAAUACCACGGUGUUUUGCUUGCUUUUUCUCAAUCCCGUUUGCGAGGAAUCUCCACAACUUGGAGCUUCUCGCCCUUACAAUUGAAGUUCACAAAGAACACAGAGCAAAGGGGGAAUGAGCAACGCACACAAGACUUCAAAAGAUCAGAGCAACAACACGCACACAAGUCGCAACAAGAGCUCGCAACACAACUCAAAGAGUUCGCAACUCAACAAGAGCUCUAGAUGCUAUCACAAAUGAAACGAAUGCGUGAGAUCGAUGUCUUGGUGCUUAGGAAUGUUGUAGGAAUGCUUGGUGUCCUCCUCCAUGCGCCUAGGGGUCCCUUUUAUAGCCCCAAGGCAGCUAGGAGCCGUUGAGAGCAAUUCUGGAAGGCUGAUCUUGCCUUCUGUCGUCGGGUGCACCGGACAGUCCGGUGCACACCGGACAUUGUCCGGUGCCCGAUCUCCUUCCUAAAAUGGCGCAGCCGACCGUUGCAGAUCUGGGAGCCGUUGGCGCACCGGACAUGUCCGGUGCACACCGGACAGUCCGGUGCCCCCUUCCGACCGUUGGCUCGGCCACGUGUCGCGCGUGGAUUCCGCGGCCGACCGUUGGCUCACCGGACAGUCCGGUGCACACCGGACAGUCCGGUGAAUUUUAGCCGUACGCCGUCAGCAAAUUCCUGAGAGCGGCCUCUUCGGCCGAGGCAGCCUGGCACACCGGACACUGUCCGGUGCACCACCGGACAGUCCGGUGCUCCAGACCGAAGCAGCCUUCUGGCUGUACACAGCCAAUUUUUUCUUUUCUGUUUCCAAUACUUAGACAAGUAUAUUAGUACACAAAACCAAUGUACUAAGACUUAGAAACAUACCUUUGCUCUUGAUUUGCACUUUAUUCAUCCAUGGCAUAAAUUCACAUUUAAGCACUCGAGUUGGCACUCAAUCACCAAAAUACUUAGAAAUGGCCCAAGGGCACAUUUCCCUUUCAAUUUUCCACUACCAAACUGGGAUGCAACUCCACAAAGUCUUUAAAUAACACUCUACCAAAUAGGUUAGAACACUAAGCACAACAAUCAAUGAAUUCAACAACCUCGUUUGUUAAUGCCACUAAGGUCAAACAUCCAUGUAUCGACAAUGUAUGAAACACCUGACAUACCCGUCUCCAGCACUAUAAAACAUGGUUGUUAUUACACUAGAAUCCAACUACUAGAAAUCUCCAAAACUAUUCUGUUGACAUGAAGCAAAUGGUGCUCAUGUCAUAUAACAUCCUUUUCUCCUCUCAAAAGAGAUAAAAUUUGCAAUACUCAUAAAGCAAUGGAGGGAUAACAACAAGAAAAACUAAUGUACUUCUUGACACAGACUCAUGCAAAAGCUUCAUAAAUAUUACUUUCAACACUAAAAUAAUAACACGAUACUAUGCUCAACAGGAGUAAUUGGACUUCAAUAAGACAAUCCACCUAACCAAACUACCUUGAUUAACCUCACAUACAACAAUACCUCCUAUUAUUGCACUUGAACAAUUUGUACCUAGUGAUGUCAUAGGAUGAAUUCAAAGUAGUAGACAUACAUGAUCUAUCAAACCAUCAUUCAUAUAAAAAAAAAUCUCCAUCUGAUGCAACAACCACAUCAUUAUAGAGAUAGAUGACUAACAAACAUAAGCAACUUCCAGUUAAACAUUGACUUUGUUUAAGAUAAAGCGGUCCAAAUAAUAAUUCAACAAGCAUGCAUAGAGAAACUGCUCAUAAAAAAAUCAAACUGCCAUACAAUGUUGGCAAACAAAAAAAAAUAUAAAACAGGUUGUCAAAUCGCCCACAUGACUAGCCUGCAAUAACUAAAAAUUAUGCAUAGCCUUUAUGGCUAUUGAAACAAGCCAUAGAAGGAAAACAUGCACGACAUAAAAUCCACUUGAAACCACCCUAUUUAUUGUUAAAAAUAAGGUUGCACAUAAUAAAAAAAUCUAUCAGGUAGACAUGGUUGGACUUAUCAAUCUAUGUCAUCUCACAAAUUCACUCGGGUUCUACCAGUCUAAAGAUUUCAUAGACAUUACAACGUUGCCUCUGCUCUAUAGAGACAAACCAAUUUUAUACUAAGAUCAAGUUAGCAAGUAGCCACACUAGCCUAAAAAAAAGUGAGGCGCAAAGCAUUGCACCCAUGCAAAUAUUACAUUGAUUAGUUGGGUUGUAACCCAACAGUUAAUCAAACUCAACAACACCAUAAAACUACAUUAUAUAGUGUUUUCACACUACAACAAGUCGGAUUAGACCCACUAUACACAAGCUCAAAAAAAAACAAUCGGUCCUAUAAGUACAAGAACCCAAGAAUCCUUGUGGGAAAAAACAUUCACAAUCAAGCAUAUAGAAAUAUAUGAUGGUAAUAGCUCAGAGAUUUGAAAACAUUACAUCCAAAAAACAUCAUGACGAUAUAUAUAUAAAACAAGUACACUAGUAGCUUCACUUGCAUAAUAUCUUCAAUAACAACCACAUCAAGAAACCAAUAUUAAAUAGAAGUAACAUAUCAUAUCAAGCAUUACGUCGUUAACGACAUACCCCAUCAAACCAUAAAGGGAUUUGUAGUAAGGAAGUUCUAGUCAUCUAUACAAUAAAAUACUAAUAUGAAAGAUAUACGAACCCAUACCCUUCCUAUAUGUGCAAGUGUGUCAAAUUUAUCUUCAAAUUGCGUAGAAUCUAAAGCCUAUCCUCUGAUACCAACUGUAACACUCCGGGUUCCACAAACACCCCGGAAUGCUACUAAACAACACUUUUGACAUCUAUAUAUAAAAUUUCGGCAGCAUCCCCUUUGCAAAAUUGCAUAAAUGAGGGGGGCAACAAUGUAUAAACAUAUAUCAUGACAAUAACAUACUAAGUAUUAUUAAUCGGCUAGCAAAGAGAAGUUAAACAUACGACUUGAACUAAAUUAACUAGUGCGCACGACUAGUUUAAAAAAACAAACUUUCUUUGACAAUAAAUUUCAAAUUAAAUCAUGGUUGCGCCUGGGCAGCGUUAUUGUGAGAGUGAAAGUGGACGUGCUGCUACUCGCCUCAUUCCCAACAUGUAUCAAGUACCUGCAUUGAGUAAUGCAAGAGUGAGAUGACACAUCUCAUCAAGUAAUAAUAUCAAACUGUUUAACCACAUAAGAACAUUGUUUUACCACCACUUGAUUCCACAACUUUCUUAUUACGAAGGUGCAGCACGUAUACAACGUACAACACACCUAGUCACCACACCUCGCGGGUAGAAACCACAAUAGUAACAUAGUAAUGUCACACUUCAUAUAUACCUCAUGAGUGCAAAUGUCUGCAAAUGCAAGGAUGACUUCUGCCUUCAUACCUCUAAGGAUAUGAAGUCGCAUCGUACCCCUCCUCGGGCAACGUACGAUGCUAAAAAUGUACUGGUACGGUCGGACCAUAAGAUCACGACAUAACUUCAAAAUGCAAGAUGGAUGAUGCGAUGUGCAUGUCAUGCCUACAACACUUCAUAUAACAUGAUUCUAAAAGAUACUUCAACUUCAUCCAAGAUGGGAAUCAACCACAUAUAUCAUUACCAAAUUAUGAUCAUCCACAAUAUUAGACAAUUGAGAAUUAAUACUUCCAAACAAAUAAACUUCAUCAUAGAAUUCAAUGAUUAACAUAAUUGAAACUUUUGCAUACUCAAUGACAGGGAAUAGGAUGCAAACCAAACGGUAGCAACCACCACUGUAUUUACUUGCCUUUACCGGAAGUUCGGGCAAAUCCCUAAGUACGAUCCGGAAGUCCACCACCUGUUUUUUACACCCAACUUAGUGCACCAAUUUCACAUAAUCAGGCUCAUAAGCGACGCCGCAACUACGCACAAACUCAAACCCCGCCGCGGGUUACAUCUCUCCCUACACCCACCAAACUGCAGCGGCGCUGCUUAAUAAUUUCAUAACUUUAAAAUUAUGACAGCAGUGGAAACAAACAAAAACUCCAGAGGCAUCUACAUAAAAUUCCCCAUAAGUUUUGUAUACAAUUUAUAGUUAAAUUCCAAUAUCUAAUUAGCCCAAAACAGUCCACAAGAUGAACCCUGUAAUCUGUUUUUCUUUGUCUUUUUGGACAGCGACAUACCCGGAUUCAAACAGCGAUAUCUUUUAAAAUAUAAUUCCAAAUCAAGCGCAUAAGUACUCAUUGGAAAUAUAAGACAAAUCCCUACAUUAUUAUCAUACUGGUUAACACUAAUUACCCACGAAAAAUUCCCAGAAACUGCUAAUACCACUGCUGUUCACCCACCUGAAAAAUCUGUUUUUUUUGGACAGCAACAUAACCGGAUUCAAACAACGAUAUCUCCUAAAUUAUAACUCCGAAUCGAGCGCAUAAGUACUUGUUGGAAAGAUAACAUAAAGCCCUACAUGAUUCUCAUACUGAUUAACACUAAUUACUCCCGAAAAAUCCCCAGAAACAGCUAAUACUGCUGCUGUUCAUCCCCCUGAAAAUCUGUUUUUUUUUGGACAGCCACCUACCCGGUUUCAAACGGUGAUAACUUUUAAUUUAUAACUCCAAAUUGAGCGCAUAAAUACUCGUUGGAAAGGUAUGCCAAGGUUCUACAUGAUUCCCAAACUGAUUCCCCUUAAUUCUCCACGAAAAAUGCCCAGAAAUCACUAAUUCUGCUGCUGUUCGUCCACCCCCUUAAAAUUCUGGACAGCCCUUCUACCAAAUCGCACACGCAACAUCUAAACAAUUGGAUUGCCGCAUAAAAUGAACAAGAGAUAAACACAAAAAUCACCUUGGGUUCUCCCUCUUUUCUUCCUCCCUUCCUCCCUUCACCGAAAACCGUUGAAGAUUUGCACCACGCGACGGAGAUCCGAGCGGCAACGAAUGGCUCCAUGGGAGGAGGGGAUGGGGGGGCGGCUAGGGUUUGAUGUGUGGCUGCAAGUGCUUGAGAAAGGAGGAGAUGGGAGGGGGGGCGACCAAGAGGGUAGGGGAAUGGGGGGCGGCUGCACAAAGAAUGGGGGGGGGUUAGGGGGAGGGCGGCUAGGUUUAUGGGGGUUAGUGGGCCGAAACAAGAUUUGCGGCCCAACACGCCCACGCGACGGCUCCCGACCCCGAUGCAAGCGCCUAACCAAAGAAAUUCUACUACCCUACUGGUGAAUGUUUUUCCUCAAAUUCCAAAUUCCCAAAACGCAACCACCGAAAGAGAGAAAAAAACAAAAAGAAUACCCUCCAACUUCUCUUCUUCGCAAACCGGGUGUCACACAUGACGAGGCAUGUGACCAGUUAAAGGGUCCUCGAUCAGCACGCCUACAUACGCAUUCAAUCCUUAAUCAACCUGGGUAGAACAUCACCUGUUCCUAACCCAAGUCUCAAUUUAAGUAUUUCCAUCCUUAGGAUUGUUUCUGUUCCUUAGGAUGAAAAGAGCAUCACAGGGAACUUUGCAGUAAGAUCCCACCAUUGCUCCAAAUGAAAAUAUUCUUGCAGGUAGAAGCCAUCCUUUCUCGAGCUAGGAUAAUGACAACCUCUAUCCACAAGAUCUAAGCAAGGCUAAGCAUUUUUGCAAAUCAUAUUUUGAUACUUCACAGAAGUAUCUAUAAAGGUAUGGAUAUCAAGGAAAGCAAUGCAUCAAAGGGUUCCAAGCAACUCCUAUGAACCUAAUGCACAUUUCACUAGACUUAAAGUGUGCGAAAAUUAUUUAAAAACUCAAGGAAAGGGGUUGCAUGCACCGGGGCUUUCCUUCGUUAGUAGGUGAGUCUGGCUCGGAUCCACAAAUAUCAAAGUAGAAGCAGUUUCCUGCCUGAGAAUCCGAGGGUGGUGAUGUCUUCUCUUCAGUGACUUCCACUUCUUCUUCGCGUUCUAACAUAACCAUAUAUAUACAUAUAUAAGAAUGAAUGCCAUGUAAUGCUCAUGAGAGUGCGAAGAUAAUAAAGAUUUAUUAUCUAAGUCUUGAAUACAACUUUCCUUCACGGAACUCCGAGAACUUAGUGUUUCCGGAGUCAGUAAAGGAGUUCAAAGGGCAGGGGGUAGGGUUUUGGGUUCUAGUUAUCAAACAUGGUCUAAAUCAAACCAAAUUCUACCCAUGGCUUGUAAGUAUUGUUUUAAGUUCAUAUACAAAGUUUGGGCAUUUUUGGACUUAUUACCUAUUUUCUAAAAAUCCAGAACUAAUGUUUUAGCUAUUUUAAAUGACCCAAAAUUCCCUAUUUAUCCUAAAAAUCAUAAAAAUAUUUUUAUUAAAUGCUAUGGAAAAUUAGAAGUCUAAGAAAAUUGGUUUCACAAUUUUAGGAUUUUUCUACCAUUUUCUAGAAUUGUUUUAGCUCUGGAAUAAAAAGAAAAAGAGAAACUUGUGAAUAGUACUGGGCAACAUCUGGCCCAGAUCGGCCCAGCAAUAGCAGAAGCGCGUGCGCGCCCGCGCCCGCGGUGGCAAUCUUGCAGAAGGGCCCUCGGGGUUUUGUCUAACUAAAACUGGGUUCGCCGCACUAUUGUUAGGAGUCGCUGACAUCUUGCAGAAACAUCCUCUUAUUUCUAUUUCUUCUCCAAGGAGCUCCCCGACGGCGUACCAAACAGAAGGCCGAGCUCCAGCGAGCUGGACUAGCCGGAGGGAGCCAGGAUCGGUGUUCCCGAGUAGCGGACACCAAAUCGGACCCCGCCCGCGCAUUUCCCCUAACAUAAUUUCACCAGAGGCUACCUGGUUUGCUCUAGCCGCAGUGACCGUAGACCAUGCGGUCGGAUGAACGCAUUCCCGACGAUUGGUGGACUCCUAGUUCAAUUGGUUGGGUCGGCGAGCAUCGCAGACACACGAGAAUACUAAAAUGGGGAAGCAGAAGGCAUGGACUGACCUGAAUCGCGUUGGCCGCGGCGAGGCUAAACUGUGCAGUGUUCUUGAGCAGAUUGGGGGAAAUUCGAAAUUCAAGAGCUCUGGGGAACGAUUCAAGGCUCGAAUGACUCCACUGGUUGCGCAAUUACCUAACGGAGCGAGUGGUGGCGGCUAUUUAUAGGAGGCUUAGGCGGUGGUGCGCAAUUUGGUCGGACAGUGCGGGUGGCCGGAGAGGAAGAAAGGACUCUGGCACAUGACACAGGUGGCCUCUCACCGUGGCAGGUGCUCCGGUGAUCACCGGACAUGCACCGCAUGAUUCACUGUGACGAGAGCCAGCGCUAAGGCACGUGGUGCGCGACGGCGACAACACGACGGCGGUGAGGGUUAUCCGAGCGACCGACGCUGGGGGGAGUACGGCAUGCUUAGCCGCAACCGAGCUCGAGUGGAUCAGACGCCGAGAUCUUUACUGGGUUAUGCUUAUCCAUGGCCACGGCGCACGAAUCACGGCAAGCAAUCGAUCAACGGCGACGGGCCACCGGCGACGAGAUCUUUUUGGCGCUGGCGGUCUGAUCAUCAAUAGAGCACUGUACCAUGGCUAGUGCUUCUUCAAUAAGCCUGUCAGUCCAUGUUUGGGGUGGAUUUUCUCCAAUUUUUAUGUGGUGACUAAGGCAACCUUCUGUAUCAAAGUUAUACACCUAUAAUCCAUGUUAAACUUUGUCACAAUGCUUACCAUCAAAUAGUUACCGAAGCCCAUUCAAAAUCGAGCUCAAAGUUCAUCCCAUCACACUGUUACUGAAAAUUCAGUCCAGGGAUUGAUUGACAGCCCGACUUUGAGCUUAAUUAUCUCUAAAUUCUUCUUAACAACUAGGCUUACACUCUUAAGCAAAGUUGUUCUCCUUUGUUUGAUCUAUAACUUUGAUGUGGUGACCUAGGGCAAAAACCCUAUAUUUUAAAAGUUGCAAGGCUCCAAAGUUGAGCUCAUCAAUCUGAAAUUCAGACAGCAUGAAAUCACAACUAGGGGCCUUUUUGCAAUUGAAUCCAAAGCUUAGGGUUUGGCUUCCAAAUUCACACCUUAGUGAAUCAAGUGACUUAAGAUACUUUAUUAACUUGGUUUUUGCACUUUAGUCCAAAUGUGCAUCAAUUUUGCACAUAAGCCCCUAGGUUUUAGUUUUAGGGUUUUCCAGGGUUCAAAUGGGGAUUUUUGGUAUCCCAGGGGUAUAAAAGUGAUUCAAGUUCAUUCUUGGGAACAUUUUGUGACUAUUCCCCUAAAGCCUUUAGGUUUUCUCAACUUGGGUUAAGUUUUACCCCUUUAAUCCCUAUUUAGGGUUAAGUUCCCUAUCCAGGGUUCCAUUUGCAAAAUGCUAUAACACACAACUUGUUUGAAAUUUUUACCUAGUGAAUGCACUCUAAGUGUAUCAAACAUAUGCAAUGCCAAUGCUUAUGAUGCUAUGCUCAAGUUUUAGUUACAGUAACACCAGGGGUGUUACAUCUUUCCCCCCAUAAAAGAAUCUCGUCCCAAGAUUAAAAGUCCUAGGGUAAGUAAUGGAAAAGGAAACACGACAUACUUUUAUUUCCUUAUUUCUGGUAUAAGGCAGGAGUGGCUUGGGAAUUUACUCCUUUAUUACACAGUUAUACAUGCUUUACAAUUCACAAGAGGCUAAAAAGCCUGGGAAAUUCUUAUCUAAAAAGUCUUGAGUUUCCCAUGUAGCCUCAUCUUCAGAAUGUUGGUUCCACAGUAUCUUAUAGAACUUGAUAGUUUUUCUUCGGGUAACCUUGUCCUUUUGAUCCAAGACUCGAAUAGGGUGUUCAGAAUAUGUCAAGUCCGGUUCAAGGACAACAUCUGUCACUUCAACGGUUCGAUCAGGAACUCGAAGACACUUCUUCAAUUGUGACACGUGGAACACAUUAUGCACGGCAGACAAUGUUUCGGGUAGUUGGAGUCGGUAUGCUACUGGUCCACAUUGCUCAAGUAUAGGGAAUGGACCAAUAUACCGUGGUGCCAGCUUUCCUUUAACCCCGAAACGCGAUACUCCCUUCAUUGGUGAAACCUUCAGGUAGACAUAGUCUCCCUCAAGGAAAUUUAAGGGCAUUCGCCGUUUGUCUGCAUACUCUUCUGACGAGCUUGGGCUUUCUUCAUAUUAUGAAUUAUUUUCUGAACCUUUUCUUCAGUCUCUUUCACCAUAUCAGGCCUGAAGAAGUACCUUUCACCAGGUUCAGACCAAUUUAGCGGAGUACGACAUCGUCGUCCAUAUAAAGCUUCAAAGGGUGCCAUCUUGAUGCUUUCUUGAUAGCUAUUAUUAUAUGAAAACUCCGCUAACGGCAAACAUUCAUCCCAUUUUGGUGGAAAUCCAGAACACAUGCCCGUAGCAUAUCUUCAAGUAUCUGGUUUACUCUCUCAGUCUGUCCACUGGUUUGAGGAUGAUAGGCCGAACUGUGGAGCAAUUUAGUACCCAGGGAUUUAUGAAGUUCUUCCCAAAAUUUGGAUACGAAUUGCGAUCCAUGAUCCGACACUAUGGUCUUCGGAACACCGUGCAGACUAAGAAUACGAGCAAUGUACAAUUGGGCAUAGACAGUAACUGGGUGAUCUGUCUUGACUGGCAGAAAAUGAGAAAUUUUCAUAAGCCGAUCAACAAUAGCCCAGAUAGAGUCAUACCCUUGUGUAGUCCUGGGUAAUCCCACAAUGAAGUCCAUACUAAUGUCUUCCCAUUUCCAUGUUGGGAUUGGCAAAGAUUGUAAUGGACUAGCAGUCUUCAUGUAUAUGGCCUUGACAUGUUUACAAGUGUCACAUCUAGCCACAUAACGUGCAAUUUCAAUCUUCAUUGUCGUCCACCAAUAAAGACGAUGUCAGCCAGAAGAACACAUAAGGUUACAUGUGUGCAAUUUGCUUCUUCUGAUGACACUGUACUAUCUGAGUCUGUUGGGCGGGCGACAAUUACGCAAUUUUACCCAAACAGAAUCAGAUGCACCAUCUUGGGUAAAACACUCAGAAAGAGGUUUAUCAACAAGUGGUUACAGCAAGUUCAUAGCACACGAGACGGGUGUGAAUGUCGAAUAACAUCACGGUCAACUCGUGUUAGCCAGGGAAUCCAAGUCCACGAAAGGUGAUAUAGAUUCACGAAAAUCACCAGCGGAGGGAUCUGUAAAUGCGGACUUUGCAUCCAGUCCAUUUUAUCCGGCACUAGUCAUGGAACGGCAUGAUCACACACGCAGGAAAAGCACGCGUGAGGCGGUCGAGGCGCGACUAGAGCGAUAAUUAUGUGGUUACUGGUCGACUUAAUUUGAUUUUGGUAGGUACUUUCUUUAGGGUGGGUUGAACCAAAGUGAGUUUAGACAACUCGAUAAAAUGAUCUCUAAACUCAGCCUUCGUUCAUUGGGCAGUUACAAGUUAGUCAAAACCAACUUGUUGAACUACUUUUGACAUUAAGCAAAUCCUCUCAAUACCAUUGGUAAACCAAGGGUUGAGAGUUCACUCUUUGUAAAUAAGAGGUUAUGUAUGUGGGUAAAAAUUUAUUUGGUCAAGUUGUUCAUCCGUUUUCUCAUGCGAGAUGAGUUAUCCACUUGGUUAGGGGAUACAUGGAUUAAAUAAGAAAGCGAAUGAACAAACUCCAGCAUUUUAGCAGCAGGGGAAAGCAGAUCUCUAUUUUGAGAGCUAAUCAGUUGUUUUCCAACACUAAAAAGCUCCAAGGCUUCACCUUUACACAAGGAUGCAAAGGGAACUUGUGUGAGUAGUCACUACCAAGAUCAAAAGAAAUAAGACCACACAUGAAAGUGGUAUGCCCUUUUGAUCCAACGGAAAUGACAAAUGUUGUUUGAUCUCUUUCACAAACAACAUAGAAAUUGUUUCAAGGGAAAGGUCAACGGAAGAUAACACAUCAGUGUAAUUCCAUAAUGGAUCAUGACCAGAGACCUUGAUACCGACAUGCGCCAAGCAGCAAAAUCCUGGGUGCACAUUCACAGGAGGCUCUCAGUUUCGCCGCGGUACCAUAAGUCCUCAACCAUGACACCAUUACAAAACUGGCACCAAUAAUGAAUCUCACGAGGUAAGGACAAUUUGCGCAAGGAUAACAUAUCGAUAUAGUCUAAUAAUGGAUUAUGACUACUAACGAUGAUACCAGCAGGUGCCAAGUAGCGCAACCAUGUGUGUGCAUCCACAGGAGGCCCUCGGUUUCAUCGCGGUGCCAUCGGUUUUAGUCAUAACACCAUUGCUAGACGUAACCAAUAAGAAAUCUCGCGUGACACUAAUGGAUUGAGCAAGGGUGACUAUACAAAGAGAUACUCUACCAGUAAAGAUGGUUACAAGUAGAGGGCCAAAUAGAUCAUGGCCCAAGGCAUGGCCAUAAUCUGAACUUGAUGAAAGAAGUACGAUGGGAGACUGUUAAUUCAGCCCCAGGCAUAUUUCUAUGCCCAUCAUAGAGAGCACAAGGUCAAGGAUUAAGUUGGUAUGCCUUCGAUAGAUAUGAAGAAACCAAAGGCAUCAAAUUCAAGAAAAUGGUCGGACAGGUCUUGCCUAGGUUGGGUUAAUAAAGCAACAUGGCGAUCCGCAAGGAGAGGCCAACUAUACUAGAGACCACAACCUGUAUCAACUGAAUAAGAGAAUGGUUCUAAAGGGAGACAUGACUUGAGAUCCUUGUUUGAAGUCUAGGUACUAUUUAGGUCCGACAAAGAAAUUAUCUAGGCAUUGAUUUGUAUGUGUUUGGUCAUGGAGUGAUAUCAGAAAAUUCAACUUUGGGUCGGGUCAUGGUUCACUAAAUACUAAUAUAGCCUAAUCUUGGAUUUAGGCAAUCAAAUCACCAACUCUCUAUUGGUCAUAACUCAACCUGAUGGUUCUCAGAUCAGGGUUGAGAAUUGUUUUAUGCUGGGCUAACCAGUUCAUGCCCAAGAUGACAUCUAUGUCUUGGCCUUUUGGAACAAUCAUAUUUGUAGGAAAGUCCUAUCCGGCCAAUGUUACGGGCAUCUGAUAAGCCACUUCCUUUCACUUUUGGUAGCUUUACUGUCAGGCGUAGAAGACCAUUCGUCAACCAACUUCAUAGAGGGAGGGGGCCUGAAAAGGUCCAGUUCACCAUCAAGUGCUUCUCCCGCUACACGAGAAGGUCCGGCUUCCAUCCCGACAGGAUCCACAGGGACGUUCGGGUGCAGUUGUGAAUACAACACAUGAACUUCUUCAUGUAGUGUAUUAUAACAGACCUGUAAGUUAUCCCUGGCUGAGCUAAGCUCCUCCACACGGGCUCGAGCUUUGGCUUCCUUAGCCCUGGCGAAUGGACGAGAGUUAACCGCCCAAUCGAGCGCUAGAUCUCGUUUCGCGAGUUGGUCUUGCAAGUAGCGGAUGGCUGCAUCCGCGACCCAUAGAUCAUUCCUGUGACGGAGUUCUGAUUGAAGCAGUUCGACUUGUGCUUCCAGAUCCCCGAUAGGAUCGUUGCUACCACUGCUACUUUCUUCAUGUCUUGGGGCAAGCUUAAUGGCGGGAUAUGCCAAUGGGUCUAGCAGAUUUGCGCACGGUCUUUCUGGUGCGCGACAACAUUUCUCUAAGGGGGAAAACUUUAUUUAGUAUAGUUCUUAGCAUGAUGCAUGUAUAAUUACAGAAUCAACCUUAGUUGAUUUACCCCUUCUAUAUGUUGCACUCUUACUACCUGGUCUUUAAGAUAGACUCUUCAGAAUACUUAGGUAAGAAGAGAAGAGAGUUUCUAGAUAAGACUUUUAGAAAAUCCUUUUGAAGAUGCCUCAUAAUAUAUGCAAAGAAGGACUUCGCUCCGAUACCAGCUGUGACGGAACCUCCCAAGUAAUUAGGCCCACCUACAGUUGCCCUUAUCCAAUGGACCUCAGACAACCCUGUAGGUGCCCCUGAACUACUUGACAAGUUCGGUAUCUUCUUUCUUACAUUUCCAGGAACGUUUCACCCGUCUUGCAGACAUUACAGCACAUCAGAGAUACAGAAAUGCGGAAGCGAUUACAUAAACUUACAUUUAUUUAGAAAGUAAGAUCAAGUUACUUAUUACAGACCAGAGUUAUCCUAGGAGUGCAGAGUAAUAUUAUUACACAUACCAAGGGAGACAAAAAACUCCUCCCGGUAAGUUCUUAAACAAAAGUCCUAAUGGAGGAUCCUUUCCUCCCGCAGCUUCACUCUUGUUUUUCUUCCUUGGGAACCACCUUGGUACAGAAGCAACAUAAGUCUGCUACUUCUUCCCCUAAAAACAACGAAGGGAUAAACCCUGAGUAUGGAAUUACUCAGCAAGUCUUACCCGACUAAGGAAAAGACUCUCAAGCGUAUGCUGGAUAAAUAGGAAUCAAGGAGAGGCUUUAGCAAGAAUCAACUUAGAUACUUUUGCAGAAAUAGCUUACUAAAGUGAGUCCUUACUUUCAAUAUUUUAACGCCAGAUUGAAUAUUAAUAGACACUGUUUGCAUCUAGUCUAAUUUCAUCAUCUUAUCAAUACAACAUCCUUUUUAUUCAUAAUGUUCACAUCCUGACUUAGGUUGUAGGGAAGUGACCAAGUCUUCAUAACCGCGAAGGUACGGCGAUCCGAAUCGAUUAUACUCAGCUGAGGAUCUCCAAUCACACGACAUAUGUAGCACUUAACCCUUGCAUAUGUCAACCCGCCACCGGGGUUCUUAAGACCAGAUCAGGUUCACGCAAACCGAGAGCACAAAUACACCACCGUCCAGCCUCUUGCCACGGAGGGUACACGCUACUCUCGCCACCGCUCCAUGCCCAUUUCGUGUUAUCUUAUUCUGGCCUUAGUCUGCCCGAGGCAAGGCUUACCCAUGACGAGGCAUGUGACCAGUUAAAGGGUCCUCGAUCAGCACGCCUACAUACGCAUUCAAUCCUUAAUCAACCUGGGUAGAACAUCACCUGUUCCUAACCCAAGUCUCAAUUUAAGUAUUUCCAUCCUUAGGAUUGUUUCUGUUCCUUAGGAUGAAAAGAGCAUCACAGGGAACUUUGCAGUAAGAUCCCACCAUUGCUCCAAAUGAAAAUAUUCUUGCAGGUAGAAGCCAUCCUUUCUCGAGCUAGGCUAAGGACAACCUCUAUCCACAAGAUCUAAGCAAGGCUAAGCAUUUUUGCAAAUCAUAUUUUGAUACUUCACAGAAGUAUCUAUAAAGGUAUGGAUAUCAAGGAAAGCAAUGCAUCAAAGGGUUCCAAGCAACUCCUAUGAACCUAAUGCACAUUUCACUAGACUUAAAGUGUGCGAAAAUUAUUUAAAAACUCAAGGAAAGGGGUUGCAUGCACCAGGGCUUGCCUUCAUUAGUAGGUGAGUCUGGCUCGGAUCCACAAAUAUCAAAGUAGAAGCAGUUUCCUGCCUGAGAAUCCGAGGGUGGUGAUGUCUUCUCUUCAGUGACUUCCACUUCUUCUUCGCGUUCUAACAUAACCAUAUAUAUACAUAUAUAAGAAUGAAUGCCAUGUAAUGCUCAUGAGAGUGCAAAGAUAAUAAAGAUUUAUUAUCUAAGUCUUGAAUACAACUUUCCUUCACGGAACUCCGAGAACUUAGGGUUUCCGGAGUCAGUAAAGGAGUUCAAAGGGCAGGAAGUAGGGUUUUGGGUUCUAGUUAUCAAACAUGGUCUAAAUCAAACCAAUUUCUACCCAUGGCUUCUAAGUAUUGUUUUAAGUUCAUAUAAAAAGUUUGGGCAUUUUUGGACUUAUUACCUAUUUUCUAAAAAUCCAGAACUAAUGUUUUAGGCUAUUUUAAAUGACCCAAAAUUCCCUAUUUGUCCUAAAAAUCAUAAAAAUAUUUUUAUUAAAUGCUAUGGAAAAUUAGAAGUCUAAGAAAAUUGGUUUCACAAUUUUAGGAUUUUUCUACCAUUUUCUAGAAUUGUUUUAGCUCUGGAAUAAAAAGAAAAAGAGAAACUUGUGAAUAGUACUGGGCAACAUCUGGCCCAGAUCGGCCCAGCAAUAGCAGAAGCGCGUGCGCGCCCACGCCCGCGGUGGCAAUCUUGCAGAAGGGCCCUCGGGGUUUUGUCUAACUAAAACUGGGUUUGCCGCAAUAUUGUUAGGAGUCGCUGACAUCUUGCAGAAACAUCCUCUUAUUUCUAUUUCUUCUCCAAGGAGCUCCCCGACGGCGUACCAAAGAGAGGGCCGAGCUCUGGUGAGCUGGACUGGCCGGAGGGAGCCAAGACCGGUGCUCCCGAGUAGCGGACACCAAAUCGGACCCUGCCCGCGCAUUUCCCCUAACAUAAUUUCACUAGAGGCUACCUGGUUUGCUCUGGCCGCAGUGACCGUAGACCAUGUGGUCGCAAGAACGCAUUCCCGACGAUUGGUGGACUCCUAGUUCAAUUGGUUGGGUCGGCGAGUAUCGCAGACACACGAGAAUACUAAAACGGGGAGCAGAAGGCAUGGACUGACCUGAAUCGCGUUGGUCGCGGCGAGGCUAAACUGUGCAGUGUUCUUGAGCAGACUGGGGGAAAUGCAAAAUUCAAGAGCUCUGGGGAACGGUUCAAGGCUCGAAUGACUCCACUGGUUGCGCAAUUACCUAACGGAGCGAGUGGUGGCGGCUAUUUAUAGGAGGCUUAGGCGGUGGUGCGCAAUUUGGUCGGACAGUGCGGGUGGCCGGAGAGGAAGAAAGGACUCUGGCACAUGACACAGGUGGCCUCUCACCGUGGCAGGUGCUCCGGUGAUCACCGGACAUGCAUCGCAUGAUUCACUGUGACGAGAGCCAGCGCUAAGGCACGUGGUGCGCGACGGCGACAGCACGACGGCGGUGAGGGUUAUCCGAGCGACCGACGCUGGGGGGAGUACGGCAUGCUUAGCCGCAACCGAGCUCGAGUGGAUCAGACGCCGAGAUCUUUACUGGGUUAUGCUUAUCCAUGGCCACGGCGCACGAAUCACGGCAAGCAAUCGAUCAACGGCGACGGGCCACCGGCGACGAGAUCUUUUUGGCGCUGGCGGUCUGAUCAUCAAUAGAGCACUGUACCAUGGCUAGUGCUUCUUCAAUAAGCCUGUCAGUCCAUGUUUGGGGUGGAUUUUCUCCAAUUUUUAUGUGGUGACUAAGGCAACCUUCUGUAUCAAAGUUAUACACCUAUAAUCCAUGUUAAACUUUGUCACAAUGCUUACCAUCACACUGUUACUGAAAAUUCAGUCCAGGGAUUGAUUGACAGCCCGACUUUGAGCUUAAUUAUCUCUAAAUUCUUCUUAACAACUAGGCUUACACUCUUAAGCAAAGUUGUUCUCCUAUGUUUGCUCUAUAACUUUGAUGUGGUGACCUAGGGCAAAAACCCUAUAUUUUAAAAGUUGCAAGGCUCCAAAGUUGAGCUCAUCAAUCUGAAAUUCAGACAUAGCAUGAAAUCACAACUAGGGGCCUUUUUGCAAUUGAAUCCAAAGCUUAGGGUUUGGCUUCCAAAUUCACACCUUAGUGAAUCAAGUGACUUAAGAUACUUUAUUAACUUGGUUUUUGCACUUUAGUCCAAAUGUGCAUCAAUUUUGCACAUAAGCCCCUAGGUUUUAGUUUUAGGGUUUUCCAGGGUUCAAAUGGGGAUUUUUGGUAUCCCAGGGGUAUAAAAGUGAUUCAAGUUCAUUCUUGGGAACAUUUUGUGACUAUUCCCCUAAAGCCUUUAGGUUUUCUCAACUUGGGUUAAGUUUUACCCCUUUAAUCCCUAUUUAGGGUUAAGUUCCCUAUCCAGGGUUCCAUUUGCAAAAUGCUAUAACACACAACUUGUUUGAAAUUUUUACCUAGUGAAUGCACUCUAAGUGUAUCAAACAUAUGCAAUGCCAAUGCUUAUGAUGCUAUGCUCAAGUUUUAGUUACAGUAACACCAGGGGUGUUACACGUUCCCUUAGGCAAACCACCAUAUUUUGAUGGUGAAGAUUAUUGUAUGUGGAGUGAUAAAAUGAGGCAUCAUCUAACCUCACUCCACGAAAGCAUAUGGGACAUAGUUGAAUUUGGAGCGCAGGUACCACAGGUGGGGGACAAAGACUAUGAUUUGGACGAAGUCGCCAAAUUAGGCACUUUAACUCCCAAGCCACAUCUAUACUCCUCGCCUCCUUGUGUCGAGAGGAGUAUAACAAGGUGCAAGGGUUAAAGAGCGCCAAAGAAAUUUGGGACGUCCUCAAGACCGGACACGAAGGGGACGAGGUGACCAAAAUCACCAAGCGGGAGACGAUUGAGGGGGAGUUCGGUCGAUUCGUCCUCAACAAAGGAGAAGAGCCGCAAGCGAUGUAUAACCGGCUCAAGACAAUGGUGAACAAAGUGCGCAGCCUCGGGAGCACCAAAUGGGAUGACCAUGAAAUGGUUAAGGUUAUUCUAAGAUCCCUUGUUUUUCGCAAUCCUACUCAAGUUCAAUUAAUACGUGGGGAUCCUAGAUAUAAACUAAUGUCUCCCGAGGAGGUUAUUGGCAAGUUUGUGAGCUUUGAGCUAAUGAUCAAAGACUCUAAACACAUCAUCAACUUGGAGCAAGGCGCCACCUCCACACCCAAGGUGCAACCCGUCGCAUUCAAAGCGACGGAAGAAGAGAAGAGGGAGUCUACACCAAGUAGGUUUCCAAUCGACGCCUCCAAGCUCGACAACGAGGAGAUGGAUCUCAUCAUCAAGAGCUUCUGCCAAAUCCUCAAGUAAAGGAGGGGGAAGGACUACAAACCCCGCUCCAAAAGGGUGUGCUACAAAUGUGGUAAGCCCGGUCAUUUCAUUGUCAAAUGUCCAAUGUCUAGUAAAAGUGACAGGGACGACGAUAAGAAAGGGAAGAAGAAAGAAAAGAAGAGGUACUACAAGAAGAAGGGCGACGAUGCCCACAUAUGUCAGGAAUGGGACUUUGACGAGAGCUCCACCGACUCCUCCGACGAGGACGCCGCCAACAUCGUUGUCAACAAAGGCCUCCUCUUCCCCAACAUCGGCCACAAAUGUUUCAUGGCUAAGGACGGCAAGAAAAAGAAGGUACACUCUAGAGGCACCCCCAAAUAUACAACAUUUAGUGAUGAGGGUAGCUCUAGUGAAGACUAAGAUGAUUUACUUACCGUUUUUGCCAACCUCAACAUGGAACAAAAGGAAAAAUUAAAUGAAUUAAUAGAAGCUAUUCAUAAGAAGGAUGAACUCUUGGAUAGCCAAGAGGACUUCCUUAUUAAAGAAAACAAAAAACAUGUUAAGUUGAAGAAUGCUUAUGCUCACGAAGUAGAAAAAUGUGAAAACCUAUCUAAAGAGCUUAGCAUUUGCCAUGAUUCUAUUUCUAGCCUUAGAAAUGAAAAUGCUAGUUUAAAUUCUAAGGUUAAAGAUUUAAAUGUUUGCAAUGAUUAUAUUUCCUGUCUUAGAGAUGAGAAUGCUAAAUUAAAUGCUAAGAUAAAAUAAUUAAAUGCAUGCAAACCCUCUACAUCUACAGUUGAUCAUGUUUCUAUUUGUACUAGAUGUAGAGAUGUUAAUGCAGAAGCUAUGGAUGAUCACCUUGCCAUGAUUGAACAAAAAAUGAUCACAUAGCUAAAUUAACUUGUUGGUCACUUGUUCUCAAAACCUACGAAUCAAGAACAAGGCAACACAAAUGUUAAUGGUUAAAGACCUUCGUCCUUCAUAACAUUAUCUCCCUUAGGAUAUAAUGAUCUUCGGACGAAGGUCAUGAAGGUCAUACCUUCUUCAUUGCAAUACAUCAAGAUAUAGACAUGAUCGUAUGAAACAUAGAGAAAGCAUGAAUAAUCAUUUCAGAUCAUUAGAUUAUUCAUAUUAUCAUCAUAUAUCUUCGAACAAACAUCAAUGAUAUUAGAUUACAUUUGUACCUUCGGCUAGAUAUAAUGUAAGAAUCCGAGAGUGACGUGCGAGUGAUUAUAAGUCAGCGUGAACAGUACGGGGAUACUGUUCAUCUAUUUAUAGGCACGGGAUGCAGCCCGGACAAAAUUACAUUUGUGUCCUUGAUAACUAAUUAUAACCAUGACAAAAAUUAUCAGGGACUAAGCGGUCUUUUUAUCUUUAAGUCGGUGCUGCCCUUCGUCUCAAGCGUGUCAUCAUGCCGAAGCUCCUUCGAUUGUAGCUUCGGCAUAUAUCUUCAUGUUGUGCCUGCUUGCAUAUCAUCUUGCGGAAGGUGUUUUUGCUUAGAGGACCUUUGGUGAAGAAGAAGGCCCCCAACAGUAGCCCCUUCGUGGUGCUAGAUCGUUUUUCGUAACGAGCUCGAUCCGCGAAAAAAACCCGAAGGCUUCAGAAUGUCGAAGGCCGGAAAAACACCUUCCCUGAGCUCGUUGUCGAGAAAUGAUUAUAAUAUUCCAAGCGUCGAGCGGUCCACCAUUCAGCGAGUGCAGGCGGACUAGCGGUUCGCCUUCCCCCUGCAGCACUAUAUAAACAGACAGGUUGGUGAAGAGUUACCACAUCAUUUAUUGCAAUUGCACAGUUGUGCUAUUAAAAAAUUUAACCAUAGCCGAAGCUUUCUGCACUGCCCUUUCAAGUGAACACUUCAUUGCUCAAGGUUAACUUCGUCAAAUGGGUUAGCUUCAUCAAACGGUGAAAAUCCAUCUAAAUGGCCAGAGUGCGACCAACUGCAAGGGUGUCUCGUGAGGGGGACGAAACCGAGGCCACUGAAACAGCACCAAUUUCAGAAGUAAUGAAACGAUUAGGUCUGGUUGUGGCUGACGAAGGUACUUCUAAUGUCGAAGCUGAGCAGACUGUGAUUGAAGGUGAAUAUGUUGAGAGUGCAGAAGACUGUAGUAUUCUGAUCCCAACGAAGCCUAGUCACCUAGAUUUUGAAAAAUCUACUAUUGGGGACUUGUUCUCAAAUGCUAUGAAUUAAGAACAAGGCAACACAGAAUGUUAAAUGUUAAUGCCCUUUGUCCUUCGAAGCAUUAUCUCCCUUAGGAUAUAAUGAUCUUCAGACGAAGGUCAUGAAGGACAUACCUUCAUCAUCGUAGCAUAUGUUAAUAAAAGAAGAAGUAUAUGAAAUAUAAGAGACAACAUGAACGAUCACAUAACAUUAUCAAUUCAUCCUUAUUAUAUUAACAUGGAAAAAUAGAGACAAUAUUGAAUUACAUAUGUACCUUCGGCUUGACAGAAGGUAAAAAGUACAAGCGUGACGCGCAAGCGAGUACAAGUCAGCGUGAACAGUACGAGGGUACUGUUCAUCUAUUUAUAGCCACAGGGCGCAACCUGUGCAAAAUUACAUUCAUGCCCUUUAUGUUUACUAUUGACAUUAGGACAAUCUAUCGAGGACCAAAUAGCCUUUUCCUCUUUAAGUCGGUUCCUUUUCUGCUAUUGAGCCGAAGCUUUCUUGUGCAUAGCUUCGAAACUGGUUCGACCAUCAUCCCAACCAUGCUUUUCAUAUUGUGGACAGCUCCAUCCCAAUUCCGAAGGUUCCUGUACAUAUAUUACACUUGGGGAAACAUUGUUAAUCAUGUUUUUAAGGACCUUCGGAAGACGAAGGCCCCUAACAGUAGCCCCUCGCAGUAUUAAUUUGUUAAGAUAACGAAUUCAGACUGCGACUUGGACGAAGGCCUUACACCGAAGGUCUGAAAAAACACCUUCCCUUUGCUAGAAUAGCAACAGUCAAUGACAGACGGGGCCCUUCAAUUUGGAGAGUACUGGGCGUAUAAAUAGGAACUUACAUCGACUGCACUUGAUACACUGCUUGUGCCAUUUGCCUUAUUUUCUCAAUUUCAUAGCUCUUGCUCACUAACGCUUGCUAGUUUUCAAGCUUUCUGAGCUUCGGUUAAAAAGACGCAUUUUCGUCAUUUCUAAAGGAGAAAUGUCUCAAGACAAGAAGGUUGCUUCUGAGACGAAACUGACUGAAGAGGAGAAGCUUUUUGAGGAGAAGAAGGCUGUGAAUCCUUACAUUGCUGGAUUUAUCGAGUCAAUGGCAAAAACAAAUACAAAGAAGAUUACUAAGGAGAUACUGGAGGGCCUGUCUGAAGAUACUUGUGACAGUGAUAGUUAUGAUGCGAAAAGUGGGGGCAAAGGUUCUGAGGAUCGGCCCUGGAGACCAAGUCAUUCGAUUUUCAGAAAAUCGACCAUCAAACAAAGUCAUCUUGAGAACAUGAGGGGAAGAUACUUUCGGGAUAUGUCUAUAGUAAGGGUUGGCGGAGACAACAACGUCCCUGCCCCUGAAGAAAAUGAAGUUGUGAUCUACCGGAGCUUCUUCAAGGCUGGACAUCGGUUCCCUUUGAGUAAGUUUGUAGUUGAAGUGCUGAAAACUUACCAAAUCUUCCUUCAUCAGCUCACUCCCGAAGCCAUAAUAAGGAUGGGGGUUUUCGUCUGGGCAGUAAGGAGCCAAGGGUUAGAGCCAAGCGCGAAAUGCUUCUGCAGCAUGCACGAACUUCUGUAUGAGACGAAGGCCAUGGGUAAAGAACAGUACCACAACAACUUCGGUUGUUAUGGAUUUAUCGCCCGUCCCAGUGCAAGCCACCCAGUGCCAACAUUUCGGAAGAGAUGGCCCGGAGCUUGGAUGGAAGAAUGGUUUUAUGUGAAGAACGAUUUGACAGCAAGGGAAGACAUUAAGGAAGUUAUCAUGUGCCCCAUAUGGUCCCGCUUUGGCCUCCGAAAGCCGAAGGUCGAAAUUGAUGACGCCGCCGAAGUGUGUCAGAAGGCCUUUGGUACUGUCUGCUUCUUCAUUGGUAUAAGAGAUUUAAUUCAAGAGCAUAUAGCAUUCAGAGUAUGGCCGCUUGUAGAAAGCUGGGAAAUGCCGAAGGAGACCAUCACUAAGUCUAGCGAAGGUGAACUGGUCCGGCUGAUGUAUACAUUCAAGUAUGGGGAUAAGUUUGAUGAACCAAACGAUUACUGGCUGAAAUGCAUCGAAGCUACAAGUGAUGACUACUUGGAGCAUAUUCCAAGGCAGAAGAUAAUGCACUAUCUGCAGCCUUCGGAGGUCGGGGAAAGAAGAGAUUAAACAGAGUUUUUGAUGCCAUUGGCUUCGUCUACCCCGACUACCGCUACCUGCUGCGGGAACAAGGGAAAAAGAAGAAAGCUGCUACUUCGGCCACCCCAGACGAACCUGUGCCGAAGGGAAAAAAGUUGAAGGUCCUAACUCACCGGCCGCAUUUCAUCGAACCGGCCGCGAUACCUGAAUUUGGCGAAGGGACCUCUUCGGCUGCCAAAACAAAAGGAACUCUUCCUUCCGAGCAGAGGACUGAAGAACCGACUAUAAUGCCGAAGGUGCCUACAGUGAAGGUAGUUGAAAUGAAGGUUGGUAAGGCUGAAAAGCCAAAAACUGAAGAAAUAACAAAGAUGCCAGAGGUUUUGAGCCCUCCAGUAAAGGCAACAGUACCGAAAGUACAAACGGGUUCUAUUGUGACUCCUAAAAGGAGAAGGAUGGUAAAUGUAUUAGAUGUGUUGGAAACAACCGACUCCAUAAGUCCCGCUCCCACAGGGAAGGUUGCCGAAGCUGCCAAAACGCAACCCAAAGUUGAUACUAAGCAAAUAGAAGCUGAAGCUACAAUAACCCAGGCUGAAACCGAAGCAGGGCCCUCAGUGCCUGCUAAGACGAAGCUUGCCACAACCGAGCAGAGGGCCGAAGGAAUAACUCCAGAUAGUAAUAUAGCUUUUGAGAAAAGUGCGGCCAAAGAAGCCGAAUCCCUUGCUCCCGAAGCACUCCCCAAAGAUUUUGAUUAUAUCAUUCGACAUGCUUCGGGAAAAAGAUUAUCCAAAGAAGAAAUUUUUGAAGCCAAACAUUAUGCCCGGGAACUAAAGUAUCCUAAGGGGGCCUUAGUGUUUAAUGGUACGGACGAAGAUGAUUUCCUAUACUGUCUUCCGGAUAACAAAGAAUUAUCUGUCUGCCGGGAGAUGGCUAGAAGUAUGGGUUUUUCGAAGCUCGAAGCUGGCCUUUGUGCCAUGACGAAGGACAAUCUCGCAGAUAGUCUUGCAUACAACAGUCUGAAGGUACAAAAGUUGUGAACUUUGAAGCUUAUGGACUUUGGAAUGAAGUCUUUUUAUUCUUAUGUUAAUCCUUUAUUCUAUCUUGUAGGGCCUAAUACUUAGCAACACCAUAAGGGCGCAAAAGAAUGCUGAAGAUGAGAGUUGCACUAUAGCUCUCUACAACCUUCGAUCAGAGGUUAUCAGGCUGAGAAACGAAGCCACGGAAAAAGACAAGAUUGUACUUUCAUUGGUGGAUAAAGUAAAGGAAGAUGAAGCUAGCUUCAAAACUCAAUCCGAGGCCCAAAAAAUUGAGAUUGAAGACCUUCAGAAACAGCUGGCCGAAGACAAAGAAAAAUGUGGUCUCGCGGAGGCCAACCGAGAUAUUAGUGAGUAUUGGAAAAACUAUUUAGAAAAAACAGUUGAAGAACUUCGCGCAUCCAAAGAAAGAUGCUUCGAAAAAUCCCUAGGCUGCAUGGAGAAGAUAAAGGCUAGCUUCACCAACGUGGGCGCCUAUUCCAAUGAAGAUAACUUUAUACGAGGCGACCCUGAAGGUGUUAUCGAGUGGAUAAGCGGAGAAGCUGAAGCUUUUGAAGAAAUUUUAAGUGAUCGCGGGGAUGUCUGCGCGUUCUUCGGUGCAAGAGGAAUUUCAGCCAUCCUGGAGAAGGCGGGUUGCGAUCAUGUCAAAACCCUAUCCCAGGCCGAAGCUGCCUUCUCCGUGGAUGUCACAAAGGAUCCCUCAGCCGAAGCAAGCUUAAUGGGCGGAAAAUUUUACACUGACAUCUGGGCAAAUGGUAGACGAGAAAUGGCUCACGAAAUUAUGAAGAAAAGUGAAAAAGAUAUUCAUGACGCUCGAGUGGCAGCGAAACAAGCUGAGGAAGCUGCAGAACGCGAGAAACACAUAGGUAUUAUUUUGUGGCCUUUAGCUUCGGUGUUUGUUUUUAUAACUUUGGACUACUGAACCUUUUCCUUCUUCAGCUGAAUUAUCUCUGCCACCGAAACCGUUCGAUCCCCUGGCCGACCCAGAGACGAAGGAAGCACUGGAGAUCAUCAAUAUGGCCGAAUCUAUUGUUGACGAAGUCGUCAAUAAAUUGCUAAAUGAAGUUGUGGAGAAGAUUCUGAAAGAGGAUUAGUACUUAUUGUAAAAACAUUUUUAGGUGGUCAAUAUAGCCUUGUUGUUACAAAACUGUAAUAUUCAGUGUGUAUAUCUUUGAAUCUAAUAUGUAAAUUAUUUGUAAUUCAUUUCUUUGCAAUGCAUGAAACUUUUAUAUACAUACCGUUUUGAGCCUUUUCGGCGAAAAAACACUUUUCCUUCUUUUCAUGCUUCGUAAAGAAAAAGAUCCAUGCUUUGUAGGAACAUCCAAGCUUCGUAAAAACAUCCCUUCUUUUGCAACAGAGCUGAUGAAACUGUAUUUCUCAGCUUACUUUGUGCCUUAGCACAUUUUCAUUUUUUUCAAAGCAUUCUCCGAAGAUCGACUUCAUAUUCAAUUCGUGUCUUUAGUGCGAUAUGAUGAAUGAUGUGAUGCUAUGCGGUAUGAUGUAAAAUAUGAUGCUAAUGCCGAAGACACGCACUCACACACCCACACAGUCUCUGCGUCCCCUUAGGAAUGAUCAAUUUCUCUUUGCCAUUUAUUUUUCGGCUUCACCGCUUAUUUUUCGAUGUAAGUUCUGCAUCCCCUUAGGAACGCCUUUUGAACUUCUUCUCCUUCUAUUUCGGCGGUAUCACUCUUGACUUUUCGGUGUAAGUUCUGCAUUCCCUUAGGAACGUCUUUUGAACUUCUUCGCCUUAUAUUUCGGCGGUAUUUGGCUCUGCAUUCCAUUUGGAACGACUUUUGAGCAGAAAACUUACACUGCGCUCCCUUAGGAAUGACUUUUUUGUAGCUUCGUCAAAACUUAUGAUGCGCUCCCUUAGGAACGUCUUUUUUGUAGCUUCGGCAAUUUUCUAGCUCUGCAUUUCCUUAGGAACGACUUUUUGAGCUUCGACAAUUUUUGAGCUUCGUAAGUCUGUGAAGAAGAUAUAUUACAUUUUAAUAGAAGCGAAACUAUUACAAGGAAUUAAAACUAAAUUUACAUUACUUGUUCCUUAUUCAAAAACAAAAUGAUAUUGAGCAUAAAAAUAUUUCAGAGGUAGGAUAUCUCUCAAUAGAUGUGCUUUGAUUCCGGCACAGUACUGUUGACUGUGCGAGCUUCGGAUUCCUCCUUGAAUUCUCGUUGCGGUUGAGAGUGUUGGCGCCCUUUUGGCUGCUGGCUUCAGGAAUAGGUCGGUUGUAGUGGUGGUGGGGGUGGGAGUUGUGGCUAGGAAGCCUGCGAAUGGCUAGCCAAAGCAACAGAAACUGCAGGAUGAUUGCCCACAUACUCUGGCAUGUAGGGAUAGUGGCACGAAGCAGUGUGCAAGACAUGCUUCGACUGAUUCUGCCGAGGUUCGGCUUCUGCUAUCUCCUUUUGCUUCUGAAUGGUGAUUCGCCACAUUCUUGUAGUAUGGCCCUUGUCCUCACCACAGAAUAAGCAGUAGAUCUUUCUAGGCUGAUACCCAAAUCUUCUUCCGAAGCCCCUGGCGCCUCUGCCCCUUGGAGCUGGUGGCCUGAAAGAGCUUUGUUGUUGCCCCGAAGAUUGUGAGGUGUAUUAUGACCUCUGAGGCUGACUUCCUUUGUCAUCACUCUGAGUGGAGUUAUGGAUUGACCUGACAUGCCUCGGGUGAAUUCUUCCUCCGAAGCCCCUGGUCAUCUCUGAGAAUCUGUAAGCUUCCUCCCUUCUUUGGCGGAAGUCGUUGUCAGCCCGGAUGUACUCAUCCAUCUUCUGAAGUAGCUUCUCCAGAGUUUGUGGGGGCUUCCUGGCAAAGUACUGAGCCAUAGAUCCUGGCCGAAGGCCCUUAAUCAUGGCCUCAAUGACAAUUUAAUUGGGCACUGUGGGUGCUUGUGCACUCAAUCGCAAGAACCAUCGGACAUAUGCCUGGAUGUAUUCCUCAUGAUCUUGCGUGCAUUGGAACAGGGCUUGAGCUGUAACUGGCUUCGUCUGAAAGCCUUGGAAACUGGUCACCAGCAUGUCUUUAAGUUUCUUCCAUGACGUAAUUAUCCAAGGUCGAAGGGAAGAAUACCAAGUCUGGGCCACGUUCCGGACUGCCAUGACGAAGGACUUAGCCAUGACAGCUGCAUUGCCUCCGUAUGAGGAUAUUGUUGCCUCAUAGCUCAUCAAAAAUUGUUUUGGGUCUGAGUGCCCAUCAUACAUUGGCAGCUGAGGUGGCUUGUAAGAUUGUGGCCAUGGGAUAGCCUGCAGUUCUGCUGCCAAGGGAGAAGCAUCAUCAAAAGUAAAGGUAUCAUGAUUAAAAUCAUCAUACCAGCCAUCUUCGUUGAAUAGGCCUUCCUGACGAAGCUCCCUGUGUUGGGGCCUUCGAUCUUGUUCAUCUUGAGCAAGAUGGCGCACUUCUUCAGUAGCUUUGUCGAUUUUUCUUUGAAGAUCAGCCAGCCGCGCCAUCUUCUCCUUCUUCCUUUGUACUUGCUGAUGGAUAAUUUCCAUGUCCCUGAUCUCUUGGUCCAACUCCUCCUCUUGGAGUGUUGGACUGGUAGAUUUUCUCUUUUGGCUUCGAGCUUCUCAGAGAGAAAGAGUUUCCUGAUUUGGGUCCAGUGGCUGCAACGCAGCAGCCCCUGGCGCUGAAGCUUUCUUCGGCGGCAUGACGAAGAUCAGUGCUUGCCGAAGGUGGUCGAAUGAGUUCACCGGAGGUGGGCGCCAAUGUUGGGGAUUUGUUCUCAAAUGCUAUGAAUUAAGAACAAGGCAACACAGAAUGUUAAAUGUUAAUGCCCUUCGUCCUUCGAAGCAUUAUCUCCCUUAGGAUAUAAUGAUCUUUAGACGAAGGUCAUGAAGGACAUACCUUCAUCAUCGUAGCAUAUGUUAAUAAAAGAAGAAGUAUAUGAAAUAUAAGAGACAACAUGAAUGAUCACAUAACAUUAUCAAUUCAUCCUUAUUAUAUUAACAUGGAAAAAUAGAGACAAUAUUGAAUUACAUAUGUACCUUCGGCUUGACAGAAGGUAAAAAGUACAAGCGUGACGCACAAGCGAGUACAAGUCAGCGUGUACAGUACGGGGGUCCUGUUCAUCUAUUUAUAGGCAUAGGGCGUAGCAUGUGCAAAAUUACAUUCAUGCCCUUUAUGUUUACUAUUGACAUUAGGACAAUCUAUCGAGGACCAAAUAGCCUUUUCCUCUUUAAGUCGGUUCCUUUUCUGCUACUUAGCCGAAGCUUUCUUGCGCAUAGCUUCGGAACUGGUUCGACCUUCAUCCCAACCAUGCAUUUCGUAUUGUGGACAACUCCAUCCCGAUUCUGAAGGUUCCUGUACAUAUAUUACACUUGGGGAAACAUUGUUAAUCAUGUUUUUGAGGACCUUCGGAAGACGAAGGCCCCCAACAUCUACUGUGUCUGAAGAUGACAUGCCCAUGAUGAUGAAGCUGGGCUAUUUUGGAGAGGUUGAAAGCAAACUCAUCCGAUUUGCUGGAGAAGAGACUACCCCAAAGCCGAAGAAUGAUGAAGUAGUGGUUUUCAAGAGCUUCUUCAGAGCAGGGCUGCUGUUUCCUCUGAAUGAGAUGAUUGGGGUGGUUCUAAAGAACUUCGAAAUAUAUCUUCAUCAGCUGACUCCUAACGCUAUUGUUAGGCUCAGCGUCUUUAUUUGGGCCCUCCGAAGCCAGAGGAUGAGCUCGGACGCCGAAGCUUUCUGCCGAGUGCACGAGAUGCACUAUCAGACGAAGGCCAGGGCAGAUGGCCUUCACGAGAAUUUUGGUUGUUAUAAUUUUGCAUAUCGAAAAGACACAAAGGCGCCAGUCCUCAGCUACCACACAAAGUGGCCAACCGGCUGGAAAAAUGAAUGGUUUUAUAUGAAAGCUAAUGAUAAAAAUAUGGAGAAGCUGAUGACCAUGGUCAUGAGUCCUAUAAGCUUGAACUUCGGAAUGACCCGGCCCUUGUGCAACAUGCAGCUGGGGUCACCCUGUCAGCUGGCCGAAGUGGAAUUUAGAGUGAUGGCUGAACAAAUCAGUAACAGAGACUUGGUGCAAGAAUAUUUGGCUAACAGAACAUAUCCUACAUCUAGUGGCUGGAGAAUGCCAAAGAAGAAGGAAGCGGGGAAGAAGCACGAACUCGUUCGACUUGCUUACCGCUUCAAAUUUGAGAAACAAUUCAAAAAUCCGUGCAAAGAAUGGUAGGACAUGAUCGAGACAAUGUGUAAUAAAAUACUUGGAAAUUAUACAAAAAAGGAAGACCAACUGAUGACCACAGCCUUUGGCACCUGGCCAAAACGAAGAUUGAACCGGGUGAUGGAUGCCUUGGAAUUUGAAUAUCCUGAUUAUAUAAAGUUGUCUGACAAAGGUGCCGAAGGGGUUAAAAGAAAAAGAAUUGUCAGCAUUCUGAGCAGGCAAGCUGCUAGAAUGGUAAAGGAGGAUGAUAAGGCAUCAAAGAAAAGAAAAUCCACUCCUGAGCCGAAGGCGGCAGCUUCGAAGAAGAGGAAGGCUGAAAGUCCAAAGCCGAAGAUAACUGAGGCAACGAAGGACACUCCUUCGACACCUCGUGCUGCCGAAAUAGCAGAAACUUUAAAGAUAAUGACUGAAUCUUUACCCAUUAAGCUGCUAAGUCCUCUGGGGCCAGAAUUGACGAAACUUUUACAAAAGAAGGAUGAGCCUUCGGCUACAAAGGAGAAGGAUGACGGGCAGAAAAAACGAAGAAUUGUUACUGUCAUGCAAGCCAUUGAACGGACGCCACCGUUGGCCUCGGCAUCCAAAAUAGCACCUAUCGCAAGUGCCGAGGCUACUGCCGAAGCUGAUACCUCUACCGAAGCUGCAGCUGGCGCCGAAGCUGAUACCUCUGCCGAAGCCGCAGCUGGCGCGGAAGCUGUCAAUCUUGAAAGGACUCUGUCUGGAAUUGAUAAACUUCUUUUGGAUAUGGCUACAGAAGAGACAGCUUGUAACACUCCAGGUGUUUAUAUUCCGCUCGACAACGAGUACGGAUUUAAGCACGCAAUAUCAGUGGAUAAAACGGAUUUUAAAUUUUAAUCAUCCUUGUUUAUCGCGAUUUUAAUAUCGCAUCUGUUUCGUCGGUCGUGAGUUCGACAUCGUUUUUAUUUUUAUCUAUCCGGGCUCUUCCGAAAUUUUUGUGAUGUUCGGAAUAUCGUCAUUCCGAAAAUCGGUGCGUCCGGUGAUUAUUUAAAAUUCAUCGCUCACACGGGUACGAAUUCGGAAGCUCAACCCACUCGGACGAUUUUAUCCCAAAUAAAUUAAUUUGAACUCGACGACUAAAAUAUCGAAUCUAAUCUCGUCCGGUUUGAACCCGUCUACAGCUCGCUCCCGUGACGAUGCUGACAUCGUCUUCGGGGAACUCCGAUUGUGAUGCCGUAUUCGGCUCGCACGGUUUAAAAUUUAUUCCUUUCUAAAGUAUCGAGCCUAGUGCCAGAUCAAAAAAAUAAUCGGUCAAGACGAGCUAAGAUUUUCGUUUAAAUAUUUCGCUCGAUUUAAGCCAUCUCUAUAAAUUCGGUACAUGCGCUAUUUGAGGUAGGCUGUUCAAAUAAACUGAAACCGGAACCAUUAUUGGCCAAUUCUGUUUCCUGUUUCAAAAUCCGAGAAGAAAAAUCUUCUCACAGUGCUCUCUUUCCUUAUCUCCUCACGUACGCUACGUAGUUUUUUCUAGUCUUCGUUCUCAUCCACGCACGGAAGGAAAAUCUUCUCUGCGUUCCUAUCCUCCACUCUGAUAUUUCAUCGCUCUGAUUUUUGUUGAAGUUGCUGGCCGCUCAACCUCAUCUAGCGCGCAAGAUCUCCUGGAGAUUUUUCCACCGCUUGCACGUCCAGCUCUUCUUCAAAUAUCCCAUACGUACAUCUUCCUUCCCUCGCCUUAUCUCUCCACCGCUUUCUCUCUUCCAUCUGAUAUGCCGCGUCGCUGUAUUCUGGAAAGCAAAAGAAAAUCCCGCCGCUGUUCUUCUGUUGAAAUUUCUGCCGUCUCUUCUUAUCUGCUGCUGGGAUUUUUACCGUCGUCAUUCUCCCAGCUGAGCUCUCUCUCUCUGCUCUUGCUCGCAUCCAGCCAUGGCGCCCCUGUUCUUCUCUUUUCCAGUCUGGCCAGCCGAGCGCUCCUUCUCCCAGCCAUGGAGCUCCCGGCCGUGCAGCUCGCCCAAUCCCCAACCCGACCGGAGCUCCCUUCAACUCGAUUUCCCAUCUCCCUGUAUCUCCCAUGGGAGAGCGUGUUAGAUCUUUUAUGGGCUUGACCCAUUUAUUGAAUAAACUCUAUGGUGUGUAAUGGUGGAGAAUACUAAUAGUACCACAUUGGAAGUCCAAGGGUCUUUUGCCUUGACUUAUAUGGUGGGAUUUAUUCCACUUAACUUGAGAAGUCAAGAAAUGGACAAGGGCGUGCCACACGCGCGCGCGCGCCGCCGCCGCCGGCCGGGCCGGGCGAGACGUGGCGAGACGUGGCGUGGCAGGCAGGCACAAUCCAGCCGCCGAGUGAGGGUAUUUCCAUCUCGUGACUCUGCGCGCACAGAGUAGCGAGAGGGCAGGUGCCUCCGAAGCCGGUGCCGUUCGAGACCUUGCACGGGGGAUCGGCAAUUAGGUUUUUGGGGAGCGUCUACGCGACUGCCCAAAACAUCUUCAACAUGACAAAGGAAGCUGGCCAAGGAUCUGGAUCAUCAGAGCGCAUAGGAGGGUAUGAUCAGUUUAUUUACUUACUGUUUUGUGUUCUGGAGAUUAUAUAUGUUUCAUAUUUUCAUCUAUGCUGUUUCAUAGUUACGAAUGAUUUUAUCUUAUCUGUUCUGUCUUAUUAUAAUAUGAUAGAUCUGUCUGUUUUAAUUUUUCAGUCAUGCUAUUUAAGUUUCUAUCUGUUUACUUUCAUUUGUUUAGUCAGUAUACAUGUUUAUCGUAUUUAUAUGAUUUAUAUAAUUCACAUGCUCUAUGUUCUCUUGAUUCAUACUGGUAUGGAUCAAUUUGAGAUCACAAUUUCUAUGGUUAAUUAUUUGUUAUAUGUCAUCAUCAUAAUGUUGAUUUAUGGAAUUAAAAUAAUACGGAAAAUGCCUAUAUUUCUAACAAUCCAAAAACCUAAAGUUAGGCAUUUUUCUGUCAGAGGUUUUGCUGCUGUGCUAAAGCCUGAUCCUUUUGAUGAUAAAAACUUCUUGAUAUGGAAAGCUAAAAUGGAAUUGUGGCUAACUGCAAUGUCUUGUUUUCAUGCCGCUGAGGGCAAGCCUGCAAACUUACCUCCUGAGGAUGAGGCUAAGUUUAAGGCUGAAGACAACCUCUUUCGAGGAGCAGUAAUUAGCGCACUGGAUACAAAAUUCCAGAAAAGCUAUAUCAUCCUUCCCACGGGGAAAGAGCUGUGGGAUGCUCUUGUUGGAAAGUUUGGAGUUACUGACGCUGGUAGCGAGCUGUAUCUCAUGGAGCAGCUGUAUGACUACAAGAUGGUUGAGAACCGAUCUGUAGUGGAACAGGCUCAUGAGUUUCAGGCACUAGCUAAGGAACUCGAACUUUUUCCUUGUCCUUUGCCUGACAAGUUUGUGGCUGGCGGUAUAAUCGCCAAGUUGCCACCUUCUUGGAAGGACUUUGCUACCUCUCUCAAACAUAAGAGACAAGAGUUCAAUGUGGAAGAGCUCAUUGGUACUCUUGAUGUUGAGGAAAGGGCUAGAACAAAGGACAGUGGAAAAGGUGUUGAGACCUCUACUGCUAAUGUGGUGCAGAAGAGAAACUUUCGCAAGUUUAACAAGAAGAAAAACCAGAACAAAUCAGAGAAUGCGAAUAAACCUGUUCAUACAGCACAGUUUAAAAAGAAGAACAACAAUAACAAGGGAAAGGGAGGAUGCUUUGUCUGUGGCAGUGAUCAACAUUGGGCAAGAGAGUGCCCUGAUCGCAAGUUCACUCAAGACAAGAAAUCAGCUAAUGUUGUAACCACUGAAACUGAAGGAGGAACAUCUGGGUAUGGUAAUUCUUUACCAUUCGUUCUUUCAGUCUGUAAUUCACCUGAGUGGUGGAUGGACAGUGGUGCAAACAUUCAUGUGUGUGCUGAUGCCUCUAUGUUCACUUCCUAUCAGGUCGGGAGGUCUGGCGCCUUGUUGAUGGGAAAUGGGUCGCGUGCUCAUGUUCUUGGUGUUGGUACGGUCAUUCUGAAGUUUACUUCGGGAAAGACUGUGCCAUUGAAGAGCGUGCAGCAUGUGCCCUCUAUCAAGAAGAAUCUCGUUAGCGCUUCUAUGCUAUGUCGAGAUGGAUACAAAGUUGUUCUUGAGUCUAAUAAAUGUGUUGUGUCGAAACAUGGUACCUUUGUUGGUAAAGGAUAUGAUUGCGGAGGCUUGUUCCGCUUAUCACUGCAUGAUGUGUGUAAUAAACUGGUGAAUUCUGUUAAUUUUUCUGAUGAGUCAGAUUUAUGGCAUUCAUGGUUUUGUCAUGCAAGCUUUGGCUGUCUUAUGCGGUUAGCAAAUAUAAAUUUAAUUCCUAAAUUUAACUUGGUCAAAAAGUCUAAGUGCCAUGUGUGUGUUGAAUCAAAACAACCCCGCAAGCCACACAAGGCUGCUGAGGCGAGGAGUUUGGCACCUCUAGAACUUGUUCAUUCUGGUCUGUGCGAGAUGAAUGGAGUGUUGACCAAAGGUGGUAAAAGAUACUUUCUCACUUUUAUAGAUGACUCCACUAGAUUUUGUUAUGUGUAUCUCUUAAAAACAAAAGAUGAAGCGUUCAAUUAUUUUAAGGCCUAUAAAGCUGAAGUUAAGAACCAACUUGAGAGGAAAAUAAAACGUUUAAGGUCCGAUCGAGGUGGAGAAUAUUUCUCUAAUGUGUUCGAUGAGUUCUGCGUGGAACAUGGAAUUAUUCAUGAGAGGACACCGCCAUUCUCACCACAAUCCAAUGGGAUUGCUGAAAGGAAAAACCGCACUCUAACAGAUUUGGUGAAUGCCAUGUUGAGUACAGCGGGAUUAUCCAAGGCAUGGUGGGGUGAGACGAUUUUGACAGCAUGUCAUGUCCUGAAUAGAGUUCCAACAAAGAACAAAGAGAUCACUCCAUUUGAGGAAUGGGAAAAGAGAAGAGUAAAUCUCUCAUAUUUGCGCACUUGGGGUUGCUUGGCUAAAGUGAAUGUGCCAAUCAACAAAAAGCGUAAACUUGGGCCUAAAACUGUUGAUUGUGUAUUCCUUGGGUACUCUUUUCACAGCACUGGGUAUAGGUUCUUAAUUAUAAAAUCUGAUGUGCCUGAUAUGUAUGUUGAUACUAUCAUGGAAUCAAGAGACGCAUCAUUUUUUGAGAAUGAGUUUCCUAUGAAGAAUACACCUAGUGAUAUAAGUCAUGAGACUAUAAUUCCCCAUGAGCACGAACUGUCGAUUCCUAUAGAUCAUGCUGAGGAUUCUCACGUGCACAUCCCUGAGGAGGAUGACACUAUAGUCACUCGAAAGAGCAAGAGACAGAGGGUUGCAAAAUCCUUUGGUAAUGACUUUAUAGUGUACCUUGUGGAAGACACACCAACUACCAUUAGUGAGGCAUAUUCCUCUCCUGAUGCUGACUUAUGGAAGGAAGCAGUAAGGAGUGAGAUGGAAUCUAUUAUGUCUAAUGGAACUUGGGAGGUCGUGGACCGUCCUUAUGGUUGUCAACCUAUAGGUUGCAAAUGGAUCUUCAAGAAAAAGCUUAGGCCUGAUGGUACAAUUGAGAGGUACAAGGCAAGGCUUGUGGCCAAAGGAUAUACCCAAAAGGAGGGUGAAGAUUUCUUUGACACCUACUCACCAGUGGCUCGAUUGACUACAAUUCGCACAUUAAUAGCCGUGGCAGCCUCUUAUGGUCUUAUCAUUCAUCAGAUGGAUGUUAAGACAGCUUUCCUAAAUGGAGAGUUGGAUGAGGAGAUCUAUAUGGAUCAGCCAGAAGGGUUUAUUGUGGAUGGUCAAGAGAACAAGGUGUGCAGGUUGAUAAAAUCAUUGUAUGGCCUAAAACAAGCACCUAAGCAAUGGCAUGAAAAGUUUGAUAAUACUCUUACAGCAGCUGGCUUUGUUGUAAAUGAAUCUGACACGUGUGUAUACUAUCAGUAUGGUGGGGGUGAGUCUGUUAUGCUGUGCCUUUAUGUUGAUGACAUUUUGAUCUUUGGAUCAAAUCUCAAUGUGAUUGAGGAAGUUAAAAAUCUUCUAUCGAGCAAUUUCGAGAUGAAAGAUUUGGGAGAGGCUGAUGUCAUUCUAAACAUCAAGCUUGUUAGAGAAGCUGAUGGUGGGGUAACUUUGUUACAAUCCCAUUAUGUGGAAAAGGUAUUGAGUCGCUUUGGUUUUAGUGACUGUGAUCCUGCUCCAACACCUUAUGACCCCAGUGUGCUAUUAAGAAAGAAUCGGAGAAUAGCAAGGGAUCAAUUGACAUACUCCCAGAUCAUUGGCUCGCUCAUGUACCUUGCAAGUGCAACAAGGCCAGACAUCUCUUAUGCUGUGAGUAAGCUAAGUCGGUUUGUGUCGAAACCAGGAGAUGAUCACUGGCGUGCUCUUGAGAGAGUGUUGCGGUAUUUGAAAGGUACUAUGACAUACGGUAUUCAUUAUACCGGAAACCCAAAAGUGCUGGAAGGCUAUUGUGAUGCCAACUGGAUUUCUGAUGCUGAUGAGCUUUAUGCCACAAGCGGAUAUGUGUUUCUGUUUGGAGGUGGCGCUGUUUCCUGGAAGUCUUGCAAGCAGACUAUCUUAACGAAGUCUACAAUGGAAGCAGAACUCGCAGCAUUAGACACUGCUGGGGCUGAGGCCGAGUGGCUUCGUGAUUUCCUAUUGGACUUACCGGUAGUUGAAAAACCGAUACCGGCUAUUUCCAUGAACUGUGACAACCAAACGGUGAUUACAAAGGUUAACAGUUCUAGGAAUAACAUGAAGUCUACAAGGCAUGUUAAGAGGAGAUUGAAAUCUGUCAGAAAGUUGAAAAACUCCGGAGUUAUAACUGUGGAUUAUGUCCACACAUCGAAUAAUCUAGCAGAUCAAUUCACUAAGGGUCUAUCACGCAAUGUGAUAGAAAGUGCAUCGAGGGAAAUGGGUAUGAGACCCAUGUGAGAUCUACUCUAGUGGUAACCUGCUCUAUGUGAUCGGAGAUCCCGUGAAGUAGAGUGGAGAAACAAGCUAGGAGUAGAUUGUGAGGAAAGAUCCCUUCUUUAACUCAUUUCUGAUGCACAUCUUUCCUAUCUGUAAGGCAGGAUGGUUUUUACCUUAAUGUAUUCCAAGAGUCUUAUAAAGGUGAGAUGUUGUCCUACAGAACAUCUUCUGAGGAAUACACCUAUAUGAGUCAGACUGCUAGUCACAGUCUAUGGGAUUUGGGUAAUCCCUAAAUACUCAUGAAAGGCACUGAAGUGUGACUUAUAUGCUUCUAACAGCGGGAAUACCCUUCUGCAGCCUAGUAUCAGCAAAGGAUUUGAGUGAAUCUUAUUUCGCACAAAACUGUCAAUUCAAGGCAUAGUCCAUUGUUCAGUUGUGAAUAAGUGAAACUCUUAUUCUAGAUGGAUGUUCAACUUAACAGUCUCCAUCGAAACACUGGUAUAUCAAAGGAUUGUGAUUCUGAUACUUCAUCAUUACAAACCCUAGAGUUUGGUGGGGAUUGUUGGAUCUUUUAUGGGCUUGGCCCAUUUAUUGAAUAAACUCUAUGGUGUGUAAUGGUGGAGAAUACUAAUAGUACCACAUUGGAAGUCCAAGGGUCUUUUGCCUUGACUUAUAUGGUGGGAUUUAUUCCACUUAACUUGAGAAGUCAAGAAAUGGACAAGGGCGUGCCACACGCGCGCGCGCGCCGCCACCGCCGCCGGCCGGGCCAGGCGUGGCGUGGCGAGACGUGGCGUGGCGUGGCGAGGCAGGCAGGCAGGCGAGCGGGCGUGGUGUGGUUGUGUUAAUUUUUUAGCACUCACUAACCGCGUAUGUCAGCCGAGUGACCCUGUCUCUUCGUCUGCCGAGUGACCCUGUCUCUUCGUCAGCCAGCCGAGUGACCCUUCUCCUUCAGCUGCCGACUUAUGGCGUGACUCGGCGAGAGCUGGCCGACUCAUGGCAUAACUCGGCUAGAGCUGGCCGACUCUUGGCGUGACUCGGCGACCUUUCUCCUUCAGCUUCCCUCUGCGAGAGGUUAAAUAGAUGAGCACCCAUGUCACUCGGUACACGCGAGAAACACUUUCAGUCUCACAAUCCAGCCGCCGAGUGAGGGUAUUUCCAUCUCGUGACUCUGCGCGCACAGAGUAGCGAGAGGGCAGGUGCCUCCGAAGCCGGUGCCGUUCGAGACCUUGCACGGGGGAUCGGCAAUUAGGUUUUUGGGGAGCGUCUACGCGACUGCCCAAAACAUCUUCAACAUGACAAAGGAAGCUGGCCAAGGAUCUGGAUCAUCAGAGCGCAUAGGAGGGUAUGAUCAGUUUAUUUACUUACUGUUUUGUGUUCUGGAGAUUAUAUAUGUUUCAUAUUUUCAUCUAUGCUGUUUCAUAGUUACGAAUGAUUUUAUCUUAUCUGUUCUGUCUUAUUAUAAUAUGAUAGAUCUGUCUGUUUUAAUUUUUCAGUCAUGCUAUUUAAGUUUCUAUCUGUUUACUUUCAUUUGUUUAGUCAGUAUACAUGUUUAUCAUAUUUAUAUGAUUUAUAUAAUUCACAUGCUCUAUGUUCUCUUGAUUCAUACUGGUAUGGAUCAAUUUGAGAUCACAAUUUCUAUGGUUAAUUAUUUGUUAUAUGUCAUCAUCAUAAUGUUGAUUUAUGGAAUUAAAAUAAUACGGAAAAUGCCUAUAUUUCUAACAGAGCGUCCUGCCGAGGUCUCUCCAUGGCCGACGCUCGGACUGCGUUAUUUCCUGCAGGCUGCCGCGCCCUACCCUCUGUUCUGCUCGCUGGUCCGAGCUCGCCCAGCUCAGCCACUCUUCUCUACUCGUCUAGUCUGCGCGCCGUCCCAUCCCCUCUCUGUCCGGCCAUGGCCGCUGUGCCGAGGCCUCCUUCCCCCCUCGCAGUUUUUCCCCUGCUCGGAGUUCCUCCCAUAGCAACCGCUCGUCCGUUUCCCUGAUGCUCGCCGCGCGCUUCUCUGUUGACCGGCGCGAGCCCUUUCUCUAAUGUUUUCCUGCUCGUCCGUCCGCUGCUCCGACGUCGUUCUCGGGUCGACCGUCGGCAGCUCCCCGGCUUCCGUCGUGCUCGGCAGCAAGUAAUUCAUGUCGAAGCAGCAGCUGCGAUCCCUUGCGUCAGCUCGCCAGACCUACAGCUCUAUAUAUGUCACUCUCUCGUAUCGUCGUCGAGCCCGGCGAACCUCGUUCAUCUCUGCUCGAUCUCGUCGCUCGAUCUCGUCGAACCACGAAUCCCGGACUUCAGACAAAAAUAAGCGAGGUCCCUGUGCAUCGCUUAUCAAGUACUCGGUCGAAGACUUCAAUCGAAGAUCGUCGUCAUUCCGUGCGUCAUCAAGAAAUCCCAAGAAUCGGGCGAAGACGAAGCUAGCAGCGCGAUAUUUCCCAAACGCUCGACAAAUUGCCUGGAUCGGAAAAUCGCUACCGAUCUCGUGGAUUCGUGUCAGCUGUGGAAACGGUAAGCUGAUAAAUUAUUCAGAAUAGUUCGAUCGAUGAAUAAAUUAAUAUGCUAGUGCGAUGCUCAUUAAGGUGCUCGAUAAAUUGCUUAAGUCACGAAACUCUCGUCGACUUCGCAGUUCUUGCGAUUAUCGAGCCAGGUUCAGUUAUAGCGAGUUAUUUCGCUAUUCCGGCCAAUUAGCGGAAUUAGUGUACCGAAUAGAAUAUUAAUAGGCCUGUGUGAUGAGGAAAUAGUUUAAUCACUUAUACAGAUGUGUAUAUAUUUACGAUAAAGAAAUAUUUAAGUAAUUGUUGACAUGAAAAACAUGUGAGGAGUAAAAUAAAAUUAAAAUAGUUCUUUGUGAGCGAUGUAGAAUAAUUCAUAAAACGAGGGAUAAGUUUAGAAUUCAAUUAAUUAACUGAUAAGUUGUGGUUAGGCUAAUUGUAUUAAAGGUGUAUAAUUUGUUGUUUUGUGAUGUUCGCAUUAGGUUCGAUUAAUCUAGAGAAGCGUAAUUAUUGCGCGUAGUCAUAUAUUAAUAACUAGUGUUUCCGUACAAAACUGUACAACGCCUCGCCGCUAGGUGUUUAAAUUCGCCAUCACGUAGCACUAUUUAGGGUUUUUGAUAUUCGUGUCUAUAUGCAUUCAUGUGCAUAAUGCAUUUCAUUCAGGUGCGAUAAUUAAUCACGUGAUGCGGAAGAUGACCCAAGUCGACCCCAAGCGCGGGCUACUCCGCAUGGUGAAGCUGAAGGACGAACGCAAGGAUGGAUGACCUGACAAGUGCCAAAACAAAGAAUGGUCGUCAAGUGCUCAUCGUCUAACAACACUAACCUAGUGUUACCCACGCAAGCCCCGGUGCAUGCAACCCCUUCCUUGUGUUUUUAAAUAAUUUUUGCACACUUUAAGUCUAGUGAAAUGUGCAUUAGGUUUAUAGGAGUUGCUUGAAACCCUUUGAUGCAUUACCUUCCUUGAUAUCCAUACCUAUAUAGAUACUUCUGGUGAAGUAUCAAAAUAUGAUUUACAAAAAUGCUUAGCCCUGCUUAGAUCUUGUGGUUAGAGGUUGUCUUUUGCAAUACUGCCCAGCUCAGGGGUUAUCCUGAGGAAGGAUGGCUUCUAACUGCAAGAAUAUAUUUUCAUUGGAAGCAUGGUGGGACCUUACUGCAAAGUUCCCUGUGAUGCUCUUUUCAUCCUAAGGAACACAAACAAUCCUAAGGAUGGAAGUACUUAAAUCGGGACUUGGGCUAGGAACAGGUGAUGUUCUACCCAGGUUGAUUAAGGAUUGGAUGCGUAUGUAGGCUUGAUGAUCGAGGACCCUUUAACUGGUCACAUGCCUCGUCAUGGGUAAGUUUUGCCUCGGGCAGACUAAGGCCAGAAUAAGAUAACACGAAAUGGGCGUGGAGCGGUGGCGAGAGUAGCGUGUACCCUCUGUAGCAAGAGGCUGGACGCUGGUGUAUCUGUGCUCUCGGUUUGCGUGAACCUGAUCUGGUCUUAAGAACCCCAGUGGCGGGUUGACAUAUGCAAGGGUUAAGUGCUACAUAUGUCGUGUGAUCAGAGAUCCUCAGCUGAGUAUAAUCGAUUCGGAUCGCCGUACCUUCGCGGUUAUGAAGACUUGGUCACUGACCUACAACCUAAGUCAGGAUGUGAACCUCAUGAAUAAAAAUGAUGUUGUAUUGAUGAGAUGGUGAAAGUAGACCAUAUGCAAACAGAGUCUAUUAAUAUUUAAUCUGGCGUUAAAAUAUUGAAAGUAAGGACUCACUUUAGUACGCUAUUUCUGCAAAAGUAUCUAAGUUGAUUUUUGCUAAAGCCUCUCCUUGAUUCCCAAUUCCAGCAUACCCUUGAGAGUCUUUUCCUUAGUCGGGUAAGACUUGCUGAGUAAUUCCAUACUCAGGGUUUUAUUCCCUGUUGUUUUUCAGGUUUUAAUUUUGUGCUGCUGUUGAUGGUGUUAAGUGCCGGUGGGCUCGGCCUUCUUAUAAGUCUAAGUACUUCUUCUAUACUUCUUAUUGAGGAUAGUCACUUGAGCUAGCAUAUAUUUCAAACUUAUACUUUUGUAAUCACUCCGAUAAAAAAAUGUAAAAUUUUUAUAACCUAUAAAAUUUGGUAAUAAGAUUUCCGCUGCAGAAAUGUUGUGUGUGUGAUUUGUGUUACUUAAUCCCGCGGUUCUGGUUGUAUGUGGUUUAUCCGAUGUCCUUGGGGCAAUCGGAUGGAUCCUGUUAAGUUAUUUAGUGCACAUGUAUAGCUGUUUGAGGUCUUUGAGACAAGGACAUGUGCAUGUGGGCCCAAUAACUUGGGAGGUUCUGCCACACAGCUGCAGCUGCAGAGAAGGUCAUGGCCGCAGCGCCUGACAAAGGGAAAAAGAUUGUUGAUGCUGCUACAGAAGAAAAUGACUUUGACCUUCGGAACCUGGUGGGUCAAGAAUUGUCCGAGGCUGAGAAGAAGGAGCUACAGGAAUAUGGUCCUGUGGCUACCAGCCAGAAGCUAUGCUCUUUGGUGGAAUCGACGCAGGGGCCUUAGGAUGCAUUCGAGACCGCGCGAGGGCAAAAUAAUCGGCACUCUAUCGAAGAAUGUUGGUUUCCCGAAGCUUGAAGCUAAUAUUAGCGGCUACCGGCGACAACAUAUCAUCGGCAGUCUAUUUUACUCCAAUUUCAAGGUAAAAUUCCUUUUGCUAGGUUUCUUUUAUUUUUGUGAUGAAACAAAAUUUUCUGAUGCUGGCUUGUUUCUAUGGAGUAUGCUGCUAAGUAAGACACUGAGAAUGCAACAAGACCUCGAAGACAAGAAAAAUGAAACCAUAAUCGAGGGCUUGGAAAAUAAAAUCAAGGAUUACGAAGCUUCUCUGGAGAAGAAAGACUUUCUACUUCAAGCAACAUAGGGCUCGCUUGCAGAAAUCCAAGCUGAAAAUGUUAGAUUAAGCGAGGAGCUUCUCCAAAGUCGGACAACGUUGAAAGAAAAAUCAAAGAACUUCGACCAAGAGAAGAAAGAUCUGCAAGCGAAAUACGAGGCCGAAGCUGACAAGAAUACGAAGCUACAGAAAUCUUUGGAAGACCUUCGAGAUACGUGCUUGAAUUUAGGUAGCAGCUGCGUGCAACGGUUGAAAAAGGUCUUCAGCUCGGUUGGGGCUAGCUCUGAAGAUAUUACACCUUCGGCUGAAGACAUACCAAACACCUUCGCACAUAUUGAAAAUAAAGUUGAUGCACUUGAUGAAGUGAUAGCCGGUCAUGGUGACUUUUGUGCCUUGCUAGCUUCUCGCGGCACAGCUGCCGCAUUUUUUAAGGCUGGUUGCACACACGCAAAAACGGUAAAUAGAUCAACCUUCAGUCUAUCUCCAACAGAUUUGAUUGAUAUUCCCAGUGAAGCCCGAAGCAUCGGAAACAGAUUUAUAACUCAAAUUUGGGCUAAGGGUGGACGAGAGUUGGCUCGGGACGAAGCCCGAACUUGCUUAAACCGGUACGGAACAUAUACUUGUUGCUUGCCUUGACUCUUGUAAUUACUUUUUACCUUAUACUGUUAUUUGUCUGCAGGAUGGUGGUGCCGAAGGUUGAUAAUCUGAAGCACAUUCUGAAGGCUGCUGAAGCUUCUCUUUAGUCCUGCCUGUAUAGAGCUUAGAAACAUUUGUAUUAUCUUUGCAAAAAGCUGUAAUCGAGAACCAAACAAUACGGUGUAUAUUUGUCCAUACCUUGUAAUAUAUUUUUACCUUUUCAUCUAUGUACAAGUUGCUUUGAUGUGGACGAAACUUGUAUCUUUUGAGCCGAAGGCGAAAAACACCUUCCCUUCUUUUCGUACACAACGAAGCAUGUCCUUGUAUAGAAUGUAUAUGUUUGAAACGAAACUUCGUGUUUAUCAAGCAUUGUUGUCGAAGCUGGAGUAUUUCUGUUCAUGCUUCAUGUUAUGAUGAUGAUGAUCCUACAAAUGUCUAAAUGAAUUUCUGUAUGAAUGCAAUGAAUGAUGUAAUGUAAUGUGCAAAUGAAUGUCCCAUACACACACAAAGCCACACCCAGACUCUGCAUCCCCUUAGGAACGACUUUUGAGUCUUUACGCUCUGCAUCCCCUUAGGAACGACUUUGGAGCUUCUUCACCUUCUAUUUUGGUGGCAUUUAAGCUUUGCAUCCCCUUAGGAAUGACUUUGGAGCUUCUUCACCUUAUAUUUCGGUGGCAUUUAAGCUCUGCAUCCCCUUAGGAACGACUUUGGAGCUUCUUCACCUUAUAUUACGGUGGUAUUUGGCUCUGCAUUCCCUUAGGAAUGACUUCUGAGCUUCAGAACUUACGCUGCGCUCCCUUGGGAACGACUUCUGUAGCUUCGAAACUUACGCUACGCUCCCUUAGGAACGAUUUUUUGCAGCUUCGUCAUCCUUUGUGGUGAUUACAGCUCUAUAUCCCCUUAGGGACAAUUUUUGAGCUUCUCCCUGUUUUCUUUUGCACUCGAUGGUGCAGGCUCUGAUUUUACAUAUUACAUCAUUGGGGGAUUUUGGCCCUUGUAUUACGUAAGGCUAAAUAAGAAUGAAAAUUACAAACUAUGGCCCCAUUAAAAACCUUUCUCUCCUCCUAAAAGUAAAAGGGUGCCAUAGGAAAAAUGAAAAAGAUUUCAUUAAUUACACAUAGUAUCGUCAAAGCUCAUCCGCAUUUCAAGAUCUGGGUAUGUCGUUGCCAUCCAUAUCCUUCAAUCUAUAAGAACCGAGUCUCGACGAAGAUACUACCAAAAAAGGACCUUCCCACUUCAGCUGUAACUUGCCCAUUGUAUCUGGAUUGGCCAUUCUCCGAAGCACCAAAUGACCUGGCUUGAUGUUUUUCAAUCGAACUUUUCUAUCACGCCAUUUUAUUGUUUCAGCCUGAUACUUAUUGAUGUGUUCUAUGGCCUGAAGUAUGGUCCCUUCUAUAGUAUCUUUUGUUAUUUGGUAACUAGCUUUGUCUUCCGCUGAAGCUGUUGUUCUUAUUGAUCCUGUUUUUGCUUCUUCUGGUGUUCUCGCUUCGUCACCAAACACGAGCUUAAAAUGUGUAAAACGUGUUGACCUUGAUACAGUUGUGUUGUGGCUCCACACCACUUUAAUCAGCUCAUCUGGCCACUUUCCUUUGGGCUGGUUGAAGAUUAACUUCAUUAUUCCUGUCAUUAUGAUUCCAUUUGCUCUUUCGACCAAUUCAUUUGAUUGUGGAUGCCUUACUGAUGCAAAAUGAAUUUUUGUACCAAUUCGGUCGCAGAAAUCUUUGAAUGUUUCGGCAUCAAAUUGUGUUCCAUUGUCCAUAGUUAUUGCCUUUGGCACGUCGAAGCGACAAACAAUGUUUUGCCAAAAGAAUUUCUGUACUGUGGCCAAAGUUAUUGUGGCUAAGGGCUUUGCUUCGAUCCACUUAGAGAAAGAUUCCACUGCUACAACGACAUAUUUCAAAUUUCCUUGUGCAGGUGGAAGUGGACCUAACAAAUCCAAACCCCACCUUUGUAGUGGCCAAGUUGGCUGUAUUAACUGGGUUAGAGACGAAGGUUGCUUCUGGUCCUUUGCACAUCUUUGGCAAUUUUCACAUUUUUGAACCAGGUCUGCUACAUCUGAAGUUGCCUUCGGCCAGUAAAAUCCUUGUCUGAAAACCUUCCCCAGCAAGGGCCUAGACCCAAUAUGAGAUCCACAUAAACCUGCAUGUAUUUCCUUCAUCAGAUCUUGACCUUCGGUUCUGGAUAAACACUUAGGUAGUGGAGAGCAGACUCCAUUUUUAUAUAACUCCCCUUCUAUUAUCACUGUUGGGGACUUGUUCUCAAAUGCUAAGAGUUAAGAACAAGGCAACAUAAAAAGUGUUAAAUAUUAAGGUCCUUCGUCCUUCAAGACAUUAUGUCCCUUCGGAUAUAAUGAAUUUCGGACGAAGGUUGUGAAGGAAAAACCUUCGUAAGCACAAUAAAUGAUAAGGAAGAAUUCACACACGAAAUACGAAAAAGAAUAUAAACAUUAUCAUCAACUUAUUUUUAUUUGCAUUACCAUAUCCAGAAUAGUAAAUUAUAAAUGUACCUUUGGUUUAACGGAAAGUAAGGGUAUAGGCGUGAUGCAAAAAGCGAAUGCCAAGUCAACGUGAACAGUACGGGAGUACUGUUCAUCUAUUUAUAGGCAAGGGACGCAACCCAUGUAGAAUUACAUUGAUGCCCUUUACAUUUAUCAAUAACUAUAUAGUAAUUCUUCGAGGUCUAAUUUGCCUUUUCAUCUUUAAGUCGGUUCCCCUUCUCUGCUGUCAUGCCGAAGCUUUUCUGCGCACAGCUUCGUGAUCACCUUAUCCUUCGUCAUAAUCACCUUUCGUCUCGCUCAGGCUUCGUCCUGACCAUGCUCUUGUAUACUCAUGACCCGAUUCCGAAGAUACUUGUUCACAUAUUUCACUUGGAAAACAUUGUCAAAUCAUGUUUUUGAGGACCUUCGGAAGCCGAAGGCCCCCAACAGUAGCCCCUCGCAAUAUUAAUUUGCUAGAAUAAUAAAUUCAGAUUGCGAUAUGGACGAAGGCCUUAAGCCGAAGGUCCGAAAAAACACCUUUCCUUUGCUAGAAUAGCAACAGUCAAUGACAAGUGGGACCCUCCAGUUUUUAACGCACUAGGUGUAUAAAUAAGAGCUCACCACGAGUUCAUUUGGCACACUUUCUUGCCAUCUGCUCUUGCUCACUCGACUUUUAGCUCUUGCGCAACAACACUUGCUUGGCUUUUUAAAUUUUUAAGCUUCGGUUUCGAGAGCACUUUCUCAGCAUUUUCGAAGAUGUCUGAAGAUAAGAAAGCUGUUGCUGAAUCAAAGCUGAGCCUUUCUAAGGAGAUGCAUCUCGGCUUUCUUCAAUCAAUAGCAAAGACAAAUACAGAGAAGAUUACUAGGGAGAUUUUAGAGGGUUUAUCUGAAGACACUAGUGAUAGUGAUAGUUAUGAUGUGGAUAGUGGUGGUGAAGAUUCCGAAGAUCGACCUUGGCGUCCAAGCCAUGCAGUUUUUGGGAAAUCAAGUAUUAAACAAAGCCAUCUUGUCAAUAUGAGGGGUAGAUAUUUUCGGGACUUAUCUAUUGUGAGGGCUGACGAAGGAGAAAAAACUUGUCUGACUCCUAAGGAGAAUGAAGUCGUGAUAUUCCGAAGCUUCUUAAAGGCUGGACUGCGGUUUCCCUUGAUCAGUUUUGUCGUGGAAGUACUGAAGUUAUUUGAAAUCUGCCUUCAUCAAAUUACUCCCAAAGCAAUCAUAAGAAUGGGCAUCUUCGUCUGGGCCGUGAGGAGCCAAGGUUUAGAACCAAAUGCAAAAAGUUUCUGCAACAUACAUGAGCUAUUGUAUGAGACAAAACCUUGGGGUAAAGAGCAGUAUCACAACAAUUUUGGCUGCUACAGCUUCGGUGCCCGUUCUGGAUCAAGCUGUCCCGUGCCAACCUUUCGAAAGAGAUGGCCCGGCGACUGGAUGACGGAAUGGUUUUAUGUGAAGAAUGAUUUGAAAACACGGGAAGAUAUUAAGUAUAUCAUUAUGCGCCCUAUCUGGCAACGCUUCGGCCUCCGGAGGCCGAAGGUGGAAAUGGAUGAAGCAGCCGAAGAAUGCCAGAGAGCCUUCGGCGUGGUUUGCUCUUUUAUUGGGACAAGGGAUUUGAUCCAAGAACACAUUGCCUUCAGAGUAUGGCCACUUGCAGAAAAGUGGGAAAUGCCGAAGGAAACCGUCAGGGAACCUGACGAAGGUGGACUAGUUAGACUAAAAUACACAUUCAAAUACGGAGAUAAGUUUGUCGAGCCAGAUGAUGACUGGCUGAAGAGUAUUGAGGCCAUAAGUGAUGAACUGCUUGGAUCAUAUUCGAAGGCCGAAGACACUGCACUAUCAGCGGCCUUCGGAGGCCAAAAGAAGAAGAGACUCAACCGAGUAUUUGAUGCAAUUGGGUUUGUCUACCCCGACUACCGUUAUCCAACACGGGGUCAAAAAAGAAAGAAUACAUCUUCCGCGAAGGAAAUUGCUUCAGCCGCUCCUAGCGAGCCGGCGCCGAAGAGGAAAAAGAUGAAGGUUCUCACACACCGGCCACGCUAUAUUGAACCGGCCACAGUGCCUGAGUUUGUCGGUGAGACCUCUUCGGCCACCGAAGCCAAGGAGCCGACUCCCCUUGCGAAUGUUGAAGAGUCAGCCAAAGUGCCAGCGACGGAAAAAAUAGAAGAACCGAGGGCUGAAGAAACAAAGUCAUCGGAAAUUCUAAGUCCUUCAGCUAGAAUGGAGGUGCCAAUGCCAAUGCCGAUGACGACCCCCAAGAGGAGAAGAAUGGUUAACGUGCUGGAUGUGUUGGAGACAAUAAAGUCUUCAAGCACAACCCUGAAGAAAAUUGUUAAAACUUCCGAAGUGCAAAUCGAAGCCUCUGGUGCCGAAGCUUCAAAGCACCAAUCUGAGACUGAAGCUGGGCCUUCAGAGCCCACCAAGGUAAAAUCCUUGGAAGCCGAAGAAACAGAAACAUCAGAACAAAUUUUGGCUGAAGAAACUGGCACUGCCGCCCCCGAAGCAUUUUCCGAAGCUUUCGAUUAUAUUUUACGACAUGCUUCGGGGAAAAAGUUGACUGAAAAAGAAAAGCAAGAGGCCCAGUUUUACGCUCAAAAACUAAAAUAUCCAAAGGGGGCGUUGAUAUUCAACGGUAGCGGAGAAGAAGACUUCUUGUAUUGUUUCCCUGACAGCAAGGAGAUUUCUGUCUGUCGGGAGAUGAGCAAGAGCUUCGGAUUCCCAACAUUAGAAGACGGGCUAUCGGUGUUGUCGAAAAACGAGCUGGCCGACAGCUUGGCGUACAAUAGCUUAAAGGUGCAAAAAUGAGAUUUUUGUAUUAUUCGUUGAAACCAAAAAUUUUCGUUUGCUUGAACUUAUUGACGCACACACAUUUUUUGUGCAGGGCCUUAUACUUAGCAAUGCCCUCAGGGCCCAAAAAGAUGCCGAAGACGAAGGGUGUGUUAUGGCCCUGAGCAACCUUCGUUCUGAAGUAACUGAACUAAGGAACGAAGGUCUCGAAAAAGAUAAAAUAUUACAUUCAUUGGUAAAUAGAAUAAAAGAAGACGAAGCUACUUUUAAAGCUCAAGCUGAGGCUCAGAAGCGUGAAAUUGAAGAUCUUCGAAAACAACUAGCCAGAGCUAAAGAGGAACACACACUUGAAGAAACAAAACGAGAAAUCAGUGAACAAUGGGAAUCAUUUGGAAAAAAGCAUUGAAGAGCUUCGUGCAUCUAAGAAAGGAUGCUAUGAAAAAUCUAUAGAAUGUGUUAAGAAAGUAAGAACCAGCUUCGCCAGCGUUGGCGCUUUCUCCAGCGAAGAGAACUACAUAAGGGGUGACCCCGAAGGCCCAAUUGCAUGGAUCAGCCACGAAGCUGAAGCCUUUGAAGAAAUUUUGAAUAGUCGUGGAGACAUAUGUGCCUUUUCGGGUGCCAGGGGGAUUGCUACCAUUUUGGAGAGGAAAGGUUGUGACCAUGUAAAAUUCUUAGAAAAAUCCGAAGCCGCCUUAUCCUCUGAAGAUAUAAAAGACCCUUCGGCCAAAGCGAGCUUGGUCGGUGGAAAAAUUUUCACCGACAUCUGGGACAAUGGUGGUCGGGAAAUGGCCCAGGAAAUUAUACGAAAAAGCGAGAAAGACAUUCAUGACGCUAGAAAAGUAGCAGAGGCCGCUGAAAAAAGUGCGGAUCCCGAAGGGCAAAUAGGUAUUGACUAGUGGUUUUUGGCUCUUUGUUGUAAUUUUUUAUUUCUGACUUGUUUACAUUUUGUAAUAAAGCCGUACUUUCUCCUCCCUCAGAGCCUACCGAGCCAUCGGCGGACCCCCACGCGAAGGGGGACGACGAAAUUAGAAAAAUGGCUGAAGCCAUCAUGGAUAAAGUUGUUGAUCAGCUACUAAACGAAGCUGCAGAAAUAGUUCUAAGGGAAGAUUAGAUGUUAUUGUAAAAAUAUUUAGAAUGUAAUGUUUGUUGAGAAACAUGUGUAAUAUUUUGUAACUUUGAAUGUAAUAUAUUAGCUGUUUAUGGUUCUAUUCUUUACAAUGCAUGAAACUUCAUAUACAUACCGUUUUUGAGCCUUCGGCGAAAAAACACCUUCCCUUCUUUUCAUGCUUCGUAAAUAAUAUCCGUGUUCUCAUAAAAUCAGUAACCAAUCCUCGUAAAAUCAAUAACCAAUAGAUCUUUCCAUUUCAGAGUUUGACGAAGGUAUAACUCUUCAAUAACUAUUUUUGUGCCCUGGCACUAUUUCUUCGAAACAACCUUCGAAUAUCAAUACUGAGACCCCCUUCUUGCGUCGUUGAUGCAAUAUGAUGUAUGAUGUUAUGCUAUGCAAAUGAUGUGAUGAUGUGAUGUUAUGCAAAAUGAUAUUUGCCGAAGAUCGAUGUUUUUUCACUGUAAGCCUCCCUUAGGAGCUUCUUCGCCUUUUACUUUCAGCGGAAUCAGCGUUUAUUUUUCGCUGUAAGCCUCCCUUAGGAGCUUCUUCGCCUUUUACUUUUAGCGGAAUCAGCGUUUAUUUUUCGAUGUAAGCCUCCCUUAGGAGCUUCUUCGCCUUUUACUUUCAGCGGAAUCAACGUUUAUUUUUCGCUGUAAGCUCUGCAUUCCCUUCGGAAUGACUUUUGAGCAGAAAACUUACGCUGCGCUCCCUUAGGAACGACUUUUUGUUAUUUCGAAGAUUCACCGUGUAACCAUAAAUUCUUAUGCUUCGGCGACUUUUGGACUCCGUUAUUCUGUGGAGAAGGUAUACUUGUACUAUAGCAAAGUCGAAGAUAUUACAAGAAAUUGAAAACGACAAAAAACACUUAGUCUCAAUAAUUCUUCCUUAUUAAAAAGAAAAUGAUACUGAAUGCAAAAACUGCUGCCGAGGUAGGAUAUUUGUCAAUAAAUGUGCUUCGAUUCUGGCACAGUACUAUUGACUGUGCGAGCUUCGGACUCUUCUCUGAAGUCUCGUUGGUGUUGAGUAUGCUAACUCCCUUCUGGCUGCUGGCCUCGUUGCAUUGGUGGUGGAGGUGGAAGCUGUUGCCAAGAUGCCUGAGAUUGACUUGCCGAGGCAAUAGAAGCUGCAGGGUGGUUACCCACAUACUCUGUGAUAUAGGGCGAGUGGUACGAAGAAGUAUGCAAGACUUGCUUCGGCUGAGACUGUUGGGCUGCAGCUUCUGCUAUUUCUUUUUGUUUUUGGAUGGUAACAUGGCACAUCCUGGUGGUGUGGCCCUUGUCUUCACCACAGAAUAAGCAAUAGAUUUUCCUUGGCUGAUCCCCAAAUCUUCCUCCGAAGUCCCUGGCACCUCUGCCCCUUGGAGCUGGAGGCCGAGGAUAACUCUGCUGCUGCCCCGAAGCCUGAGAAGCCUGGGAGGAAUAUUGCGGCCUCUGCUGCUGGCUUCCCCUGUCAUCAUUCUGGGUGGAAUGAAUCGAUCUGACAUGUCUAGGAUGAAACCACCCUCCAAAGCCCCUGGCUAUUUCGGAGAAUCUGUAAGCUUCCUCCCUUCUCUGUCGAAAGUCGUUGUCGGAACGGAUGUAUUCAUCCAUCUUCUGAAGCAACUUCUCCAGAGCCUGAGGGGGUUUCCUGGCAAAGUACUGGGCCGAAGGUCCCGGCCGAAGCCCCUUGAUCAUGGCCUCAAUGAAAAUUUCAUUGGGCACAGUUGGCGCUUGUGCCCUCAGACGUAAGAAUCUUCGGACAUACGCCUGAAGAUAUUCCUCAUGAUCUUGGGUGCACUGGAAUAAGGCUUGAGCAGUGACCGGCUUCGUUUGAAAUCCUUGAAAACUGGUGAUCAGCAUAUCCUUCAGCUUCUGCCAUGAUGUGAUUGUUCCUGGCCGAAGGGAGGAGUACCAGGUUUGUGCAACACUCUUGACUGCCAUGAUGAAAGAUUUCGCCAUGACUGCAGUAUUGCCACCAUAUGAAGAUAUUGUUGCUUUGUAACUCAUCAGAAACUGCUUCGGAUCUGAGUGGUCGUCGUACAUGGGGAGUUGGGGUGGCUUGUAGGACGGAGGCCAAGGUGUAGCCUGCAGUUCUGCUGAUAGAGGAGAAGCAUCAUCAAAAGCAAAAUUUCCAUGAUGGAGAUUCUCAUACCAGUCAUCUUCGUUGAAGAAGCCCUCCUGAUGAAGCUCUCUGUGCUGAGGCCUUCGGUUCUGCUCAUCUUGAGUAAGAUGGUGAACUUCUUCAGAGGCCUCGUCUAUCUGCCUUUGCAGGUCAGCUAGCCUAGCCAUCUUUUCCUUCUUCCUCUGCACCUGUUGAUGAAGCAUCUCCAUAUCUCUGAUCUCUUGAUCCAAUUCAUCCUCCUGAGGCGUUGGGCUGGUGGCCUUCCUCUUCUUGCUUCAGGCCUCCCAAAGAGAGAGAGUCUCCUGGUUGGGAUCCAGUGGUUGCAGAGCUGCAGCCCCUGUUGCUGAAGCUUUCUUCGGCGGCAUGACGAAGGUCUAUGCUUGCCGAAGGUGUUCAAAACUCAAAAAGUGGAAGUGAGUUCACCGGAGGUGGGCGCCAAUGUUGGGGACUUGUUCUCAAAUGCUAAGAGUUAAGAACAAGGCGACAUAAAAAGUGUUAAAUAUUAAGGUCCUUCGUCCUUCAAGACAUUAUGUCCCUUCGGAUAUAAUGAAUUCUGGACGAAGGUUGUGAAGGAAAAACCUUCGUAAGCACAAUAAAUGAUAAGGAAGAAUUCACACACGAAAUACGAAAAAGAAUAUAAACAUUAUCAUCAACUUAUUUUUAUUUGCAUUACCAUAUCCAGAAUAGUAAAUUAUAAAUGUACCUUUGGUUUGACGGAGAGUAAGGGUACAUGUGUGAUGCAAAAAGCGAAUGCCAAGUCAGCGUGAACAGUACGGGAGUACUGUUUAUCUAUUUAUAGGCAAGGGAUGCAGCCCAUGUAGAAUUACAUUCAUGCCCUUUACAUUUAUCAAUAACUCUAUAGUAAUUCUUCGAGGUCUAAUUUGCCUUUUCAUCUUUAAGUCGGUUCCCCUUCUCUGCUGCCAUGCCGAAGCUUUUCUGCGCACAACUUCGUGAUCACCUUAUCCUUCGUCAUAAUCACCUUUCGUCUCGCUCAGGCUUCGUCCUGACCAUGCUCUUGUAUACUCAUGACCCGAUUCCGAAGAUACCUGUUCACAUAUUUCACUUGGAAAACAUUGUCAAAUCAUGUUUUUGAGGACCUUCGGAAGCCGAAGGCCCCCAACAAUCAAAUAUGGUCUUGUUCUUGCUUCCAUCCUUUUAUUAUAAACUUUGUCAUCCGAAAGACAGUUUCCUUGGAGGAAAGAUAUAAUCUCAGUCCUCCAAUCUUCACUAUGCACGGGUGAUAUUGCAAGCACUGCUCUCUCCAUAAGUUCGACUGAAGGUGCUUUUAUUGUCUCAAAGAACACUUCCGAAGGCAAAGGGAGCCCCUGUGCUGCUGAUUUAGCUAGCAAAUCUGCAUGCUCAUUUUCCCCCUUGGAUAUUUUUACAGAAAAUCCUUCGAAAGAAGCCUCCAAUCUUCGGACUGCAUCCAAAUAUUUUUCAAACUUCGGAUCCCUUGCCUUGCUGCUUUUGUCCACAUGGCCAGAGAUAACUUGGGAAUUAGUUUUGAGGAUUGCCCUUCUUAUUCCCAUUUCCUUUAGCUUCCGAAGCCCUAACUGAAGAGCUUCAUAUUCGGCAAUAUUAUUUGUACAACUAAAGUCCAGCUUUACUGUGUAGCAUGUCCUGACCUUGGAGGGCACUACUAGAACAGCAGCCGCUCCAGCGCCGAAGGUUCCCCAAGAACCGUCACAGAAUAUUGUCCAGGCUUCGACAUCUUUUGUUGUUUCUUCUCCUUGAGCCCCUAGCGUCCAAUCAGCAAUGAAAUCUGCUAAUGCCUGAGAUUGAAUUGAGGAUCUAUGUACAUAAUCAAUGGUGAAUUCAUUGAGUUCUGUAGCCCAUUUUCCAAUUCUUCCUGUAGCUUCUCUGUUUCUCAUUAUGUCCUUCAGAGGUUGGGAUGAAGGGACUAUUAUACGAUAUGCUUGGAAAUAGUGCUGAAGCUUUCUGGAGGCCAUUAACACAGCAUACAACACCUUCUCCAAUUAUGUGUAAUUUUUCUUUGAUAAAGUAAGUACUUCGGAGACGAAGUAUACCGGUGCUUGUCUUUUUACUUGGCCAUCUUGCUUCUCCUGUACAAGUGCUGCACUGACUGCAGAAUGGGAGGCAGCCACAUACAGGAGCAGCGGAGUUCCUAAUGAAGGUGGAGUUAAAGUUGUCAAGUCUAUCAGGUAUUGCUUCAACUCUUCGAAAGCCUUCUGUUGAGCCGGACCCCAUUGAAAAACUUCGGCUGACUUUAGUAUUUCAAAGAAGGGCAGAUUCCUCUCUGCUGAUCUUGAUAUAAAUCUAUUCAGCGAUGCCAGCCUUCCUGCCAGUCAUUGAGCCCCCUUCUUUGAAUUUGGCGGCUCCAUCCGAAGGAUAGCUUCGAUCUUACUUGGGUUAGCUUCGAUACCCUUUGUUGAGACCAGGCAGCCAAGAAACUUGCCUUCUUUACUCUAAAGACACACUUUUCUGGAUUUAACUUGAGACCAGCUUGCCUGAAAUUGGCAAAUGUCUCAUGCAAAUCGGCAAUGUGAUUUUCUUGUCUCAUGCUUUUUACUAUGAUGUCGUCAGCAUAAGUUAGCACAUUCCUGCCUAUUUGAGAGUGAAGAACCUUGGCUGUCAUUCUGCUGAAGCUUCCUCCAGCAUUUUUGAGCCCCUCAGGCAUCCGAAGGUAACAAUAAGUACCACUGGGAGUUAUGAAGCUUGUUUUUGGCUCAUCUUCUUUCUUCAUCCAAAUUUGGUGAUAGCCCGAGUAGCAGUCCAAUAAGCUCAUGAGUUCCGAAGAAGCUGCUGCAUCUACAAGGGAGUCUAUUCUUGGCAAAAGGAACUCGUCCUUCAGACAUGCCUUGUUGAGAUCUGUGAAAUCAAUACACAUUCUCCAUUUCCCAUUAGCCUUCUUCACCAUAACAGUGUUGGCUAGCCACUCUGGAUAUGUUACUUCUCUAAUGACGCCAGCACUGAGAAGUCUCUUUACUUCAUUCCGAGCACCUUCGGCUUUAUCCUCAGACAUUUUCUGAAGUCUUUGCUUUCUUGGCCUGAAAGAUGGAUCCACAUUGAGUGAAUGCUCAAUGAUGUCUCUGUUAACACCACAGAGAUCGUUAGCUGUCCAAGUGAAGACAUUCUUGUUGUUGAACAAAAAUCUUAGCAGGGUCUUUUCUUGUUCACCAGAUAGCUGAGAUCCCAGCAGUACCCUCUGGUCUGCUAUAUCUUCACACAGGAGCAUAGGCUUCGGUUGGUUUGCCGAAGCAGCCUUCUCUCUUUUGUGUUUAUAUUGCUGACAAGCCUCGGCUCCAUCUAUGUUAUGGAUCGCCUUUGAAUCCGUCCAACUCCCUUCAGCCCUCCUAGCAACUUCUUGACUCCCAUGAACAGCAAUGGGCCCUUGUUCCGAAGGUAUCUUCAUGCAUAAGUACGCUGGAUGGAGUAUGGCUUCGAAGGCAUUAAGCGUCCCUCGACCAACAAUUGCAUUGUAUGGGUAUUCUAUGUCAACGAUGUCAAAGACAACUUGUUCAGACCUUGUGUUGUCGACAUAACCGAAGGUAACUGACAUUAUCAUUUUGCCAAGUGCCACAAUCUGUCUUUCUCCGAAGCCACAAAGAGGGUGUGUUGCAUCAUGUAUCUUGUCCUCUAGCUCUUGCAUCUGUCUAAAGGCCUUGGCGAAGAUGAUGUCCGCUGCACUGCCUGUAUCAACCAGAACAUUGUGGACCAGAAAUCCCUUGAUGACAUAAGAUAUAACCAUAGCAUCAUUGUGAGGAUAGUCUUUAGGCUGAAGGUCUUCCUGGGAGAAGGUAAUUGGGAUAUGAGACCACUUGGAUCUGAUGAAGGGUCCUUGCACCCCAACAUGAUGCACUCUUCUUUGUGCUUCCUUCUUCUGCUUCUUGUUGGCUGGUUCUGAACUUGAACCACCUGUGUUGGGAGCACCAGCUUCGUGACCGAAGGUGAUGCAGCUUAGUUGUUGUACGAAGCCAUUGUCACAGUAAGUGGAAGUGAGUUCACCAGAGGUGGGCGCCAAUGUUGGUCACUUGUUCUCAAAAGCUAUGAAUCAAGAACAAGGCAACACAAAUGUUAAUAGUUAAAGACCUUCGUCCUUCAUAUAAUGAUCUUCGGGCGAAGGUCAUGAAGGUCAUACCUUCUUCAUUGCAAUACAUCAAGAUAUAGACAUGAUCGUAUGAAACAUAGAGAAAGCAUGAAUAAUCAUUUCAGAUCAUUAGAUUAUUCAUAUUAUCAUCAUAUAUCUUCGAACAAACAUCAAUGAUAUUAGAUUACAUUUGUACCUUCGACGCUAUAGAAGGUAAGAAUCCGAGAGUGACGUGCGAGUGAUUACAAGUCAGCGUGAAUAGUACGGGGGUAAUGUUCAUCUAUUUAUAGGCACGGGACGCAGCCCGGACAAAAUUACAUUUAUGUCCUUGAUAACUAAUUAUAACCAUGACACAAAUUAUCAGGGACUAAGCGGUCUUUUCCUCUUUAAGUCAGUGCCGCCCUUCGUCUCAAGCGUGUCAUCAUGUCGAAGCUCCUUCGAUUGUAGCUUCGGUAUAUAUCUUCAUGUUGUGCCUGCUUGCAUAUCAUCUUGUCGAAGGUGUUUUUCCUUAGAGGACCUUUGGCGAAGAAGAAGGCCCCCAACUUAACUGCUAAAAUUAAUGAGCAUGAACUUGAAAAUGAAAAGUUUAAAUUUGCUAGAAGCAUGCUCUAUAAUGGGAGAUGCCCUGGCAUUAAGGAUGGCAUUGGUUUCCAACAGGGGAGCAAUGUCAAGCUUAAUGCCCCUAAAAGAUUGUCUAAUUUUGUAAAGGGCAAGGCUCCCAUGGUUUAGGAUAAUGAAGGCUACAUUUUAUAUCCUACUAAUUAUCCUGAGCACAAAAUUAGGAAGAUUCAUGCUAGAAAACCUCAUAAUGUUUCUCACCAUGCUUUUAUGUAUAAAAAUGAGGCUUCUAGCUCUAGUCAUACCACUCACAUUAAAAUGCCUAAAAAGAAAAUUCCUGUCGCAUCAAAUGAGCAUAACAUUUCUUUUAAAACUUUUGAUGCUACCUAUGUGCUUACUAAUAAAUCAGGCAAAGUAGUUGCCAAAUAUGUUGGGGGCAAACACAAGAGCUCCAAAACUUGUGUUUGGGUACCCAAGGUGCUUGUUUCUAACAUCAAAGGACCCAAGACUGUUUGGAUACCUAAGGACAAGGCCUAAAUUUGUUUUGUAGGUUUAUGCAUCCGGUGGUUCAAGUUGGAUAAUCGAUAGUGGGUGCACAAACCACAUGACAGGGGAGAAAAGGAUGUUCUCCUCUUAUGAGAAAAAUGAAGAUCCCCAACGAGCUAUCACAUUCGGGGUUGGAAAUCAAGGUUUGGUCAAAGGUUUGGGUAAAAUUGCUAUAUCACCUGACCAUUCUAUUUCCAAUGUUUUUCUUGUAGAUUCUUUAGAUUACAAUUUGCUUUCUGUUUCUCAAUUAUGUAAAAUGGGCUACAACUGUCUUUUUACUGAUAUAGGGGUUACUGUCUUUAGAAGAAGUGAUGAUUCAAUAGCCUUUAAGGGAGUGCUAGAGGGUCUGCUAUACUUAGUUGAUUUUAAUCAAGCUGAACUAGACACUUGAUUAAUUGCUAAGACUAACAUGGGUUGACUCUGGCAUCACCGACUAGCUCAUUGUAACACCCCAUUGAACCCACACAAUGAAUGUUACCAACAACCCUUCCCCCAAAACCUAUACCACAUAAGAAAGGUAAUAGAGAUAGAAAAUAAAACAAAAUCUGGCACCACCUCCCUUGAAAGUAGCAUAACGAGAGGGACAUAAAGUUUAGACAUAAUGUAAAAGAAAGACAAUCCACGAAGCAUAACAGAAUGCAGAGAUAGUAAUAAACAUUCAUGACCAAAUAAAAGAGAAGGAAACCGGCCAACCCAAAAAAACAAAUUUGACUAUCAUGAAGACUAGAACAUAUUAAUCCCCUAGAUUUGGACCCCUGUUUAACAUCAUUACUAAGCAGUGGUACAUUUAUUUAAAAGUGAAGUGGCCGUGCUGCUACAUCCCUCCUUUCCCAACGGCAAGAUCAAGUGCCUGCAUCAAACAAUGCAAGAGUGAGAUGACACAUCUCAGCAAGUAAAAGGUCAAACAACAAUUGGACUAUGUAAUCAAACCGUGCUUAAACAACCACGUAGCUCACAACUUCCUUCUUGAGUAUUAAUUUGCAGCAAGUAAACAAGUAACCAAUUACUUAGUUCAAAGAAAUGAAUCACCAAGUAAAGACCCACACUAUCCACAUCACCACAACAGGUUCCACACUUCACCCAUGAAUGCACAUGACUACAUAUGCAGUAAUGACUUCUGCAUUCAUACCUCUAGGGUAUGAUGCUGCAUCAUACCCCUCCUCAGGCAACGUAUGAUGUGGAAUGUACUGGUACGGUCGGACCAUAUGAUCACGACAAAACUUACAUGCAAAACAUGAUGUAUGCAGUAUGCAUGACAACAACAUGAGAUCCUCCACCCACAUGUGGUAGACAUAAACUUCCACUUCCUCAAAAUGAUAAAACAACACGUGUUACAUGCUCAACCACAUUUUCAACAUAAGAAAAUAAAGGAACAUGAAUAACUUCGAGCCACAUUUCCCACUAUGGAGUAUAAGUAUGAAUACAUUUGACAUGAAUGUGAUCAAGCAUAGGACACAUAAAUCAAUCAACGGUAUAAACCACCACUAUUUUACUUGCCUUCACCGGGGAGUUUGGACAAAGCCCUAAGUGCGAUCCGGAAGUCCACCACCUGUUUUUGACACACAACUUAGUGCACCAAUUUCAAAUAAUAAUGCUCAUAAACGACGCCGCACCUACACACAAUUUCAAACCCCGCCGCGGUAAUAAUUCUCCCUACACCCACCAAACUGCAGCGGUGCUGCUUAACAAUUUCAUAUCUUUAAAAUUAUGACAGCAGCGGUAACAAACAAAAACUCCAGAGGCAUCUACAUAAAAUUCCCCACAACUUUUAUAUACAAUUUAUAAUUAAAUCCCAACAUCUAAUUAACCCAAAAUCAUCCACAAGGUACAUCCUGCAAUCUGUUUUUUGGACAGCACAUACCCGGAUUCAAACAGCAAUAUCUCCUAAAUUAUAACUCCGAAUCGAACGCAUAAGUGCUCAUUGGAAAGGUAUGACAAAGCUUUACAUGAUUCUCAUAUUGAUUAACCCUAAUUUCCCACGAAAAGUCCCCAGAAACUGCUAAUACUACUGAUGUUCGCCCACCUGCAGAAAUCCGUUUUUUUUGGACAACAACAUACCCGGAUUCAAACAGCGAUAUCUUCUAAAAUAUAAUUCCGAAUCGAGCGCAUAAGUACUCGUUGGAAAGGUAUGACAAAAACAUGAUUCUCCCACUGAUCCCCACUAAUUGCCCACGAAAAAUUCCCAGAAAUCACUAGAACUACUGUUGUUCGCCCACCCACUAAACUUCUGGACAGCAACUCUACCAAUUCGCAUAUGUAAUAUCUAUUCAAUGGAAUUGCAGCACAAAUAAACAAGAGAUAAUCACAAAAAUCACCUUGAAUUCUCUUUUCCUCCUUCCCACCAAUUCUCCAAUCGGAAGUUGCACCCACACGACGAAGAUCCGGCGAGGAAGAACGACACUUGGAGAAGAGGAGAUGGGAGGGGGGUGGCGGCUAGGGUUGAGGGGGUGGGAGGGGGCGGCUGCACAAGGAAGAGAGAAUUAGGGGGGAGGAAAUGGCGGCCAAGGCUAGGGAGAUGGGGGGCGGCAGCACAAGGGGGAGGGGGUUAGGGGGAGGGCGGCUAGGGUUAAGGGGAGGUUAGUGAGCCGGAUCGAGAUUCACGGCCCAACUCGCUCACACGACAGCUCCCGACCCUAGCGCAUAAGUCUAACCAAAAAUAUCCACUGUCCUACUGGUGAAUGCUUCCCAAAAAUUCCAAACCCCCAAAGCGCAUCACCCGAGAGAAAAAACAAAGAAAGAAUAACCUCCACUUCUCUUCUUUGCAAACCGGGUAUCACACUCUACCUCCCUUAAAAAGAAUUCGACCUCGAAUUCUAACGCUUCUAUCAGCACGACAAAAGAAAAAAUUAAUGAAUCAACAACACUUACCCACAACAAAAAGUUCGGGAUUUUUCUGCCGCAUCAGCUCCUCAAGUUCCCACGUAGCCUCGUGCUCAUACUGAUUAGUCCAUAAGACCUUGACAUACUUAAUUGAUCUCUUCCUCAAAACACGCUCCGAGGAUUCCAAGAUACGCACCGGACGACACUCCAGAGUCAGAUCCUGUUGCACAGCAAUUGGUUCCAUUUCGAUCUGAUGAUCUAGGUCCCGCAAGAACUUCCUCAACAUAGAGACAUGAAAUACUGGGUGUACCCCAGCCAUGGAAUCCGGCAAUUGCAGGCGAUAAGCCAAAUUGCCCACCCGGGCCAAGAUAGUGAACGGUCCAAUGUAUCUCGGGCUAAGCUUUCCGGAGAUACCGAAUCGAACAACUCCUUUAGUAGGUGAUACCCUGAGAAGGACUUGGUCACCCACUGCAAAUUCCAAAUUCCGCCUCCUCACAUUAGCAUAACUCUUCUAACGGCUCUGAGCGGCCAAAAUAUUCUGACGAAUUUCCCGAACCUUCUCAGAAGUUUGCUAAACCCAAUCAGGACCAACCAGGGAUCUCUCUCCUAAAGUCUCCCAGCACAGAGGGGAGAUACACCGCCUACCAUAUAAAGCCUCAAAUGGUGCCAUCUUGAUGCUAGCCUAGUAGCUGUUGUUAUAAGCAAACUCUGCCAAUGCAAGAUGAUCCUCCCAGCUACCCUUCCAUGACAGAACACAAGCACGCAACAUAUCUUCCAAGGUUUGGAUCGUUCACUCUAACUGACCAUCCGUCUGAGGGUGGAAAGCGACACUAAGUGAAAGCUUGAUACCCAAUGCACUGUGAAGACUCUCCUAGAAUUUGGAUACAAAUUUGGAGUCUUGAUCAGAAACAAUGGACAUAGGCACCCCGUGAAGCCUGAUUACUUCCUUCAUAUACAAGGGAACCAAUUCUGAAGUUGAAUUUGUGGUCUUCAUGGGAAUAAAAUGCACAGACUUAGUUAAGCGAUCCACUACCACCCAUAUAGCAUCCCUGCCCCGAGGAGAAUGAGGUAAGCCCACCACAAAAUCCAUGGUGAUAUGCUCCCACUUCCACUCCAGAAUUUCCAAUGGCUUCAGUAAACCUGCAGGCCUCUUAUGCUCGGCCUUCACAUGCUGACAUACUUCACAGGCGACCACAUACUUAGAAACGUCAAUCUUCAACCGCUUCCAUUAGAAGUGUUGCUUCAAAUCCCUAUACAUUUUGGUUUCGCCAGGGUGAACGGUGUAAGGAGUUUUAUGAGCUUCUCUCAAGAUAUCCAUCUUCACCUCCGAUUUCUGAAGCACACAAAGACGGCCCCUGAAAUGAACCAAAUCAUUCUCAUCAAUGGUGAACUCCCGGGGUUUACCAUCACCAACCCUCUUUCGAGCUUCCUGCAAUAGACGAUCCUGCUACUGAGCCGCACGCACUCUCUCCAUGAGGGAGGAUUGAAUAAGCAUCCGAGUCUCCUCACUAGUGGUGCUGACAUAGCACAAAGCGAUCCCCAAACGGUCCAGAUCAGCGAUCAAAGGUGAAAGGGAAUUAGGCUUACACCUAGUCCCUAAUUAAUUUUGGUGGUUGAAUUGCCCAACACAAAUAAAUGGACUAACUAGUUUGCUCUAGUGUAUAAGUUAUACAGGUGCAAAAGGUUCACACUUAGCCAAUAAAAAGACAAAGUAUUGGGUUCAACCAAAGAGCAAAGGGACAACCGAAGGCACCUAUGGUCUGGCGCACCGGACUGUCCGGUGUGCCACCGGACAUGUCUGGUGCACCAGAGAACUCCGACUUCAAACUCGUCACCUUCAGGAAAUUCCAGAGGCGUCUCCGCUAUAAUUCACCGGACUGUCCGGUGUACACCGGACAUGUCCGGUGCUCCAAGGAAGAGCGGCCUCCGGAACUCGCCAGCCUCGGGAAUUCAUCUCAGCUGCUCCGCUAUAAUUCACCGGACUGUCCGGUGCAACAGCGGGGCAAUGGCUAUUUCGGCGCCAACGGCUACCUGCGACGCAUUAAAUGCGCGCGCUGCGCGCGCAGAGGUCAGGCACGCCCAUGCUGGCGCAUCGGACAAUCUACAGUGCAUGUCUGGUGCGCCACCGGACAUCAAGGCGGGCCCAGAAAUCAGAACUCCAACGGUCGGAACCCAACGGCUUUGGUGACGUGGCUGUCGCACCGGACAUGUCCGGUGUGCACCGGACUGUCCGGUGCGCCAUCGUACAGACAGCCUCACCAAACAGCUAGUUUGGUGGUUGGGGCUAUAAAUACCCCCAACCACUCACCAUUCAUGGCAUCCAAGUUUUCCACUUCCCAACUACUUACAAGAGCUCUAGCAUUCAAUUCUAGAUACACCAAAGAGAUCAAAUCCUCUCCAAAUUCCACACAACGCCCUAGUGAUUAGAGAGAGAUAUUUGCUUGUGUUCUUUCGAGCUCUUGCGCUUGGAUUGCUUUCUUCUUUCUUGAUUCUUUCAUUGCGAUCAAACUCACUUGUAAUUGAGGCAAGAGACACCAAACUUGUGGUGGUCCUUGUGGGAACUUUGUGUUCCAAGUGAUUGAGAAGAGAAAGCUCAUUCGGUCCGAGGGACCGUUUGAGAGAGGGUAAGGGUUGAAAGAGACCCGGCCUUUGUGGCCUCCUCAACGGGGAGUAGGUUUGAGAGAACCGAACCUCGGUAAAACAAAUCCGCGUGUCUCACUUCAUUAUUCGCUUGCGAUUUGUUUUGCACCCUCUCUCGUGGACUCUAUUAUAUUUCUAACGCUAACACGGCUUGUAGUUGUGAUUAUUUUUGAGAAUUUCAGUUUCGCCCUAUUCACCCCCCCUCUAGGCGACUUUCAAUUGGUAUCGGAGCCUGGUGCUUCAUUAGAGCCUAACCGCUCGAAGUGAUGUCGGGAGAUCACACCAAGAGGGAGAUGGAGACCGGCGACAAGCCCACUACGAGCCAUGGGAGCACUUCAUCGGAAGAGUCCCGCACCAAGAGGAAGGAGAAGAAGAAGGACUCCUCCAAACGGAAGGAGAAAAGAUCCUCCUCUUCUCACCACAAAGAGAAGAAGGAAAAAUCUUCUUCUCACAAGUCGCAUCGGAAAGGCGACAAGCACAAGAGGAUGAGGAAAGUGGUCUACUACGAGACCGACACUUCAUCAACAUCGACCUCCGACUCCGAUGCGCCGUCCGUAACUUCUAAGCGCCAAGAGCGCAAGAAGUUUAGUAAGAUCCCCUUACACUAUCCUCGUACAUCUAGACCUACUCCAUUACUUUCCGUUCCAUUAGGCAAACCACCAACCUUUGAUGGCGAAGAUUAUGCUAGGUGGAGUGAUUUAAUGAAAUUUCAUCUAACCUCACUCCACAAAAGUAUAUGGAAUGUUGUUGAGUUUGGAGCACAGGUACCAUCCGCAGGGGAUGAAGACUAUGAUACGGACGAAGUGGCCCAAAUCGAGCACUUCAACUCCCAAGCCACAACCAUACUCCUCGCCUCUCUAAGCAAGGAGGAAUACAACAAAGUGCAAGGGUUGAAGAAUGCCAAGGAGAUUUGGGACCUACUCAAGACCACGCACGAGGGUGAUGAACUCACCAAGAUUACCAAGCGAGAAACGAUUGAGGGAAAGCUCGGUCGUUUUCGUCUUCGCCAAGGGGAGGAGCCACAAGAUAUGUACAACCGGCUCAAAACCUUGGUGAACCAAGUGCGCAACCUCGGGAGCAAGAAAUGGGAUGACCACGAGGUGGUAAAGAUUAUUUUGAGAUCACUUAUUUUCCUUAACCCUACUCAAGUUCAAUUAAUUCGUGGUAACCCAAGAUAUACACUAAUGACUCCCGAGGAAGUAAUCGGGAAUUUUGUGAGCUUUGAAUGUAUGAUUAAAGGCUCAAAGAAGAUCAACGAGCUUGACGAACCCUCCACGUCCGAAGCGCAACCGGUGGCAUUUAAGGCGACGGAGGAGAAGAAGGAGGAGUCUACACCGAGUAGACAACCAAUUGACGCCUCCAAGCUCGACAAUGAGGAAAUGGCUUUAAUCAUCAAAAGCUUUCGCCAAAUUCUCAAGCAACGGAAGGGGAAGGAUUACAAAUCCCGUUCCAAGAAAGUUUACUAAAAGUGUGGUAAGCCCGGUCAUUUCAUUGCAAAAUGUCCUAUAUCUAGUGACAGUGACAGGGGCGACGACAAGAAGGGAAAGAGGAGAGAAAAGAAGAGGUACUACAAGAAGAAGGGCGGCGAUGCCCAUGUUUGCCGGGAGUGGGACUCGGACGAGAGCUCCACCGACUCCUCCUCCGACGACGAGGACGCCGCCAACAUCGCCGUCACCAAGGGACUCCUCUUCCCCAACGUCGGCCACAAGUGCCUCAUGGCAAAGGACGGCAAAAGGAAGAAGGUUAAAUCUAAAUCCUCCACUAAAUAUGAAUCCUCUAGUGAUGAUAAUGCUAGUGAUGAGGAAAAUAAUUUGCGUACCCUUUUUGCCGACCUAAACAUGCAACAAAAAGAAAAAUUAAAUGAAUUGAUUAGUGCUAUUCAUGAGAAGGAUGAUCUCUUGGACUCUCAAGAGGACUUCCUUAUUAAGGAAAACAAAAAGCAUGUUAAGGUCAAAAAUGCUUAUGCUCUACAAGUUGAAAAAUGUGAAAAAUUGUCUAGUGAGCUAAGCACCUGCCGUGAGACUAUUGACAACCUUAGAAAUGAAAAUGCUAGAUUAAUUGCUAAGGUUGAUUCUCAUGUUUGUGAUGCUUCAAUUCCCAAUCUUAGAAAUGAUAAUGAUGAUUUGCUUGCUAAGAUUAAGGAAUUGAAUGAUUCUCUUGCUAGCCUUAGAAUAGAAAAUGAAAAUUUGAUUGCUAAGGCUAAGGAUAUUGAUGUUUGCAAUACUACUAUUUCCGACCUUAGAACUAAGAAUGAUAUGUUGCAUGCUAAGGUUGUAGAACUAAAAUCUUGCAAACCCUCUACAUCUAAUGUUGAGCAUGUUUUUAUUUGUACUAGAUGUAGAGAUGUUGAUAUCAAUGCUAUUCAUGAUCACAUGGUAUUAAUUAAACAACAAAAUGAUCAUAUAGCAAAAUUAGAUGCUAAAAUUGCCGAGCAUAAUUUAGAAAAUGAAAAGUUUAAAUUUGCUAGAAGUAUGCUCUAUAAUGGGAGACGCCCUGGCAUCAAGGAUGGCAUUGGCUUCCAAAGGGGAGACAAUGUCAAACUUAAUGCCCCUCCUAAGAACUUGUCUAACUUUGUUAAGGGCAAGGCUCCCAUGCCUCAGGAUAACGAGGGUUACAUUUUGUACCCUGCCGGCUAUCCUGAGAGCAAAAUUAGGAGAACUCAUUCUAGGAAGUCUCACUCUGGCCCUAACUAUGCUUUUAUGUAUAAGGGUGAGACAUCGAGCUCUAGGCAACCAACCCGUGCCAAGUUGCCUAAGAAGAAAACUCCUAAUGCAUCAAAUGAUCAUAACAUUUCAUUUAAGACUUUUGAUGCAUCUUAUGUGCUUACUAACAAAUCCGGCAAUGUAGUUGCCAAGUUUGUUGGGGGCAAACACAAGGGCUCCAAGACUUGUGUUUGGGUACCCAAAGUUCUUGUUUCUAAUGCCUAAGGACCCAAAACCGUUUGGGUACCUAAAGUCAAGAACUAAAAUUGUUUUGUAGGUUUAUGCAUCCGGGGGCUCAAGUUGGAUACUCGACAGCGGGUGCACAAACCACAUGACAGGGGAGAAGAAGAUGUUCUCCUCAUAUGAGAAAAACCAAGAUCCCCAACGAGCUAUCACAUUCGGGGAUGGAAAUCAAGGUUUGGUCAAAGGAUUGGGUAAAAUUGCCAUAUCACCUGACCAUACUAUUUCCAAUGUUUUUCUUGUAGAUUCUUUAGAUUACAAUUUGCUUUCUGUAUCUCAAUUAUGUCAAAUGGGCUACAACUGUCUAUUUACUGAUGUAAGUGUCACUGUCUUUAGAAGAAGUGAUGAUUCAAUAACAUUUAAGGGAGUGUUAGAGGGUCAGCUAUACUUGGUAGAUUUUGAUAGAGCUGAACUCAACACUUGCUUAAUUGCUAAGACUAACUUGGGUUGGCUCUGGCACCGCCGACUAGCCCAUGUUGGGAUGAAGAAUCUUCAUAAGCUUCUAAAGGGAGAACACAUUUUAGGACUAACAAAUGUUCAUUUUUAGAAAGACAGGAUUUGUAGCGCAUGCCAAGCAGGAAAGCAAGUUGGUGCCAAUCAUCCACACAAGAACAUCAUGACGACCGACAGGCCGCUUGAGCUACUCCACAUGGAUCUAUUCGGCCCGAUUGCUUACAUAAGCAUCGGCGGGAGUAAGUAUUGUCUUGUAAUAGUGGAUGAUUAUUCUCGCUUCACUUGGGUGUUCUUUUUGCAGGAAAAAUCCCAUACCCAAGAGACCUUAAAGGGAUUCUUGAGACGAGCUCAAAAUGAGUUCGGCUUAAGGAUCAAGAAAAUUAGAAGCGACAACGGGAUGGAGUUCAAGAACUCACAAAUAGAAGGCUUCCUUGAGGAGGAGGGCAUCAAGCAUGAGUUCUCUUCUCCCUACACCCCACAACAAAAUGGUGUAGUGGAGAGGAAGAAUCGAACUCUAUUGGACAUGGCAAGAACCAUGCUUGAUGAGUACAAGACAUCGGAUCGGUUUUGGGCCGAGGCGGUCAACACCGCCUCCUACGCCAUCAACCGGUUAUAUCUACACCGAAUCCUCAAGAAGACAUCCUAUGAACUCCUAACCGGUAAAAAGCCCAAUAUUUUAUAUUUUAGAGUUUUUGGUAGCAAAUGCUUUAUUCUUGUUAAGAGAAGUAGAAAAUCCAAAUUUGCUCCUAAAACUGUAGAAGGCUUUUUACUAGGAUAUGACUCAAACACAAGGGCAUAUAGAGUCUUUAACAAGUCCUCAGGACUGGUUGAAGUUUCUUGUGACGCUGUGUUUGAUGAAACUAACGGCUCUCAAGUAGAGCAAGUUGAUCUUGAUGAGAUAGGUGAAGAACAGGCUCCGUGCAUCGCGCUAAGGAACAUGUCCAUUGGGGAUGUGUGCCCUAAGGAAUCCGAAGAGCCUCCUAAUGCACAAGAUCAACCAUCCUCCUCCACGCAAGCAUCUCCGCCAACCCAAAAUGAGGACGAGGCUCAAGUUGAUGAAGGAGAAGAUCAAAGAGAUGAGCCUCCUCAAGAUGACGGCAACGAUCAAGGGGGAGAUGCAAAUGAUCAAGACAAGGAGGAUGAACAACCAAGGCCGCCACACCCAAGAGUCCACCAAGCAAUACAACGAGAUCACCCAGUCGACACCAUCCUCGGCGACAUUCAUAAGGGGGUAACUACUCGAUCUCGUGUUGCACAUUUUUGUGAACAUUACUCUUUUGUUUCCUCUAUUGAGCCACACAGGGUAGAGGAAGCACUUCAAGAUUCGGAUUGGGUGAUGGCGAUGCAAGAGGAGCUCAACAACUUCACAAGAAACGAGGUAUGGCAUUUAGUUCCACGUCCUAACCAAAAUGUUGUAGGAACCAAGUGGGUCUUCCGCAACAAGCAAGACGAGCAUGGUGUGGUGACAAGGAACAAAGCUCGACUCGUGGCCAAGGGGUAUUCACAAGUCGAAGGUUUGGAUUUUGGUGAAACCUAUGCACCCGUAGCUAGGCUUGAGUCAAUUCGUAUAUUAUUGGCCUAUGCUACUUACCAUGGCUUCAAGCUCUACCAAAUGGACGUGAAGAGUGCCUUCCUCAAUGUACCAAUCAAGGAGGAGGUCUAUGUUGAGCAACCUUCCGGCUUUGAAGAUAGUGAGUAUCCUAACCAUGUCUAAAGGCUCUCUAAGGCGCUUUAUGGGCUCAAGCAAGCCCCAAGAGCAUGGUAUGAAUGCCUUAGAGAUUUUCUUAUUGCUAAUGGCUUCAAAGUCGGCAAAGCCGAUCCUACCUUAUUCACUAAAACUCUUGACAAUGAUUUGUUUGUAUGCCAAAUUUAUGUUGAUGAUAUCAUAUUUGGGUCUACUAACGAAUCUACAUGUGAAGAAUUUAGUAGGAUCAUGACACAAAAAUUCGAGAUGUCUAUGAUGGGGGAUUUGAAGUAUUUUCUAGGAUUCCAAGUCAAGCAACUCCAAGAGGGCACCUUCAUUAGCCAAACGAAGUAUACUCAAGAAAUUCUAAGCAAGUUUGGAAUGAAGGAUGCCAAGCCCAUCAAGACACCCAUGGGAACCAAUGGACAUCUCGACCUCAACACGGGAGGUAAGUCCGUGGAUCAAAAGGUAUACAGGUCGAUGAUUGGUUCAUUGCUUUAUUUAUGUGCAUCUCGACCGGACAUUAUGCUUUCCGUUUGCAUGUGUGCAAGAUUCCAAGCCGACCCUAAGGAAUCACACCUUACGGCCGUAAAACGAAUCUUGAGAUAUUUGGCUUAUACUCCUAAGUUUGGGCUUUGGUACCCUCGGGGAUCCACAUUUGAUUUGAUUGGUUAUUCGGAUGCCGAUUGGGCGGGGUGUAAGAUUAAUAGAAAGAGCACAUCGGGGACUUGCCAGUUCUUGGGAAGAUCCUUGGUGUCUUGGGCUUCAAAGAAGCAAAAUUCGGUCGCUCUUUCCACCGCCGAAGCCGAGUAUAUUGCCGCAGGCCAUUGUUGCGCACAAUUACUUUGGAUGAGGCAAACCCUGCGGGACUAUGGUUACAAAUUGACCAAAGUUCCUCUUCUAUGUGAUAAUGAGAGUGCAAUCCGCAUGGCGGAUAAUCCCGUUGAGGAUAGCCGCACUAAACACAUAGCCAUUCGGUAUCAUUUUCUUAGGGAUCACCAACAAAAGGGGGAUAUCGAGAUUUCAUACAUUAACACUAAAGAUCAAUUAGCCAAUAUCUUUACCAAGCCUCUUGAUGAACAAACUUUUACCAAACUUAGGCAUGAGCUCAAUAUUCUUGAUUCCAGGAAUUUCUUUUGCUAAUUUGCACACAUAGCACACAAGUAUACCUUUGAUCAUGUCUCUUUUAUAUAUGCUAUGACUAAUGUGUUUUCAAGUGUAUUUCAAACCAAGUCAUAGGUAUAUUGAAAGGGAAUUGGAGUCUUCGGUGAAGACAAAGGCUUCCACUCCACUCUACUACUCACCCUUCGCCGUCACUCCGAGCAUCUCUCCAACUUUGGUAUAAUCUUCACUCAUUUAUUUUAUGACCAAAGGAGGAGAAAGUAUUUCGUUGGGCUCUAAUGAUUCCGUUUUUGGUGCUUCAUGCCAAAGGGGGAGAAAAUAUGAGCCCAAAGCAAAAGGACCGCACCACCACCUAAUUUUAAAAAAUUUAGAGAUUUUCAAUUGGUCAAUUUCAAAUUGGUAUCUUAUUAUGUUCUAAAGGGGGAGGAAGUAGUAUUUCAAAAAUGAUAUAUCAAAACCCUCUUGAACACUAAGAGGAGAAUCUCAUUUAGGGGGAGUUUUGUUUAGUCAAAGGAAAAGCAUUUUAAACAAAGGGAGAAAAUUUCAAUCUUGAAAAUGCUUCGCAAAAAUCUUACUCAUUUACCUUUGACUAUCUUGCAAAAAGUCCUUGAAAAGAAUUUACAAAAGAAUUUGCAAAACAAAACUUGUGGUACAAGUGUGGUCCAAUAUGUUAAAAACAAAGAAACAAUCCAUGCACAUCAUGUAAGUAUUUAUAUUGGCUCAAUUCCAAGCAACCUUUGCACUUACAUUAUGCAAACUAGUUCAAUUAUGCAUUUUUAUAUUUGCUUUGGUUUGUGUUGGCAUCAAUCACCAAAAAGGGGGAGAUUGAAAGGGAAUUAGGCUUACACCUAGUCCCUAAUUAAUUUUGGUGGUUGAAUUGCCCAACACAAAUAAAUGGACUAACUAGUUUGCUCUAGUGUAUAAGUUAUACAGGUGCAAAAGGUUCACACUUAGCCAAUAAAAAGACAAAGUAUUGGGUUCAACCAAAGAGCAGAGGGACAACCGAAGGCACCUCUGGUCUGGCGCACCGGACUGUCUGGUGUGCCACCGGACAUGUCUGGUGCACCAGAGAACUCCGACUUCAAACUCGUCACCUUCGGGAAAUUCCAGAGGCGUCUCCGCUAUAAUUCACCGGACUGUCCGGUGUACACCGGACAUGUCCGAUGCUCCAAGGAAGAGCGGCCUCCGAAACUCGCCAGCCUCGGGAAUUCAUCUCAGCUGCUCCGCUAUAAUUCACCGGACUGUCCGGUGUACACCGGACUGUCCGGUGUAACAGCGGGGCAACGGCUAUUUCGGCGCCAACGGCUACCUGCGACGCAUUAAAUGUGCGCGCUGCGCGCGCAGAGGUUAGGCACGCCCAUGCUGGCGCACCGGACAAUCUACAGUGCAUGUCCGGUGCGCCACCGGACAUCAAGGCGGGCCCAGAAGUCAGAACUCCAACGGUCGGAACCCAACGGCUUUGGUGACGUGGCUGUCGCACCGGACAUGUCCGGUGUGCACCGGACUGUCCGGUGCGCCAUCGUACAGACAGCCUCACCAAACGGCUAGUUUGGUGGUUGGGGCUAUAAAUACCCCCAACCACUCACCAUUCAUGGCAUCCAAGUUUUCCACUUCCCAACUACUUACAAGAGCUCUAGCAUUCAAUUCUAGACACACCAAAGAGAUCAAAUCCUCUCCAAAUUCCACACAACGCCCUAGUGAUUAGAGAGAGAGAUUUGCUUGUGUUCUUUCGAGCUCUUGCGCUUGGAUUGCUUUCUUCUUUCUUGAUUCUUUCAUUGCGAUCAAACUCACUUGUAAUUGAGGCAAGAGACACCAAACUUGUGGUGGUCCUUGUGGGAACUUUGUGUUCCAAGUGAUUGAGAAGAGAAAGCUCAUUCGGUCCGAGGGACCGUUUGAGAGAGGGUAAGGGUUGAAAGAGACCCGGCCUUUGUGGCCUCCUCAACGGGGAGUAGGUUUGAGAGAACCGAACCUCGGUAAAACAAAUCCGCGUGUCUCACUUCAUUAUUCGCUUGCGAUUUGUUUUGCACCCUCUCUCGUGGACUCUAUUAUAUUUCUAACGCUAACCCGGCUUGUAGUUGUGAUUAUUUUUGAGAAUUUCAGUUUCGCCCUAUUCACCCCCCCCUCUAGGUGACUUUCAAAAGUCAAGGCCACUUUUGGAACCCCGGACCUGCUAAGGGCAUCAGCCACCACAUUUUCCUUUCUCGGGUGAUAAUGAAUGGACAAAUCAUAAUCUUUAAUCAAUUCGAGCCACCGACACUGCCUCAAAUUUAGCUCCUUCUGAGUGAAAAUGUACUUGAGACUUUUAUGAUCGGUGUAAAUGUCACAAGAGUCGCCAUAGAGAUAAUGCCUCCACAAUUUUAGAGCUAAGACCAUCGUGGCCAAUUCAAGGUCAUGAGUUGGAUAAUUCCCCUCAUGCUUCCUCAACUGCCUUGAGCCAUAAGCGAUCACUCUGUCUUCCUGCAUCAACACACAACCAAGACCAAUUCGAGAAGCAUCCGUAUAAAUGGUGAAACGCUUACCACUCUCAGGCAAAUCUAGGAUAGGGGCGCUCAACAACUUGUUCUUCAAUGCGUGAUAGCUGACCUCACAAUCGCUGGACCAGACGAAUAGAACACCCUUCUCCAAAAGUCUAGUCAACGGCUUAGCAAUGCUGGAAAAAUUUGGUACAAAGCGUCGAUAAUAUCCAGCGAGCCCCAACAAACUUCGGAUUUUAGAGACACUAGAGGGUCUCUUCCACUCCACCAUAGCCGCGACAUUCUUGGGAUCAACCGCAAUGCCCUGCUGACUAAUCACAUGCCCCAGGAAAGCCACUUCGGACAGCCAAAAGGCGCACUUCUUCAAUUUGCCAUAAAAUUGAUUCUUACUAAGAGCACUCAGAACGAGACGAAGAUGCCGCUCAUGCUCUUCCUCGGUCAUUGAAUAAAUCAGAAUAUCAUCCAGGAACACGACCACAAAGUCGUCCAAGAACUCAUGCAACAUCCUAUUAAUUGCUUCCAUAAAAGCAGCAGGGGCAUUAGUUAAGCCAAAAGACAUGACUAUGAACUCGUAAUGCCCAUACCUGGUGCAAAAGGUCGUCUUCUCAAUGUCCUCCUCACGAAUCCUCAAUUGAUGAUAACCAGAGUUCAAAUCAAUUUUGGAGAACACCUGGGCACCCCUCAACUAUUCAAAGAGAACCUCAAUACGGGGUAGCGGAUAUUUAUUCUUGAUUGUCACUUGAUUCAAAGCCCGAUAAUCCACACAUAACCUCUUGCUUUUAUCCUUCUUCUCAACAAACAGUACUGGGGAAGCCCAAGGCGACCUGCUAGGCCUAAUGAAACCCUUAGCCAGCAGAUCAUCCAAUUGCCGCUUCAAUUCCACCUGCUCCUUUGGAGCCAUCCGAUAUGGGGCCUUACUAAUAGGCUGUGUACCCGGAAUCAGUUUGAUUUCGAAAGCUGCAUCGUGAUCCGGUGGAAGGCCUGGAAGCUCUGCUAGAAAUACGUCGGCAAAGUCACACACCACCCCGAUGUCCUGCACCCACAAGGCAACCUCACCCUCCACCACCAUGGAGAAAAAGAUUCCUGACUUCCUUGACCGGUGAUCCGGAAGCAAUUGCGCCAACAAGGAUAACAUGAACUUUGGGGAACUUCCCAAGAAUACCACCUCCCUACCCGACGGCGCCUGCAAUAACACUGUCUUCCAAAAACAGGAUAUAACUGUGCGAUAUUGAGAUAAUCAAUCCAUACCCAAGAUAACAUUGAAUGCCCCCAUUGAAAUCACAACAAGAUUGGCUGAAAAGACCUCACCAGCAAGAAUGACGGAACACCCCUAACAAACUGAACAGCUACUAAUGGAGCCAUUAGCAGAACUAACCAAAAUUGGGUUACCCAAUAUCUGCACCGAAAGACCAGCCCGUGACACAAAAUCCUCCGAAACAAACGAAUAGCUAGCGCCAGAGUCAAAAAGAGCAUGGGCCACAAAUGAAUCAACUGAGAUCGUACCUGUCACCACGUCUCCUUGCUCCCUGUCAUCCGCCGAGGGUAGCACAUAAGCUCCGGAAAUACCCGCAGAAGAGGAAGCUCCUGGAGUGAAGUUAACAUAAGAACCCCACUGAGCCGUCGGGUGAGGAAGACGCGGAGCUCCAAACUGAGACGACACAGGAGUAGUCGGUGUAGGAGUAGGCACAGCCAGAUACUGAGGAAACCCCUGCAUCGCCACGAACUGAGAAGUCCCAGGCACAUAGAACUGUUGCGGAGGGAGUGGAACUGCAAAUUGCUGCUCAGCGCUUGACAUCAUGUUGAUAGUUCCCUGAGAAGAGGAGGAAGUCACUGGCUCCCAUCUGAGCUUCCCAUUAGGAUUCCUCCUACACACCACAUCCUUGUGGUCUUGACUACAGAUGGAGCACCUGCCACUCCACUGACACUCAGCACGGCGAUGCGCAUCACCACAACAAAAACACACCAGCCCCAGCCCGGGCUUAGGAACAGCCUGAUACCUCUGAGUAGUUCCUCCCGAACUACCCGAUUCAGAAGAUUUGCCAUGGUAGGGGUGGUGGCGCUGGUGCUGAGACUUGCCCCUCUUGUGGGCUGGACCUCUAGUGUUGCCCCUUCUCGCGUCCUGGCCAUGAGGCUGAUCAACACCCGAAGACUUCUAUGACUCCAUGGUGUACUGGUGUUGCAUCUCCACACCCAAUGCGUGCUCCACUGUAGUAUAGAAAUCCACCAACGGAAAGGCUCCCAAGGCAUGCCUGAUAGAAGGUUUUAGGCCCUGACGGAACUGGCACGCCUUCUCCAUCUCAUUGUAAGCCACAUGAGGAACAAGGCGGACCAUCUUGUUGAAGCCCACUUCAUACUCUGUGAUAGACUUCUUCUCUUGCUUGUAGGAUUGCAAAUCAAUCUUCAUUUUCUCUAGGAAGGUGACCGGGUAGAACCUCCUCUCAAACUGCCUGAUGAAAACAUCCCAGGAUAGGACUCCUGGUGAAGAAGAGUGAGCUGCCUGCACGCCCCUCCACUAGAUUUGAGCCUCUCCCUUGAGCAGCUGUAUGCCAAAGCGAACACGAUCACCAUACACAAUCUCAAAGACAUUCAUAUUAUCCUCCACGUAUGUUAGCCAAUCCGCCGCCCCGACCGGAGUACCACUGCCAUCAAAAGUGUCCAACUUCAUGCUCAUCCACUGCAUCAGCGAAAGACCACUGACGGGAAGAGGCACCUCAACCCCGCCAUCUGGAGCAGCACCCGCGGGAACAGCGCCCCCGGGCACUCCUCCACCACCAGCACCCUGAGCAGCACACGCAGGAGCAACAGGAAUAGCUUGCCUCAGAAUGGCCAACUCCUGCUACAUGGCCUGCAUCGCGGCUAACAUUGCCGCCGGACUUAUCGAGUCCCCACUAGGAACUUGUGGGCUGCCCCGAGCCCUACAAGGCGGUAUAGCUGCAGCCACAGGGGUGAGAAUAAUAAGUAAAUAAGAUCGGCAUAGCACCUCAUCAUAUAAUGUCAAACUAGCACAGACAAUAACAUAACAUAUCAAGAGUAAAGCAGGAAACCCAUCCUACAUGUGCAGUGUGUCAAUUUAUUAUUAUUCCACUUGCUAGGACCUAAAGCCUAUUCCUCUGAUACCAACUGUAACACCCCAUUGAACCCACACAAUGAAUGUUACCAACAACCCUUCCCACAAAACUUAUACCACAUAAGAAAGGUAAUAGAGACAGAAAAUAAAACAAAAUCCGGCAGCACCUCCCUUGAAAGUAGCAUAACGAGAGGGACAUAAAGUUUAGACAUAAUGUAAAAGAAAGACAAUCCACAAAGCAUAAACAGAAUGCAGAGAUAGUAAUAAACAUUCAUGACCAAAUAAAAGAGAAGGAAACCGGCCAACCCAAAAAAAACAAAUUUGACUAUCAUGAAGACUAGAACAUAUUAAUCCCGUAGAUUUGGACCCCUGUUUAACAUCAAUACUAAGCAGUGGUACAUUUAUUUAAAAGUGAAGUGGUCGUGCUGCUACAUCCAUCCUUUGCCAACAGCAAGAUUAAGUGCCUGCAUCAAACAAUGCAAGAGUGAGAUGACACAUCUCAGAAAGUAAAAGGUCAAACAACAAUUGGACUAUGUAAUCAAACCGUGCUUAAACAACCACGUAGCUCACAACUUCCUUCUUGAGUAUUAAUUUGCAGCAAGUAAACAAGUAACCAAUUACUUAGUUCAAAGAAAUGAAUCACCAAGUAAAGACCCACACUAUCCACAUCACCACAACAGGUUCCACACUUCACCCAUGAAUGCACAUGACUACAGAUGCAGUAAUGACUUCUGCCUUCAUACCUCUAGGGUAUGAAGCUGCAUCAUACCCCUCCUCGAGCAACGUAUGAUGCGGAGUGUACCGAUACGGUCGGACCAUAUGAUCAUGACAAAACUUCCAUGCAAAAGAUGAUGUAUGCAGUAUGCAUGACAACAACAUGAGAUCCUCCACCCACAUGUGGUAGACAUAAACUUCCACUUUCUCAAAAUGAUAAAACAACACGUGUUACAUGCUCAUCCACAUUUUCAACAUAAGAAAAUAAAGGAACAUGAAUAACUUCGAGCCACAUUUCCCACUAUGGAGUACAAGUAUGAAUACAUUUGACAUGGAUGUGAUCAAGCAUAGGACACAUAAAUCAAUCAACGGUAUAAACCACCACUAUUUUACUUGCCUUCACCGGGGAGUUUGGACAAAGCCCUAAGUGCGAUCCGGAAGUCCACCACCUGUUUUUGACACACAACUUAGUGCACCAAUUUCACAUAACAACACUCAUAAAUGACGCCGCACCUACGCACAAUUUCAAACCCCGCCGCGGUAACAACUCUCCCUACACCCACCAAACUGCAGCGGCGCUGCUUAACAAUUUCAUAUCUUUAAAAUUAUGACAGUAGCAGUAACAAACAAAAACUCCAGAUACAUCUACAUUAAAUUCCCCACAAGUUUUGUAUACAAUUUAUAAUUAAAUUCCAAUAUCUAAUUAACCCAAAAUCAUCCACAAGGUACAUCCUGCAAUCUGUUUUUUUGGACAGCACAUACCCGGAUUUAAACUGCGAUAUCUUCUAAAUUAUAACUCCGAAUCGAACGCAUAAGUACUCGUUGGAAAGGUAUGACGAAGCUUUACAUGAUUCUCGUAUUGAUUAACCCUAAUUUCCCACGAAAAGUCCCCAGAAAGUGCUAAUACUACUGCUGUUCGCCCACCUGCAGAAAUCUGUUUUUUUACAGCAACAUACACGGAUUCAAACAGCGAUAUCUUGUAAAAUAUAAUUCCAAAUCGAGCGUAUAAGUACUCGUUGGAAAGGUAUGACAACGUUCUACAUGAUUCUCCCACUGAUCCCCACUAAUUGCCCACGAAAAAUUCCCAGAAAUCACUAGAACUACUGCUGUUCGCCCACCCACUAAAUUUCUGGACAACACCUCUACCAAUUCGCAUACGUAACAUCUAUUCAAUGGAAUUGCAGCACAAAUAAACAAGAGAUAAUCACAAAAAUCACCUUGAAUUCUCUUUUCCUCCUUCCCACCAAUUCUCCUGUUGGGGACUUGUUCUCAAGUGCUAUGAGUUAAGAACAAGGCAACAUAGAAAAUGUUUAAUCGUUAGAGUCCUUCGUCCUCCGAAGCAUUAUUUCCCUUAGGAUGUAAUGGCUUGCGGACGAAGGUUAUGAAGGACAUACCUUCAUAUAUUCAUUAAACAAUAGCGAAGGAUAAAAUAUAAAGAAUAUAAAAGACAACAUGAACAAUCAUAUAUUAUUAUCGGGCAUAAACAAAAACAUUGUUGAAUUACAAGUGUACCUUCAAUCGGAAGGAGAUGAUAGUACAAGCGUGACGCCAAAAGCGAAUGCUCAGUCAGCGUGAACAGUACGGGGGUACUGUUCACCUAUUUAUAGACACGGGACACAACCCAUACAAAAUUACAUUCAUGCCCUUUACAUUUGAUAAUAAUUCUAUGGUAAUCUAUCAAGGUCUAGAUAGCCUUUUCAUCUUUAAGUCGGUUUCAUUUUCUGCAACCACGCCGAAGCUUUCCUGCUGACAUCUUCGGCGUUGUGCCAGGACCUUCGUAUUAUCCUGGUCUUUUCCUGGCGUGAUAACGACUUGAGCUCGGAGGUACCUGCUCACACAUUAUACUUACAGAAAUACUGUUAAAUCCUGUUUUUGAGGACCUUCGGAUGCCGAAGGUCCCCAACAGUAGCCCCUCGCAAUAUUAAUUUGUUUAAAAUAACGAAUUUAGAUUGCGACGUGAACGAAGGCCUUACGCCGAAGGUCCGAAAAAACACCUUCCCUUUGCUAGAAUAGCAACAUUCACUGACAAGCGGGGUCUUUCAACUUUCAACACACUUGGCGUAUAAAUACGGCCAUACCGCAAACGCAUUCGACACGCUCUCUGGCCAACUGCUCCCGCUCACUCAAUUUUUAGCUCUCGUGUACUACAAUUUGCUAAGCUUUUAGUUUUGAAGCUUCGGCUUUGAAAAUAGUUUUUUAGUGUCUCCGAAGAUGUCCGAGGAUAAGAAAACUGCUGCUGAGACGAAGCUGAGCCUCGACGAAGAGAAAAAUUUGGGGUUUCUUAUAGCGAUGUCAAAGACCAACACGGAAAAAAUCACCAAGGAGAUUCUAGAAGGUUUGUCUGAGGACACUGGCGACAGUGACAGCUACGAUGUGGACAGUGGUGGUGAAGACUCCGAAGAUCGUCCAUGGCGACCAAGCCAUUCAGUUUAUGGUAAAUCAACUAUCAAAGAAAGUCAUCUUGUCAAUAUGAGAGGAAGGUAUUUCCGGGAUUUGUCCAUUGUGAGGGCCGACGAAGGGGAAAAAACUUGCCCACACCCUGAAGAGAAUGAGGUCGUAGUGUACCGAAGCUUUUUGAAAGCUGGACUGCAAUUUCCUUUGAGCAGCUUUGUUGUGGAGGUACUGAAAAUAUUCGAAGUCUAUCUCCACCAACUUACCCCCGAGGCAAUUAUAAGGCUAAAUAUCUUCGUGUGGGCCGUGAGAAGCCAAGGUCUGAAACCUGACGCAAAAAGCUUCUGCAAUAUACAUGAAUUAUCAUAUGAAACAAAACCUUGGGGUAAAGAACAGUAUCACAACAAUUUUGGCUGCUACAGUUUCGUUUCUCGGUCCGGGUCAAGCUGCCCCGUGCCAACCUUUCGGAAGAGAUGGCCUGGAGACUGGAUGACAGAAUGGUUCUAUGUGAAAAAUGAUCUGACAAUACGAGAAGAUAUCAAGGGUAUAAUCAUGCGCCCUAUUUGGCAAAGCUUCGGCCUUCGGAGGCCGAAGGUUGAAAUGAAUGAAUCUGCCGAAGAAUGCCAGAGGGCCUUCGGCGCAGUCUGCUCUUUCAUUGGAACAAGAGACCUAGUUCAAGAGCAUAUUGCCUUCAGGGUAUGGCCACUUGUGGAGAAAUGGAAAAUGCCACAAGAAACCGUAAAAGAAACCGACGAAGGUGGACUUAUUAGGUUGAAGUACACUUUUCAAUUUGGGGAUAAAUUCGUCGAGCCAGAUGACGACUGGUUAAAAAGUAUUGAAAAUUUAAGUGAUGAACUGCUUGGGGCUUAUUCGAAGGCCGAAGACACUGCAAUGUCAGCAGCCUUCGGAGGCCGAAAGAAGAAGAGGCUGAAUCGGGUAUUCGAUGCAAUCGGGUUUGUCUACCCUGACUAUUGCUAUCCCGUUCGAAGGCAGAAGAGAAAAAACACAACCUCUGCAAAAGAAGAAGCUACAACUGCUCCUAGCGAGCCAGAAUCGAAGAGAAAGAAGAUAAAGGUCUUCACACAUCGGCCGCGCUAUAUUGAACCAGCUUCGGUGCCUGAGUUUACUGGAGAAACUCCUUCGGCCACCGAAGCUGAAAAACCAACCGAGCCAACUUUGCUGCCAGAAGUCGCAGAAACGGCCGAAGUGCCAACAAAGGCAAAAUUGGAGCAAUCAAAGAUUUUGUUAUCAGAAACGAAAGAGAAGGCUGAAGCGCCGUCCACAGAAAAAAUGGAAGAGGUAAAGGAAGCAACUGAGGGCUCCAAAACAUCAGAAGUUUUGAGUCCUGCAGCAAACAUUGAGACAGCAAAAAAUCAAAAAGUGCCAGCCGUCACUCCAAAAAGAAAGAGAAUGGCUAAUGUGCUAGAUGUACUGGAAACGAUCAAAUCUUCAAGCACACCUCCGAAGAAGGCUGCUGUCAUUCCUGAUACGACAGCUGAAAUUUCUUAUUCUAAAGCUCCGGGGCAAGAGACUGAAACCGAAGCUGGGCCCUCAGAGCCCGCAAAGAUAAAACCCUUGGAAAGUGAGGCAGAAAAAAUAACAAAGCCAAUUUUUGUUGAAGAAACCGGUGUUAUUGCCCCCGAAGCAUCCCCCAAAAUUCGUGAUUAUAUUAUUCGUCAUGCUUCGGGGAAAAAACUAUCAGAAAAAGAAGAGCAAGAGGCCCAACACUACGCCCAAAAACUGAAAUACCCAAGGGGGGCGUUAAUAUUCAAUGGUAGUGGAGAAGAAGACUUCUUGUAUUGUCUUCCCGACAGCAAGGAAAUUUCUGUCUGUCGGGAGAUGAGCAAGAGCUUCGGAUUUCCAACUUUAGAAGACGGGCUCUCGGUGCUGUCGAAGAACGACCUGGCCGACAGCCUGGCUUAUAAUAGCUUAAAGGUGCGACAAAUGAAAUCCUUGUAUUUUUUGUUGAGUCCAAAGUUUUUCGUUUGUUUAAACCUUUUGACACACUCAUAUUUCUCUUUGCAGGGCCUGAUACUUAGCAAUGCCCUCCGGGCACAGAAAGAUGCUGAAGACGAAGGGUGUUCUAUAGCCCUGAGCAACCUUCGUUCCGAAGUUAUUGAACUGAGGAACGAAGGUCUUGAAAAAGAUAAAAUAUUACACUCAUUGAUAAAUAAAAUAAAGGAAGACGAAGCUGCUUUUAAAAACCAAGCUGAAGCUCAGAAGCGAGAAAUUGAAGACCUUCGGAAACAACUGGCCAGAGCCAAGGAAGAACGCAUACUUGAAGAAACAAAGCGUGAACUCAGCGAUCAAUGGGCAGAUCACCUAGAAGUGACUGUUGAAGAGCUUCGUUCGUCCAAAAAGAGAUGCUACAACAAAUCUAUAGAUUGUGUUAAAAAGUUAAAGGCUAGCUUCGCCAAGGUCGGCGCCUUCUCAAGUGAGGAGAACUUUUCGAGAGGCAAUCCCGAAGGUCCUAUCGAAUGGAUCGACCACGAAGCUGAAGCCUUCGAAGAAAUUUUAACUAGCCGAGGGGAUAUAUGUGCCUUUUCUGGUGCCAGAGGGAUUGCCACCAUCUUAGAGAAGAAGGGCUGCGAACAUGUAAAAAUCUUAGCACAAUCCGAAGCUGCUUUGUCACUUGAAGAUGCAAGAGAUCCCUCGGCCGAAGCUAGCCUAAUUGGUGGGAAAUUUUUUACUGAUAUCUGGGAUAAUGGUGGUCGAGAAAUGGCCGGGGAAAUUAUUCGAAGAAGUGAAAAGGGCAUUCACGAUGCUAGAGAAGUAGCUGAGGCUGCUGAAAAGAGCGCAGAGGCCGAAGGUCAAUUAGGUAUUUAACUAAUAGUUUUUGUCGUGUUGUAAUCUUAGGUUUUAAGAUUUGUUUGCGAUUUGUAAUAGCAAUGUAGCCGUAUUCUGUCUUGCUUCAGAUCCGACUAAAGCGUCUUCGGGCCCUCAGCCGAAGGGAGACGACGAAAUUAAAAAGAUGGCUGAAGAUAUUAUGGACGAAGUCGUCAACCGGCUCCUAAACGAGGCUGCAGAAGUCGUUUUGAGAGAAGAUUAAGUAUUUUUGUAAAAACUUCUGAAAUGUAAUAUAGUGUAACAUUUUGUAACCCCAAAUGUAAUAUACCUAUUUUUGUUACUCAAUUCUUUACGAUGCAUGAAACUUUACACGUACCGCUUUUGAGUCUUUGACGAAAAAACACCUUCCCUUCUUUUCAUGCUUCGUGAAGAAGAAUUUUUCUUUGUCACAACAAUAUCCAAUAUUCUGAUGAACAAUAUCCAGGCUUCGUGAAAAUAUUUUCCGAAGCUAUAUUUCCGAAGAUCAAUGAUGUAUCUUUUUGUGACUAUGAUUUCUCCCUUUCAGAGUGUUCUUCUGUAGAUUAAUAAUGUAUCCACCUCUUGUGCCAUGUGCAAAAUGAUGUAUGAUGCUUAUGCUAUGCGAGAUGAUGUGAUGAUGAUAUGUUAUGUGAGAUGAUGUUUAUUCCGAAGAUACAUACACAUCCCUGCAAUAAAACACAGUCUUUUAUAAGCCUCCCUUAGGAGCUUCUUCGCCUUUUACUUCAGCGGAAUCAGCGUUUAUUUUUCGCUGUAAGCCUCCCUUAGGAGCUUCUUCGCCUUUUACUUUCAGCGAUAUUCGCGUUGACUUUUCGCGCUUCGCCUUUUACUUAGGCGGUAUCAGCGUUGACUUUUCGCUGUAUGCUCUGCAUUCCCUUUGGAACGACUUUGGAGCAGAAAACUUACACUGCGCUCCCUUUGGAACGACUUUUUGUGAUUUCGGCAAACUUACUCUGCGUUCCUUAGAACGACUUUUUGUUGCUUCGAAGAAUUUUCGAUAGUUCGAAGGUCCUUUUUAUUGUCACAAACCUGUGAAGAAAACAUAUUUUUCUUGUAGAAAUCAACGAAACUAAUUACAUGAAACCUAAACAAUGUCCUUUAUUACAGAAAAUAAAACUGAGUGAAAAAGAAUGUUAUUAAAGUAGGAUAUUCGUCAAUAGAUGUGCUUUGACUCUGGCACAGUGCUAUUGACUGUACGAGCUUCGGACUGCUCUCUGAAAUCCCUCUGGUGUGGGGCAUACUGGCUCCCUUCUGGCUGCUGGCCUUGUUGCAACGGAGGUGGAGGCGGAGGCUGUUGCCAGGAAGCUUGAGGCUGGCUCGCCGAAGCAACAGAAACUGCAGGAUGGUUGCCCACAUAUUCUGGGAUGUAGGGCGAAUGAUACGAAGCUGUAUGCAUGACCUGCUUCGGCUGAGCUUGUUGUGCUGCGGCUUCAGCUAUUUCCUUUUGCUUCUGAAUAGUAACAUGGCACAUCCUGGUAGUAUGGCCUUUGUUCUCACCGCAGAAUAAGCAAAAGAUUCUUCUCGGUUGAUCUCCAAAUCUUCCUCCAAAGCCCCUGGCGCCUCUGCCUCUUGGAGCUGGUGGUCGGAAGGAGCUUUGCUGUUGCCCCGAAGCCUGUGAGGAGCAUUGUGGCCUUUGCUGUUGGCUUCCUCUGUCAUCAUUUUGUGUAGAGUUAUGAAUUGAUCUCACGUGCCUCGGGUAGAACCUCCCUCCGAAGCCCCUGGUCAUUUCAGAAAACCUGAAAGCCUCCUCCCUUCUUUGGCGAAAAUCAUUAUCGGCCCGAAUGUACUCAUCCAUCUUCUGGAGAAGCUUCUCCAAAGUUUGAGGAGGCUUCCUGGCAAAGUACUGAGCUGACGGACCUGGCCGAAGCCCCUUGAUCAUGGCCUCGAUGACAAUUUCAUUGGGCACCGUUGGUGCCUGUGCCCUCAAACGCAAGAACCUUCGGACAUACGCCUGAAGGUAUUCUUCAUGAUCCUGAGUGCACUGGAACAGAGCCUGAGCAGUGACCGGCUUCGUCUGAAAUCCUUGAAAGCUAGUUAACAACAAGUCCUUCAGCUUCUGCCAUGAAGUGAUCGUUCCUGGUCGAAGGGAGGAAUACCAGGUUUGAGCAACACUUCUGACAGCCAUAACGAAAGAUUUGGCCAUGACUGAAGCAUUGCCACCAUACGAAGACACCGUUGCUUCGUAGCUCAUCAAAAACUGCUUCGGGUCUGAGUGGCCAUCGAAUACGGGGAGCUGAGGCGGCUUGUAGGACGGAGGCCAAGGUGUAGCCUGCAGCUCAGCGGACAGAGGAGAAGCAUCAUCAAAAACAAAAUUCCCAUGAUGGAAAUUGUCAUACCAGUCAUCUUCGUUGGGAAAACCCUCUUGAUGAAGGUCUUGAUGCUGAGGCCUUCGGUGUUGCUCAUCCUGAGCAAGAUGACGAACUUCUUCAGAGGCUUCGUCUAUCUGCCUCUGCAGUUCAGCUAGUCUGGCCAUCUUUUCUUUCUUCCUCUGUACUUGUUGAUGAAGCAUCUCCAUAUCUCUGAUUUCUUGAUCUAUCUCGUCCUCUGGUGGUGUCGGACUGACAGCCUUCCUUUUCUGGCUUCGGGCCUCCCGCAGGGAGACUGUCUCCUGAUUGUGGUCCAGCGGCUGCAGAGCUGCAGCCCCAGUCGCUGAAGCCUUCUUCGGCGCCAUAACGAAGGUUUACGAUCGCCGAAGGUGCUCAAAAAACUCAGAGUGGAAGUGAGUUCACCGGAGGUGGGCGCCAAUGUUGGGGACUUGUUCUCAAGUGCUAUGAGUUAAGAACAAGGCAACAUAGAAAAUGUUUAAUCGUUAGAGUCCUUCGUCCUCCGAAGCAUUAUUUCCCUUAGGAUGUAAUGGCUUGCGGACGAAGGUUAUGAAGGACAUACCUUCAUAUAUUCAUUAAACAAUAGCGAAGGAUAAAAUAUAAAGAAUAUAAAAGACAACAUGAACAAUCAUAUAUUAUUAUCGGGCAUAAACAAAAACAUUGUUGAAUUACAAGUGUACCUUCAAUCGGAAGGAGAUGACAGUACAAGCGUGACGCCAAAAGCGAAUGCUCAGUCAGCGUGAACAGUACGGGGGUACUGUUCACCUAUUUAUAGACACGGGACACAACCCAUACAAAAUUACAUUCAUGCCCUUUACAUUUGAUAAUAAUUCUAUGGUAAUCUAUCAAGGUCUAGAUAGCCUUUUCAUCUUUAAGUCGGUUUCAUUUUCUGCAACCACGCCGAAGCUUUCCUGCUGACAUCUUCGGCGUUGUGCCAGGACCUUCGUAUUAUCCUGGUCUUUUCCUGGCGUGAUAACGACUUGAGCUCGGAGGUACCUGCUCACACAUUAUACUUACAGAAAUACUGUUAAAUCCUGUUUUUGAGGACCUUCGGAUGCCGAAGGUCCCCAACAUCUCCAAUCGGAACUUGCACCCACACGACGAAGAUCAGGCGAGGAAGAACGACACUUGGAGAAGAGGAGAUGGGGGGGGUGGCGGCUAGGGUUGAGGGGGUGGGAGGGGGCGGCUGCACAAGGGAGAGGGAAUUAGGGGGGGAUGAAAUGGUGGCCAAGGCUAGGGAGAUGGGGGGUGGCUGCACAAGGGGGAGGGGGUUAGGGAGACAGCGGCUAGGGUUAAGGGGAGGUUAGUGGGCCGGAUAGAGAUUCACGGCCCAACUCGCUCACACGACAGCUCCCGACCCCAGCGCAUGAGUCUAACCAAAAAAAUACACUGUCCUACUGGUGAAUGCUUCCCAAAAAUUCCAAACCCCCAAAGCGCAUCACCCGAGAGAAAAAAACAAAGAAAGAAUAACCUCCACUUCUCUUCUUUGCAAACCGUACCUGGUAUCACACCCAUGUUGGGAUGAAGAAUCUUCAUAAGCUUCUAAAGGGAGAGCACAUUUUAGGACUAACAAAUGUUCAUUUUGAGAAAGACAGGGUUUGUAGCGCAUGCCAAGCAGGAAAGCAAGUUGGUGCUCAUCAUCCACAAAAGAACAUCAUGAUGACUGACAGGCCGCUCGAGCUACUCCACAUGGAUUUAUUCGGUCCAGCAGCCUACAUAAGCAUCGUUGGGAGUAAGUAUUGUCUAGUUAUUAUGGAUGAUUAUUCUCGCUUCACUUGGGUAUUCUUUUUGCAGGAAAAAUCACAAACCCAAGAUACAUUAAAGGGAUUCUUGAGACGGGCUCAAAAUGAGUUCGGUUUAAGGAUCAAAAAGAUAAGAAGCGAUAAUGGGACAGAGUUCAAGAAUUCUCAAAUAGAAGGAUUUCUUGAGAAUGAGGGCAUCAAGCAUGAGUUCUCUUCUCCCUACACACCUCACCAAAAUGGUGUAGUGGAGAGGAAAAAUAGAACUCUACUGGACAUGGCGAGGACCAUGCUUGAUGAGUACAAGACACCGGACCAGUUUUGGGCGGAAGCAAUUAACACUGCGUGCUACUCCAUCAACCGACUCUACCUUCACCGAAUCCUCAAGAAGACAUCAUAUGAACUCCUCACCGGUAAAAAGCCCAAUGUUUCAUAUUUUAGAGUCUUUGGAAGCAAAUGUUUUAUUCUCUUUAAAAGAGGUAGAAAAUCUAAAUUUUCUCCUAAGGUUGUAGAAGGUUUUUUACUUGGUUAUGACUCAAACACAAGGGCAUAUAGAGUCUUCAACAAAUCCACUGGAUUGGUUGAGGUUUCUUGUGACAUUAUGUUUGAUGAGACUAAUGGCUCCCAAGUGGAGCAAGUUGAUCUUGAUGAACUAGAUGAUGAAGAGGCUCCGUGCGUCGCACUAAGGAACAUGUCCAUUGGGGAUGUGUGUCCUAAGGAAUUUGAAGAGCCCACACAAGCACGAGAUCAACCAUCAUCUUCCAACCAAGCAUCUCCACCUACCUAAGAAAAGGAUCAGGCUCAAGAUGAUGAAAAUAAAGAUCAAAAGGAUGAGCCACCUUAAGAGGAGGACAAUGAUCAAGGGGGAGAUGAAGAGAAUGAAGACAAGGAAGAUGAUCAAGAAAUUCAGGGUCAAAGACCGCCACACCCAAGAGUCCACCAAGCAAUUCAACGAGAUCACCCCGUCAACUCCAUCCUUGGUGACAUUCAUAAGAGGGUAACCACUAGAUCUCGAGUUGCUCAUUUCUGUGAACAUUACUCUUUUGUUUCCUCUAUUGAGCCAUACAGGGUAGAGGAUGCACUAAGAGAUCCGGAUUGGGUGCUGGCAAUGCAAGAGGAACUCAACAACUUCACGAGGAAUGAGGUAUGGCAUUUAGUUCCACGUCCUACUCAAAAUGUUGUAGGUACCAAGUGGGUAUUCCGCAACAAGCAAGAUGAGCAUGGUGUGGUGACAAGAAACAAAGCCCGACUUAUGGCCAAAGUUUAUUCACAAGUCGAAGGUUUGGAUUUUGAUGAAACUUAUGCACCCGUAGCUAGGCUUGAGUCAAUUCGUAUAUUACUUGCCUAUGCUACUUACCAUUGCUUUAAGCUCUAUCAAAUCGACGUGAAAAGUGCCUUCCUCAAUGGACCUAUCAAGGAAGAGGUCUAUGUUGAGCAACCUCCUGGCUUUGAAGAUAGUGAGUAUCCUAACUAUGUUUACAAACUCUCAAAGGCGCUUUAUGGGCUCAAGCAAGCCCCAAGAGCAUGGUAUGAAUGCCUGAGAUAUUUUCUUAUCACUAAUGGCUUCAAAGUCUGCAAAGCCGAUCCUACACUCUUUACUAAAACUAUUGCAAAAGACUUGUUUGUAUGCCAAAUUUAUGUUGAUGAUAUUAUAUUUGGGUCUACUAACAAGUCAACUUGUGAAGAUUUUAGUAGGAUCAUGAUACAAAACUUCGAGAUGUCUAUGAUAGGGGAGUUGAAGUAUUUCCUUGGAUUUCAAAUCAAGCAACUCCAAGAUGUCACCUUCAUCAGCCAAACAAAGUAUAUUCAAAACAUACUUACGAAGUUUGGGAUGAAGGAUGGCAAACCCAUCAAGACACCCAUGGGAACCAAUGGGCAUCUCGACCUCGACACAGGAGGUAAAUCCAUAGAUCAAAGGGUAUAUCGGUCGAUGAUAUGAUCUUUACUCUACUUAUGUGCAUCUCGACCGGAUAUUAUGCUUUCAGUAUGCAUGUGUGCAAGGUUCCAAGCCAAUCCUAAGGAAGUUCAUCUUAGGGCCGUGAAGAGAAUCAUGAGGUAUUUAGUUUACACUCCUAAGUUUGGGCUUUGGUACCCCAAGGGAUCCACCUUUGAUUUAAUAGGUUAUUCCGAUGCCGAUUGGGUAGGGUGUAAAAUUGAUAGAAAGAGCACAUCAAUGACUUGUCAGAUUAUGGGGAGAUCCCUGGUGUCAUGGGCUUCAAAGAAACAAAACUCCAUAGCUCUUUCCACCGCCGAAGCCGAGUACAUUGCCGCAGGCCAUUGUUAUGCGCAAUUACUUUGGAUGAGGCAAACCCUCAGGGACUAUGGCUACAAAUUGAGCAAAGUCCCUCUCCUAUGUGACAAUGAGAGUGCAAUCCGCAUGGCGGAUAAUCCAAUUGAACACAGCCGCACUAAGCACAUAGACAUUCGGUAUCACUUUCUGAGAGAUCACCAACAAAGGGGGAUAUCAAAAUAGCUUAUGUAAACACCAAGAAUCAAUUAGCCGAUAUCUUUACCAAGCCAUUAUGAUAGGAAACGGGGGUGCCCGAUCUUCCAUCAGGUGAAGGUAACUAUCGAUUUAGUGGAGAUGUCACACAGACGAUCCGGCUUCCAAUCAACACGACUAGAACCCCGCAAUCGCAGCACCACUUCUCCUCUAGUUAUCAACCGUGCACUGCGCAAUUGACCUCGCCACGAGGGCUAAUUCCUGCCUGAGAAUCAAAGACACAAGCAAGAACAAGAAAGAACACAAUCUAGAAUAUUACGGAUGAAUGAUUAAGCUCACAAGUUGGGGUCUCACAAACCGAUCUAUGGCGACUGUUCUUGACAGAUCUAACUUAAGCAAAACCCGAGCCCUAAUGUUGUGGCGGCUACUGAUUAUAUAAGGGUUAGGAGCGUGACUCCCUCCCUGGAUGCGCCCUAAUGGGCCCAACAAAGACACACGGCCCAAAGGCCAAUUACGGUGUCGCAGCACCGAGACAGAUUACAGACGUCGGUUUGGUCCUCCACAUUGAUCCGAACGUCCUUGCUGGCCUUCCACGCCUCCAAGUCCUUCACCAUGUCCUUGCUGGUCCUUUCCUUCAUUCCUAAGUACAAUUAAUUCAUUGGGUAGCACACUAUUCUCAAAUGCACAAGAAUAAGUACAUAGGAACGAGCGCACCUGCAAAUUCAAUUGUCUUGCGCGUGCGCGAGUAAUCGGACCUUGAACAUCAACUAGGAGAGUGUUGUUUGUAUCCAUGGUAGUGAUGUCCUCAUCAUCCUCCCCCUCUUGAAGUGGAGUCAUCCUCGACUUAAGCUCAUCUUCUUCCCCCAAAUACGGUUUCAAAUCUGCAAUGUUAAAUGUAGGACUAACCCGGAACUCGGGAAGCAACUCAAGUUUAUAUGCAUUAUCGUUUAUUUUCUCCAAAAUCUUAUAUGGACCAGCAACACGUGGCAUCAAUUUAGACUUUCUUAACUCUGGAAAUCUAUCUUUUCUCAAGUGCAACCAAACUAAAUCACCCACUUUAAGCUUAACUGGUUUUCUACCUUGACUACCAGCAAUUCUAUAUUUUUCAGUCAUCUUUUCAAUGUUUGCUUUAGUUGAAGCAUGAAGUUUCAAAAUAAAGUCAGCACGCUCCUUAGCAUCACUAUGUACUUGCUCGGUAGUAGGUAGAGGCAAAAGAUAAAUAGGAGCACGAGGGUUAAAACCAUACACUACCUGAAAAGGACUUACCUUGGUGGUGGAGUGUUCCGCCCAAUUAUAUGCAAACUCCACAUGUGGCAAACACUCUUCCCACAUUUUCAAGUUUUUCUUCAAUAUUGCUUGCAGCAUUGCAGACAAUGUUCUAUUCACAACUUCCAUUUGUCCAUCAGUUUGGGGAUGACAAGUAGUAGAAAACAACAAUUUUGUCCCCAAUUUGUUCCAUAGAGUACACCAAAAAUGACUCAAGAAUUUGACAUCAUGAUCUGAAACAAUAGUAGAAGGCAUACCAUGCAAACAAACAAUCUCUUUGAAAAAGAGGUUAGCAAUAUGAAUGGAAUCAUCUGUUUUGUGACAAGGUAUAAAAUGUGCCAUCUUAGAGAAACGAUCAACCACAACAAAAACACUAUUGCUCCCCCUCUUUGUCCUAGGCAAUCCCAAAAUAAAAUCCAUAGAAAUAUCCGCCCACGGAACUGAAGGAAUAGGAAGAGGCAUAUACAAAUCAUGUGGGUUCAAUCGUUACUUAGCUUUUUGACAUGUCGUGCAUCUUGCUACAAAGCGCUCAACAUCACGCCGCAUUCGAGGCCAAAAGAAGUGUGUGGACAUCACAACCUCCGUCUUCUUGGCACCGAAGUGAUCCAUCAAACCACCACCAUGCACUUCCUACAACAACAAAAGACGAACCGAACCAACUGGGAUGCAUAGGCGGUUAGCUCUAAACAAGUAUCCAUCAUUUAGCACAAAUUUAUUCCAUGUAUGGCCCUCUUUAAAAUUUAAUGCAACCUCUUUAAAAUCAUCAUCAAAAGCAUAUUGUCCCUUAAUUGUUUCAAGUCCAAAAAUACGACUGUUGGGCCCAUGCUUCGUUGCGCCGAAGGUCUUGCGUGAAGAAGCAGCUUCGGCUGAAAUCGUCCCCAGGAAAUGGCCGAAGGUUCCUUUUUAUAGAGCUUCGGCGUUGCAAACCGACAUAAAGAUAGAAUGACCUUUUUAUCCAUAGAGGUCUAAGAUAAUGUUGUAAACUUUUGUAAAGGGCAUAAUUGUAAUUCGUCACAGGCUGCGUCCUGUGUCUAUAAAUAGAUGAACAGUACCCCCGUACUGUUCACGCGGACUUGGCAUUUGCUUUUGCGUCACGCUUGUACUUUUUACCUUCUCUCAGGACCGAAGGUACAUUUGUAAUUUGAAAUCAUUUCUAUUUUUCCAUGUUAAUAAAAUAGAAAUGAUUCUAUGAUGAUGCUUAUAUUAUAUUUCAUGCUUUAUAUGAGUCCUUCGUCAUUACUUGUUAUGUUUACGAAGGUAUGUCUCUUAUGACCUUCGUCCGAAACUCAUUAUUUCCCGAAGGGACAUAAUGCUUCGAAGGACGAAGGACUUUAACACUUAACACUUUUUAUGUUGCCUUGUUCUUAACUCUUAGCAUUUGAGAACAAGUCCCCAACAUUGGCGCCCACCUCCGGUGAACUCACUUCCACUUUUCUGAGCUGAUGGCUUCGUUCAACAAUCAAGCUGGAGUUGCUUCGGACCCGAAGCUGGUGCUCCCGAUCACAGGUGGCUCGUCCUCAGAGCCAGCUAACAAGAGGCAGAAGAAGGAAGCGCAGAGAAGAGUACAGCAUGUUGGGGUGCAAGGACCCUUCAUCAAAUCAAGAUGGUCUCACAUUCCUAUUACCUUCUCUCAAGAGGACCUUCAGCUCAAAGAUUACCCACACAACGAUGCCAUGGUUAUCUCUUGUGUUAUCAAAGGAUUUCUGGUUCACAAUGUCUUGGUCGAUACAGGCAGUGCAGCUGACAUCAUAUUUGCUAAAGCCUUCAGACAAAUGCAAGAGCCAGAAGAUAAGAUUCAUGAUGCUACACAUCCUCUUUGUGGCUUCGGAGGAAGACAGAUUGUAGCACUGGGCAAGAUCACCAUGUCAGUAACCUUCGGAUUCAUCAACAACACUAGAACUGAGCAAGUUGUGUUUGACAUUGUUGACAUGGAAUAUCCUUACAAUGCAAUUAUUGGUCGUGGUACUCUUAAUGCCUUCGAAGCAAUCCUUCAUCCUGCCUAUCUUUGCAUGAAGAUACCUUCGGACCAAGGGCCUAUUGCUAUCCAUGGAAGCCAGGAAGCUGCUAGAAGGGCCGAAGGAAGCUGGACCGACUCCAAGGCAAUCCAUAAUAUAGAUGGAACUGAAGCUUGUGAACAGUACAAAUUCAGAAGGGAGAAGGCAGCUUCAGCAGAUCAGCCGAAGCCCAUGCUAUUGUGUGAGGACAUAGCAGAGCAGAAGGUGCUGUUGGGCUCGCAAUUAUCUGAAGACCAGGAGAAAACCUUGAUAAGGUUUUUAUUCAACAACAAAGAUGUUUUUGCAUGGUCGGCUAAUGAUCUCUGUGGAGUAAAUCGGGAUGUUAUUGAACAUUCGCUCAAUGUUGACCCAUCCUUCAGACCCCGAAAGCAGAGGCUUCGGAAAAUGUCUGAUGACAAGGCCGAAGGGGCUCGCAAUGAAGUAAAAAGACUCCUCAGUGCAGGAGUUAUCAGAGAAGUGAAGUAUCCAGAGUGGCUAGCUAACACUGUUAUGGUGAAGAAGGCCAAUGGCAAGUGGAGAAUGUGUAUCGAUUUCACAGAUCUCAACAAGGCUUGUCCGAAGGACGAAUUCCCGUUGCCAAGGAUAGACUCUCUAGUCGAUGCAGCAGCUUCUUCAGAGCUCAUGAGUCUCUUGGACUAUUACUCAGGAUAUCAUCAAAUCUGGAUGAAAAAGGAAGAUGAGCCGAAAACUAGCUUCAUAACUCCAAGUGGCACGUAUUGCUAUCUUCGGAUGCCUGAGGGGCUCAAAAACGCUGGAGGAAGUUUCAGCAGAAUGACUGCGAAGGUUCUUCAGUCUCAAAUAGGCAGAAAUGUGUUGACCUAUGUUGAUGACAUUAUCGUCAAAAGCACGAAGCAGGAAAAUCAUAUUGUUGAUCUGCAGGAGACCUUCGCCAGCUUCAGACAAGCUGGUUUGAAGCUGAAUCCAGAGAAAUGUGUCUUCGGAGUAAAGAAGGGUAAAUUUCUUGGAUGCUUGGUUUCAACAAAGGGAAUCGAAGCUAAUCCAAAUAAAAUCGAAGCUAUACUUCGAAUGGAGCCACCAACUACAAGAAAAGGGGCCCAAAGAUUGACAGGAAGGCUGGCAUCUCUCAACAGAUUUAUAUCCAGAUCAGCAGAAAGAAACUUACCAUUUUUCGAGGUGCUGAAGUCAGCCGAAGUCUUUCAAUGGGGCCCAAGUCAACAAAAAGCCUUCGAAGAGUUGAAGCAAUACUUGAUAGAUCUCACAACAUUAACUCCGCCAACGCCAGGGGCUCCUCUGUUGUUAUAUGUGGCAGCUUCGCACUCAGCAGUAAGUGCGGCGCUUGUCCAGGAGAAGCUUUAUGGCCAGCUCAAGAAGCAAGUUCCAGUGUAUUUUGUAUCUGAGGUCCUUAGUGUCUCAAAGAAAAAUUAUACAGAGCUGGAGAAGGUAUUAUAUGCCGUUUUAAUGGCAUCCAGGAAGCUUCGGCAUUAUUUUCAGGCAUACAAUAUCAUUGUUCCUUCUUCGCAGCCGUUGAAGGAUAUAAUGAGAAAUAGAGAAGCUACUGGACGGAUUGGGAAAUGGGCUACAGAGCUCAACGAAUUUUACAUUGAUUAUGUGCAUAGAUCUUCGAUCCAGUCUCAAGCAUUGGCAGAUUUCAUUGCCGACUGGACGCCAGGGGCUCAGGAUGAAGAAGCAAAUAAAGAUGCCGAAGUGUGGACAGUGUUUUGUGAUGGCUCUUGGGGAAUCUUCGGAGCAGGUGCAGCUGCUGUGUUGGUUUCACCAUCCAAGGUCAAAACUUGUUAUGCAGCAAGACUUGAUUUCAGCUGCACGAACAAUAUUGCUGAGUACGAAGCCCUGCUUCUGGGCCUUCGGAAAUUAAAGGCAAUGGGAAUCAGAAGGGCAAUUCUUAAAACUGAUUCCCAGGUGGUUUCGGGUCAUGUUGACAAAAGUUGCAAGGCUAAAGAUCCGAAGCUUGAAAAAUAUCUAGAUACGGUCCGAAGGACCGAAGCAUCCUUCGAAGGAUUCUCUGUCAAGAAUAUUCCUCGAGGACAAAAUGAGCAUGCUGAUUUGCUAGCUAAGUCUGCGGCACAGGGGCUGUCGUUACCUUCGGAUGUGUUCUUCGAAACAAUAAAGGCACCUUCAGUGGAGCUCCUUGAAAGAGCAGUCCUCAACAUAUCUCCUGUUUACAGCGAAGAUUGGAGAACUGAAAUAAUCUCUUACCUUCAGGGUAAGUUCCUUUCAGAUGACGAAGCUUACAAUAAAAGAAUAGAGGCAAGAGCUCGUCCGUAUGUCAUGAUAGAAGGGGAAUUAUACAAACAUGGAGUUUGCGCUCCGCUGCUCAAGUGCUUAUCUAGAGCCGAAGGUAUAGAGUUGAUGAAAGAGAUACAUGCAGGCCUGUGUGGAUCCCACAUCGGAUCCAGGCCAUUACUUGGGAAAGUCUUCCGCCAAGGGUUUUAUUGGCCGAAGGCAGCUUCGGAUGCGGCGGAGUUAGUGCAAAAGUGCGAAGGUUGUCAGAAAUGUGCAAGAGAUCAAAAACAACCUUCGUCUUUGACACAGCUGAUACAACCCAUCUGGCCAUUGCAAAGGUGGGGCCUUGACUUGUUGGGUCCAUUACCACCGGCUCAAGGGAAUCUAAAAUAUGUUAUAGUGGCUGUGGAGUAUUUUUCCAAGUGGAUUGAGGCGAAGCCAUUGGCCACAAUAACUUCGGCCACUGUCCAAAAGUUUUUCUGGCAGAAUAUUGUCUGUCGCUUCGGGGUACCGAAGGCAAUCACUGUAGAUAAUGGAACGCAGUUUGACUCCGAAGCUUUCAGAAAUUUCUGUGAUCAAAUUGGAACGAAGAUCCAUUUUGCAUCAGUCAGGCAUCCGGAGUCAAAUGGGCUCGUUGAAAGGGCCAACGGCAUUAUAAUGACAGGAAUAAUGAAGUUAAUCUUCAAUCAACCCAGGGGAAAGUGGCCAGAUCAGUUAAUCAAAGUGGUGUGGAGCCACAAUACAACAACAUCAAGGUCUACAGGCUUUACCCCAUUCAAAUUAUUAUUCGGUGACGAAGCAAUAACUCCGGAGGAAGCAAAAGCUGGAUCAAUAAGAGUAGUAGCUUCGGCAGAAUCAGGUCCCGAAGAUGCUUGCCUUGUGGAAAAGGAUGCUUUAGAAGGGAUCAGGCUUCAGGCCGUGGAGAAUAUCAAUAAAUAUCAGGCUGAAACAGUUAAAUGGCGAGAUAGAAAAGUCCGGCUAAAAAAUAUUGAGCCGGGACACUUGGUGCUUCGGAGAGUGGCUAACCCAGAUACAGUGGGUAAGCUACAGUUGAAAUGGGAAGGACCAUUCUUAGUAGUAUCUUCGUCAAGGCCUGGAUCGUACAGAUUGAAGGACAUGGAUGGCAACGAAAUUCCAAGGUCUUGGAAUGCGGAUGAGCUUCGGCGAUACUAUGUAUAACAUGAUGUAAUUUUUUAUGUUUUUUCUUUUCUUUUUCAUGGCACCCUUUUCCUUUCCGAAGGGGGAGAAAGGUUUUUAAUGGGGCCAUCAUGUGUAAUUUCCUUUUUUAGUCUUAUAAGAGCAAAAUCCCCCAAAAAAUGUAAAUGUAACAGCUGAGAACGCACCAUCGAGUGCAGAAACUGAAAAAGAAAAAAGAGAAGAAGCUCCAAAGACGUUCCUAAGGGAAUGCAGAGCUUAUACCGCCUAAGUAAAAGGCGAAGAAACUCCAAAGACGUUCCUAAGGGAAUGCAGAGUUUAUACCGUCUAAGUAAAAGACGAAGAAGCUCCAAAGACGUUCCUAAGGGAAUGCAGAGCUUAUACCGCCUAAGUAAAAGGCGAAGAAACUCCAAAGACGUUCCUAAGGGAAUGCAGAGUUUAUACCGUCUAAGUAAAAGACGAAGAAGCUCCAAAGACGUUCCUAAGGGAAUGCAGAGCUUAUACCGCCUAAGUAAAAGGCGAAGAAACUCCAAAGACGUUCCUAAGGGAAUGCAGAGUUUAUACCGUCUAAGUAAAAGACGAGGAAGCUCCAAAGUCGUUCCUAAGGGAAUGCAGAGCUGAUGUGUGGUUGAUUCCAAGGAAAUAAUGGUUGAGUGUGGCUUCGGUUAUAUGCUUUGGACAUUCAUUCGCACAUUACAUCAUAGCAUUUGCAUUCAUAAGCAUUCAUUCAUAGCAUUUGUGUUCCUAAGUGGUUGCUUCGGCAAAAGGAAGAAGUGGUCUUUUAUGUUCCGUUAUGUACAAAAAAGAAAAAGCUUCGGCAAGAGGAAGAAGCGGUCUUUUAUGUUUCGUCAUGUACAAAAAAGAAAAGCUUUGGCAAAAAGAAGAAAUGGUCUUUUAUGCUUCGUUGUGUACGAAAAGAAGGGAAGGUGUUUUUUCGCCUUCGGCUCAAAAUACUGAUUUCGUCCACAUCAAAGCGUCUCAAUAAAAGGGUAAGAAUAUAUUACAAGGUAUGAACAAAGUUCCUUGAGAAUAGAUUAAUUGUAUUUACAAAAAGUUGUUACAAAUUCUCCUGAGUUUUUUCUAGUCUACUCCUAUUAAUCUUCGUCAGGUUUCUGCUUCGGCGGCAUAUCCUUUAAGUAUCACCUUCAGCUUCGUCAUCCUACAUGAAUCAAGGUAUCCCGAGUAAAAAUCAAGUGUGAAGGAGAAGGUAAGUACAAAGUAUGAUUUCUUACUGGUUCAAGAUGACUUCGAGCUUCGUCCCCAGCCUUCUCUCGCCCGCCUUUUGUCCAUAUCAUUUUUAUGAAUCUAUUUGAGAUGCUCCGGGCGAGGUCAGGAAUGUCGUCGAGAAUUGAUGGAGACAGGGCGAAGUUGGGCCUGUUGACAAUCUUUCCAUGCUCGCAGCCAGCCUUCAGGAAUGCUGCAGCAGUACCCCGAGAAGCUACCCAGGCACAGAAGUCACCGUGCCCAGCUAUAACUUCGUCAAGUUCUUCAAUUUCAGCUUCGAUAUGAUCGAAGGCUUUUGGUAAAUCUUCAUCCGAAGGGGUAAAUUUCCCGCUGCUGGCUCCAACUGAGUAAAAGAUCUUCUUUAGUUGUUGGAUACAAUUGUUGCUAAAAUUCAAGCAUUUAUCCUGAAGGCUUGUUAAUGAUUUCUUCAAAUUUGAGUUGGCUUGGACUUCGGCUUCAAGUUUAGAAUUAAGCUCUAGCUUUUCUUGUUCAAACUGUUUUGAUUGACCGAUAAGCUUCGAAUUCAAUUCUGAUAUUUUAGCUUCGGUCUCUGCCAGCAAGCCUUCGGUUGAUUGAAGUUCGAAGUCUUUCUUUUCAAUGAUGACUGAUUGUUCUUUUAUUUUGCUCUCCAAAUUUCCAAUUAUAGCUUCGUGUUUUUUGUCCUCUAAAUCCUGCUGCAUCUUCAGAGCUUUGCUCAGUAGCAUGCUCUGCACAAAAACAGUUUUCGUUAGUAACAUUUUCAUUAUCCAAAGCAAUAAGGAACAGAGAAAAGAUUGUUUACCUUGAAAUUGGAAUAAAAUAAGCUGCCGACGAUAUGCUGUCGUCGGUAGCGGCUGAUAUCUAUCUCUAGCUUCGGAAAACCGAUACUCUUUGACAGAGUACCGAUGACCUUAGCUCCGGUUUGGUCUCGAAUGCAGCCUAAUUUUUCAUCGUCCACACCUCCGAAUAGAAGAGCUCCUGGCCUGUAUCCGCAAGAUUUGGCAUAGUCUUUUAGCUCUUCUAUUUCGUCCUCCGAAAGUUUUUGCCCAAUUAAAUUUUGAAAUGUGUAGGCUUCGUCGUCCGAAGCGACUUCGGCUAUUUCUUUCCCCUUCUCAGGCACUGCGGCCAUGACUUUUUUAGCAGCAGCGGCAGCUUCUUCUGCAGCCAUGUCUUCUAAAAUUUUGUCGAUAUUCUCAAUGGUAGUCUCUAAGUUCACAUCUUCGGCUGUAGCGGCUUCGGUAGCCGCGACCUCCGAAGGUGCGACUUCGACGUUUGUUGUGUCUUCAGCAGCUGCUGUUUUCUGAAUUGAUGCUCUCGGUGGCGUCUUGUCAAUAACUUCUGUUACGGCAAUAAUUCUUUGCCUUUUUGCUUUGGUUAUCUUCGUUUUUUCCGGCUCCGCCACCUUUUGAAAAAGCUUCGUCAGUCGAGGCCCUAAUGGACUUAGCUUCGUGGGCAUGGGUUCAGUCAUUACCUUUAGAAUUUCCUCCACGUCGCUGGUAGAAGGUGGUGUGGGGGUCCCCUCUCCUUCGGAUAGUUUUCGCUUUGGAGUUGAUAUUUUUCUCUUGACAAUUUUCUUCUUUUUUGGUGGUUGUUCUUCAUCCUUGUUUAAAGCUUCGGCCUCUCUUUUUCUUCUCUGGCCCUCAGCAUCCUUGUUCAGCUGCGCAUAGUCAGGAUAUUCGAAGCCCAGUGCAUCAAGCACUCGGUUCAGCCUUCGCUUCGGACGGGUACCGAAGGCUGCUGUCAUCAGUUGAUCUUCUUUUUUCGAAUAAUUUCCAAGAAUUUCAUUACACAUCACCUCAACUGUAUCCAGCCACUCUUGGCAGGGCUUCUUAAAUAUUUCUUGAAUUUGAAGUGGUAAGGAAGCCGGACAAGAUCCCUUCCUUCUUCUCCCCUUUAACUUUGGCAUUUCCCAUUUUUUCAGAGUAGGGAAAACUUUGAAUGCUAAGAAUUCUUGAACCAGAUCCCUGGUACCAAUAUGCUCUGCAAUGAUUCUGAAUUCAUCCAUUGCCCGUUGAGUUUGACCCUCUGGUGUCAUGUUGCAGUGGGGUCGGGUUUCUCCGAAAGUUAGCUCGACUGGACUUUGCACAAGCUUCUCCUUGUCCUCAUCAACCUUGACAUAGAACCAUUCUGAUUUCCAGCCUGCCGGCCAUUUGCUUCGGUAGCUAAUUACAGGAAACUUUGCGGUUUUCCGGUAGGCAAAUUGUAGCAACCGAAGUUUUCAUGAAGCCAUCUUUUCUGGCCUUUGUUUGAUAAUGCAAUUCAUGAACUCGACAGAAACUGUCAGCAAAAGGCUCCACUGCUUGGCUUCGGAGGGCCCAAAUAUAAACGCUAAGCCUAACGAUAGCGUUAGGAGUUAACUGAUGAAGGUAGAUGCCAAACCUCUUCAAUAUCUCCGCAACAAUCUCGUGAACAGGGAAUCUUAGCCCAGCCUUUAAAAAGCUUUUGAAGAUGACAACCUCGUCCUUCUCUGGCUUCGGGGUGGUCUCUUCUCCCCCGAAGCGAAGUAGCUUCUUCUGAUCUUCACUGAAAAAACCUGCUUUCACCAUCUUGGCAAGAUCAACCUUUGAAACAGUCGAUUUUCCGAAGUCUAGGUGGCUGGGUUUGCUGGGCAUGGCAAUACGGUAGUCAUCUUCGGAGUCGGUUUCUUCAAUGUUCCCUUCUCCUUCGGCAGCUGUCGGGUUUGCUCCGGCAGCAGCCAUUUCUUCCGUAGUCACCAGUCCGGAGCGCUGCAUCGCUUCGGAGAUGGGCACAGUCUCCGAAGCUUCAGUUUCGUCCCCCUCACGCUCAACCCUAGCUGUAGAGCGAACUCUGGCCAUUUAAUUAUGAACUUGUGAAACUUUAAUACUUUUUUCUCCGAAGCAGGCUUCAAGAUGGAGCUUCGUUCAAACCUGACAAACAAGCUUCGGUGAUGGUUAAAAAUUUUGGCAGCAAAACAGUGCAAAUAGCAGUAAAUGCUGUGGUAACUUCACACCUACUCGUCUGUUUAUAUAGUGCUGCAGGUAAGAAGGCGAAGCGGCAGGGUUUUUACACCAGGCGGGCAGUAACUUGUACUCGCUGCGCAGUGGACCGCAAAGACCAAACAGUGACUCUGCAAGGUGGGACCGACACGAUCUCGGGAAAUGAAUUGUUUCUCGUCAACGAGCUCAGGGAAGGUGUUUUUUGGACCUUCGGCUUCCCGAAGCUUGAGAGGAUUUUUUCACGGUUCAAGCUCGUUACGAAAAACGAUCUAGCACCGCGAAAGGGGCUACUGUUGGGCCCAUGCUUCGUUGCGCCGAAGGUCUUGCGUGAAGAAGCAGCUUCGGCUGAAAUCGUCCCCAGGAAAUGGCCGAAGGUUCCUUUUUAUAGAGCUUCGGCGUUGCAAACCGACAUAAAGAUAGAAUGACCUUUUUAUCCAUAGAGGUCUAAGAUAAUGUUGUAAACUUUUGUAAAGGGCAUAAUUGUAAUUCGUCACAGGCUGCGUCCUGUGUCUAUAAAUAGAUGAACAGUACCCCCGUACUGUUCACGCGGACUUGGCAUUUGCUUUUGCGUCACGCUUGUACUUUUUACCUUCUCUCAGGACCGAAGGUACAUUUGUAAUUUGAAAUCAUUUCUAUUUUUCCAUGUUAAUAAAAUAGAAAUGAUUCUAUGAUGAUGCUUAUAUUAUAUUUCAUGCUUUAUAUGAGUCCUUCGUCAUUACUUGUUAUGUUUACGAAGGUAUGUCUCUUAUGACCUUCGUCCGAAACUCAUUAUUUCCCGAAGGGACAUAAUGCUUCGAAGGACGAAGGACUUUAACACUUAACACUUUUUAUGUUGCCUUGUUCUUAACUCUUAGCAUUUGAGAACAAGUCCCCAACAACGACAAUCAAGUUGAGACAACAUAGCAUAGCGUCUAGACAAAGCAUCAGCAAUCACAUUAUCAUUCCCCUUUUUAUAUUUAAUGAUGUAAGGAAAAGUUUCAAGAAAUUCAACCCACUUAGCAUGUCUACGGUUCAGAUUUGUUUGACUACGAAGAUGCUUAAGUGACUCAUGAUCAGAAUGAAUAACAAAUUCCUUAGACCACAAAUAAUGUUUCCAUGUUUGCAAAGAUCGUAUGAGAGCAUAUAAUUCUUUAUCAUAAGUGGAAUAAUUAAGAACAGGGCCAUUCAAUUUCUCACUAAAAUAUGCAACGGGUUUACCUCCUUGCAUCAAAACAGCAACAAUGCCAACUCCACUUGCAUCACAUUCGAGUUCAAAAGUCUUACUGAAGUCAGGAAGUUGGAGUAGUGGCGCGUGAGUAAGCUUCUCUUUUAAAAGAGCAAAAGAAUCCUCUUGUGACUAUCCCCAAUUAAAUGAAACACCCUUCUUGGUCAACUCAUGUAAUGGGGCAGCGAUGGUGCUGAAAUCCUUCACGGAACGACGAUAAAAUCCUACAAGUCCAAGAAAGCUGCGCACUUGUGUCACCGUCGAUUGCAUUGGCCAACUCUGAAUAGCAUGCACCUUGGCCUCAUCAACCUCAAUACCCUAUGGAGUGACAACAUAGCCAAGAAACGAUACGCGUUCGGUGCAAAAGGUGCAUUUCUCAAGGUUAGCAAAUAAGAGCGCGACGCGCAAAGCAUCAAAAACAGCACAUAGAUGGUCAAGAUGUUCAGAUAAACAAGUGUUGUAGAUCAAGAUAUCAUCAAAAUAAACCACCACAAAUUUUCCAAUAAAUGGGCGCAAAACCUCGUUCAUCAAACGCAUAAAAGUACUAGGGGCAUUAGUUAAUCCAAAAGGCAUCACUAACCACUCAUACAAGUCGAACUUGGUUUUAAAAGUAGUUUUCCAUUCAUCGCCUAAUUUCAUUCUAAUUUGGUGGUACCCACUGCGCAAAUCAAUCUUAGAAAAUGUUUUAGAACCACUUAACUCAUCAAGCAUGUCAUCUAAUCAAGGAAUAGGAUGACGGUACCGGAUAGUGAUGUUGUUAAUGGCUCUACAAUCUACACACAUGCGCCAACUGCCAUCUUUCUUUGGAACCAAAAUGAUAGGAAUAGAACAAGGACUAAGGCUCUCACGUACAUACCCACGGUCCAAAAGGUCUUGGACUUGGCGCUGAAUCUCCUUAGUCUCCUCAGGAUUUGCUCGAUAUGCAGCACGGUUGGGCAAGCUCGCUCCAGGAAUCAAAUCAAUCUAGUGCUCAAUCCCACGAAUGGGAGGAAGUCCUGGAUGUAACUCAGAGGGAAAAACAUCUCGAAACUGCUGCAAAAGGUUAGUCACGGAUGCAGGCAAAGUGCUAGCAAUAUCAUCAAUAGAAAAGAAAGCAUCUUUGCAAACCAAGGCAUAGCAACAAGCAUCAGUAGCAUGAGUAUGAAGAAUAUCAGAUUUAGUAGCAAGCAUGACAGGAGCUUUCAAUUUAAUUUGUUGCUGAAUUUCUGUCUCAUUAGUUGGUUCCUUAUGGGUACUUGCAGCUCUAUCUUUAUCAGCUUGUACAAUUUCAGCAAGAGUCAAAGGUAGCAAAGUAAUGUUUUAUCUUUAUGUCUAAAGUGUAUGUAUUACUCCUACCAUGGUGACGUGCAUCAGUAUCAUAUUCCCAAGGUCUACCCAACAAAAGAGAACAAGCCUCCAUAAGUACUACAUCGCAAUCCGCAUAAUCAGAAUACAUACCAAUGGAGAAAUGCACUUGUACCAUGUGUGUUACCUUAACCUUGCCUGAAUCAUUGAUCCACUGAAUGUGGUAUGGAUGUGGCCGUGGACGUGUGGUCAGGCCAAGCUUCUUGACCAAAUCUGAACUCACCAAAUUAUUGCAGCUUCCACCAUCAAUAAUAACACGUGCACGUCGAUUCUCGAUGGUGAAGAAAGUUUGGAACAAAUUAUGGCGUUGCUGCUUCUCUGAUGAUUUAGGCUGAGAACUAAGAACACGCUGCACCAUGAUGCUUCGAAGGUUCACCGUAGCAUCAACAUUAAGCAUGGCAUCAUCAUUAGCAGCAACAUCACUAGAGUCAUCAUCGUCACCCUCACCGUCGGAAGCACUAAUGUAGCCAUCAUCCGUAGCAAUGUAUGUUCGCUGACUCGGGCAAUCCUUCUUCACGUGACCAAUGGAAGGUGCUGCAGGUGCUGGUGAAUUCCGUUUCUUGGCGGGUACCUGCAAAGGAAGUUUACCAACAUGUGAAGCAGGUGUCGAGGGAGGUCGCGUGGAUGCUGGAGUGGUCGAAGGUGUAUGACUCGAGGCAGGUGUGUGCGUCCAUGAUGUAGAGGACGCGCCAAAAGUAGCCCUAGGUCGAUGUUGGCGUCCCUGCAAUUCCUUCUCUGCAAGCAUAGCAAAUUGGAACAACUUGUUGACAGUGUUAAAUUCUUUGUAAUCCACAAUGUUCUGAAUGUAACGCCGCAAACCUGAAUAAAAAUGGCAAAGAGCAUCCUCAUGUCCCUCUAUUAUCCCACAACGCUGCAAUCCCUUCUGAAGCUCAGCAUAAUAAUCUUGAACAGAUUUAUCCCCUUUCUCUAAACGCAUCAAUUUCUUACGCAAUUCUCUAUGAUAAGAUGGGAGAACAAAUCUAUCGCGCAUAGCUACCUUAAGAUCUUCCCAAGUCGUAGGUGCUCUACCAUCCCCAACUAGACCAGUCCACUAGACAAUAGCAAAAUCUUUAAAUUCAGUAGUAGCUUGUCUAACUUGAUGUCGUUCAAGUACCAGGUGGGCAGCAAAUUUCUGUUCUAUCGUCAUCUCCCAAUCAAGAUAUCCCUCAGCAUCAUAAUGACACGAAAAAGAUGGUAUAGAAAAUUUAAACUUAGCAUAAGGGUCGUCAGGAGCACGAUUGUUAUUACCUUGCUGGCGGUGUGCCAUACCUUCUGUGUUUUGAUGAAGACGACGACGUAGGCGCAAAUCUCUGGUGGCCACUUCAUCAUAAUUACCUUCUUCAUCAAACACCGCAUCAUCGGGAAGACGUGGACGAGGAGGUAGUGGUGGCGGUGCUUGUUGUUGCGUCUCCAACACAGCAAGUCUGUCGAUGAUCUAGGACAAUCGUCGAUCCAGCUUCUCGUAAGUCUUGCCAAGGUUCAUGUCAAUGAAGGCAUCAUGCACUGACUUGUGGACCGUCUCCUCCAUUUGCUCCUUCAGGAGCUUGUUGUUUGCCUCAAGAUCUUGGCGGCUAACAAAUUCAUCGAAGUCUGUAGGGAUCCUUGCUUCUUCUUCGUCGCCUGCCAUGGAAACACAAAAACAGGAAACAAACGGUGAAGGUUAUCCCUAAUAAUCUCACUACACGCUCCUCUCAGGUGGAACACAGAAACACGCUCUAUUGUAUCUUAUUAAGGCUGCAAUAGUAGUCGGCCAUUCCGCGUUCAGCCCAUUCCGUGUUCUGCCUUUCUGAUUCCCUCCUCCCCGCACACAGUCCAUUCCCAUGUUCCCAUUCCCAUUCCCCCCGUACAGCCAACGCCUAGCUAAAUUAAAAAAAUAAACAUGGCCCCAAAGGGAUUUGAACCCACGACCUCUCAAGCAAAUGCUACCGGUAGCUACCACUACACCACAUGUGUGUUUAUGUCUACAUCUAUAACAGAAAACACAUCUACUACAUCUCUCUCCAAGCACACCUGCUACCCUUGCACAAUGCAUAGUAGUAGAUAAGUAUCACCGAGAUUCUUGAAUUAUAUUUUUGGAUGAAAGGAGUAGUAUUUAAAGAAGAGCCUUGCAUGCAAUUUCUUUUGUUUGAAUAAUGUUUUCAACUUAAAUUCUUUUUUUGCAUGCGUGACAUUUAUUCUUCGUAAUAUUUUUUCCAUGGAUCUGACUUGUGAGUCAUUUUUAUAAACCAACGCCAAACAUGAAUUCAUGUUUCUUACUUGAAAACCCCGAACAAACACCAUUAGCAGGAGGCACUCGCGUUGGGGUCACUCAUCGACGACAAGAAGAAACUUGGCGACUGCCAGUUCGACCUCUAGAAACAGUCCUACGUGGCCGCAUGUGCCGCUAUGUACGACAAGCUCCGGCGCAGCCGCCGCUUGGACGCGGUGCAGAGCGGCUGCUCCGCAUUGUCAAUCGUCAAGCAGGAGGACCUCAUGGUCGUCGCCAACGUCGGCGACUCUCGGGUUGUUCUAGGCACCGCAUUCGACGACGACGCCAUCACGUCGUCCAGCUCAUCGUCCACCUGAAGCCCAACCUGCCACAUAAGUCGCUACUGACUGGCCAUGAAUUCUUGUGUGCUGAGACGAUGGCCGUUGCUGAUGUUGUAUGAGUAUCCUCGAACACGUAUGUAGAGGAGUAGCGCAUCCGGUGGUGCAACGGCCAGGGGUACUACCUUGCUGAUGAGCCUGGGGUGCACUUCGUUUUACAACCUAGCCAAGAGUCAUCAGUACUCGGUAUGUCGCGCGCGUUCGACGACUACUAUAUCGAGGACUGUGGCGUCAUCUUGGCGCUAGAGGUGACGCACGGGAGGACCGACAACAAUGACCAGUUCGUCAUCCUCGCCACCGUUGAGGUAGCUUUUGUGCCGACUUGCCUUUAAUUCUCUUCGCAAACACACACUUGCCUUUUUGUUUAAGCAAAAGCGUAUGAUGGUACGUGUCUGAUGACUAACGAUGUACGAGAAAAUUUCUUCCGGUAUGUGUGGAACGUGCUCUCCAAUAAUGAGACCAAUGCAAAUUGUAACAUAUAUCGAAGUUUGCAUGAUACUGAUGGUUGCAAUGUAGUGGUGAAACAGAUAGAUUAUAAAUAACAAAAUUUAUGUAUGGCCAGAAUCACAAAUUGGUUAUGAAACAUUUUCUCAUAACAAUAUAACACACAUUUUGUAUAUAAGUUAUCAUAGUAUACUAGUAUUAUAUAUUCCCGUUGCAACGCACGGGCAUUCAGCUAGUACAAAGCAAAGGAUGGUAUAAUCGGAGGCUGGUUCGUGAUACUUACCAAGAGGGAGUGAAACCGCGAUUGCAAGGUCACAGCUGUAUUGGUCAGAAGAAAGUAUGUGGAGCUUGGGAGGCCAAAAACUAAUAUCAAGGAUUAGCAAAAAUCGAGUGCAGAUUAGCGAAGUUCAAUAAGUGUCCAAAGCACAAGUCACAAUUGCUGGCUAAGACAUGUCCUAUCGAAGCACAACAAGGUAAAAGUAACAAACCAGCAGAAUGACAGUUCUGUAAAUAGUGCAGAUUUUUCAGCACUAGUAGAAAUCAAAGGCGCGUUUCCAAAGGAGUACCAGCAAAAGAGCUCGAAAUAUUCUGAAUUUUUUACCACUGAUCCAAAAUCACAAAGGAUGGAAGCACACAAAAUUUUACUUGAAACAUAGUUGUAUUGUGACCUAGAGAAAUUCACAGAAGAUCUCUGAAAUUCCUGAAAACACUUAAACAAUUUUUUUAAUUAUGUUCCCGAUUUUUUUUUGAAUUUUUGAACCGAACCAAAUAGGCUACAGCCCAGUUUGGGUCACCCCAGAAUGGAGUCAGGAAUCUGCUGUAAAAAAUUGAGCUCAAAUGGAGCACCGAGCGAAAAGUAUGCCCGUUUUAUGGAAGGUACCUCAAGUUAUGGUUUUCAAGGGCACAAAUUGGCAGAAACCGUAGCGGCGGCUAUAGACCACAGGGGCACAAACCUCCCUGGUAUAAGCAAUAGGUAAGCGCCAGAUGAUGAAACAAGGAGGGGUUGCGAUGCAAGGUGGCUUGCAACCUAAUCUAGGGCUAGCGUGGGGAGAGUUCACACAAGGCGGCUAGCGAGGGCAAAUCGAGUAAUGUGGUGUCUCGACUUGUAAUCUGGGAAAGGUGGAUGGGAUAGCGGCGGAAACAAAUAACAGCGACGGAGCGGUUGAACUACGAUUACGACAUGACCUAAACCAGCACCAAGACUCGAACACGGACACAAAUUCAACAAAGCAAUCUGAAACGAAAUUGCAAGGCUAAACAGGGUUAUAGGAUAGCGGAUUUUUUGUAUGGCAAUUAUCUGGAGUUAUAGGAUAAAAAAACUAAACUAAACUAGGGUAAGCCUGAUGGUAAUACCUGAGUCUUUGAAUACCACUUGAUAGGAUACGGGGGUGCCCGAUCUUCCGUCAGGUGAAGGUAACUAUCGAUUUGAUGGAGAUGUCACAUAGACGAUCCGACUUCCAAUCAACACGACGCGAUUGACCUCGCCACGAGGGCUAAUUCUUGCCUGAGAAUCAAAGACACAAGCAAGAACAAGAAAGAACACAAUCUAGAAUAUUGCGGAUGAAUGAUUAAGCUCACAAGUUGGGGUCUCACAAACUGAUCUACGACCACUGUUCUUGAUAGAUCUAACUUAAGCAAAACCCGAGCCCUAAUGUUGUGGCGGCUACUGAUUAUAUAAGGGUUAGGAGCGUGACUCCCUCCCUGGAUGCGCCCUAAUGGGCCCAACAAAGAUACACGGCCCAAAGGCCAAUUACGGUGUCGCAGCACCGAGACAGAUUACGGACGUCGGUUUGGUCCUCCACCUUGAUCCGAACGUCCUUGCUGGCCUUCCAUGCCUCCAAGUCCUUCACCAUGUCCUUGCUGAUCCUUUCCUUCAUUCCUAAGUACAAUUAAUUCAUUAGGUAGCACACUAUUCUCAAAUGCACAAUAAUAAGUACAUAGGAACGAGCUCACCUGCAAAUUCAAUUGUCUUGCGCGUGCGCGAGUAAUCGGACCUUGAACAUCAACUAGGGGAGUGUUGUUUGUAUCCAUGGUAGUGAUGUCCUCAUCACAUUAGAUGAGAAAACUUUUGGCAAACUUAGGAAUGAGCUAAAUAUUCUUGAUUCUCGGAAUUUUGAUUGAAACAUUGCACACAUAGCUCAUUUAUAUACCUUUGAUCAUAUCUCUUUCAUUUGGUACAAAUGCAUAUUUCAUAUUAUUUAUGUACCAAGGCUACGACUAAUGUGUUUCCAAAUGUAUUUCUAUACUAAGUCGUAGCUUGAAAGGGAAAUGGAGUAUUCGGCAAAAACAAGGCUUCCACUCCACUCUAACGGUAUCAUUUACCCUUCAUCCACUACUACAAAUCAUGCUAUAUGAGACAGUUACUUUUCAGUUAUUAAGACGCUUAUGAAGUGUCCAAUUCUGAUGGUGUCGCAAAAGAUGUCCCACAUUUAAGAUGGUUAUAAACCGUCUUAAAAGAUAUUAUAUAAGACAGUUUUUAAUUUAUAAACGUCUGAAAAAGGUAUUUGUUUAAGUCAUUUUGUCCGAUAAACCGUCUGAAAAAGGUAUUUGUUUAAGUCAUUUUGUCCGAUAAACCGUCUUGAAUUAGGUUUUUUUAAAGACACUGCUUCUAAAGAACCAUAGAGAAUACAAACAUUAAAAGUCAUAAAGUAUUUAUCAAACCGUCUCGAACAUCCUACAAUAAUAGACGAUUAAAAUAGGAAAAUCAUCUUAUUUAGGUGACUAAUAAUGGACGCUUUAGAAACCGUCUUAUUUAAGAGACUGGUAUUAGACAUUUUGGUGACCGUCUUAUUAAGAUUUAAACGAAAUGACUUACACGACAGUACAUUCUUCAAUUUAUAAUCAUUUGUUCAGACAUCAUGUUAUAAUAAUUUGAAAGAGAAAUAUACAUACACAUAUAUUGAACAACAUUAUAAUUCAUAUAAUAUAAAUAAGUACCAUUCAAUAUAUCAUAAAUAAGCAUUGUCAAAUAAGGCAUACAUAAGUGUACUCUAAAUCUAAACUAAAAUACAACUAUUUGCACUAAUGUUAAGCCUAACUUUAUAUGAAUUCAAGUCUCCACACUUUUGCGACGACCAAAUUUGAAUUCCAUUCUAUGUUUUCCUGUACAACAAAUAGGAGAAAACUAGACAUAGAAUGCAAAAAAACUCCAAGCAGCACGUCGAUGACCUCGAAGAUGCCCUUGUGCUUCUCCCAGUUCUUGAUCACUCCUACACGCCCGGUGUUCCUCCCGCCGGUCACCAUGACCACGUUGCCGACGUCAAACUGAACGGACCUCCCGUUGCAGAGCUUGAACUGCACACAAACCAAUAGAAAAGCAGUGAGCAUUUCACAGGCGUACUAUGAAAGGGCAUGGGAAUUUCCAGUGAUGUAACUGUAUAGAUAGACAGAGCAACAUCUAUUAAUAGUCCUAACGAUUGUAGCACAUGACAUUUUCAAUGCAAGACUUUCAUGCACAUAGCAUAUAUGGACUGUAUAGCAAGGAUAACAUCUCGGGGAGGUUCACACUGGAAGGUUUAAAUGCAAACGGUAAGUAAAUAAUCAAGCAAAGGCCUAUGUACUACAACAUUUUUUUGGAGAAACAGGUGAUACCUGAAUGAUAAGCUGCACAUCAUUAAUAUCCAGACCACGAGCCGCCACAUUUGUCGCAACCAAAACUUGGAACUUCCCGCUACAGAAUCCAGCAAGAAUUACCUAAAUCAUCCAAAAACACAUCAAUUAUCUGCACCUUGCAAAUUGCAACUAUUACAACAAUGUGAAUGGGCAGGCAGAUCGAUUAAAAAUUUAACAAAUAAAAUUUAAAACUGAGUGCAACAGAUUAAGUUCAGAUGUAUUGAGAAUUAGAACAACAUUUCUGAUUUUUAAUGGUAUAUAUUACAUGUGUAGUAUUCCACAUCAGCAUGAAUUACAAACAAAGUAUACACAUGCCAAUAACAUUUAGAAAGGCGUGUUAUAUAGACAGUAUUGUGGAUUAAUCAAUUAUAUCAUCAUAUUGAUAUGUGAUCAAAGAAGAAUUCACAUACUUCACGCUGCGCUUGCGCUACAUCUCCAUGCAAGGCACGGGAUCCAGGAAUCAAACCAGAAAGCUCUGAUGCAGAAUCCUUCGUCUUAGUGAAGAUGAUGGUUCGACCUCCACUGAAGCACAGAAAAGUUUAGCGAAGUCAUUGGAAAUCAAACAGCAUACUGAAAAACAACCAUCUAUGGGGUAGUACAUACUGGCUAUAACAUCGGAUAAUGUCUGGAAUAACUUGUGCCCUUGCUGCCUUAUUACAAGGAAGAACAAGGUGCUUAACAGAUGCACUGGCCUUCAGUUUCUCAUUACCGACAAGAUCAACUGUUUUCCUGUCAACUUUCAGAAACCUCAUAGAGAGCUACAAUAAUUCCAAAUCAAAUUGUCAGCUCACAAAAAUAGUCAAAAAAAUAUUUAAAAAUAUGAAAGUCCUAUAAAAUGAUCUUACCUUAUUCACCCAAUCUGACAGAGUGGCACUGAACAGAAGCAUUUGUACUUUGGUAGCAUCUUCUACCUUGCCUUUUCAUACAUUAGAGUGAGUAAUUAAAUAAUCAAACAGAAAUCUAAUGAAUGUUAGAUGCUCCAUUUAAAAACCAUGUUAAUUGAUCCAUUUAAAAAACAGAAAGUACCUCAUCAUACUUUUCACCACCUUUGACAAGAACGGAAUAAUAUGUCUUCUUAGUUGCUCCAUUUCUGGUUGGAGCUUCGACCUCAUCAAUGAAAGCAACUCGUAGUGAUGGGUUCCUGUGUAAUUUACAAGUUAGUUGGGUUGGAGCAAGCUUACUAUGUAGGUAUACUGGUAUAGAGCAUUAGCUUUUGUACAUUAUCAUGAGACUGAGGAUAUUCUGAUAGCGCCUUUUUUCAUUUAAAUCCUUUGAUGUCUUUUGCAUGCCAUAAACUUGACAUGAGACAACAUAGGUGAAUUUGAUAUCAGCAAUAGCUUGUGCCAUUUCAAUAUCAGAUUGCAACUCUUGGUAGGAUCCUAUUGAUCUGUCUCGGUCAACUUUAGCUACAAAAAAUAAACAUGUAAUCAAAGAUAUGAUGAUAAACAUGGUUCGGAAAAAGGAAAACAUGGACACAUUGAUCUUACCAGGAUCUGUCAUAUCUUGAAGGCAUUGGAUUUCAAGUGCCUUUCUGUAGUACAUCAUUCCUCUUACUAGGAAAAUAAAAAAAAGUAGUUUGGGAAAAAAUGGAAAAAAAGAAGUCAGAGAACAAGUUAUAUUUUGAUGAAUCACAGGAUUGCACUACUCAUUUUACCUGUUCUGGUGAGAAUUUGACCCCUAUAAGACGCCCAAUUACAGAUCUCAUCCAUCCUUUCUUUAAGUUCUUCUUCAUCCUUCAGUUUAAAAUCUAUCCGCUGAAGGAAGUUCCUAAAUUCAUCUAUGGAGACACAAGAUUCAUGGUGAAUCAUUUCCUAAAAGCUUUAAUAAAUAUCUCACAGUUUUAUGUCUAGUAUUUGCAAAAUAUCUGGAUAUAUUUUCCGUAGGUAGAACAGUAUUGAUAUACCAUCCUCAUUUUUCCUAUGAAGAUCUUCUGGUGAAAAGAGCACCUCCUCUUUGAAGUAUGGAGUUAAAACACUGGUGCAAAAGCAGAAAACAAUUUUAAAACUAUUAAGAAAGUGUUAUAAUGUAAAAGAAUGAUUUGGCAUAAAUAUGCUUGCUCUGAAAGCUACUGCUAAAACCUGGAUAACAUUAUGUGAUGCAAAAAAGGGAGUUCAUGAAGAAGUCGAGCAACCAUUCUCGGACAUUUGCUAUCUCAUCAAGCAAUAGCUGGACCAAUAUCAUGAUCCAAACUUUGCCUCAGUAUAUCCCGAGACAAGUGCUCCAGCAGACUAGGCAUAUUUCGUUUAUAGGUGGAUACAUUAUUUAGUUCCUUGAUACUACUUUGUUAUUGUCAUGUGAAUCUGAAAGGCUGCUAUAAUUUUUCAAUAAAUACGUAAUGCUAGGAAGGCAGCUAUCCAGACUAAAAAUGGCAGGUAUGGGAUGUUUUAUAUGACAUUAUCAUUCUUUCGAAACCACAACACAUUUCUUGAUAACCAUCAAAUGACAUGUCAACCUAUUUUAGGUAAAAGAAGUGACAAUAAAAGUUACUGGUUGGCCGAGUAUCCAAUCAUACUCUUACAUAGUAAAAAUUUACAUGAAGAACUAUGAUACAAACGACCUCACCUCCCUCAGAGUGGGAAACUGGAAAUUUCUUGUGAGCUAUAAACCUUGACAACUUUCAUAAAAGUCAGAUAGGUUCCUAGCUUGAAGCAUCAAAGACGUUGAUGGGUAAAAAUAGCAUCUAAGCACACAUAAUUGUUAUGUAUUGAUCUUCUUCAAGUUAAAAUACAUUGCACAUUACUACCGUGUAGGGUAGUUACGUGCUAGACAGCCCUGUUGUAAACGUCAAGGGCUUUUAGUGCAUCAUGCUUUGGCAUCUAAAAGAAUUGCAUAGUUGUUUCAUAGGCAAUAGAAAAUAGUAAGAAUAAGAAGAAAUAGCUCAGUGCAACAUAGACAAAUGUCUACUUCUUUGAAGAUUAACAUACCUUGUCAAUAAGGUUGAUAAUUCCAUCAUUUAUUGCACAAUAAACGUUUCCUCUAAGAACCUGUAUAGUAGUAGGAUUGAUUCACAGACAUCGUUUGUUGGAGUAGUUCAUCAUUUCAUCAUCUUGAGAUCAACUCAAUUCUUGAAUUCCGCAUCACAUGAUCAACUAGCGUACCUAAUGGAAUGCGAAAUGCAUAUGAAUGAGAACAAACAUAAAUAACACAAAAUAGAUAAACUAACUGAAGAGGACAAAACACCUAUGGCAAACUCCAUAAUAAUCACACACUUGGAGUUAAUCAUACUCAACUGUUAUGAAACACAGGCAUUUAUAACCUAAACUUUAUUACACAAUUACAAGUUACUUAUGUCACACUUAAAACCACAAGACUACCAAUCAACCAAUCAAGAACUAACCAAACCUAGUGACCUACACAAAAGCAAUUCCAAACAACCAUUUUAAUACUUGCUGAUUUUUGGACAGCAGAGCAACAGUUAUUUGUUUUGCUCAUAACUCAUAAACUAUGCAUCCAAAAAUAGUAAACCAGGACUUUAUGGAAAGCUUAUGAAGUCCUCUAAAACUUUUGUAUUACCAUCACAACAAGAUUCGACUUUUAAAAAGGUCAAACAGAACUAAACAUAAAUUCUGUCCAGAUUUGGACAGAUUCAGAUAUCACACUUCAAACAGCCAUAACUUGGCCUCUAGACUACCAAAAAGGGUGAUCCAAGACUUUUUGGAAAUAUUAAGAAGAGUACUACAAUUCUCCUAUAAUUACUAAGGACUAAUUCUUAGUUUAACUUGGUCCAACAGUGCAACUUUCGACAUCUACACAGAAUCUGGACAGAUUCUGAUAUCGGAAUUUGGGGAAGCAUAACUUUCAAAUUAUUGGACCUAUAGCCAUGAAAUUUUAGUACAAAUAAGAUAAGGAGGUUAUCUACAACUUUUAUAUAUGACAUUUUCACAGAAAACAUGGUUUACUUCACUAAACUAGCUACACAACUAAAACUAUGCAUGCAGUGCAAACAGCAAGCAUUCUAAUUUAGUUCCUAUUUAGUUUCUACAUUUACCAUGUUCUUGACACUUAAAAUAUUCUAACAUAUUAUCAUUAAUUAGAGCCAAAGCCACCUAUUCAAUAUAUAUAUAUAUAUAUCCACCCAACAUGAACUCGGUUAAUACAUAUAAAGUAUCAUGACUACUAAAGCAUAGAACUAACUUCAUUAGACGAAACUCAUCAAAACAACACUAACAACAUUCAUUAGCGACACGUUUGAAUUUACUAAACUUACCCUUUAUAUUACUAACUCAACCAACACAAAUAACAAUCAACCUAAGCACACUUGAUUCCGACAAAACCCUACUUUUCACAUCAUUCGCAUCAUCUCAAGGGCCAUACUCAACAUACUCAUCCUUCAAUGCACUUUACAUAUAACCCUAUGUUUCAAACUACCCCUUCACCCUCAACAACGCAUCUGACUUCCAAUCGAAUACGACCAUACAACACAAAGGGCAAUUCAUCAAACAUUUGACAUACCACAAGGCAACUAAUAUAUCCAUCCAAUCCAUCAACUAAACCAGGAAAAGGAAUAGCACAUCACUCACCAUACCUCAAUCGAUACCAGGUUCAUAAGAACGACAACAGUCCUGGCUUAGGCGUUCCACCGAACACCUACCAGGCGCUGCACUAGGGCAUCACUUCAUCACCUUCGGAUUCCUAGGGAUUUUCCUCCAAGAACAGAUGACACCAUGACCGUCAUGGGAGGGGCAACCUGAGGAUGAGGGCGCCAAGCCUGUCCACGGCGAGCAGCAAAAGGGAGGGGUGCGUCCAUGGUUGGGCAGGAACAAACGCCAUGGGAGGGGCAACCUGAGGAUGAGGGCUGACGUCCAUGGGAGAGCUCAGCCACCAGGGUGAGGAGCGGCGUCCAGCAGGGGGGGCGAGCACCAGCGAGGGCGCCGUGAGGGAGAUAGGGCUGGGCGAGUGGAGGGGGCUCAGCUGGGCGCUGCUUGCUGCAGAAAAGGGGAGGAGAUGGGGGCGCCUGCACAAGGGAAGAAUGGAGAGAGGAUGGACGCCUAGGAACCCUGCGCCAUGGGAAGGUGCUGGUGCAGAGAGUUGGGGAAGGAAUGGCGUCGGCUUGCUGCAGGAACAAGGCAGAGGGAGGCGGCGUCAGAUAAGGCUCCCAGGUAGUCAAUGCCUUCCAGAAUAAUGCCAAGGCGGUAGAGAUAAUUGGUAGAAGAAAAAUUCUCAUCUUUCAUCUAUUUUCUUUUACAAAAAUAAAUGCACAUAUAUCUAGUAGCUAGGAUUUGUGAGGGUUUAAAUGAGUUGGUCUAAAAUACAUUUCGGAUUACGUCUUUCAAUUUCUAGAUUAUGAAACAGAGAACCAACCAAAUUUAGAAAUUAUUUGAUCUCAACUCUUGCGAUCUUGGUCCAAAUUAAUCUUGCAUCAAACGCCUGAAUGCUCCCGUUAAUGUAACAUAAAAGACAUUACGGAGCGAGCACAGCAACAGCUCGCAAGCCCAAGAGUCAUCUACAGUUCUGUGCCCCCUAUUUUACUUUAUCCACCGAAGACAGCCCAAGGAAGUAGAAGAGAUAUAUCAUCAAACUAAGCCAAAUUCACUAUUUACUACGUUUUUUCAUAUUUAUAAGUGUCAAGUAUACUGACUAAUAUCUAAGACAGUUCUUAUAUUCUAGACGACUCUAAUACUAUUUUUAUUUGAGAUGGUUUCAUAUACAGAAGUGUCUAAUAUACUAACCAAAAUCUAAGACAAUUCUUGUGAUCUUAAUGACUCAAAAAGUAUAUUUAUUUGAGACGGUUUACAAUAACAAUCUGUCUUAAAUCAAUAUAAGACAUUUAUUAGGAUGUAACUGUCUCAAAACAUAUCUUUAUUAAAGACGUAUCUUCAACAAACUGUUUUAUCUUACUCAUUAACAUAUGAUAAAAGACACUUCUGUAAAAUGCAAUGAUAUAUGUCUUAAAAUGUGUGUCUUAAAUAAGCAUAUCUCUUGUAGUGAUCAUUACUCCCACACAACUCUCAAUUGGUAUAACCCUGCACUCAUAUUUAUACUACCAUUUGGGAGAAAGUAUAAAUGGGCUCUCAACAUCUCCGUUUUUAGCGAUUAAUGUCAAAGGGGGAGAGAAUAUUAAGCCCAAACCAAAAGGACCGCACCACCAUAAUUUCAAAAAUUUUCGAAUUAAAGCUUUAAUUGAUAUUUGGAAAUUUCUCAAUUGAUAUCCAUGUUUCACUUGUCUUGAGAAAGCGAAAUUUCAAUUGGUAUCUAAAUAAUGGAAAUCUCUUCAAUUGGUAUCUUUCAAGAUCAUUUUUCAAAAUUAAUAUCAAUUUCAAAAUCCUCUUGAAAGCUAAGAGGAGAAUUUCAUUCAGGGAGAGUUUUAUUUAGUCAAAGGAAAAGGAAUUUAAACAUGGGGAGAAAUUUCAAAUCCUGAAAAUGCUUCUUGCAAUCUUAUCCAUAUACCUUUACUAUUUGCAAAAAAAUUUGAAAAGAUUUUCCAAAAGGAUUUGCAAAAACAAAACAAGUGGUGCAAAUGUGGUCCAAAUUGUUAAAGAAAAGAAAAGCAACCCAUUCAUAUCUAGUAAAAUUAUCAAUUGGUUUAAUUACAAGUAACCUAUGCACUUACCAUAUGCAAACUAGUUCAUUUCUGUACUUUAUAUAUUUGCUUUGGUUUGUGUUGGCAUCAAUCACCAAAAAGGGAGAGAUUGAAAGGGAAAUAGGGUUAACCUCUUCCUACAAUUAAUUUUGGUGGUUGAAUGCCCAACGCAAAUGUUUGGACUAACUAGUUUGCUCUAGAAUACAUGUUCUACAGGUGCAUAAGGUUCAACACAAACCAAAAAAUAUAUACAAGUUAGGGACCCAAUUCAAAAGGAGCAAAAAGGACUUGAGUGUGCUGUGGACUGGCGCACCGGACUGUCUAGUGUGCCACCGGACAGUGUCCGGUGCACCAGGCCCGUACAGGGUUGAACCAGCCACUCUCGAGAAAACGCAGGCACGCUCCGCUAUAAUUCACCGGACUGUCCGGUGUACCAGCGGGCAACGGCUAUCCAGCAUGCAACGGUCGACUCUGACAGGAGCUAUAGUGAGCAACAGUGCCACGCAGAAAUCAGAGCAGCGAGUUAGAGGGGCAUCGGACUGUCCAGUGCCGCAAGAGGACAAAGCUCCAACGGUCGCCCGAGCUCCGAACCCUAACGGUUGGGUGACGUGGCGGCGCACCAGACAGUGCACAGUACCUGUCCGGUGGCGCACCGGACUAUCCGGUGCACCCAUCGCCAGCAGCCUCCCCAACGACUACUUUGGUGGUUGAGGGCUAUAAAUACCCCCCAACCACCACAACUCCAAUCAUCCAAGAUUUCUGAACAUCACAUUGAAUACAAGAGCUCUAGCAUUCACUCCUAGACACAAUUCAAAAGAUCAAAGCCUCUCCAAGUCCCAAAUUCACCUCAAAUACUUAGUGACUUGUGAGAGAGUGAUUUUGUGUUCUUUUGAGCUCUUGCCUCUUGGAUUGCCUUUCCUCUUUCUCAUUCUUGUUCUCAAGUGACUUGUAAUCAAAGCAAGAGACACCUAAGAGUGUGGUGGUCCUUGCAAGGUCUUAGUGAGCCGAUUGAUUAAGGGAAAGGCUCACUCGAUCUAAGUGACCGUUUGAGAGAGGGAAAGGGUUGGAAUAGACCCGGUCUUUGUGACCUCCUCAACGGGGACUAGGUUCUUUGGAAUCGAACCUCGGUAAAACAAAUCAUCGUGUUCAUUCGCUUGAUUUCCAUCUGAUUUGUUUUCCCCUCUCUCCCGGACUUGCUUUUAGUUCUAACGCUAACCCUGGCUUGUAGUGUGUGUUUAAAGUUGUAAAUUUCAGAUUAUGCCUAUUCACCCCCCCCCCCUCUAUGUGACUUUCACUUGCUCCUCUUGAUUGAUGAAUCAUGGCCCAUUACGCCUCACUCCAGUCCCAAUCCUCUUCCCAGUUCUCUUCUCCUGAAAAACACAUGAUUGUUCAUCAAAUAUAGCUAGACACUUAAACUGAUCAAUGAUUGAGCUGACAGAAAGGAGAUUGACUGGGAAUUAUGGGACAUGCAAAACUGAUGAUAGACUAAUGGAUGGUGUACACUCUAUAUACCCUACACCAUGAAUGAGUUGGGAGGUACCAUUAGCAAUUUGGACAGUUUCAGGAUGGAUAGAAUGAGAGUAUGUUUAAAAGAAUCAAUUAGUCUUGUGACAUGUCUAGAUGCUCCUGAAUCUAUUAUCCAAUCUCUAUAACUUCUACAUGAAGAUGCAAGGGCUUGUGCCUGAGUACCUGCGCCGAAUGGGCGUAGUUGGCCAUGUUACCGAAGUGCUGGGUGGAUGUAGUUGCCACAGAAACAAUAGGAGUGCUAGUUGGACACUUAGAUUCUUUGCCCUUAUGCCAUUCUUCCCAUUGUUUAGCUUGUUCCCCAGUCAGGGUGAUUGAGGGGGUGUCUUCAGUGACCGCUACAUUGACACGAGGGCCACCACGACCUCUACCCCUAGCAUGGCCACCAUGCCCCCUUCCAUAGCCUCCACGAUCUCUUCCAUAGGUACUACGAGUGGCUCCAUGAGUUCCACCACCUCGUUCACCACUGCCACGAGGAUGAGAACAAUUGUAGCUCAACUGUCCCUUCUCACCACAAUUAUAGCAAUCUCUAUCAUCAGUUACAGUGUAGGUUGAUUUCAUAGGAUCAUUAGCUAUCAUUACCUAGAGCCUGCAUUCCUCAUUAAUCAUUGACGACACAGCCUCAUCCAUGGUAGGAAGACUCUCUUGGUGACAAAAGGCAGCUCUCCUGCUCUCAAACUCUGGAUCCAAAUUCUUUAGAAAGUGAGUCACUCUCCUGUCCUCUACCCACUUGUGGACAACCUGUGCAUCCUGAGGACAAACCAUUUGGAGAGGAGCCUAGUGAUCUAGUUCUCCCCACAAGUACUGAAGUUCACUAGCAUAUUGUUUCACUAGUCUCCCCGUCUGUUUCACUGCAUCUGUCUUACUUUGGAUCUCCAUCAUCAUCAUCAUAUUCCCCUUUAUUGAGUAGAUAUUGCUCAAGGUCUUCCAAAUUUGUGUUGCAGUGCGCAUGGCUUCAACCAUCUUACUUACAGAUGAAGACAUGGAUGCUAACAACCACUCCACAAUAACCGAGUUGGUGGUAUACCAAACCCUCCAUUCAGGGCUGAGCCUAUCAACUACUUAGGAGGUAAAGGAGUGGAUCACUAUUUGGUACACAACCCUCUUCCAAAUAGUGAUCCACUCCUUUACCUCCUAAGAGCACUCGCACUCUCCUAGACCAACUCAAGUAAUUCUUGCUUCUUCUAGCUUCACAACAUUUGGAACGAGUUCCAAUUUCAAUUCAGAUGAGAUAGGCAAAGUCUUAGAGCCAAUCAUACCUAGCCCCAUGAGUUCCUGAAUCAUACACCUCAUCUCAUUUCUCAUCUCACUUUUUGUGAUUAAUGGAUCCUCUUCUUUCUUGUCACCAUGAAUUGUUUCCCUUUUUCCAGCCUCUUCCUCCAACCUUUUUGCUUCAGCCUCCUCUGGACUCAUCAUCAUCAAUGUCUGCAAAUUCUAAGACGAACCAGGCUUCCUUCCCCUCUCUCAAUCAGCAAUACCUUGCAGCACACAGAAGUACCUCCAACAUCUCUAGCACCACCACCACCACUAGCCGUAGCAGCAGCCCCAUCCCCUGGCAGCAGCACUUCUUCUCCCACCGCCACUUGAACAAACACAAGCUGCAGGGCUACACCAGGGAGGACAUGCUCGACGUCGUCCACCCCACACACUUAAGCAAGCUGGCCUCCCUCCUCCGCCUCGGCCUCGCGUCCUGAUACGGCGCCGGUAUCAGCCUCCCGACGGCGGCGAUGGUGCACACGCAGGCCACACGAUUGGACCCAAACCACGCUCCUUAUCGACGUGGAGGCGGCACCAUGGCCACGCCCCCAGCAACGUGGGAGCAGCCCCACGCAGGCGGUGGCCAGACACACGGACCCGGCGUUGAUGGAUCGACGGUGCAUGGCUGGCUGCAGUGCCUACGGGCGGCGACGGUGACUAUGAGGCCAAACCCUAGCUCGCGAUACCAUAUUGUGAUUUGUGGGUCAAUAUUCGUGUGUCCCACUUCCAGCACACACACACUUUUAUAUAUGAUGUAUGCACAAAGGACCCUUUACAAAUGUUCUAACUCCAACAACAUUAAUUAUUUUUAAAUUAUGCUAAAUCGAUGGUAAAUUCAUCAUUUUUUAGCUUAAAUCAUUUUUGUGCACGAGUGCUUUAAUGGCAAAAAAAGAGAUUUUCAUGGUGUGAUUGGUGAGCAAAACAGGCUAUUGGGAGUGCGAAACAACUCCCCAAGUUUACAGACUAAAUAGGGAUAUUUAGUAAGUUAGUACAUUUAGGGGCCUCAUUCAAGAAACUGUUGGAGCAUGAUUUUUUGUUACUAAGGCUAUCUGUAGUGCAAGUUACUCCACAUCAUUACUUUAUACCACUAUUUACAGUCUAGUCAACAAGAUUCCUUACUCUAUAUCACAGUCCUCUGCAUUCAUAUUCCUUUAUAUAUUCCUUCUAUAUCAACUACCACAUAUUAUAUUCAUCUUAAUCUAUCUAUCAUAUUCUUUUUCAAGCUACCAUAUAUAAAUUGUGUGUGAACAAAGCCGGUAGCAGAGGAAAUAGCUUACGCUUUAUAUGGGAGCCAUACCGGAACAGGAGCGCACGCCACUGCAGACCAAUGAUCUCUAUAUUUGCAUUAGGGGGAGUUGUAGCGGAUGUCGGUGCAGAUAGCCUAACACCCUAAAUUAAACUUAGAGUGUUUUUUGGAAACUAGUGUAGAUGCUCUAACAAUACUAUCUACUAGACCUCAUAUCACCAAUUUAGGUAAAACAACUAGCUCCAAUAGACCUUUUACUAGAUCUAUUUACAUUCUCCCACCACUCAUUCCUGUUAUUGAGGGGUUUGCAAUUUCACAUCACUAGUAGUGUGCUUCACUAAUAUGUCAUUGGGCCCACAGAUCAUAGACACAAAGGGACCCACAAAUCAUAGACGCAUAUGUAUAAUAGCAAAGAGGCAACACAUGUGGGUUGCAAAAUUACAAAUAUUCCCCUGUUGUCCCCUUACUUUAGUCAUGUGUCUUUGUCCCCACUCGACUCCACUUGGCACACGCAGGCACGCAGCCUCCACCACCCAACUAACAGGUCCUAACAUCCCCUAUGUUUACUAGCGGUGAAAACAGGUCAGAUCUACCAGUCCGAUAUCAAAUACAGAUAGUAUGAAUAUCCAUUUUUAGGAUACAUGUACAAAUAAUUUUAUACCCUAAACGGAUACGAGUAGUACUCGGAUAGUGUAGUUUCAGAUUUAGAUCAGAUUCGAAGCCAAAACUACACAGUAAAUAUCCAGAUAUUUGGGUCAGAUAUGGGUAUCUAGGCUUGGGUAACCGAUUUUAUUUUUCUAUAUAAUACUUUUAUAAAAUUGUAACAUUUGCAUAUGAACUGAGAUGAAGAUAAAGUUUGUAUAAAGAAUUAUAGAGCUCGUAGAGUUCUACAACUUUGUAGUACAUCACAUUUUUGUUUGAACACAUCUUCAUGUCAAGAUCAUUGAAAUAAUUUCUAAAUUUAUAUUAAAGUAACAAACUAUACAUCACAUGUGUAACUUCAAUACUCCAUAGCUUAUUAAUAGACUAUAUAUUACAUAUGUUGGACUGCCUUAUGCCAUUUUAAAGUUAUCUUGUGUUUUAUUAGAGUAUUGUGUGACCUAAAUCUUGUCAUUGUUAGUCUAUUAUAUGAUCUUAUGUUGUUGUUAUAUUGUCAUAUUAAUCUAUGGUCUAUGCAUAGUGCGGGGUAUUUAUAGGUCAUCAGGCGGGUAGGUGGGACCCCAAGUAGCGUUAUACCCCUGGUUACCUGCUACAUCCCCGGUAUAUUCCCCCUACGGGGUCAUUAACGUGGUGUGAAGUACAAUUAAACUAGACAUACUACGACACCUACCGCAAAGAGGGGCAUACAAAUGGGCCCAGACGGUGACGGGGCGUAGCCUGGGCCCCACCAUAGAGCGGCAUAGCCUUCACAUGUAUGCAGCGCCUUUCACUCUACGAAGUCGAGCCUUCAACCUGUCGGGACUGUCUUGACGUGUGGCAGUCCGAGCCGAUGGGGGUGCCUUCGCGAGGUUGCAAUGAGCACCCUCGUUUCACAAGUGUGGCCCUUUGCUACAACGCCUUCGACAGCCCUAGUUGAAGACCUCGAUACUGAUACUGAUCGGGGCACUCUUCGCCUCCUGUAUAUGUGACAACCUAUUUGAUUGAUGUUGAAAUAGUAUGAUCGAGGAGGUAAUCGGCCUUCACUCCAACACCAAGUUGGCUAACUCUAACGUGGAUGUAGGCAAGCAUUUCAGGCUUGGCCGAACCACGGAAAAAAUCUCUGUCUCUUGUUUGCUUUUCUAUUUGCACGUCUACUUUAUCUUGGUGUAAGUUGUUUUGAAGAGUAGGAUCUUUGGAGAUAAGGACUUGUAUUCCACUGCAAACUACUAGACUCGACUUCAUUCUACUGCAAUCAACACUUCAAGUAGAGUAAGAAAAGUUCUAGUUUUGGUGUAAAUUUUUAUUCGUCUAUUGGCCCCCUCUAGACGACGUCUAGGUCCUGUGUACCCUCAAAGGGAAUAUUCAUAUAACACACAGAGACAUUUUGGGUUGAGGUUAUAAACACCACUUGUUAUGAAACAAAUCGAUUAUUUCGUCGUCAAUUGCUUGAGAAGACUCCAUAUAACACACAGAGGGCCUUGCUUGGCCCUGUAGAAGGGGCUCUCCAUGCCGGGGAACUAGGCUCUAGGGCCCAGCCUCUCCUGAUCUCGAGCACCCUUUAUACCAGGGGACUAGGUCCCGAGAGCCACUGAACAUCCAAGACUCUCUUUGUUUUCUAGGAUCCUUGCAAUCUCUGGAAUUAUUAUGGUAUUUCAGACUCCUUCGGGCUAGAAAUUAAGCUCAUUGCUCGACCUAAGCUAUCGUUAGUUCAGAAGCCUUUUUUUGGGAUGUAAGUUGCAACUCACAUAACAGUAUUGUGCUUGUAACAGAAGUGUUUCAGGUUCAAGUGGCAUUCAUUUUCUUCCUUUAGUUUUGUUGUUAAAAUCUCAGGAGGAACUCCAGGUAUUCAGCAAACGAAUAUAUGCACUAGUAGAAAAGAGCUCAUAGCCUGCGGCACCCAUAAAUUAUCACUGGCGGUUUCAGUUAUCGCGCGCUAGUAAAAAAACGAGGUGGGCCCGGCUUGGGAACCGCUAGUGGAAACCUAUUUCCACUGGCGGUUAUCUUAACACAAUCGCUAGUGGAAAUAGGAUAUUUCCACAGGCGGUUGGUGUAACAGAACCGCCAGUGAAAACCUAUUUCCACUGGCGGUUGGUGUAACAGAACCGCCAGUGGAAAUACCCUAUUUCCACUGGCGGUUUUUCAAGCCAACCGCCAGUGAACUGUCUGUUAUAAAUACCCCUCUUCUUCCCCCCGACAAUGAACUGUAUGCUCGCAGCCAACUUCCAUUGGAGGCGAUUUUGGAGGUCCAGAUUUCACAAAAAUAUAAGGGGGGAGGUUUUGGUCUUCAUUUCUAGGAAGAAGGUGGAUAAGAAAGGUUGGUUUAUGUUUCUUUGUCAAUUUUUGUUCAUUCUUGCUCAAUUUUAGCCACAUUUUGGAUCUAGGGUUUUACAUGUGAGAGAGAAGAGUAUAGCUAGGUUAUUUUCUCUAUUUCCUCAAAUGAGGUUGCUUAAGAUGGUUGGUUUUUGUCUAUUACCUCUCCUUUUUCAUGUUUAGUUCUCAAAUAAGUUUAUCCAUAACACAUAUUUAGUUGCUUAAUGAAUGGUGAAUGUGUUGUAUGGAAGGUUGGUUUAAUUAUGUUUCAAUUGUCAGUUAUUAUUUAUUUUUGCUCAAUUUUAACUACAUUUUGAAACUAGGCUUUCACCAUGUGUUAGAGAUAGGUUUGGGUAUUAAAAUUUUUUGUUUAUUAGUUGCUAGGAAAGUUUGGCUUAUGUUUCUUUUGCCAAAUUUUAUUCAUUUUUCCUCCAUUUUAGCCACAUUUUGGAUAUAGGGUUUCACCAUGUGUUAGAGAUAAAGUAGUCUAACUACUUUUAUUGGAAGAGAUAAAGUAGUCUAACUACAUUUUUGGAUAUAGGGUUUCACAUUUUAGCUACAUUUUAGCCACAUUUUAUUGUUAGAGAUAAAGUAGUCUAACUACAUUUUUGGAAGAAGGUCGCUAAGAAAGGUUGUUCAUGUUUCUUUUGCCAAUUUUCUUUAUCCAUGAUAUAUUUAGUUGUUACGAAAUAUUGGUAUAUGAUUCUCUUGCCAAUUUGUGUGCCUUGUGUGUUUUAUGUUACUUUUUUUACAGGUGAUGAUGGAGACGAUAUCCUGGAUGUAUAACUUAUCAAGGCUAGAUCCAUCAUACAUAUCUGAGGUCCAUAAGUUUAUUGUUGUCGCUAAGAACCAUGCUUGGAGAACAAAGACAAAGCACAUAUAUUGUCCAUGCAUGGACUGCAAAAAUGCUGUUGUAUUUGAUGACACAGAACAAAUCAUAUCUCAUCUGGUAUGCCGAGGAUUUGUGAAGGAUUACAUAAUUUGGACAAAGCAUGGAGAGGGUAGCUCUUCGCCUUAUACAGCUGGAAACCCUGCGAACAUCGACGACAACUUUCAGUUCGUUCACGAGACACAACAACCUCUUCCACAGAGCGAACAUGUAGUGCCAAAUGUUACUGAUCAUGGUUACACCGGAGGAAAUGAACGUGAAAGAACCCAUGUUCUGCCAAAUGUUAUGGACGAGGAAGAUGCAGAGUUGUUAGAGGCAAUGUUGCGUCGUCAUACAGAUCCAUCGAUGUUCUUCAUGAAAGGUAUGGAGUCCCUGAUGAAGGCAACAGAAGAGCAUUUGUACGAUGAGUCUAAGGGUUGUACCAAAGAGUUCAUGACGCUCCGGUCUGUGUUAAAGUUGUUGAUGUUAAAAGCUAGAUAUGGUCUAUCUGAUGCUGGCUUCGAUGCGUUCUUGAGUAUUGUCGCAGACAUGCUUCCAAAGGAGAACAAAGUGCCUGCUAACACGUACUAUGCAAAGAAACUAAUCAGUCCACUCACUAUGGGCGUGGAGAAGAUCCACGCGUGUAGAAAUCACUCUAUCCUUUAUCGAGGUGAUGAUUAUAAAGACUUGGAGAGCUGCCCAAAGUGUGGUGCAAGUAGGUACAAGACGAAUAAAGACUAUCGAGAGGAAGAGUGUGUUGCAUCUGUGUCUAAAGGGAAGAAGCGAAAGAAAGCCAAAAAGAAGACUUCAAAAUCCACGAGCAAAGAAAAAGAAAAAGUAGACUAUUAUGCGCUCAAAAAGAUUCCUGCUUUGGUGAUGUGGUACCUCCCCGUCGUCGAUCGAUUGAGGUGUUUGUUCGCUAACCCUGAGGAUGCCAAACUUAUGAGCUGGCAUGCUUCUGAUGAGCACAAAAACGAUGGUGUAACACCCCAGGUGUUACUGAGGGUGUCCACCCAUGGCUACCCCAUUUAACCUAUUAUCACCUGAGAAUUGGUUUGGGCAAAGUACAUCAAACUUGGAAUUCAAGGUCCUAAACAAGUGCCAACCAUCUUGGAUAUCAUGCCCUAGCUUGUCAUGCACAUCCAAGGGGGGGGGAUUUCCCAAAACCCUAAAGCAGACCCCUCUUGGGCAAUAGGAACCCUAAUUGAAGCUAGGAUCAAAAGGUCAUGUAAACCUUAUGAUCAUGGCUUGGGCCAAAUAUAAAAGUUGUAGUGUACUUCAUAACCUACAAAUGAUAGUAAGAAAGUGACCCCAAAAAGAUUUCAGAAAAGCCCCAAAAAGUUCACCCAAGGUUGAGCACAAGGGAAAAUUCAGAAUUUGCCUAAGUCUAAAAACUAACCCUUGAACAAAGAUCCCACAUGUUCACCUUAAUCCAAAAUUCAAAACACUUCGACCCAAUUGACAAAGUGGCGCCAAAUUAACCCUAGAAUGCCCUGGAAAGAGGUGACACCUACCCUAGGGUGUUUGACACGACUUGGCACCAUUUUUGUCUCGGCUUGGACCUAGCUGACACAGCCAACUUCUCACCCCUCUACCUCCCUACCCCGACCAUAUCUUGACUUGGAACUCACAGCAAAAAGGUAGGAUAUGGAGCAGGGAAGCGACCGUACACAGUGACUUUGCCAAGAUACGCACGCUAUGGUGCUAAUAUCCGCCGUUGAACCAUGGCAGAAGCGAGCUCCCACGUGUUCGACGCGGGCUGACACCCGGGGGCGCGCUCAGAGCACGCCCGUGCGCGAACCCCCGCGUGCCCACGGCCGCCCGUGACCACACCCACGCCAUGGCUAUAAAGCCUGUCCCAGUGACUCGGCUGCCUUCCCCAUUGCCUCCUCCGUACCUCGCCUGACUUCCCCGAGCCAGCCCUUAGCUCCGGCGACCUCCCCGUGACCCGCCAGUGCCGCCCGAGAGCAACCACCGUGGCCAGCCCCUUUCCCGUCCUCCUCCGUUCGAUCCAAGCCUUUAGAUAGCUUCCUGGUGAGGCCGUGAAGCUUACUAAAGCUUGAACCGAGGACCCGCAUCACCGGAAUAGCGAAACCGUGCUCGCCGGAGUUCUUCCCCCCGCCGGCGCACGUGGACCGGGUAAAUCACUAAGCCAUUUUCCGAUUCAAUGCACAGAUAGCCUCUACAUCACCCCAGGGAGCUCACUGUGCCAUUGGAUUGGAAUAGGUCGCCGUGGUUUGGCCGGUACACCCGCCACCGACGAGGACACCCGCCUGCGCGCGUGGACUGAGCGAUUCCGGCUAUCCCCGCCGGCGAGCCGUACGUCGUUGUGACCGCCAGAGCCUCCCCGAGCCAACCCUGCCCUUCGCCGGACCUAUCUCGCCGCCGGUAAGCCGCGCCACCCUUUUCUUUCCCGCGGGUACUGUUUACAUUGGGGGAAGGACCGCGGGUGAGAGGAAGAGAAGGUCAGGGGGCUUUUUGAACUGUCAGCGACCCAGAGGAAUAGUGGCGCAGGGGUAGAACUGCGAAGGUUGAUUUAGUUUAAACCCAGGGACCUCGGUGUAAACUGUUUUUCCAGGAAACUCUUAUUAAAUCUGUUUUUAAAUUGAACAGAGACUUUAAAAAUUCAUAACUUCUGUGUAGUUCAUCAAAAUUUGGUCAAACUAAUUUUGCCAGACUUUAAAUAAUGUAAACUACUUAAGAAAAAUAUAAAAACCCCUAUGUACUACAGAAAACUUUAGGGUUCUAAUUUAAUUAUUGUUUUAGCUAUAAGCUAAAUAAUAGGGAAAAAAUUAGUUGCACUAUUUGACUAGGGUUAGAAAAAUUUGGAGAAGUUUAUAUCUACCCACUGAUCUGUUUAAAAAUGUUAAACCUCUCUGUCCAUCCCAUUAAGUUAGUUUUUGUCCCUUAUUUUACAAUAUGCUUAAGGUUAAGAAAAAUGGAAAAGGUGAUUUAAAUAAUGAACAAGAGGGCACCCCUAUUUUUGUUAAGGUACUUAUUCAAUAUAGUUCACUGGAAAAAUCUAUCAUACCCUGGUUUAGUAUAAAAUAAGUAGGGUACCUUUUAAUUGAAUAAAAUAAGGAUAACUUAGAAAAACCCUACAAAAAUAAGCCUAAGGUGAAAACACCCCCACCCUUGGGAUAACUAAUGUUUUGUUAAUAAGAACUUAGGAAAAAUAUGAAAUCUGCUGUUUGACAUUUUUCAAAUAACAAUGUAGUAGAAAGUGCCUUUUUGACAUUUACCUUUAGAAAAUCAUAACUAAAUAACCAUCCCUUAGCUCUCUGAGAUUUUUAGCACAAAAGCUUAUUAUUGCUAUUAAAUGCUAGCAAAAAUAACCUUUAGGACAGAACCCACCCCUAAUUAGGAGAUGUAGUGUAAGUGGCUCAUUUUACACAACUUUUAUUAUUUUUGUCUAAAGCAUAGCCUUUUUAUUUUGAACCUCAACUUCCUAGAAGGAGCUAUAGUGACAAAUGACAACCCACUAUAAUUUUUACAGAAUUUUUGGAGAAAGUUAAGCUACUAUUGUAGUUCAAACCUCCACUAGAUUUCAUAAAUAGAAAUUAAAGAAAGAAAAAUGAAUAAUGGAAAGUAGAGUCAUCCUAAAACCCUUGAAAUUGUUCACUAAGGUAUAUAAAAAGGUAAUACUACUUCCCUAUGAUUAUCCUCAACAAUGAAAACCUAAGCCUAAAAAGUAAUAAGCAUAACCCACUGGAAGCCCCGCAUGACCAAGAAACCCUAAGUGACUAUUUAACUUAGUUUUCUUUUUAGCAUAAUGUUAUUAAUCCUGCAUAAUCAUGACAUACAUGUUCAUUGCAUUCGAUAGACUGUAACCUUGCUGACGGAGAGUAUGUCCUCGUGCCGGAGCAAGGAGCUGCUCAGGAGGUAGCCCCGGAUCUGUAACGCCCCGAAUUUCGAGUUGAUUUUUUUUCUCUUUCUAUAUCGCUCGCUAAAUUCGGGCGUUACCUCUCUUUCCUAUUGUUUUUCGCUAAAACCCUACCUAUUUCCAAAACUCCAAGUAGAAUAAUAAUAAUAAACCCUGAGAGUAUUUCAUUUGGAUUGUUGCACCAUGCCGGUCCCUGCAUAUAUUUUGUUUGUGGAUUGAAUUUGUGAAAAAACACGAUUUCAGAAGAAAUGAUUAAAAAGGGAAAAACCUUUCCUUCUCUCUCCCUUCCCCCUCUUCCCCUUUCAGCCCGGCCGGCCUGGGCGGCCCAGCUGGCGCGGCCCAGCCAUGCGCGCAGCCCCCCCCUUCUCGCGCUCGGCCCAACUGGCCAAUCCGGCCCAGCCGGCCUCCCUCCCCCCCCCUUUCUUUCCUCCCCGCCGUGGGCCGGCCUUGCCGCGGCCCAGCUGCCCCCCCGCGCUUUGGGCCCAGCUGGCGGCCCGGCCGCGCGCAGCCCCCCCUCCCGCUUUCUCCGCGCGCAGCGCGCGAUAGUUGCGCCCGCCGCCGCCCCCUUCCAUGCGGGACCCGCCCGUCACCCUCUCUAUCCGCCCAAAUCCCUCUCCCCUCCCCUGCUCCACCCCGAUCCCCUGCUGCUCGCCCGUAACCGCCGCCGCCGCCGAUCCCCGCCUGUGGCAAGCCCCAUCUCCUCCUCCCUCGCCCCUCCCCUCUCCCUCGUGUGCGGUUGGCGUGGGCGCGACGCCCGGCAUCCCCGGCCCCGACCUCGGCGUCGUUUCGCCCCGGCGCGGCGCGACGCGCUCGUCCCGGCGCGGCUCGGCCAUGGGGGGGCGCGGCCCGGCGCGGCGUGCCCGCCAGCGGCCCCGGCUCAGCUCGCGCGGCCAUGGCGGCUCGCCUGCCCGUGGCCGGCCCGGCCCCAGCCUGCGCGCGACCUCGCGGCCUCGUCCGCAGCUCGCCGGCGCGCCCCCGGCGUCCCCGUCGCCCUCCCGCGGCGCAGUGGGCCCCUGCACGCUCGCCCCGCCCCUCCCCUUGGCUCGCCGGCGCGGCAGCUCGCGCGGCCAUGGCGUGGCCAUGGUGCGGCUGUGGCGUGCGCCCCGGCGUCGGCCCCCGCUCGGCGUGCGCGGCGGUCCCGCCCCGGCCUUCCCUGCCUGCGGCGCUCGCCCCGACCCCUGCGCGGCCUCGGCAGCCUCGCGCAGCCCCGGUCCCGGCGUGGCUUCGGCGUGCGCGCGGAGCCCCGGCGCGGCCCGUGCACGCACGGUGCCCCCGGCGAGCUCGCCGCACCCGCGGCUCGCGGCCAUGGCGGCUCGUUCUCGCCCGCAUUUGCGUGUCCCGCCCCUGCGCAGCGCGGCCCCGGCCCGGCGCAGCUUCAGCUCGCGCGGCCGUGGUGCCCCUGCGUAGCGCGUGCGCGGUUCGGCCCCGGCGUGUGCGCGACUCGUUCGCGACACGUCAGUGCGGCCUUGCGCGUACGCGCUCGCGUGGUGCACGGUGCGUUUGCGUGGCUCGUCGUGCCCGCGACGCAACGCAUAGCGCCCUGUCGAAUCCGCGACACGAUCGUCUACCCCGAGCCACCCGUCUACCCCCCCCCCCCCCCCCCCGUGCAUUCCGUGCGUAGUGAUCGUGCGAUGUAAUCAAUAAAUGGGAACCCAAAUUAGAAAUCGGUUACGUUAGUUAAUUCAUGUAAGUAAUCAUCUACCUCACCUAAUGUCGAUCAACUAGAGUUAGUCAUGAUUCGAAUUAUGCAUGUAGCUAAUCCGUUUGUUAGAACUAGUUAGAAUUAAGUAGAACUAAGGCACGUAGCGUCUAAUUAUUCACCAACCCGUAGCGCGUCUUGGGCAUAAGCUUUAACUCUCGCGAGACCUUUCCCCGCCUCUUUCUAACCAUGGUAAAUUCAUUACUGUAUGCGAUAUUCUAUGCAUGUUUCAUCUACUUGUUCUCUUGUAUGGUGUAUUGUUGGCUUCCUAAUUUCAAUGGAUGGAUGUAUGUAUGUGUGCACUCGCAUAGAAAACGAUCCGGUUGAAGAGCCCGAGGAACUCGCAGGAGAAGCCCCUGAGCAGCAGUCGGUUGGUGGAGGCAAGUGUCCCUUGACCUAUCUCUGUCCUAUUCAUUAUUUAAUUCACCUCCCGCUUUACACAUUUAUGCCUAAGGAUUGACUAGCUUUUGUUAUCCAUAUCCUUGUCUACCUAUCUGGGUUGGAUUAUUAUUGUUUAGCUUUAUGCUAUUGCUUAACUCUAAUCAAUGAACAUGAUGAGAUUAUCUAUGAUACGCUGUUUUCCCUUCUCUUAUUAUGAUGUUGCACUUGUGGUCUUUAAGGGGGCUCGAGCGGUUUCUCGAGUGCCUCUCCGUAAGGACCUGUUCUAUGGAUGACCGCCCGGGAAAACAGUGCAACCAUGAGGGUGGAAUGGGGUGCCCUUAGCUGAAUAAUUAGAGGAUCCGGGGUGUAGUUCACUUAGCCGUCGUGCCGUCAAUGGGGCUCGGUGUAUGCGGCUCGCUCUGCCAAGUUUGGGUUCGCCCCUUGGGGAGGAGUGCGGUGCAUUUAGGAAACCUAACGGGUGACUACAGCCCCGGGGAAUCUUUGUAAAGGCUACGUAGUGAUGCCCUGCUGGGUCACCUUGGUAGUGAUCAAUGGAGAGUCAUGAUCUCCGGGCAGAAUGGGAAUCACGGCUUGUGGGUAAAGUGCACAACCUCUGCAGAGUGUUUGAAAAACUGAUAUAUCAGCCGUGCUCGCGGUUAUGAGCGGCCAAGGGAGCUCCAGUGAUUAGUGAUACUUGAUCAGAGAUACUUUGGUACAGGUGGUUAUGAGAUCGAUGAUUCUGGUUAUGACUAUGGUGCUGGUAAGUGGUACUCUUUCCGUUUGGAAAGGAGUACGUUUGGGUUAAUAACUUGGGUUAAUGCUAAAACUUGGCUUUCUACUAGUAAGUAAUAAUCUGACCAACUAAAAGCAACUGCUUGACUUAUCCCCACAUAAAGCUAGUCCACUACAGCCAAACAGGAUACUUGCUGAGUAUGUUGAUGUGUACUCACCCUUGCUCUACACACCAAACCCCCCCCCCCAUCCCCAGGUUGUCAGCAUUGCAACCACUGCUCAGGCGAAGAUGAAGCUGUGGAAGGAGACUUCCAGGAGUUCCAAGACUACGAUGAGUUCUAGGUGUGGGUUAGCGGCAACCCCCAGUCGGCUGCCUGUGAAGGCCGCUGUUAUCUACGUUUCUUUUCCGCACUUUGAUUUAUUGUAAGAACUAUAUGGACGUCUCAGACGUAUGAUGUAAUCGACUAUUUCCCUUCUUAAUACUAUUUUGAGCACUGUGUGAUGAUGUCCAUAUUAUGUAACUGCUGUGUACGUGAAUAACUGAUCCUGGCACGUACAUGGUUCGCAUUCUGUUUGCCUUCUAAAACCGGGUGUGACAGGAUCCAGCCUUAGAGUCUGCAUUAGAGGAUCUGCCUGCCACUGCUUUGGAAGGCAAGCCCCGGUUUAUGCAUAACCUGUUACUUAUGCUAUUUUACUAUACCUAAUGAUUGUAGGAUUGAAUGUGCACUUAGGUGUAGGAGUUGUGUUGAAACCCUAGUUGCAUGAUCUCAGGAAUCCUAUUGAGAUGGAUACUAGUAUGCUAGGACGAGUAGCUGCUUUAUUAAUUAAGAUUUCGGUAGAAGUCGAGUGAUUUUCUAGCACUCGCGCGAGAUCAGGAAAUUGGUUGUAUCCACUUUCUUAUCAUAAUGAUGCUGGUUUGUGGGCAACAAUCCAUGGGGAUUGGUUGUCUACGGGAUAAAAAUUUGAAUAAGGAUUAUGGUGUGGUACCGUGUGUCAAGCGUUUGAACGUACUAAACAUAUGCCGAGAAAUAUGGUAAAUCGGUAAGCCUAGUACCUGAGUGAACCUGGCAGUGGACAUAUCCCCUCACGCGACCUGAGACGUGGUCUCCCAUUCCGGUUAUGGUGGGUACAAGUGCGGUCACUGCACGACGGCAGUCGGGGUCAGUGAGGCAUUGUACGCCAAGGCGGUGAGCCCUGAUCUGCUGACGGGGAAUCGAUGGGGACGGUUGAUGUGUGUGGGGACGGAGUGCCCCUACAUGUCGUGUGUUUAGGUUUACCUUGCAAGGAUAAAAACUCGAUUCGAAUCGUUUGCUUCUUGCAGCUAAUGAGAUUGCUUGAUCCAUGCUGCUACAUUGAGUAACAAGUGGAAUUGUGCUGAGAUGAUACAAGAUGUUGAUUGCUAAAAAUGUUUGCUACUAUGUAUGAAUAGAUAGUACAUCUUUAGCCUUAAGAGAGUCACACUUAAUUUUGACAAAGUUAAAAACUUGAUUUAGAAACUCAGCUAGUGCUUUUGGCAACCAAACCCCACAGCCAAACAGCUGCAUGUCUAGAGGUAGAGGAGUAGACUCCUCAUACCGGGUAAGUCUAGCUGAGUAUUAGUAUACUCAGGCUUGCUUGUGGCACAAUUUUACAGGUUCUCUGGAGGACAUGGUUGCUGGAGUGACUUGGUCGUCCAUCUUGCCACCGGGUUGGACUGUCGAGUGGGACCCUACCUCGGCUGAGGAGGAGCACGAGGAGUGAUGGGACAUGCUUCCCCAUCCCCCUGUUUAUUUACCGUUAGUUUUAUUCCGCUGCGCUUCGAACAAUGAUGACUACUUUUGCAAAACUCCGAUGAUGAUGUAAUAAUUUAAUACUCUUUAAUGCAUGGUUUUAUGCUUUAUUGUAUUUGCUCUGUGACUCACCUUCGAGUGAGAUUGUGGUACUUGAUCCUGUCAGUGGCCGUGUCGGACUAGAUCCGAGGGAUUGACGGGUUAUUCUCAUUUAAGUGUGGUCUAACCUCUAAGGCGGGGCUCAGGCACUUAAGUUGGAAUAAUUCGGGCAGUUCCGCCACAGCUGGUAUCGGAGCUUGUACCACCACAGAGGAAUCAAUAAAAUGUAAAUACCACCCCUUUUCCAAAAUAAAACUUGAUAGAAACAAUGUUGGAUAGAUAGUAGGACGAGCAGGAUAGACCUAGGACGUGAAGCCUUAGGAUGAUAGAAGGGUAGCUAGGUGGCUAAGUGAUUAGGCCCUACAGGCCACUUUUACAGGAUGGGAGUUCUUCCCUAUUCCCUUCAUCUUGUUGUCAGGUCGUUCAGGACGAGCAUGCAUGCAUUCUUGAAAUUAAACAAAUGAAAAUUAAGUAAGGACCUAAAUACAAAAUGAUGACCAACUAAGUACCCCAGUGCUAUUUUAGUUAACUAGAGAAAGGCUGAGUCUUAUUUUUUUCUUGUUCUUUUUAUAGUUCUUUUUCUUUUACUUACACUUAACCGUACACAGAUGACUUUCCACGGAUCCUCAGAUGACGGAAAUGCACUGACCCACACUGACGGGCUUGCACGAGAGGGCUUUCCCCGCAUUUUGUGGGAGGUACUUCAGGGGGCCGGAUACACGACACCCCCUCAGUACGCGGUGCAGCAGUUUGAGAAGCACAGAGUGCCCCGCUGUAGGGUGAGGAUGACCUUGGAGCCUCAUCCCCUGCAGCCAGGCUGGCGCUCAUUAGACUCUGAGUCUUUUGGAUACCGAGCUGAGGACACGAUCGAGGCGAUCGCUCUGCACGGGUUGACCACUUUCUGUGGAUUCCAUCCUUUGGAGCUGGCUACCCACCCCAUUGGCUUGUUCCCCGCCGAAAGGGAGGAGGACCCAAUGUGGAAGGAUCGGGUGGAGCAUGCCAAGGAUAUCUGGGCCAUCUACCCAGGACAGACUGCGCACUUGACCGUACGGUGCAUGAAUGCUCUGUACCGUCUGCAAGUGAUGCGCGGUGAGGCGAUGUCCCAUCUGAUGGCACUAUUGGAGGCAACAAAGAUUACUUUGGACAACAGGGAGGAGCCCGUGGUUGAUUUGUCCACUGAAAUGGUGGAGAAGGACUUGCAGGUGGAGCAGCUAUCCACUGAUAUCCAAGAGUUGGAGGAAUUAGUGGGCACCAGGGAGAACACCAUCGAGGUUCUCGAGGAUCAGCUCAUUAACACUCAGCAGCAGCUUGCUGAGGCUAACGAGCACUUGGAUAUGCAUCACCAGGAGAUCCAGGAUAUGGAGGCCAACGAGGACGUCGACAUCGAGGGAGGAGAUGAGCCUGCCUCUAGUGUGGACACUGCUGGCUCAGGGAGACCACCUUCCCCUGAGUCGAGUGUUGCCUCGUUCGCUCACUAGGUGUCCAGGAUAGAGUUAGACGUCAAUGAUGGUAGGACUCCUCGCAGCUAGCUUAGCUUUUGCACCCUUGGGGUACUAGGCUAGAUAGAGUUGAGUCUUUUUGGGAUAAAUGAUGUAACCGUGAUAAACUCUUUUGGAAGCAUGAUUGAUGGAUGUUGUUAUCAGUUUUAAAUUUGGAAGGAAAGAUUUAUGCCUUUUUGAAUCCUUUUGUUUAAGUUGGAAUCUAUCAUUUUGCUUUUGACUCUUUUUCGCCGCGAUUAAACCUUGAACUUGGAGAUAUGGUGUUAAGUAUAUAUGUGGCUUUUUAGAUGGCCGGGAGGCAGCGUCGUGGCCAGAAUGAGCGUGUUCCUCCACCGCCGCCACCGCCUCCCACUCUGCAGGAGCUAAUGGCUCAGCAGAAUGAGAUCUUGAGGCAGCUAGCUCAGCGUCAGCCACCACCUCAGCACUAUGGUGGUGGAGACCAUCAGCGUCACCCCGCGGCAGCUACCUACCAGGAGUUCCUCAGUACCCAGCCACCAUUGUUCACAAGGGCAGAGGACCCACUUGAUGCAGAUGUGUGGUUGCGGGUAGUGGAAUCUAAAUUCCCGCUACUCCAUGGAGCUUGCUCAGAGGUCACUAAAGUCAGGUUCGCCACCCAGCAGCUUCGCGGACUCGCAAGGACUUAGUGGGACCAUUUUCUUGCCAUGCAGCCAGAGGAUCGAGAGGUGGAAUGGAGGGAGUUCAAGGCAGCUUUCAGGGGACACCACAUACCAGCCAGGAUUAUGGACCGAAAGCUCAACGAGUUUCUGGCACUCACUCAGGGCAACAGGACAGUGUUGCAGUAUGCCCAGGCUUUUAAUGACUUGUGCCAAUAUGCUGGAUAUCACGCAGACACGGAUGAGAAGAAGAGAGACAGGUUCAGGAGGGGGCUCAGCACUAAGCUCCGUGAUCGUCUCAACACCGUCAGGGCCAACAGCUACAAUGAGUUGGUCAACACGGCUAUCUCCCAGGAGGACUGCAUCACAGCCCGGCAGGCAGAAAAGAAGAGGAAGGCCCCUGUGGCAGGACCCUCCGCUCAGCCACAGCGCUUCAGGAUUGUGUCCGACACUCAGAACAGGGGACCCCAGCAGCAGCAAGGAAGAUGGGUGAUCCGACCCCAGCAGCAGCAGGCACCCAACCGCACCUAGUUUCCAACUCAGAGGAACAAUCAGCAGCAGCAGUACCGCCAGGCAAAUGAUAACAGGUGUUUCACUUGCGACAACACCGGACAUUAUGCCAAGAAUUGCCCCAGGAACCAGCAGAGGCAGCGGCAGAAUGUUACUCAGAACCAAGGCAAGAGGCAGAAGGUGCAAGUGAGGCAAGGCAGGCUAAACUUCACCACCAUGGCUGAUAUUCCAGAGGGAGCACCCGUCAUGACUGGUAUCUUUACAGUUUUAAAUUAUCCUGCCAUUAUUCUUUUUGAUUCUGGUGCGUCGCAUAGCUUUAUCAGUGCCAAAUUUAGUGCCAAGUGCCAAUUACCUUUCCACCACACCAAUGGGGGUAUCACAAUUUCAACACCAGGAGGCAGGGUUGCCACCUACCAAAUCAAUAAGAAUGUGCCUAUAAGGUUUGGUAGUCUGAUAAUUAAAACCAACCUCCUCAUUUUGGGUUUGGAUAGUGUGGAUAUCAUAUUGGGAACUGACUGGUUGACCAAACAACAGGCUGUGAUUGAUAUUGCAGCUAGGGCCAUUGAUGUGCACUCAUCCACCUGUGGUGAAACCACGCUAUAUUUGCCCGACCGGGGAUGUACCCAUUCUUGUGCCUUCGUUAUGAUAGAAUCCCCAGUGGAAAAGAUCCUAGUGGUCUGUGACUACCCGGAUGUGUUUCCGGAUGAAUUGCCAGGGAUGCCACCUGAUCGAGAUAUUGAGUUCGCCAUCGAAUUGCAACCCGGGACUGCUCCUAUCUCCAAGAGACCCUAUAGGAUGCCUCCCACAGAAUUGGCAGAACUGAAAAAGCAAUUGCAAGAAUUGUUGGACAAGGGGUUUAUUCGCCCAAGUACUUCGCCUUGGGGAUGUCCCGCCUUGUUCGUAAAGAAAAAAGAUGAAAGUUUGAGGAUGUGUGUUGACUACCGCCCUCUCAAAGCGGUGACUAUCAAGAACAAAUACCCACUACCCCGCAUUGAUGUUCUGUUCGAUCAGUUGGUGGGAGCCAAGGUAUUCUCCAAAAUAGACCUUCGCUCAGGUUACCAUCAAAUCAAGAUCCGUGCCAGCGAUAUUCCCAAGACGGCUUUCUCUAUCAGAUAUGGGAUGUAUGAGUUUUUGGUGAUGUCUUUUGGGCUGACCAACGCCCCGGCUUAUUUCAUGUACCUGAUGAACUCAGUGUUUAUGCCAGAGUUGGAUAAGUUCGUGGUCGUUUUCAUUGAUGAUAUUCUGGUCUAUUCCAAGAAUGAAGACGAACAUACUGAGCACCUGCACAUCGUGCUUCAGCGACUACGCGAUCAUCGUCUUUAUGCUAAGUUGUCUAAAUGCGAAUUCUGGCUGAAGGAGAUCAAAUUCUUGGGUCACACAAUUUCUCAGGAUGGGAUAUCAGUUGAUCCUGAGAAGGUACAAGAAGUGAUGGAUUGGAAACCCCCGACUACAGUGAGGCAGAUUCGGAGUUUUCUGGGAUUGGCAGGGUAUUAUCGACGAUUUAUUCCGGAUUUCUCCAGAAUUGCCAAGCCAAUGACUGAACUGUUAAAGAAGGGAGUCAAGUAUGAUUGGAGCCAAAAGUGCGAGGAUGCCUUUCACACUUUGAGGCAGCAUUUGACAACAGCUCCCGUGCUGGCUCAACCUGACAACACCAAGCCCUUUGAAGUUUAUUGUGAUGCUUCUGGUACUGGAUUGGGAUGUGUCUUGAUGCAAGAUAACAGAGUAAUUGCUUAUGCUUCCCGAGCACUCAGGCCCCAUGAGCAGAACUACCCUACACAUGACCUGGAGUUGGCAGCUGUGGUUCAUGCUCUUAAGAUAUGGAGACACUACUUGAUGGGAGCUCACUGUAACAUCUACACUGAUCACAAGAGUCUCAAAUACAUCUUCACUCAGGCAAAUCUGAACAUGAGGCAGAGGAGAUGGUUGGAGUUAAUCAAGGACUAUGAUUUAGAGGUGCAUUACCAUCCUGGCAAAGCCAAUGUUGUGGCAGAUGCUUUGAGCAGAAAGGCCCAAUGCAAUUGUAUGAGCAUGGAUGCAAGAGUUACCACCCUGUGCGAUGAAUUGUGCAAGUUGAACCUGGAAGUUGUCUCUUCCGGUGACCUAAGCUAUAUCUCGGUGGAGCCCACAUUGCAAGAGCAAAUAGUCAGGGCACAGAUUGAGGAUAAGGGUGUUCAGGUUAUCAAGGAAAUGAUCAAGCAAAAGGCAGAAAAAUACAAGUGCUUCCGGCAGGACAGCAAGGGAAUUCUAUGGUUUGGAGAUCGAUUGGUUGUUCCCAAGGACCCAGAGCUCAGAAAUAAGAUACUAGAUGAAGCUCACCUUUCCAAAUUCUCCAUGCACCCUGGUAGCAACAAGAUGUACCAUGAUCUCAGAUCUUUAUAUUGGUGGACCAGAAUGAAGAGGGAAAUUGCCAAAUACAUAUCCGAGUGUGACACUUGCCAGAGGAUAAAAGCUAGUCACUUGAAGGCAGCAGGCCCUUUGCAACCCCUUCCCAUACCAUCUUGGAAAUGGGAGGACAUUUGCAUGGAUUUUAUCGUAGGAUUGCCCAAUACCUCCAGGCACCAUGAUUCCAUUUGGGUUAUUGUGGACAGAUUAACUAAGACUACUCAUUUCUUGCCAGUACACACCACCCACAGGACAGAGAAGUAUGCAGAGAUCUACAUUGACCAGAUAGUUCGUCUGCAUGGGAUACCAAGGACUAUAGUCUCAGACCGAGGAGCACCAUUUGUGGCACGAUUUUGGGAACAAUUGCAGGAAUCACUUGGGACCUAGGUCAUACGAAGCUCAGCCUAUCGUCCCCAAACCGAUGGCCAGACAGAAAGGGUGAAUCAGAUUUUGGAAGACAUGUUGCGAGCAUGUGCACUACACUACGGAAAGGAUUGGGACAAGUGUCUUUCCUUGGCAGAGUUUUCUUACAAUAACAGCUAUCAGUCCAGUCUGAAGAUGGCACCUUUUGAAGCCUUAUAUGGGAGAAGGUGUAGGACCCCACUGAAUUGGUCUCAAGCGGGAGAGAGGGAAAUUUUUGGGCCAGAUUUGGUACUUGAAGCAGAGGCAAAGGUCAGAAUCAUCAAGAAGAACCUAGAAGCUGCUCAGGCCAGACAAAAGAGCUAUCAUGAUAAGAGGCGGAAGUCUCUACAGUUUGAGGUGGGAGAUCAUGUUUAUCUUAAGGUAUCACCCACCAAGGGUGUCCAGAGAUUCGGGAUCAAGGGCAAGUUAGCUCCUCGCUACAUUGGACCCUAUGAGAUCAAAGCAAGUUGUGGACCCAUAGCCUAUCAAUUGGAAUUGCCACCUCACAUGUCAGCAGUUCACAAUGUGUUUCAUGUAUCUCAGCUGCGGAAAUGUGUUCGCCUACCCACUGAAGUGCUACCGGAACCGGACAUUGAGAUAGAACCAGAUAUCAAGAGUACCCCGUCAAGGUAUUAGAUCAAAAGGAGAGAUCAACUCGGGCAAGGUCGGUCAGAAUGUAUAAGGUUCAGUGGAGUCACCAUUCGGCAGAAGAAGCUACAUGGGAAACUGAGGAUUUUCUACGCUCUCGCUUCCCCGACUUUCUGCCCAAAGGAGUCGGUACGUAACCCCAAAACCCCACCCCCAGCUGCCCUUUGAACUCAAUUAUAAGAAAAACAUAGAUAACAAGGAUAGUCUAAGUUGUGGAUUUAACUUAAAAAGGGCUUCCUUCUGAAGUUGCAAAGAGAAUGACAUUCGAAGAGCAGUUAACAAGAGAAACUUGAGUAAAGAAAAAGUAGCACACCUUCAGGCACCCCUCCAAGGGACUCUACCUCAAAUCUCGGGACGAGAUUCCUUUAAGGGGGGAGGGCUGUAACACCCCAGGUGUUACUCAGGGUGUCCACCCAUGGCUACCCCAUUUAACCUAUUAUCACCUGAGAAUUGGUUUGGGCAAAGUACAUCAAACUUGGAAUUCAAGGUCCUAAACAAGUGCCAACCAUCUUGGAUAUCAUGCCCUAUCUUGUCAUGCACAUCCAAGGGGGGGGGAUUUCCCAAAACCCUAAAGCAGACCCCUCUUGGGCAAUAGGAACCCUAAUUGAAGCUAGGAUCAAAAGGUCAUGUAAACCUUAUGAUCAUGGCUUGGGCCAAAUAUAAAAGUUGUAGUGUACUUCAUAACCUACAAAUGAUAGUAAGAAAGUGACCCCAAAAAGAUUUCAGAAAAGCCCCAAAAAGUUCACCCAAGGUUGAGCACAAGGGAAAAUUCAGAAUUUGCCUAAGUCUAAAAAGUAACCCUUGAACAAAGAUCCCACAUGUUCACCUUAAUCCAAAAUUCAAAACACUUCGACCCAAUUGACAAAGUGGCGCCAAAUUAACCCUAGAAUGCCCUGGAAAGAGGUGACACCUACCCUAGGGUGUUUGACAUGACUUGGCACCAUUUUUGUCUCGGCUUGGACCUAGCUGACACAGCCAACUUCUCACCCCUCUACCUCCCUACCCCGACCAUAUCUUGACUUGGAACUCACAGCAAAAAGGUAGGAUAUGGAGCAGGGAAGCGACCAUACACAGUGACUUUGCCAAGAUACGCACGCUAUGGUGCUUAAAUCCACCGUUGAACCAUGGCAGAAGUGAGCUCCCACGUGUUCGACGCGGGCUGACACCCGGGGGCGCGCUCAGAGCACGCCCGUGCGCGAACCCCCGCGCGCCCGCGGCCGCCCGUGACCACGCCCACGCCAUGGCUAUAAAGCCCGUCUCAGUGACUCGGCUGCCUUCCCCGUUGCCUCCUCCGUACCUCGCCUGACUUCCCCGAGCCAGCCCUUAGCUCUGGCGACCUCCCCGCGACCCGCCAGUGCCGCCCGAGAGCAACCACCAUGGCCAGCCCCUUUCCCGUCCUCCUCCGUUCGAUCCAAGCCUUUAGAUAGCUUCCUGGUGAGGCCGUGAAGCUUACUCAAGCUUGAACCGAGGACCCGCGUCACCGGAAUAGUGAAACCGUGCUCGCUGGAGUUCUUCCCCCCGCCGGCGCAAGUGGACCGGGUAAAUCACUAAGCCAUUUUCCGAUUCAAUGCACAGAUAGCCUCUACAUCACCCCAGGGAGCUCACCGUGCCGUUGGAUUGGAAUAGGUCGCCGUGGUUUGGCCGGUACACCCGCCGCCGACGAGGACACCCGCCUGCGCGCGUGGACUGAGCGAUUCCGGCUAUCCCCGCCGGCGAGCCGUACGUCGUUGUGACUGCCAGAGCCUCCCCGAGCCAACCCUGCCCUUCGCCGGACCUAUCUCGCCGCCGGUAAGCCGCGCCACCCUUUUCUUUCCCGCGGGUACUAUUUACAUUGGGGGAAGGACCGCGGGUGAGAGGAAGAGAAGGUCAGGGGGCUUUUUGAACUGUCAGCGACCCAAAGGAAUAGUGGCGCAGGGGUAGAACUGCGAAGGUUGAUUUAGUUUAAACCCAGGGACCUCGGUGUAAACUGUUUUUCUAGGAAACUCUUAUUAAAUCUGUUUUUAAAUUGAACAGAGACUUUAAAAAUUCAUAACUUCUGUGUAGUUCAUCCAAAUUUGGUCAAACCAAUUUUGCCAGACUUUAAAUAAUGUAAACUACUUAAGAAAAAUAUAAAAACCCCUAUGUACUACAAAAAACUUUAGGGUUCUAAUUUAAUUAUUGUUUUGGCCAUAAGCUAAAUAAUAGGGCAAAAAUUAGUUGCACUAUUUUACUAGGGUUAGAAAAAUUUGGAGAAGUUUAUAUCUACCCACUGAUCUGUUUAAAAAUGUUAAACCUCUCUGUCCAUCCCAUUAAGUUAGUUUUUGUCCCUUAUUUUACAAUAUGCUUAAGGUUAAGAAAAAUGGAAAAGGUGAUUUAAAUAAUGAACAAGAGGGCACCCCUAUUUUUGUUAAGGUACUUAUUCAAUAUAGUUCACUGGAAAAAUCUAUCAUACCCUGGUUUAGUAUAAAAUAAGUAGGGUACCUUUUAAUUGAAUAAAAUAAGGAUAACUUAGAAAAACCCUACAAAAAUAAGCCUAAGGUGAAAACACUCCCACCCUUGGGAUAACUAAUGUUUUCUUAAUAAGAACUUAGGAAAAAUAUGAAAUCUGCUGUUUGACAUUUUUCAAAUAACAAUGUAGUAGAAAGUGCCUUUUUGACAUUUAACUUUAGAAAAUCAUAACUAAAUAACCAUCCCUUAGCUCUCUGAGAUUUUUAGCACAGAAGCUUAUUAUUGCUAUUAAAUGCUAGCAAAAAUAACCUUUAGGACAGAACCCACCCCUAAUUAGGAGAUGUAGUGUAAGUGGCUCAUUUUACACAACUUUUAUUAUUUUUGUCUAAAGCAUAGCCUUUUUAUUUUGAACCUCAACUUCCUAGAAGGAGCUAUAGUGACAAAUGACAACCCACUGUAAUUUUUACAGAAUUUUUGGAGAAAGUUAAGCUACUAUUGUAGUUCAAACCUCCACUAGAUUUCAUAAAUAGAAAUUAAAGAAAGAAAAAUGAAUAAUGGAAAGUAGAGUCAUCCUAAAACCCUUGAAAUUGUUCACUAAGGUAUAUAAAAAGGUAAUACUACUUCCCUAUGAUUAUCCUCAACAAUGAAAACCUAAGCCUAAAAAGUAAUAAGCAUAACCCACUGGAAGCCCCGCAUGACCAAGAAACCCUAAGUGACUAUUUAACUUAGUUUUCUUUUUAGCAUAAUGUUAUUAAUCCUGCAUAAUCAUGACAUACAUGUUCAUUGCAUUCGAUAGACUGUAACCUUGCUGACGGAGAGUAUGUCCUCGUGCCGGAGCAAGGAGCUGCUCAGGAGGUAGCCCCGGAUCCAGCCCCAGAGUCUGCAUCAGAGGAUCUGCCUGCCACUGCUUUGGAAGGCAAGCCCCGGUUUAUGCAUAACCUGUUACUUAUGCUAUUUUACUAUACCUAAUGAUUGUAGGAUUGAAUGUGCACUUAGGUGUAGGAGUUGUGUUGAAACCCUAGUUGCAUGAUCUCAGAAAUCCUAUUGAGAUGGAUACUAGUAUGCUAGGACGAGUAGCUGCUUCAUUAAUUAAGAUUUCGGUAGAAGUCGAGUGAUUUUCUAGCACUCGUGCGAGAUUAGGAAAUUGGUUGUAUCCACUUUCUUAUCAUAAUGAUGCUGGUUUGUGGGCAACAAUCCAUGGGGAUUGGUUGUCUACGGGAUAAAAAUUUGAAUAAGGAUUAUGGUGUGGUACCGUGUGUCAAGCGUUUGAACGUACUAAACAUAUGUCGAGAAAUAUGGUAAAUCGGUAAGCCUAGUACCUGAGUGAACCUAGCAGUGGACAUAUCCCCUCACGCGACCUGAGACGUGGUCUCCCAUUCCGGUUAUGGUGGGUACAAGUGCGGUCACUGCACGACGGCAGUCGGGGUCAGUGAGGCAUUGUACGCCAAGGCAGUGAGCCCUGAUCUGCUGACGGGGAAUCGAUGGGGACGGUUGAUGUGUGUGGGGACGGAGUGCCCCUACAUGUCGUGUGUUUAGGUUUACCUUGCAAGGAUAAAAACUCGAUUCGAAUCGUCUGCUUCUCGCAGCUAAUGAGACUGCUUGAUCCAUGCUGCUACAUUGAGUAACAAGUGGAAUUGUGCUGAGAUGAUACAAGAUGUUGAUUGCUAAAAAUGUUUGCUACUAUGUAUGAAUAGAUAGUACAUCUUUAGCCUUAAGAGAGUCACACUUAAUUUUGACAAAGUUAAAAACUUGAUUUAGAAACUCAGCUAGUGCUUUUGGCAACCAAACCCCACAGCCAAACAGCUGCAUGUCUAGAGGUAGAGGAGUAGACUCCUCACACCGGGUAAGUCUAGCUGAGUAUUAGUAUACUCAGCCUUGCUUGUGGCACAAUUUUACAGGUUCUCUGGAGGACAUGGUUGCUGGAGUGACUUGGCCGUCCAUCUUGCCACCGGGUUGGACUGUCGAGUGGGACCCUACCUCGGCUGAGGAGGAGCACGAGGAGUGAUGGGACAGGCUUCCCCAUCCCUCUGUUUAUUUACCGUUAGUUUUAUUCCGCUGCACUUCGAACAAUGAUGACUACUUUUGCAAAACUCCGAUGAUGAUGUAAUAAUUUAAUACUCUUUAAUGCAUGGUUUUAUGCUUUAUUGUAUUUGCUCUGUGACUCACCUUCGAGUGAGAUUGUGGUACUUGAUCCUGUCAGUGGCCAUGUCAGACUAGAUCCGAGGGAUUGACGGGUUAUUCCCAUUUAAGUGUGGUCUAGCCUCUAAGGCGGGGCUCAGGCACUUAAGUUGGAAUAAUUCGGAUAGUUCCGCCAUAGAUGGGAAGCUUCGACAUCCAGCCGAUGGGAAGCAGUGGCAAGAUUUCAAUGAGAACCACCGAGACUUUGCCGAUGAACCAAGAAAUGUUAGGUUCGCACUGAGUACUGAUGGAAUGAAUCCAUUUGCUGAAAGGAGCAGCAAGCAUAGCACAUGGCCAGUGAUCCUCACCAUAUACAACCUUCCUUCAUGGUUGAUGCAGAAACGGAAGUACAUUUUGCUAACCAUGCUUAUUUCUGGACCUACACAACCUGGAGUUGAUAUGGAUGUAUUUUUAGAGCCCUUAAUGGAGGAUAUGAAAAUAUUGUGGGUAACGGGUGUUCAAAUGUUGGAUGAGUAUCGUAAAGAUUCAUUCACGCUGAGAGCAAUUAUUUUUGUUACGAUCAACGAUUACCCUGCACUCUUCACAUUAUCAGGCCAUUUUAAGGGAAAGGUUGGCUGCACAGUAUGCAUUGAUGAAACUGCUUACGUGUCCCUUACUGCAUCUAAGAAGAUAGUGUACAUGAGGCACAGACGCUUUUUAUUGGAAGGACACAGGUACCGCAUGCGAAAGAUGGAUAAGUACUUUGACAAUAAUGGUGAACUACAUUCUACUGCUCCAUCGGGUAACAAUAAAGGUCAUAGAGUUUUUGAAAUAGUCAGGAAUAUCAAGUUUGUUUUUGGGAAGAAGACAAAAGACGGAAAAACAAGGAAGGAUGUCAAACCAGCUCCGGGGGCUAUAUUCAAGAAAAAGUCUAUUUUCUUCGAGUACUUGCCUUACUGGAAAGAGUUAGAUGUGCGGCAUGCGAUCGAUGGUAUGCACGUUCAGAAGAACGUGUUUGAAAGCAUAAUUGGCACCUUGCUAGACAUAAAGGGCAAAACAAAAGAAGGGCUCAAUUCACGCAUGGACUUGGUAAAUUUAGGCAUAAAAAAGGAACUACAUCCUGUUCUUCAAGAAAAUGGGAAGUAUCAUCUCCCAGCAGCAAGCUACAAUCUCAAUGUAGAUGAGAAACAUGCGAUGUGUGUUUGGCUUAAGAAUUUGAAAGUCCCAUCCGGAUUCUACUCUAGCAUACGAAGUAUUGUGUUAAUGAAAGACCUGAUAGUCACCAACUACAACUCACAUGAUUGUCAUGUCAUGCUGACUACAUUCCUACCUAUUGCCAUCAGGGCUAUAAAUCCUUUGUUUUUAAAGAUGGCAAGCACACGGUUGUGCUACUUUUUCAACAGAAUUUCACAAAAGAUAAUUGACCGUGAUGAGUUGGCAUCUCUUCAGGAAUUCGCAGUGGAGACAAUAGCACAGUUUGAGAUGUGUUUCCCUCCAUCGUUCUUUGAUAUUAUGGUGCACCUUGUGGUGCACUUGGUGCCACAAAUAGAGGCAUUGGGUCCUAUGUACUUGCAUGAAAUGUGGACGUACGAGCGUUUCAUGUCAAUACUGAAUGGCUAUGUAUCAACCCGUGCUCGUCCCGAGGCAUCCAUGAUAGAGGGGUACUGUACUGAAGAGGCCAUUGAGUCCGGAGGUCCAUUCUGCAAUAAUAUCCUAAAAGAUCAGGUUGCAAUAGGUCUGCCUCCGUCACGACACGAGGGUAGAUUGUAUGGAAGCGGGAGGAUGGGACGGAAAUCUUUCAUUCCACCAGAUUACAAUAUAGUACUUGAGGCACAUCACAGCAUCCUACAUCAGCUAGCGAUAAUAGAGCCAUUUAUCCAACAACACAUCAAUGAGCUUCACGAGCAAAAUCCUGGGCAUACGGCUGAUUGGGUAAUGAAGCAACAUAAGCAGCGGUUCAACACAUGGCUAAUGGUGAAGGACAUUCCACGUGGAGAAACAAUAGAAGAAAAAACUAUCAAGGGGUUGGCAUCUGGACCAUCACGCUAGGUCACAACAUGGCAAACCUAUGACAUUAGUGGAUUCACAUUUUGUACAAAGUCCAAGGACAAAAAGAGCAUGUCACAAAACAGUGGUGUUCGAUGCGAGGCCAUAGAUGAUGAAACUGGUGAGAUUAUUACAUAUUUUGGCUUUAUUGAGGACAUAUGGGAACUAGACUAUGGUACAUUUCAGAUCUCGGUUUUCCGAUGUCAAUGGGUUGAAGACAAACAUGUCACGGUAGACAACUAUGGGGUCAGAGUUCUUGAUCUAAGUAAGGUAGGUUACAAAGAUGACCCAUGGAUCCUUGCUAAUCGUGCUGCACAGGUCUUCUAUGCUGAACAGAUCAUUUCUAACAAUGAGAAGAAAAGCACCGACAAACCGAAGCAUGUAGUUUUUCCUAGAAAACAACAAGCUAUAGGAGUUGAUGGUGUAUCUGAUUUAGAGGAUUUUAACCAGUUCAACGACAUGUCUCUUUUCAUAGACCAUCCAACCAAGAUAAGGAACGUUGAGCGAAGCAUCCCACGCAAUUCGAUGCCCUGGGUACGCCACGAUGGACAAGGCAGAACAAUAGCUCCCUAGAUUAUAUAGUUGUCAUGUAAUUGAUUAUUGUUAGGACAUGUCAUGUAAUUGAUUAUUGUUAGCGACAAACCGAAGCAUGUAAUUUUACACGACUUUCUAGUGACUUUCUAGAGAGGAGAGGGAGAGGGAGAGAGAGCUAUUGUUGCCAAUGCGCUCGGAGCAGGUCCAGCACUUACCGUCCGUGCGGAUGCAGCACUUUGCACAUCCAGAAUGCCUGUUCUUGCACUGAUUUUACACAGAGCAGAGCAUCAUGCUGGAGCCUACCGAUCAAUAUGUACUGUAUAUAUACAUGCAUGGUAAUCUGACUUGCCAUGAAAACUUCGGACUGGAAGGGUAGGCAGCAGAUGUCGCACUCCAGCGCGUCCUUCUCCACGGAUAGUGUCACAGUCGCCUCUUCCUCAUCCUCCAACCCCGCCUCUUCCUCAUCCUCCACCACCACCUUGGCUUUCUUUGGAGUGUCGCCGUUAGAGGAAGCCGUGGUCUUUUUCCCAGUCAUGGUUUAUCACCUAGAACGUGAGGUAAAAUAAAAGCAGGGAGGACUAUUCGACUAAUAUAUACAUAUCAGGCAGUAAGAAACAAGCAUCUUCAAAGAACAUGUUGUGAAAGAACUUGGAAAGAUGUUUACCAGAUCUGAUACUUGUGAAAGAACUUCACACCAAUGGUGAUGAGAGACGCGAAGCCAGGAGACGACGUAGUAUUUAAACACUGCAAGAACGGGCAUUCUAGUGACAGAGGAGGGAGAGAGAGGGAAGAGAGAGGAGGGAGAGAGGAGAGAGAGAGGAGAGAGAGAGGAGAGAGAGAGGAGAGAGAGAGAGGGAGAGGGGAGAGAGAGGAGCUAGGGAGAGGAGAGAGAGGAGAGAGAGAGGAGAGAGAGGGAAGAGAGAGGAGGGAGAGGGGAGAGAGAGGAGAGAGAAAGGAGAGAGAGAGGGGAGAGAGAGAGGAAGGAGAGAGAGAAGUAAUAUAUAAAUAUAUAUAUUAUGUAUACUAAAUAUAUAUAUUUAUAUAUUUAAUAUGUAUAAAAAUUUAUAUACUUAAUGUAUGAAUAUACAAUAAAAAAUAAUAUACUAAAAACAUUACUACUGGCGGUUCACAACGAAAACCCCCAGUAUAUAUGAUUUCUACUGGCGGUUGUCGAUGAAAACCGCCAGUAGAAAUGGCCUCCACAAUCUGUGGAUGGCAUUUCUACUGGCGGUUGUCGAUGAAAACCGCCAGUAGAAAUGGCCUCCACAGUCUUUGGAUGGCAUUUCUACUGGCGGUUCUCUAUGACAACCGCCAGUAGAAAUGAUUUCUACUGGCGGUUGUCAUUGUCAACCGCCAGUAGAAAUAUCUCCUAUAUAAAGGAGCGCGCGCGGGGGCGAAAAUUUCGCUAAGUCUCUGGCGCCCUGUCUUUCACACUUCCCGCCGUCAGGCUGCGAAAAUUUCGCCCGACGAUUUUCUCCGUCGUGCGUCGCCGUCGUUCACGCCGUCGUCCCCGCGCCGUAGGUAAGUUCUUCUCUCUCUCUCUCCCUUUCUUCGACUUUUCGCUCGGGCUCGGGCAUGCGCGCCGCCGCCGCCGUGCACGCGCCGCCGCUAAACCCUAAGCUAGCCUAGGAAGAGUGAGAGAGUGAGAGGGAAGAGAGAGGAGGAAGAGGGAAGAGAGGGAGACCCCUGCGCGCGUCUCUGCAGAGAGUGAGAGAGAGGGAGAGAAGAUAGAGGAGGGAGAGGGAAGAGAUAGUAGAGGAGAGAGAGGGAAAGGGAAGAGAGAGGAAAGAGAGUGGAGGGAGGGAGAGAGAGAAGAGAGAGGAGGGAGAGGGAGUGUAUAUAUAGGAAAGAGAGUGGAGGGAGAGAGAGAGGAGAGAGAGGGAAAGGGAAGAGAGAGGAAAGAGAGUGGAGGGAGGGAGAGAGAGAGAAGAGAGAGGAGGGAGAGGGAGUGUAUAUAUAGGAAAGAGAGUGGAGGGAGAGAGAGAGAGAUGAGAGAGAGGGAAAGGGAAGAGAGAGUGGAGGGAGGGAGAGAGAGAGAAGAGAGAGGAGGGAGAGGGAGUGUAUAUAUAGGAAAGAGAGUGGAGGGGGAGAGAGAGAGAGGAGAGAGGGGGAAAGGGAAGAGAGAGGAAAGAGAGGGAGAGGGAGGGAGGGAAGAGAGAGGAAACGGAGGGAGAUGGAGAGAGAGAGAGAGGAGAGAGCAACGGAAAGCAUGUUUUUUCCAUCGUAUUCCAUUGUAAACAACGUAUUCUAUUGUAUUCUAUUGUAAACAAUGUAUUCCAUUGUAUUCCAUUGUAAACAAUGUUUUUUUGGCUUCCACUCUCUAGUAAACAAUGUAUUCCAUAGUAGUACUAUUAGCUAGUGAAAUUAGGAGACGACGUACGACACACUUGCGUUGCUUCGAUUAAGAGCAACUCAUCAGAACCCCAUUUGACCAGAGCGAGUUCUCAUCACCUCUCUCCCUCUCUAUAUGUCCUAUACGACUCCUCCUCUCUCCCUCUCUCUCUCUCUCUAUACGUUCUAUACGACUCUCCAUCUCCCUCUCUCCCUCUCUAUACGUCCUAUACGACUCCUCCUCUCUCCCUCUCUCUCUCUCUCUAUACGUUCUAUACGACUCUCCAUCUCCCUCUCUCCCUCUCUAUACGUCCUAUACGACUCCUCCUCUCUCCCUCUCUCUCUCUAUACGUUCUAUACGACUCUCCAUCUCCGUCUCUCCCUCUGUCCCUCUCUAUACGUCCUAUACGACUCCUCUCUCCCUCUCUCUCUCUCUCUAUACGUUCUAUACGACUCUCCAUCUCCCUCUCUCCCUCUCUCCCUCUCUAUACGUCCUAUACGACUCCUCCUCUCUCCCUCUCUCUCUCUAUACGUUCUAUACGACUCUCCAUCUCCCUCUCUCCCUCUCUAUACGUCCUAUACGACUCCUCCUCUCUCUCUCUCUAUACGUUCUAUACGACUCUCCAUCUCCCUCUCUCCCUCUCUCCCUCUCUAUACGUCCUAUACGAUUCCUCCUCUCUCCCUCUCUCUCUCUCUCUAUACGUUCUAUACGACUCUCCAUCUCCCUCCCUCUCUCCCUCUCUAUACGUCCUAUACGACUCCUCCUCUCUCCAUCUCUCUCUACGUCCUAUACGACUCUCCCUCUCUAUACAUAACUCGAUAAUAUUCGUAUCACAAUAUUAGGGGUUAGGGUUAGGGCUUAGGGUUAGUGUUAGUGGUUAAGGGUUAGGGUAUUUGUUAAUAUGAAUUUAAUUAUUGCUUAUGUUAAUAUGUAGCUCAAUGAGUUCUCCAACCAAGGACCAAGGAUUAGGGCCCGACCACAUGGACAAGAGUGUUGCUCAAGAAGAAUCCAACAGUGAAGGAUAUGAAACGCCUAGCGACCCUUUUCCUACCACUAGGAUAGAUAGGGCCGCUGCGCGUGAGUUGCAACGUGACCCUACUUAUGAUCCACAAGAACAUGAGGUAAAUUACACAUCCUUAAUUUCGUGUGUGUACCUAAUUAAUUAGCUGAUUUCACAAUGUCUAUUACACAUGCAUGAUUUCUUGUGCAUUUUAUUACAUGAAUAGGAGGUCUUGUCUCAAUUUCGUGCGAUGCUCGAAAAAGCUGCGGCACGAUACCAAGACGCACCGGAACCGACCCAAGACGCACCGGAACCGAUCCAAGGCGCACCGGAACCGACCCAAGGCGCACCGGAAUCGACCGAGACAACCACCGAGAGGUCAAGGAAAAGGAAGCAGAGCGAUCGGAACAGAGGUGACAGGGGGCUAAACAAGUUUCCUGACAAGACAUAUAAAAUCACAGACGUGAGCCCGAAUGGUCAGCCCCUAGCUCCAGAAGAGGCACUGUCUAAGUUCCGGAAUGCACUUGGGUUCUUAGUUAGAGAUAAUCUUGACAUCACAAUCCGACAGUGGAGAGAUGUAUCAAAUGAUGUCAAGAAUCAAAUGUGGAAUAAGCUAGUAACGAGGUUCGUUUUGCCUGGGGGUUCAGAAGAACUCGUGAAAAAAUACACGAUGAAGCAGUUUGCAAUCAAUUUCCGAAACUGGAGGUCUGAGAUGAAUACAAAGUUUGCAAAGAAAGGCCUAGACCCGACGAAAAAAUAUAAAAUCUCAGCAGGUCAGUGGGCAGUAUUUCUAGAGCAGAGGAGCAGCCCUGAUUUCAUAUCGCUAAGUGAGGCAAAUUCAGAACUGUCUAAGAAGAACAAAUAUCGCCACCACCUUGGCACAGGUGGUUACAAGCGUCAGGUUCCUAAAUGGAGACAAGAAGACGCCGAGAAGAAGGCUGCAGGGUUGCCGACUCUGUCCGAGCAACUUGGUGAAAGGACAGCUAAUUGGAUCCGUGCUAGAAAACCAAGGGAAACUGAGUCUGGUGUAUCUUUUGAUGAUCCCACUGUCAAAGAAGCGGCAAAAAACAUAUAUGCAAUUGCAGCUAAGCAGAGCGAAGGAACAUUUAAGCCGCAAAGGGAGAAAGACAUUCUAACGGCUGGUCUCGGUAACCCUGAGCAUCCUGGUCGUGUACGAGGAAUCUCAUCUAAGGAAGGAUGGAAGGAAGGAUUCGGACCACAAUGGGAAGGUCUGUACAAGAAACGUGAUCGAUACAAGGAAGAGAUGGCAAAUUAUUUUAAGGAGGAGGCCAAGAAAGAGUUCAAAGGCCUGAUGUCUGAAAUGCUAUCGAAUCCUCCUCUAGAAUUGAUGCAGCAAUUGGCGAUGGCGAGUGCGAUGUCUGUUCAACAGAUGACCACUCCACAUAUGCAAAUAAUUCCAGCAACUCAAACGCCGGCUGCCACCGAGGGUACGACCAUCCCAAGCUAUGUCGCGUCAACGGGAAAUUAGGUCCGCUAUCCAGUUGAUGACAUCACAAGGCCUGUGGCAUGCGCACUAGUUAUAAGAUAUGGUAUUAACAAUCAGCGUACAAAGAAAGUAGCCACAGGCCUUGCGAUCCCAGGACGCAAGUUCCAUGGAAACAACAUUCCAGAAGAAUAUUGCAGGGUAGAAGUGACGACAGUCGUCCAAGGAUACGAGGACGACAUGCUUGACAUCCCUGGGCCCGAAGGUAUCGAGACACUUGGACAAGCUAUCAAGAAUUUUAUCCUUUGGCCUCGAAGGGAUGUCGAAUUGGUUGAUUGGUCGAAUUCGUCGCAGGCCCAACCGUCUCCGCCUUCUCAAAUUGUUGUUCCUAUUGUACAUCCAUCAUCACCUCCUCAAACUUCACAUGCUGCUCCUCAUCCUCUUUCUGACCCUCCUUCUCCUCAUCCUCAUGGUGGCCCACCAUCUCCGCCACAUACAUCGCCCUUCAGGGAUCCACCUUCUCCACAGCCAUCUCCACGACCAUCAAAGAAAUCUAAAGUUUCUAUACCAAAAGUAGUGUCCCCGUUUGAUAAGAAAAAGAAGAGUAAAUCCACUGCUGGCACUGUUCGUUUUUUGAAAGGGAUUGGACGGAGCCUCACGUCAGACACUGUUGAUUUGGCCGAUCUCGAGGAGUCCGCAAAAAAGGCUGAGGCAAUGGCCGCAAAGAUAAAGAAGCCAACUAAGGCAUAUUAUAAAAACGUGCCUAAAAAUAUGUGUCGGGCAGACCACUACUCACUUUUGAGAAACUAAGGAAGGUCCUGGCUAAUAUUAAAAGGUUGCAUGAUUGGUACAUGCGGGCAUCUUCAGUUGGCAUCGACACCAUCAGUGUUAAUAUACCAGCCCAUGCUUUUAUUGGUUCAAAUCAAAAGGCCGUUGUUACAUUCGAGGAUAUGUGGUUAAUGAUGAACCUUCAGAGACUCGACGUGCAACUUGUAACCAUAUUUGCAUUGUAAGUGUCACUCAUACUCCACAUAUAUGUGUUAUUAUUAGUGAGUUGUAUAAAUUUUCAAUAUCUGACAUGCACGUGUGCGUUGCAGAAUGCAACAUGAUCAGCAGGAGAUCCUUUAUGGUACCAAUCCCAAUGCUAGUGCCAGUAAAAGGGUUGGGUAUCUCAACCCAAUAAAGAUAUGCGAGGAUAACCACACUUUUAGAAUCGGAAAAGGCAACGAAACAUUACAGGGGCUAACAGACGAAGAAAUUGAGGUGCGUAUCCAGGAUCUGAAGAAGGAUUUUGAAGCAAGAUACGCCACCUACAUAGGACACGCAAUGCUUCAAUUUCAAGACAGGGAAUCCAUAGUGGCCCCGUACAACUUUAAGUAAGUGUGAUUUUGCAUAAAUAAAAUUAAUAAUUUCAAUACACAUGUAUCACAAGUUUGAUUCGUACAGGGACCACUGGAUAUGCUUCUUCAUUUAUCCUAAGGUUGGAAAGGUGCUGGUGCUCGACUCCUUGCACACCGAGCCUUCGGCCUAUUCAAAAUUCCGCAGCAUCUUAGAGUUGUAAGCCUUUUCUAUGCAUGCAUACUUAUAUCGAUGAGAAUUGUAGAAUAACAUGGUGAUUCUAUUUGAGAUCACAGGGCAUUUAGGUUUUAUAAGCUACAUGGUGGAAAGUACGACACGUCCAAAAAAGGUGUGCCACUAGACAUCCAUUAUAACUGGCCAGUAAGUAUGUGAAUUUAUGAAUACAUAUCAUACAUGUACGUACAUAGGACAAUGUUGCAACUAAAUAACCAAUCUCCCGUUAUGUAGUGCCACAAGCAACCACCCGGAUCGGUCCUAUGUGGGUUCUACGUGUGCGAGUUUAUGAGAAUGAAUGGACGAUACAUCACGAACCCUGGCAAGGUAUUAUUAGUAAUAGUCACGUAUGUAUUUAUGUCAUUAAAGAUGCAAAUGUGUUAUUAUUGAGUAUAAAUAGAUGAUGUUUAUAAACUUCCUUUACAGCAAUUUCAAAAAGGAAGCCCGGAGAACUUGACUGAAGGUGCAUUGUAUGGCAUAGUUGAGGACCUGUGCACAUUCAUAUUGAAAGAGGUCAUUCCCGCAGAAGGGAAAUAUCACGAUGCUUCCGGAACAUUAGCUUUGCCAGAGUUUAGAAUACUAACAGAAAUUAGUAGACUAUCUCUUAGCCGAGAUAGUUAUUAGAGCUUAAGUGAAAACUUUGAUGUAUAUAAUGUGUGAUGCAUACAUGGUUGUAAACAAGACUUUGAUGUAUAUAAAUGUAUGAUAGAAUUUAAUUUCAUGUUGCUUUUAGUAUCAAUACUACAUGUUUAUCAAUAUCAAUAUAUAUAUAUAUAUGUUUGUGUGUGUAAAUAUAUAAAUUUCAGUACGAAAAUUUAAAAAAAGACGGGAAACAUUUCCACUGGCGGCUAAAUAAAACAAACCGCUGGCGGUUUUCUUAAUAAAACCGCCAGUGAAAAUAGCAUUUUCACUGGCGGUUGCUUAAGAAAACCGCCAGUGGAAAUGCUUUUUCCACUGGCGGUUAUUGAAUGGAAAUGGCGAUUUCCACUGGCCCCUAACACUGGCGGCACUGAAAAGCGCCAGUGAAAAUGUCUCUAGAACCGCCACUAUAGAGGCUGUGUGUACUAGUGAUGUAAUCAGAGUAUCUUUUUCUUGGAGACAGACUAUGCAUUUCCAAGGAUGUAGCAAAUUUGUAGGAAAGUAAAUGAUAUGUAUAUUUAGUGGUCCAUAUAUCGAAACAUGCCCUCAUGAAAAAAAUGCCUCCAAAAAUGGCAUGUAUAUUUAACCUUUUGCUUGUUUUCCACUCUUUGGAAUUCGAUCAUGAACCCGAACAAAAGGAUUACAUAUACUAGAAUUUGGAAGUCUCAGUAGUAUAUAAGGUUAGCGGUGCAUGCUGCCAACUUAAUUAGCUUGCUGCUGAAGGUCCAUAGCCCGCUGUGCCGGAUGAAUCGAAGGGAAUUCAAAGUCUAGUAGAAUUGGACGUUGGAAGUGUAGACGGCAUCGGGUCUCCAGUUCGCCGGGAUGACGUCUUUGGCGAUGACCUUCUUGCCGGACUCGCUGGUGAGGCGGAUGGAGAAGGGGCCCUUGAGCGCCUUGGCAGUGUCCAUCCUCCAGAUGGCGCCCCAAGAGAGCUUCAUGGGCUUCCACUCAGCCGACAACUUGUCCUGGAUUUCCAUCAGCACGAUGUCGCCGUCGUCCGCCACAUACUUCACCAGCACGGCCAGGUAGUUGGGGUUGCAGCCCUUCUCGAUGUGGAACACGAUCUUCUGCCCGGCGGGGUACUUGCAUCGCACCCUGCAGGAGAGGAGGUUCAUUCAACAUGCAUUAUCUUCUGUCCUGUCCACCAAGAUAUACGAUGCAUGAAUUACUAUGUACCUUCUGAACUCGACGUCCAUGAUGCCGCAGUGGCGAAUCUUGUCGUUGAGCCCGGGCUUUGCCAGGGAGCCGAAGGCCUUGCCGCUCAAGUCGAAGUGGUAGGGAGCGAUAGGCUCGUAGUUCAUGUCAGUGAUGUACACCGUGACUGGAUUGCCCGAGCACUCAGGUUUUUCCUUGCAUCUCACCUGAAGAGUAAAUUAAUUAAGCAGUUAGCUAGAUAUGUCCAUGCAUGCAAACUAAUUAAUGCAUGCUUAUAUAUGCACCUCGUAGCAUGAGCCGCAGCCCUUGCCGUCCUUGAAGAUGGGGACGUUGCCGCACGCCGUCAUGCCGCUGUAGGGUGGCAGGUUCACGUUCUUGAUCCCGCACGCACCGCCUGCGCACCGUUUUAAUCGCAUCACAUUACAUGAAGGAGGAGUAUAAACAUGUAUCCCGCUCGUACCGUUGUCAGGAGCGCCGGCACCGUUGGGCUGACCGUACCAGGUGGCCCUAGCGGUGAGCCACUUGCCGUUGUAGUUGGUGGUGAUGUUGGGGCCGGGUGGCACCUUCGGGGGCCCGCACGACCCGCCGGCGACGAGCGCCGCAAGGACGGCGCCCACGACCAUGAUGUUAUUAACGAGGGAUCCCAUCGUCGCGCUCACCUGUGUUAUUCGAAAUGCCGCUCUGUGUGUGGUUGAUAGACGACGGUGCUGGGAUAGCUACUUAUAGGGAGGACGGGUGGCUCAGCAGAGAGUUCGCCGGCGACGCAUGCAGCGGCCGGCCGUUAGCGCCUGACGGACGACGAUGCGAUGUGCGGGCUUCACGUAGGCCGCUGCAUGCUCUAGGGCUGCCCGGGCUUACCGGUGGUUAGUUUAUUUCACCAUGAUCGGGCCUAAUCGAUCCGCAUAAGAACACUGUGACGAUCGAACAUAAUAUUUGUCAGCACAUCAAUACAACUCCUUAGUUAGACUGUGAGCCCCCUAAUAAAGCCUAAAAGGCCAAACUCAGGCUCAACACACACUAUAGAAGAAGAACAUGCAUGCUUCCUGAUCUGUCCUUUAAUAAUUUUAGUUCUUGUUUCCUAAUUGUUGACGCUUUUUCAGACCAAACACUAACUAACCUUAAAGCAUGCGUGCAUCGUGGAAGAUCUUAAAGACUUCUCUGUGAGCUUGGCAAACCGUCUAUUUUAGAUCACCAGACUGGACCGUCCAUGAUGUCCCACAGAGCUCCGGGAAAAAACAUAAAUCCCGCCUCCCAGGAGACACUACUGGAGACGGCUUCUUUGUCAAGUCCAAAAGGCAGCAAAGAGCCCUCAGUGAACCAAACGUUGGCAACGGUCUCUUUGUCGAGUACUUUCUAUCGGGCACUCAGUAAAGUCUUUACCGAGUGCCAACUGGUACACGACAAACAAAAGACAUCGUGACGAUGACAGAGCCUUUGCUGAGCAUCCGAGUUCCUCGCUUAGUGGCACUCGGCAAAGAAAGCUUCUGUGAGGCCCAGUCGCAGUUCCAAUGUCGAGUGCUUGGGAUGGAACUCGACAAAGGAGCCUAGUUUGCCGAGUGUCUUGGCCAUAGCACGCGGUAAAGCAAGUUUCCCUAUGUCUAUGUAUGUUUUUCUACCGAGUUCUAUGACCAUUGCACUCAGCAAAGGCACCCUUUGCUGAGUGCAAUGCUCGUCAAAGUGAUCAAGGACCCCUUUUUAUUUGUUUUUAAUAUUUCGUCCAAACAAACAUAAGAUAUUAUCAUAAACAUUGAUGCCUAGAUGUCCUUCACAUGAAAUCAUAGAACCUCAAUGUAGACGGGCUAGGUUUCUACACAUAGCGCGUGACAACUUUCAUGAAACAAUCUCAAAUUUUUAUUAGAGUCUCUACAUAUGAUAUCAUGACAUGUCAACAAGUUUCAUGAUUUUCUGACUUUGUUUUUGUUUUAUACAAUUUUAAAACAACUUGAUCACAAGUCCGCAAUCAUGUUUUGUGAGAAUGGUGUUCGAAAAUUCUCGCAUGUUCCUGAAAUAGAUCAUAACUUGUGCUAAAUAACAUGAAUGUCAUUUUUGUAUUCACUGUUUUCCAUUUUUCAAGUGGCUUGUAGUUCAAAUCUGAAUUAUCCAAAGAAAUCCAAUUAAGCAAACUAAAUCUGAUAGUUAUAGCAAACACUUUUAUAAUUGUGCCAAAAUUGAACAAAUAGGUCUAUAUAUUGUAGAAACACACCACAAAAAGUUUGGGGAAAAAGAAAAAACAAAUAUACUUUGUCGAGUGUCAAGGAAAGACACUCGGCAAAACAUAGGUUUACCAAGUGUUUGCCCAGUGACACUCGACAAAAAAGAUAUUUUGUCGUGUGUCAACGCCUGACACUCGCGAAGUUAAUAGCCAUCAACUAUAGAUGGCUGCUGACGGUCCUUUGCCGAGGGUCGCAUUUCGCUGAGGGUUUGACACUCAGCAAAGUCUUCUUUGCCGAGUGUCUUUUUACGCCGAGUGUUUCUCCCUCGGUAAACAAGGUCUUUGUCGAGAGUCUUAUUUCGCCAAGACUGGCACUCGAUAAAGAAUGCUUUGUCGAGUGCUCGAUAAAGUGCACUCGGCAAAGAGCUAGAUUUCGAUAGUGCCAGUAGCUAGAUUUCACUAUGAUGAUUGCGAGCUAAUCCGUGAGUGAGAAACAAAAUGCAUAAUACUUAGUCCUUGACUCACUCAUGUGAUACUACAUCAAACAUUUGCUUGUCAUAGAUUAAUUAGAAUAAUUUAUAUCAUUUUUAGUCUUCACAUGUAUAAUUAGUUUUGUAGUUAUACUAUAUUUGAUGCUCAUGAUUCAUAAUCCAACGUACACAUGCACUAAGCUUUAGUAAAAAACCAAACACCCCAUUAGUCAAUGAGCGCAACUCGAAGAAUUUAGGCUACGGUUAGCUGAUCGUGCAUCAACGAAUAAGGUCGUGCAAAACACGGUUUUGCAUUGUAGACAAUACUGUUUGUCGAGAGGAAAUUAAAAUGAGAAAUGUAGAUUAAGAUGCUGGAGAUAGUCUUAGGAGUCAUUUGAUACUUUUGCUUUCAGGAGAGUCUCCAUUUGUUCUAUGCUUAUGGAUGGAGAUCCUUACUUGAUAGGUCAAAAGAGAUAGCAACUUAAUUUUUGGGAUGGAAAGAGAUCGUAGUAUGAAGUGGUACAUUGCAUGCUUUAAUAAAUUAAUUUUAAAUAUGUCACUCAAUUUUUAUAAAAUUAGAUAGCUAAUUUAUUUAGAUAUUACCAUAUAACAUCCAAAUAAAUUAGCUAUCUAAUUGUGCAAAAAGUUGAAUGAUAUAUUUCUAGUUGACCCUUUUGUUGUUAGUAUGAUUGUUAUGUCAAGAGAUGAGCAAACAGGAAGACCAACCAAUUUGCUUGUCCACCAAAAGCCCGUGGAGAAAUUUUCCAUGCAGUUCAGCCCAAGAAACAUACAAUAUCGAUGAUAGGAGAAUCGCUAAGAGGACUAAACUCUAAUUUAGCAAGUUGUUAAAUAUAUGUUAGGAACAAAAAUAACCUUAGUCUACAACAGUUUUCAAUUUUUAGGUUAUUAAAUAUUUUUAAAUAGGGAUAUUCAUGGUGUGAUUGGUGAGCAAAACAGGCUAUUGGGAGUGCAAAACAACUCCCCAAGUUUAUGGAGUAAAUAGGGAUAUUUAGUAAGUUAGUACAUUUAGGGAUCUCAUUCAAGAAACAGUUGGAGCAUGAUUUUUUGACGAUCGAACAUAAUAUUUAUGAGCACAUCAAUACAACUCCUUAGCUAGACUGUGAGCCUCCUAAUAAAGCCUAAAAGGCCAAACUCAGGCUCAACACACAUAUAGAAGAAGAACAUGCAUACCUCCCGAUUUGUCCUUUAAUAAUUUUAGUUCUAGUUUCCUAAUUGUUGAUUCUUUUUCGGACCAAACACUAACUAACCUUAAAGCAUGCGUGCGUCGUGGAAGAUCUUAAAGACUUCUCUGUGGACUUGGCAAACCGUCCAUUUUAGAUCACCAGACUGGACCGUCCAUGAUGUCCCACAUAGCUCUGGGAAAAGAACAUAAAUCCCGCCUCCCGGGAGACACUACUGGAGACGGUUUCUUUGUCAAGUCCAAAAGGCAGCAAAUAGCCCUUAGUGAACCAAACGUCGGCAACGGUCUCUUUGCCGAGUACUUUCUAUCGGGCACUCAGUAACGUCUUUACCGAGUGCCAACUGGUACACGACAAAGAAAAGACAUUGUGACGAUGAUAGAGCCUUUGCUGAGUGUCCGAGUUCCUCGCUUGGUGGCACUCGGCAAAGAAAGCUUCCGUGAGGCCCAGUCGCAGUUCCAAUGUCGAGUGCCAAGCACUCGACAAAGGAGCCUAAUUUGUUGAGUGUCUUGUCCAUAGCACGCGGUAAAGCAAGUUUCCCGAUAUCUAUGUAUUUUUUUCUACCGAGUUCUAUGACCAUUGCACUCAGCAAAGGCACCCUUUGUUGAGUGCAAUGUUCGUCAAAGUGAUCAGGGACCCCUUUUUAUUUGUUUUGAAUAUUCCGUCCAAACAAACAUAAGAUAUUAUCAUAAACAUCGAUGCCUAGGUGUCCUUUACAUGAAAUCAUAGAACUUCAAUGUAGACGGGCUAGGUUUCUACACAUAGCGUGUGACAACUUUCAUGAAACAAUCUCAAAUUUUUAUUAGUCUCUACAUACGAUAUCAUGACAUGUCGACAAGUUUCAUGAUUUUCUGACUUUGUUUGUGUUUUAUACAAUUUUAAAACAACCGGAUCGCAAGUUCGCGGUCAUGUUUUGUAUGAACAGUGUUCGAAAAUUCCGGUCUAUUCCUGAAAUAGAUUAACUUGUGCUAAAUAACAUGAAUGUCAUUUUUGCAUUCGUUGUUUUCCAUUUUUCGAGUGACUUGUAGUUCAAAUCUAAAUUAUCUGAAGAAAUUCAAUAAAACAAAUGAAAUCUGAUAGUUAUAGCAACACUUUUAUAAUUGUGCCGAAAUUGAACAUAUAGGUCCAUAUACUGUAGAAACACACCUCAAAAAGUUUGGGGAAAAAAGAAAAAAACCAAAUAUACUUUGUCGAGUGUCAAGGAAAGACACUGGGCAAAACAUAGGUUUGUCGAGUGUUUCCCGGUGACACUCGGAAAAAAAGAUAUUUUGUCGUGUGUCAACGCUUGACACUCUGCGAAGUUAACGGACGUCAACUAUCGACGGCUGCUGAUGGUCCUUUGCCGAGAGUCUUAUUUCGCCGAGAGUGACACUCGGCGAAGAAUGCUUUGUCGAGUGCCCGAUAAAAUGCACUAGACAAAGAGCCAGAUUUCGGUAGUGCUAGUACCUAGAUUUCACAAUUAUAUAUGAUUGCGAGCUAAUCCGUGAGUGAGAAACAAAAUGCAUAAUACUUAGUCCAUGAUUCACUCAUGUGAUACUACAUCAAACAUUUGCUUAUCAUAGAUUAAUUAGAAUAAUUUGUAUCAUUUUUAGUAUUCAUCUGUGUAAUUAGUUUUAUAGUUAUACUAUAUUUGAUACUCAUAAUUGAUAAUCCAAUGUACACAUGCACUAAACUUUAGUAAAAAACAUAAACACCCCAUUAGUCAAUGAGCGCAACUCGAAGAAUUUAGGCUACGGUUAGCUGAUCGUGCAUCAACGAAUAUGGUCGUGCAAAACACAGUUUUGAAUUGUAGACGAUACUAUUUGUCGAGAGGAAAUUAAAAUGAGAAAUGUAGAUGAUUAAGAUGCUGGAGAUAGUGUAAGGAGUCAUUUGGUACUUUUGCUUUCGGGAGAGUCUCCAUUCGUUCUAUGCUUAUGGAUGGAGAUCCUUACUUGAUAGGUCAAAAGAGAUAGCAACUUAAUUUUUGGGAUGGAAAGAGAUCGUAGUAUGAAGUGGUACGUUGCAUGCUUUAAUAAAUUAAUUUUAAACAUGUCACUCAAUUUUUAUAAAAUUAGAUAGCUAAUUUAUGUAGAUGUCACCAUAUAACAUGUAAAUAAAUUAGCUAUUUAAUUGUGCAAAAAGAUGAAUGAUAUAUUCCUAGUUGACCCUUUUGUUGUUAGUAUGAUUGUUAUGUCAAGAGAUGAGCAAACAGGAAGACCAACCAAUUUGCUUGUCCACCAAAAGCCAGUGGAGAAAUUUUCCAUACGGUUCAGCCCAAGAAACAUACAAUACCGAUGACAGGAGAAUCGCUAAGAGGACUAAACUCUAAUUUAGCAAGUUGUUAAAUAUAUAUUAGGAACAAAAAUAAUCUUAGUCUACAACAAUUUUCAAUUUUUAGGUUAUUAAAUAUUUUUAAAUUAAAUUUAUCAUUUUUAGUUUAAAUCAUUUUUGUGCACGAGUGCUUUAAUGGCAAACAAAGAGAUUUUCAUGGUGUGAUUGGUGAGCAAAACAGGCUAUUGGGAGUGCGAAACAACUCCCCAAGUUUAUGGACUAAAUAGGGAUAUUUAGUAAGUUAGUACAUUUAGGGACCUCAUUCAAAAAACUAUUGGAGCAUGAUUUUUUGUUACUAAGCCUAUCUGUAGUACAAAUUUCUCCACAUCAUUACUCUAUACCACUAUUUACAGUCUAGUCAACAAUAUUCCUUACUCUAUAUCACGGUCCUCUGCAUUCAUAUUCCUUUAUAUAUUCCUUCUAUAUCAACUACCACAUAUUAUAUUCAUCUUAGUCUAUCUAUCAUAUUCUUUUUCAAGCUACCAUAUAUAAAUUGUGUGUGAACAAAGCCGGUAGCGAAGGAAAUAGCUUACGCUUUGUAUGGGAGCCAUACCGGAACAGGUAGCACACACCACUGCAGACCAAUGCUCUCUAUAUUUGCGUUGGGGGAAUUGUAGCGAAUGUUGGUGCGGAUAGCCUAACACCCUAAAUUAAACUUAGAGUGUUUUUUGGAAACUAGUGGAGAUGCUCUAACAAUACUAUCUACUAGACCUCAUAUCAACAAUUUAGGUAAAACAACUAGCUCCAAUAGACCUUUUAGUAGAUCAAUUUAUAUUCUCCCGCCACUCAUUCCUGUUAUUGAGGUGUUUGCAAUUUCACAUCACCGGUAGUGUGCUUCACUACUAUGUCAUCGGGCCCACAGAUCAUAGACACAAAGGGACCCACAAAUCAUAGGCACAUAUGUAUAAUAGCAAAGAGGCAACACAUGUGGGUUGCAAAAUUACAAAUAUUCCCCUGUUGUCCCCUUACUUGAGUCAUAUGUCUUUGUCCCCACUUGACUCCACUUGGCACCCGCAGCCUCGACCAUCCAACUAAGUGGUCCUGACAUCCCCUAUCUUUACUAGCGGUGAAAACGGGUCAGAUAUACUAGGCCGAUAUCAAAUAUAGAUAGUAUGAAUAUCCAUUUUUUAGGAUACAUGUACAAAUACUUUUAUACCCUAAACGGAUACGAGUAGUACUCGGAUAAUGUAGAUUUAGUUUCAGAUCAGAUUCGAAGCCAAAACUACACACUAAAUAUCCAGAUAUUCGGGUCAGAUACGGGUUUCUAGGCUUGGGUACCCGUUUUUUAUUUCUCUAUAUAAUAGUUUUAUAAAAUCAUAACAUUUGCAUAUGGACUAAGAUGAAGAUAAAGUUUGUAUAAAGAAUUAUAGAGCUCGUAGAGUUCUACAACUUUGUAGUACAUCACAUUUUUGUUUGAACACAUCUUCAUGUCAAGAUCAUUGAAAUAAUGUCUAAAUUUAUAUUAAAGUAACAAACUAUACAUCACAUGUGUAACUUCAAUACUCCAUAGCUUAUUAAUAGACUAUAUAUUACAUAUGUUGGACUAUAUAUCUGUCGGGGACCAUAAUUAGGGGUACCCUCAAGACGCCUAAUUCUCAGCUGGUAACCCCCAUCAGCAUAAAGCUGCAAAGGCCUGAUGGGCAUGAUUAAGUCAGGGAUCAGUCCACACGAGUGACUCGAUCACGCUUCACCCGAGCCUAGCCUCGGCCGAAGGCAGCCGAUCUCGAGAGACUUCCGUCUCGCCCGAGGCCCCCUUUUUAUGGCGGACACAUCACCGGCUCGCCCAAGGCCUUGGCUUCGCUCAGAAGCAACCUUGACUAAAUCACCACACCGACUGACCAAAUUGCAGGGGCAUUUAACGCACAGGAGGCCUGACACCUCUAUCCUGACACGCGCCUCCGGCAGAGCCGAGGUGACCGCCGUCACUCCACCGCUCCACUGGCCAGUCUGACAGAAGGACAGCGCCGCCUGCGCCACUCCGACUGCAGCGCCACUCGACAGAGUAAGUCUGACAGUCAGUCAGGCCUCGCCAAAGGCGCCACGGCGAACUCCGCCCCGCCCGACCCCAGGGCUCGGACUCGGGCUAAGACCCGGAAGACGGCGAACUCCGCUCCGCCCGACCCCAGGGCUCGGACUCGGGCUAAGACCCGGAAGACGGCGAACUCCGCUCCGCCCGACCCCAGGGCUCGGACUCGGGCUAAGACCCGGAAGACGGCGAACUCCGCUCCGCCCGACCCCAGGGCUCGGACUCGGGCUAGGACCCGGAAGACGGCGAACUCCGCUCCGCCCGACCCCAGGGCUCGGACUCGGGCUAAGACCCGGAAGACGGCGAACUCCGCUCCGCCCGACCCCAGGGCUCGGACUCGGGCUAAGACCCGGAAGACGACGAAACUCCGCCUCGCCCGACCCCAGGGCUCAGACUCCGCCCUGGCCUCGGCCGAACGACUUCCGCCUCGACCGACCCCUUGGCUCGGGCUCGGCCACGGCAACAGAAGGCAGACUCAACCUCGGCUUCGGAGGAAACCCUACGUCGCCCUGCCUAGGGCACAGACCUCCACGUCAACAAGAGGCGCCAUCAUCAUCCCACCCCGAAUCGACUCGGGUCACGGAGAACAAGACCGGCGUCUCAUCCGGCCAGCUCCGCCAGAGAGGCAAUGAUGGCGCUCCACAAGCUCUAUGACGACGGCGGCCCCUAGCUCUCUUACGGAAGCAGGACAACGUCAGCAGGGACUCGACCGCUCCAACAGCUGUCCCUCCAUCAGGCUCCGCCGCACCUCCAACAGCCACGACAUCACGCCAGCAGGGUGCCCAGAUCUCUCCGGCUGCCACAUUGGCAUGUACCUAGGGCGCUAGCUCUUCCUCCGCUAGACACGUAGCACUCUGCUACAUCCCCAUUGUACACCUGGAUCCUCUCCUUACGACUAUAAAAGGAAGGACCAGGGCCUUCUCAGAGAAGGUUGGCCGCGCGGGACCGAGGACGGGACAGGCGCUCUCUUGGGGCCGCUCGCUUCCCUCACCCGCGUGGACGCUUGUAACCCCCCUACUGCAAGCGCACCUGACCUGGGCGCGGGACGAACACGAAGGCCGCGGGACUUCCACCUCUCUCACGCUCGGCUCCGGCCGCCUCGCCUCUCCCCCUUCGCGCUCGCCCACGCGCUCGACCCAUCUGGGCUGGGGCACGCAGCACACUCACUCGUCGGCUUAGGGACCCCCUGUCUCGAAACGCCGACAGUUGGCGCGCCAGGUAGGGGGCAUGCUGCGUGCUGACGAACAGCUCCCCGUCAAGCUCCAGAUGGGCAGUCUCCAGCAACCUCUCCGGCCCGGGACGGUGCUUCGUUUCGGGACUCUUGAGUUCAUGUCCUUCGACGGCAGCUACGACAUGACACUUCUUCCACCGCCGCGCGACUACGACAAUGGCGGCCGACAACCCGCCCGCCGGCGGCGGAAUCGACGACGUCUACCCCGCGUGGUGGAAGAGCAACAUUCGGGCUCGCUCCGUUCUCUCCCCCGCCAACGGAGGAGGAGGCGGGGCCGUCAAGGCCAGACGGGAGGCCACGCUUCGCCGGCCGUCGAGCGAAUCGACGCCCCCGACGCCCCGACGGAAGGCACGCCGGACGUCGACCUCGCGUUCGAGACGGAGGCAAGCGCCGUCCCCCCACGGCACGCUGACCCCGAGCAAGAAGACGACGCCGGCGCGCUCGCGGAAAGCCUGCAGGACGUCGCCCUCGAACCAGAGAUGACGGUGCAACCAGUCCCCGAUGUGACUACGUCGCUCCACGUCGACCAAAAGGUAACGACUAACUCCCAUCUUGCGUCAUUUCGACUCGGCCUCAACCCGCCAAACGACCUCGUUUUGGCGGGCGCUCUCAUUGAGGCGAGUGCAACCCCACUGAGGUUCUGUAUGCGGUCGCCUUGGGACCGACUGACGGACGUCUCGACCUACGGGCCCUCCGGGUCCGAGGAAGAUGACGAUCCCAGCAUCGGUUGGGAUUUCUCCGGACAUGGCAACCCCAGUGCCAUGCGGGACUUCAUGACCGCAUGUGACUACGGUCUAUCCGACCGUUCCGACGGAAGCCGCAGCCUCGGUGACGAGAGCUGCGGCCCAAGCCGCGAAUGUUUCCACAUCGAGCUAGGGGAUCCCACCGAAGGCAACCAUCUUGGCAUGCCGGAGGAUGGUGAUCUCCCUAGGCCGGUGCCUCGCGCCGACAUCCCACGGGAGCUAGCUGUGGUCCCCGCUCCGGCGGGGGGUUACGACCCACAACUCGAGCAAGUCCGCGAGGCGCAGGCCGGGCUCAACGAGGGAACAGGGGCGCUUGAACCGAUCCGUCGGGACGCCGGACAGGCAUGGGUGGGCCAACCCCUGGCCGUAGAAAUACGUCAUCUGCCCCAAGGUCUCCAGCACCGCGUCGCCAACGACGUCAGGAUCAGGCCGCCGCCCGCAUCCAGCGGGGUCGGUCAGAACCUGGCGACCGCAGCGAUGCUCAUCCGCGCGAUGCCGGAGCCGUCAACCACCGAGGGGCGGCGAAUACAGGGAGAACUCAAGAAUCUCCUGGAAGGCGCUGCGGCCCGGCGGGCCGAGAGCACUGCAUCCCGGAGGCAAGGAUAUCCCUCGGAACCUCAUGCCGCGACUUCCCGAUUCAUGCGGGAGGCCUCGGUCUACACCGGGCGCACGCGCAACACCGCGCCUGCGGCCCCGGGCCACCUCGGCAACGAGCACCAUCGACGCGACCGUCGGGCUCACCUCGACGAAAGGGUGCGCCGAGGCUACCACCCCAGGCGUGGGGGGCGCUACGACAGCGGGGAGGAUCGGAGUCCUUCGCCCGAACCACCCGGUCCGCAGGCCUUCAGUCGGGCCAUCCGACGGGCGCCAUUCCCGACCCGGUUCCGACCCCCGACUACUAUCACAAAGUACUCGGGGGAAACGAGACCGGAACUGUGGCUCGCGGACUACCGCCUUGCCUGCCAACUGGGCGGAACGGACGACGACAACCUCGACAUCCGCAACCUCCCCCUGUUCCUCUCCGACACUGCUCGCGCCUGGUUGGAGCACCUGCCUCCGGGGCAGAUUUCCAACUGGGACGACUUGGUCCAAGCCUUCGCUGGCAAUUUCCAGGGCACAUACGUGCGCCCUGGGAACUCCUGGGACCUUCGAAGCUGCCGGCAACAGCCGGGGGAGUCGCUCCGGGACUACAUCCGGCGAUUCUCGAAGCAGCGCACUGAGCUGCCCAACAUCACCGACUCGGAUGUCAUCGGCGCGUUCCUCGCCGGCACCACUUGCCGCGACCUGGUGAGCAAGCUGGGUCGCAAAACCCCCACCAGGGCGAGCGAGCUGAUGGACAUCGCCACCAAGUUCGCCUCCGGCCAGGAGGCGGUCGAGGCUAUCUUCCGAAAGGACAAGCAGCCCCAGGGCCGCCCGUCGGAAGAAGCUCCCGAGACGUCUGCUCCGCGCGGCGCCAAGAAGAAAGGCAAGAAGAAGUCGCAAUCGAAACGCGACGCCGCAGACGCGGACCUUGUCGCCGCCGCCGAGUAUAAGAACCCUCGGAAGCCCCCCGGAGGUGCAAACCUCUUCGACAAGAUGCUCAAGGAGCCGUGCCCCUACCAUCAGGGGCCCGUCAAGCACACCCUCGAGGAGUGCGUUAUGCUUCGGCGUCAUUUCCACAGGGCCGGGCCACCCGCCGAGGGUGGCAGGGCCCACGACGACGACAAGAACGAAGAACACCCAGCAGGGGGGUUCCCCGAGGUCCGCGACUGCUUCAUGAUCUAUGGAGGGCAUGCGGCGAAUACCUCGGCUCGGCACCGCAAGCAAGAGCGCCGGGAGGUCUGCUCGGUGAAGGUGGCGGGGCCAGUCUACCUAGACUGGUCCGACAAGCCCAUCACUUUCGACCGGGCCGACCACCCCGACCAUGUGCCGAGCCCGGGGAAAUACCCGCUCGUCGUCGACCCCGUUGUCGGCGAUGUCAGGCUCACCAAGGUCCUGAUGGACGGGGGCAGCUGCCUCAACAUCAUCUACGGCGAGACCCUCAAGCUUCUGCGCGUCGAUCCGUCCUCCGUCCGAGCAGGCGCUGCGCCCUUCCACGGGAUUAUCCCUGGGAAGCGCGUCCAGCCCCUCGGGCGACUCGACCUCCCAGUCUGCUUCGGGACACCCUCCAACUUCCGAAGGGAGACCCUGACGUUCGAAGUGGUCGGGUUCCGAGGAACCUACCACGCCGUGCUAGGGAGGCCAUGCUACGCGAAGUUCAUGGCCGUCCCCAACUACACCUACCUGAAGCUCAAGAUGUCGGGCCCCAACGGGGUCAUCACCGUCGGCCCCACGUACAAACACGCGUUCGAAUGCGACGUGGAGUGCGUGGAGUACGCCGAGGCCCUCGCCGAGUCCGAGGCCCUCAUCGCCGACCUGGAGAACCUCUCCAAGGAGGUCCCAGACGUGAAGCGCCAUGCCGGCAACUUCGAGCCAGCGGAGACGGUCAAGGCCGUCCCCCUAGACCCCAGCGGCGACACCACCAAGCAGAUCCGGAUCGGUUCCGGGCUCGACCCCAAAUAGGAAGCAGUGCUCGUCGACUUUCUCCGCGCAAACGCCGACGUCUUUGCGUGGAGUCCCUCGGACAUGCCCGGCAUACCGAGGGAUGUUGCCGAGCACUCGCUGGAUAUUCGGGCCGGAGCCCGACCCGUCAGGCAGCCUCUGCGCCGAUUCGACGAGGAGAAGCGCAGAGCGAUUGGCGAAGAGAUCCACAAGCUAAUGGCGGCAGGGUUCAUCAAAGAGGUAUUCCAUCCCGAAUGGCUUGCCAACCCUGUGCUUGUGAGGAAGAAAGGGGGGAAAUGGCGGAUGUGUGUAGACUACACUGGUCUCAACAAAGCAUGUCCGAAGGUUCCCUACCCUCUGCCUCGCAUCGACCAAAUCGUGGAUUCCACUGCUGGGUGCGAAACCCUGUCCUUCCUCGAUGCCUACUCGGGGUAUCACCAGAUCCGGAUGAAAGAGUCCGACCAGCUCGUGACUUCUUUCAUCACGCCGUUCGGCAUGUACUGCUACGUCACCAUGCCGUUCGGCCUGAGGAAUGCAGGCGCGACGUACCAGCGGUGCAUGAACCAUGUGUUCGGCGAACACAUCGGUCGCACAGUCGAGGCCUACGUCGAUGACAUCGUGGUCAAGACACGGAAGGCUCCCAACCUCCUCUCCGACCUUGAAGUGACAUUCCGGUGUCUCAAGGCGAAAGGAGUCAAGCUUAAUCCUGAGAAGUGUGUCUUCGGGGUGCCCCGAGGCAUGCUCCUAGGGUUCAUCGUCUCUGAGCGAGGCAUCGAGGCCAACCCGGAGAAGAUUGCGGCCAUCACCAGCAUGGGGCCCAUCAAGGACUUAAAAGGGGUACAGAGGGUCAUGGGAUGCCUCGCGGCCCUGAGCCGCUUCAUCUCACGCCUCGGCGAAAGAGGUCUGCCUCUGUACCGCCUCUUAAGGAAGGCCGAGUGUUUCGUUUGGACCCCUGAGGCCGAGGAAGCCCUCGGCAACCUGAAGGCGCUCCUUACAAAGGCGCCAGCCUUGGUGCCGCCGGCGGACGGAGAAACCCUCUUGGUCUACGUCGCCGCGACCACUCAGGUGGUUAGCGCCGCGAUUGUGGUCGAAAGGCAGGAGGAAGGGCAUACAUUGCCCGUUCAGAGGCCGGUCUACUUCAUCAGCGAAGUGCUGUCCGAGACUAAGAUCCGCUACCCACAAGUUCAAAAGCUGCUGUAUGCUGUGAUCCUGACAAGGCGGAAGCUACGACACUACUUCGAGUCCCAUCCGGUAACUGUGGUGUCAUCCUUCCCCCUGGGGGAGAUCAUCCAAUGCCGAGAGGCCUCGGGCAGGAUCGCAAAGUGGGCAGUGGAGAUCAUGGGCGAAACGAUCUCGUUCGCCCCUCGGAAGGCCAUCAAGUCCCAAGUGUUGGCGGAUUUCGUGGCUGAAUGGGUCGACACCCAACUACCAACGACUCCGAUCCAACCGGAGCUCUGGACCAUGUUUUUCGACGGGUCGCUGAUGAAGACGGGGGCCGGUGCGGGCCUUCUCUUCAUCUCGCCCCUCGGAAAGCACUUGCGCUACGUGCUGCGCCUCCACUUCCCGGCGUCCAACAAUGUGGCCGAGUACGAAGCUCUGGUCAACGGAUUGCGGAUCGCCAUCGAGCUAGGGGUCAGACGCCUCGACGCCCGCGGUGAUUCGCGGCUCAUCAUCGACCAAGUCAUGAAGAACUCCCACUGCCGCGACCCGAAGAUGGAGGCCUACUGCGACGAGGUUCGGCGCCUGGAAGACAAGUUCUUCGGGCUCGAGCUCAACCACAUCGCUCGGCGCUACAACGAAACCGCAGACGAGCUGGCCAAGAUAGCCUCGGGGCGAACGACAGUCCCCCCGGACGUCUUCUCCCGGGAUCUGCAUCAACCCUCCGUCAAGCUCGACGACACGCCCGAGCCUGAGGUACCCUCGGCUCAGCCCGAGGUACCCUCGGCUCAGCCUGAGGUAUCCUCGGCUCAGCCCAAGGUACCCUCGGCUCAGCCCGAGGUACCCUCGGCCCCCGAGGGCGGGGCGUUGAAUGUCGAGGAAGGGCAGAGCGGGGCCACGCCAGACCAAGAUUGGCAGGCCCCAUACCUGCAAUAUCUCCAUCGAGGAGAGCUACCCCUCGACCAUGUCGAGGCUCGGCGGGUAGCGCGACGCGCCAAGUCAUUCGUCUUGCUGGGCGACGAAGAGGAACUCUACCAUCGCAGCCCCUCGGGCAUCCUCCAGCGAUGCAUCCCCAUCGCCGAAGGUCGGGAACUGCUGCAAGAAGUACACUCGGGGGCUUGCGGCCACCACGCAGCACCCCGAGCCCUUGUUGGAAAUGCCUUCCGGCAAGGCUUCUACUGGCCAACGGCGGUGGCUGACGCCACUAGAAUUGUCCGCACCUGCGAAGGGUGCCAAUUCUAUGCGAAGCGGACACACCUGCCCGCUCAGGCUCUGCAGACAAUACCCAUCACCUGGCCCUUCGCUGUAUGGGGUCUGGACCUCGUCGGUCCCUUGCAGAAGGCGCCCGGGGGCUACACGCACCUGCUGGUCGCCAUCGACAAAUUCUCCAAGUGGAUCGAGGUCCGACCCCUGAACAGCAUCAGGUCCGAGUAGGCGGUGGCAUUCUUCACCAACAUCAUCCAUCGCUUCGGGGUCCCGAACUCCAUCAUCACCGACAACGGCACCCAGUUCACCGGCAAAAAAUUCUUGGAUUUUUGCGAAGAUCACCAUAUCCGGGUGGACUGGGCCGCCGUGGCUCAUCCCAUGUCGAAUGGGCAGGUAGAGCGUGCCAACGGCAUGAUUCUACAAGGGCUCAAGCCUCGGAUCUACAACGACCUCAACAAGUUCGGCAGGCGAUGGAUGAAGGAACUCCCCUCGGUGGUCUGGAGCCUAAGGACGACGCCGAGUCGUGCCACGGGCUUCACGCCGUUUUUCCUGGUCUACGGGGCUGAAGCUAUCUUGCCCACUGACCUGGAAUACGGCUCCCCAAGGGCGAGGGCCUACACCGAACAAAGCAACCAAGCCAGCCGAGAGGAAUCGCUGGACCAGUUGGAGGAAGCUCGGGACAGGGCCUUACUACACUCGGCGCGGUACCAACAGUCCCUGCGACGCUACCACGCCCGAGGGGUCCGGUCCCGAGAACUCCAGGUGGGCGACCUGGUGCUUCGGCUGCGACAAGACGCCCGAGGGAGGCACAAGCUCACGCCCCCCUGGGAAGGGCCAUUCGUCAUCGCCAAAGUUCUGAAGCCCGGAACAUACAAGCUGGCCAGCAAUCAAGGCGAGAUCUACAGCAACGCUUGGAACAUCAAACAGCUACGUCGCUUCUAUCCUUAAGAUGUUUUCAAGUUGUUCAUAUACCUCGCACCUACGCAAAGUUUAGUUGUCAAGGAAGGGUCGGCCUAGCCUCGGCAAAACCCGACCCUCCCUCGGGGGCUAAAAGGGGGGGACCCCCUCUGCGUCGAAUUUUUCCUCGAAAAAGGAUCUCUUUUUAGCAGGAUUUCUUUCGUGCUUCUUGACUACUUUGGAAAGCGGAUCCUGGAAACGACGAGGUACACGUAAGCAGCCAAGGCUGACCGAGCCGAGGGACUCCUACGCCUCCGGGAUACGGAUACCUCACUCGUCCCCUUCUGCGAUAAGUAACUUGCGCUCGGAUAAAGCGACUCCGUGGACCGAACGAGUCAUCACGUUCGGAAGCUCUCCUGCCGAAGCAGUCCUUCAAGCUUUCUCGACUAAGUCGGGGACAGGGCCUCAUGGACGGGUGAAAGUACGCGUAAGCGGCAAGGCCGACCAAGCCGAGGGAUUCCCACGCCUCUGGGAUACGGAUACCUCACUCGUCCCUUCCGCGAAAAGCAGCUCUUGCUCACACAAACAUCCCUGUUACCGACGAAGUCCAGAUGCUCGAAACAGGAGGAAAAAAGGCGCAGCUUCGCAAGUGCAGCGAGGGUGUUUUCUUCUGGCCUCGGCGGCCGCAGGAAGCACACGCUACAAGAUGAUCGGAUCCUGCAGGCUCGGGUCUUCACGCCGAAGGGAGCUGUAGCACCCUCGGCAUCGACGAUGUCUUCAGCAAAGCCCGACCCAGCCUCGGGCGGCGCCGCAGUCCAGGGGGUCCUCCGGGAAUCCGGCCCGAGCAGGCGGCUCAACCGGUUACCCCUGGGGCCUCGGUCAACCGGCUCCCAAGGGCGCCAGCCCGAUCCGAGGCCUCGACUGAUCGACUUUGGCGUCGGCCCCGCUGACGGACAACACGGCUAGGCUCCGGCCAACCAGGUUCCCAUUCUCGAGCCAACUCCGCCUCUGUUCAUACUGAUAUCGCUAUCCCCGGCCUCGAUCCACCGAAGGGCGACCGAGGGGUCUCUUCAACUAAGCUAGAGGAGCCUCACAUAACAAGGCCGAACGGGUCGAGGGAUUCCUACGCCUCCGGGAUACGGAUACCUCACCCGUCACCUUGACACGGGGCAACUCAUGCUUGGUAAAGCGGUUCAGAUAAUCAAACAGGCGAGACCUAGUGCUCGAAAAUGAGGAAAAAACACGGCUCCGUGCCAAAAUUACAUACACGUUCAGGCCUCGACAGCCACAAUGAACGAACUCACUGGCAUUCGAAGUGCCAUUACAAACGGAACUCCGGUUCCCCCUCCGCAGGUACGAACAACCCCACUCCGAGGGGGAAGGCCUGCGGAGCAACGGAAGGCCAACGAACGGCGCGCCGUCACCUACUCCAGCAGUGGCGACGACGGCGACUUCUGCUCCGGGGGGCCGAACAGCGGCAACGCUGACCUCAGGGUGGAUGCCGCUGCCAGGAGGCCCCCGCCCGUGCCAAAACUCGUGAGGCAAGGACGGGCAGAAGGCCGUAGAAGUUGGAGGUCAGCCCGUGGCCGGUCCCGGCCGCCGCGCCGGCGGAAGAACCUCUUCCGGCUGCCGUGGCAGACGCCGACGCCGCAAGUGGCCCCGAAGCCACUCGCGGCUGAAGACCAGGCACGCUGCAGCUGCCGGACGCCACGGGCAAUGCCCGCUUCUCCCCCCAUCACUGAGUGAAGGAGCGGGCCACCGCCCACGCAGGGGCCGACCCCAACUCGGCACUCUCCCCUCCCCGGCCUUGGUGAUGAAAAUCCUUGAGGCUGAGGAAGGGGCAGAGGCCGCAGCCCGGCUCGCUUUCCCCCACCAUCAAGCUGGAGGUCGCCAUCUCGGGUGACCGCCGGUGAAGGGGUGCGACCGGGCUGCGUGAUGAAAAUCCUUGAAGCCGAACGAUGGCUGAGAGGUACCAGCUCCCAUGGAGUUGCGUUCCUCCAACGAGGAGGCGGAAAGGCGGCGGAUACCCCCCAUCCGGGGGCUUGGAAGACGGGAAGACCCGACGCUUAAGGGAGGAAGAAGACAUGGUUGCCUUACGAAGGGAGCCUCCCUCCUUUUAAAGGCAACUCCCCCUACGUGCGCCCCCAAGCGCCGCGGACCGAGUCUUCUCCAACACGCUCCAAGGCCCUCCCCUGCGACUCGGGGGCUGGGUCCCGCAUGUCAUGCAAGCCGGCUCAGGGCAGAAGAAGCCAAACCGCCGCGCAUGGUGCGCACGACCGUCCAGCGGUUACAGGCGACCCCCCAUUUUCGCCCAGACCAACGGGCGGAAGGGGCGGGCAGCCAUGCAGGCGGCAUGCAACCGCGCCAGAUGGACGCGCUUCUCCGACUUCCGACACGCCAGCCUGGAACCCAGGCCCACGCGUCGAGCAACCGGCACGCCAGUUGCUGCAUGCAAGCAACCGCACCGCCACUUGUGCCACCAUCGCGCCUCUUCGGUUGCGAAGCCUGUGCCACGACUCGAGGCGACCCAACAGCGCCAGACUGGCGCGUCGGUCAAAGCGACCGAAAGUGGGCCAGCAGUAAUAGCGGUGGCAGGCGGGCGGGCACAGCAGUCACGUCGUCAGCCAGGCUCACGUCCCAUCCUGAGACAGCAAGGGAGCCUCCUCUCACGGCGUGAAGACGGUGCACCCGUGACCCAUUCCUCGAACGGAUCGCACGCGCGCAACGGCCGCCCCGCCAACCACUCACCCCGUCGCAUUAACUCCGCGGCGAGACACGCGGCGCUUCUGGCAGGAGGAGCGCGCGACGCUUCACCUUCGCCGUAAUAACCGCGUCAGAAAAGGUACGCCACGUCGUCCGAUUUCGUAUCCUUUUCCGUUUUCCUCUUUCUCUAUCUCUUGCAACAGGGACCGGGAAAGGGGGAUACCCCGAAAGGGAUCCUUCUCCACGAAGGAACCGGGCUCCGAGCCCCCCAUUACUGAUCAGGGGUUCGAAGGCUGGCCCCCGAGGGUUCAACAGUCGCCUCAGAUCGCGUGGGCCCGACACCCACUACUGGUCAGGGGUUCGAAGGCCAGCCCCCCGAAGGGCUUCAUGGCCGCCUCAGGCUACUCGGGCUCCGCGCCCAUUACUGAUCAGGGGUUCGAAGGCUGGCCCCCGAAGGGUUCACAGUCGCCUCAGACACCGAGCGAGGGAUGACCAGGGGUACGUUCGAUACAUAACCGAGGCUCGGGCUGCGCUCCCAAGGUACCCUAGGACAUUUCCGAGACCAGUGGGAACGAUCUUGUAACGGAAUCCCAUCGGAGGGAGGCAUCGAGCCCUCGGACCCCGUCGCCAGGGGACCGGGUCCGGCAAAUCACCCGCAGGUACUUUUGGGCGUGCCUCUGGGCCCCUAGCCGACCCCCAACGAAUGGGGCACGGACGUCCACUCGGAUUACCCGCUUGCAGCUCACCGGAGACACCAUGUUCGGUGCCCAUCGAGGGUAACAUGGCGCACUCCCCCCUCCUCCUUGCGGAAAGGCGACGUAGGGGCGUAUGUAAAAAGCCGAGUCUGUCCCUGAUCGUCCUCUCGCCCUGUGCAGAGGCUCGGGGGCUGCUCUCGCAAAAACCGGCUCCGGCCAAAUCGUUGACAGCGUCAACAUACCAGCCCGAGAGUUUGGGCCCCGACCGUGCACCCGGGCUACGGCCAGUUCGCAUGAGGGAACGACCAGACCAGCCAAAGUAUUAAGACCUCGAAGGAGUGUAACCACUCCUCCGAGGCCUCGGGGGCUACACCCGGCGGGUGCGCUCGCGCGCACCCACCGGAACGAAAUGCAACCGAGAAAGGCUGGUCCCCUUGCGAAAAAGUGUGACAAAAGCCUCCAAGCGAGUGCUAACACUCCCUUCGAGGCUCGGGGGCUACUGUCGGGGACCAUAAUUAGGGGUACCCUCAAGACGCCUAAUUCUCAGCUGGUAACCCCCAUCAGCAUAAAGCUGCAAAGGCCUGAUGGGCAUGAUUAAGUCAGGGAUCAGUCCACACGAGUGACUCGAUCACGCUUCACCCGAGCCUAGCCUCGGCCGAAGGCAGCCGACCUCGAGAGACUUCCGUCUCGCCCGAGGCCCCCUUUUUAUGGCGGACACAUCACCGGCUCGCCCAAGGCCUUGGCUUCGCUCAGAAGCAACCUUGACUAAAUCACCACACCGACUGACCAAAUUGCAGGGGCAUUUAACGCACAGGAGGCCUGACACCUCUAUCCUGACACGCGCCUCCGGCAGAGCCGAGGUGACCGCCGUCACUCCACCGCUCCACUGGCCAGUCUGACAGAAGGACAGCGCCGCCUGCGCCACUCCGACUGCAGCGCCACUCGACAGAGUAAGUCUGACAGUCAGUCAGGCCUCGCCAAAGGCACCACGGCGAACUCCGCCCCGCCCGACCCCAGGGCUCGGACUCGGGCUAAGACCCGGAAGACGGCGAACUCCGCUCCGCCCGACCCCAGGGCUCGGACUCGGGCUAAGACCCGGAAGACGGCGAACUCCGCUCCGCCCGACCCCAGGGCUCGGACUCGGGCUAAGACCCAGAAGACGGCGAACUCCGCUCCGCCCGACCCCAGGGCUCGGACUCGGGCUAGGACCCGGAAGACGGCGAACUCCGCUCCGCCCGACCCCAGGGCUCGGACUCGGGCUAAGACCCGGAAGACGGCGAACUCCGCUCCGCCCGACCCCAGGGCUCGGACUCGGGCUAAGACCCGGAAGACGACGAAACUCCGCCUCGCCCGACCCCAGGGCUCGGACUCCGCCCUGGCCUCGGCCGAACGACUUCCGCCUCGACCGACCCCUUGGCUCGGGCUCGGCCACGGCAACAGAAGGCAGACUCAACCUCGGCUUCGGAGGAAACCCCACGUCGCCCUGCCUAGGGCACAGACCGCCACGUCAACAAGAGGCGCCAUCAUCAUCCCACCCCGAAUCGACUCGGGUCACGGAGAACAAGACCGGCGUCUCAUCCGGCCAGCUCCGCCAGAGAGGCAAUGAUGGCGCUCCACAAGCUCUAUGACGACGGCGGCCCCUAGCUCUCUUACGGAAGCAGGACAACGUCAGCAGGGACUCGACCGCUCCAACAGCUGUCCCUCCAUUAGGCUCCGCCGCACCUCCAACAGCCACGACAUCACGCCAGCAGGGUGCCCAGAUCUCUCCGGCUGCCACAUUGGCAUGUACCUAGGGCGCUAGCUCUCCCUCCACUAGACACGUAGCACUCUGCUACAUCCCCAUUGUACACCUGGAUCCUCUCCUUACGACUAUAAAAGGAAGGACCAGGGCCUUCUCAGAGAAGGUUGGCCGCGCGGGACCGAGGACGGGACAGGCGCUCUCUUGGGGCCGCUCGCUUCCCUCACCCGCGUGGACGCUUGUAACCCCCCUACUGCAAGCGCACCUGACCUGGGCGCGGGACGAACACGAAGGCCGCGGGACUUCCACCUCUCUCACGCUCGGCUCCGGCCGCCUCGCCUCUCCCCCCUUCGCGCUCGCCCACUCGCUCGACCCAUCUGGGCUGGGGCACGCAGCACACUCACUCGUCGGCUUAGGGACCCCCCUGUCUCGAAACGCCGACAAUAUCUUAUGCCAUUUUAAAACUAUCUUGUGUUUUAUUAGAGUAUUGUGUGACCUAAAUCUUGUCAUUGUUGGACUAUUAUAUGAUCUUAUGUUGUUGUUAUAUUGUCAUAUUAAUCUAUGGUCUAUGCAAUGCUCGUGCGUAACUGUAUUACGUCCAUCAUCACCUCCUCAAACUUCACAUGCUGCUCCUCAUCCUCUUUCUGACCCUCCUUCUCCUCAUCCUCAUGGUGGCCCACCGUCUCCGCCACAUACAUCGCCCUUCAGGGAUCCACCUUCUCCACAGCCAUCUCCACGACCAUCAAAGAAAUCUAAAGUUUCUAUACCAAAAGUAGUGUCCCCGUUUGAUAAGAAAAAGAAGAGUAAAUCCACUGCUGGCACUGUUCGUUUUUUGAAAGGGAUUGGACGGAGCCUCACGUCAGACACUGUUGAUUUGGCCGAUCUCGAGGAGUCCGCAAAAAAGGCUGAGGCAAUGGCCGCAAAGAUAAAGAUGCCAACUAAGGCAGAUUAUAAAAACGUGCCUAAAAAUAUGUGUCGGGCAGACCACUACUCACUUUUGAGAAACUAAGGAAGGUCCCGGCUAAUAUUAAAAGGUUGCAUGAUUGGUACAUGCGGGCAUCUUCAGUUGGCAUCGACACCAUCAGUGUUAAUAUACCAGCCCAUGCUUUUAUUGGUUCAAAUCAAAAGGCCGUUGUUACAUUCGAGGAUAUGUGGUUAAUGAUGAACCUUCAGAGACUCGACGUGCAACUUGUAACCAUAUUUGCAUUGUAAGUGUCACUCAUACUCCACAUAUAUGUGUUAUUAUUAGUGAGUUGUAUAAAUUUUCAAUAUCUGACAUGCACGUGUGCGUUGCAGAAUGCAACAUGAUCAGCAGGAGAUCCUUUAUGGUACCAAUCCCAAUGCUAGUGCCAGUAAAAGGGUUGGGUAUCUCAACCCAAUAAAGAUAUGCGAGGAUAACCACACUUUUAGAAUCGGAAAAGGCAACGAAACAUUACAGGGGCUAACAGACGAAGAAAUUGAGGUGCGUAUCCAGGAUCUGAAGAAGGAUUUUGAAGCAAGAUACGCCACCUACAUAGGACACGCAAUGCUUCAAUUUCAAGACAGGGAAUCCAUAGUGGCCCCGUACAACUUUAAGUAAGUGUGAUUUUGCAUAAAUAAAAUUAAUAAUUUUAAUACACAUGUAUCACAAGUUUGAUUCGUACAGGGACCACUGGAUAUGCUUCUUCAUUUAUCCUAAGGUUGGAAAGGUGCUGGUGCUCGACUCCUUGCACACCGAGCCUUCGGCCUAUUCAAAAUUCCUCAGCAUCUUAGAGUUGUAAGCCUUUUCUAUGCAUGCAUACUUAUAUCGAUGAGAAUUGUAGAAUAACAUGGUGAUUCUAUUUGAGAUCACAGGGCAUUUAGGUUUUAUAAGCUACAUGGUGGAAAGUACGACACGUCCAAAAAAGGCGUGCCACUAGACAUCCAUUAUAACUGGCCAGUAAGUAUGUGAAUUUAUGAAUACAUAUCAUACAUGUACGUACAUAGGACAAUGUUGCAACUAAAUAACCAAUCUCCCGUUAUGUAGUGCCACAAGCAACCACCCGGAUCGGUCCUAUGUGGGUUCUACGUGUGCGAGUUUAUGAGAAUGAAUGGACGAUACAUCACGAACCCUGGCAAGGUAUUAUUAGUAAUAGUCACGUAUGUAUUUAUGUCAUUAAAGAUGCAAAUGUGUUAUUAUUGAGUAUAAAUAGAUGAUGUUUAUAAACUUCCUUUACAGCAAUUUCAAAAAGGAAGCCCGGAGAACUUGACUGAAGGUGCAUUGUAUGGCAUAGUUGAGGACCUGUGCACAUUCAUAUUGAAAGAGGUCAUUCCCGCAGAAGGGAAAUAUCACGAUGCUUCCGGAACAUUAGCUUUGCCAGAGUUUAGAAUACUAACAGAAAUUAGUAGACUAUCUCUUAGCCGAGAUAGUUAUUAGAGCUUAAGUGAAAACUUUGAUGUAUAUAAUGUGUGAUGCAUACAUGGUUGUAAACAAGACUUUGAUGUAUAUAAAUGUAUGAUAGAAUUUAAUUUCAUGUUGCUUUUAGUAUCAAUACUACAUGUUUAUCAAUAUCAAUAUAUAUAUAUAUAUAUAUAUAUAUAUAUGUUUGUGUGUGUAAAUAUAUAAAUUUCAGUACGAAAAUUUAAAAAAAGACGGGAAACAUUUCCACUGGCGGCUAAAUAAAACAAACCGCUGGCGGUUUUCUUAAUAAAACCGCCAGUGAAAAUAGCAUUUUCACUGGCGGUUGCUUAAGAAAACCGCCAGUGGAAAUGCUUUUUCCACUGGCGGUUAUUGAAUGGAAAUGGCGAUUUCCACUGGCCCCUAACACUGGCGGCACUGAAAAGCGCCAGUGAAAAUGUCUCUAGAACCGCCACUAUAGAGGCUGUGUGUACUAGUGAUGUAAUCAGAGUAUCUUUUUCUUGGAGACAGACUAUGCAUUUCCAAGGAUGUAGCAAAUUUGUAGGAAAGUAAAUGAUAUGUAUAUUUAGUGGUCCAUAUAUCGAAACAUGCCCUCAUGAAAAAAAUGCCUCCAAAAAUGGCAUGUAUAUUUAACCUUUUGCUUGUUUUCCACUCUUUGGAAUUCGAUCAUGAACCCGAACAAAAGGAUUACAUAUACUAGAAUUUGGAAGUCUCAGUAGUAUAUAAGGUUAGCGGUGCAUGCUGCCAACUUAAUUAGCUUGCUGCUGAAGGUCCAUAGCCCGCUGUGCCGGAUGAAUCGAAGGGAAUUCAAAGUCUAGUAGAAUUGGACGUUGGAAGUGUAGACGGCAUCGGGUCUCCAGUUCGCCGGGAUGACGUCUUUGGCGAUGACCUUCUUGCCGGACUCGCUGGUGAGGCGGAUGGAGAAGGGGCCCUUGAGCGCCUUGGCAGUGUCCAUCCUCCAGAUGGCGCCCCAAGAGAGCUUCAUGGGCUUCCACUCAGCCGACAACUUGUCCUGGAUUUCCAUCAGCACGAUGUCGCCGUCGUCCGCCACAUACUUCACCAGCACGGCCAGGUAGUUGGGGUUGCAGCCCUUCUCGAUGUGGAACACGAUCUUCUGCCCGGCGGGGUACUUGCAUCGCACC
RNAcentral lists this long non-coding RNA (215807 nucleotides) under Zea mays. RNAcentral describes it as "long non-coding RNA (ZMAY_LNC005566)". The record is from RNAcentral. Lineage: Eukaryota; Viridiplantae; Streptophyta; Magnoliopsida; Poales; Poaceae.